UGCUGCACCAUUAACUGAAAUUGUGAAGAAACAUGUGGGAUUUAAGUGGGGUAGUGAACAAGAAAAGGCAUUUAAUCUAAUUAAGGAGAAAUUAGUUUCUGCACCAUUACUUGCUUUACCUGAUUUUACUAAAACUUUUGAAAUUGAGUGUGAUGCUUCAGGUAUAGGUAUUGGAGCUGUUUUGAUGCAAGAAGGGCGUCCAAUUGCUUAUUUUAGUGAGAAAUUGGGUGGAGCAGCCCUAAACUAUCCUACCUAUGACAAGGAGAUGUAUGCAUUGGUGAGAGCUUUGGAAACUUGGCAACAUUAUCUUCUACCUAAAGAGUUUGUUAUACACACUGAUCAUGAGUCCUUGAAGCAUUUGAAAGGGCAAGGUAAGUUACAUAAGAGACAUGCCAAAUGGGUUGAAUUUAUUGAGCCAUUUCCUUAUGUGAUCAAAUAUAAACAAGGUAAGGAGAAUGUGGUGGCUGAUGCAUUAUCUAGAAGGUAUGCACUUAUCUCUACAUUAAAUGCAAAGUUGUUAGGAUUUGAGUACAUUAAAGAAUUAUAUGCUAACGAUCCUGAUUUUGCUAAUGUGUUUAAUGCUUGUGAGAAAGUUGCAUUUGGUAAAUUCUAUAAGCAUGAUGGGCUUUUAUUUAGAGAAAAUAAAUUGUGUGUGCCUCAUAGUUCUUUGCGUGAAUUGCUUGUGCGUGAAGCUCAUGGGGGUGGUUUAAUGGGACAUUUUGGCAUUGCAAAGACUUUAGAUGUUUUAAAAGAACACUUCUUUUGGCCACAUAUGAAACGUGAUGUUGAAAGAAUAUGUGAGAAGUGUAUCACUUGUAAACAUGCUAAGUCAAGAGUUUAACCUUGGGUUGAUAUUUCUAUGGACUUUGUUUUGGGUUUACCUAGGUCAAAAAGGGGAAAUGAUUCUGUUUUGUUGUUGUUGAUAGGUUUUCAAAGAUGGCGCAUUUCAUUCCAUGUCAUAAAACUGAUGAUGCGACAAGCAUAGCUAAUUUGUUUUUCAAGGAAAUAGUCAGGUUGCAUGGAGUACCAAGGAGCAUAGUUUCAGAUCGAGAUGCUAAGUUCUUGAGCCACUUUUGGAAAACUUUGUGGGGGUAAGUUGGGUACUAAACUUUUGUUUUCUACUACUUGUCAUCCACAAACUGAUGGACAAACUGAGGUUGUAAAUAGAACUCUGUCUACUUUGUUGCGUGCCAUUAUUCAAAAGAACUUGAAAACUUGGGAAGAAUGUUUGCCACAUGUUGAAUUUGCUUAUAAUAGAACUGUCCAUUCAGCUACUAAAUUCUCACCAUUUGAGAUUGUAUAUGGGUUUUAAUCCAUUAACUCCUUUGGAUUUAUUACCCUUUACCUAUUGAUGAACGUGCUAGUAUGGAUGGUAAAAAGAAAGCUGAACUUGUCAAGCAAUUGCAUGAGAGAACAGGUCAACACAUAGAAAAGCGAACUGAACAAUAUGCUACUCAAGCCAACAAAGGACGUAAGCAAGUGGUUUUUCAGCCUGGAGAUUGGGUUUAGGUGCAUAUGAGAAAGGAGAGGUUCCCAGCACAAAGGCGUUCCAAGUUACUUCCAAGGGGAGAUGGUCCAUUUCAAGUGGUUGCACGGAUCAAUGACAAUGCCUACAAAUUGGAUCUUCCUGGUGAGUAUAAUGUGAGUGCUACUUUCAAUGUUUCUGAUCUUUCUCCUUUCGAUGUAGGUGAAGAUUCGAGGACGAAUCCUUUUGAAGAGAGGGGGAAUGAUGAGAACCAUCAAGGGACCAUUAAAACUUCAAGUGAUCCUUUGCACAUUCAUGGAGGCCCAAUUACAAGAGCAAGAGCCAAAAAGAUGCAAGCUGCUUUAAAUGGAUUAAUUGAGAAAAUAUGGAUUGAAAAUGCAAUUCAAGAUGCAAGACAUCAUGAAUUGGGCUUGAAGAGAAGACAAGGCAUUGUGGGCAUUAUUCAAGUCAUUGGACAGCCAAAUACACAAGUUGUAUCAAAUGCAGAAAGGUCAAAUUCGGAAUAAAAACUGUAUUGAUUGAGCCCGAAUUAAAAUGCAAGCUAUAUACCGUUGGAAAGAUAAUUAAGUUAGCUUUCCAAUAAAUUUUACAGAGCUGGAUUUGGAGUUCUCUAGAAGGAGUUAUGACCAAUUCUUUACAGCUUGUUCAGACUUGGGAUUUUCAACGAAUCCUUUGUUUUUCAACUUAUUUGUUUGUUUUGUUUCAAGUUUUUCAAUGAUAGCAUUAAUUAUAGUAGGCUAGCAUUAAGUUUGUCAAAGAUAGCAUUGAUCAUGGUGGGUUCGUGAAGACUUUUGAAACAUCUUUUGACAAACUUACUUGGAGGGUUGUUCCAAUGUUUCCAUUUGUAUUUUUAGGAUCUUGGGUUCCUUUUAGCCUAUUUAAAUUCAGCAACCUUGGUAUGUAAGGAGAUGAAUGUUAUUUUGAAUUUGAAAGAUUAUUCUUUCUUUGGUUCUUUUGAGAACUAGUGAACUUAUCAAGAAUUUACAUUCUUGUGGUGUUCCAAAUUUAGACUUAUCACUCACCUUCUCAUCUCUUUCUUGAGUGUGGCGUCAAUACCCUUCUCUAUACCUUUGGUUCAUGUUUUCUUAAGCAUUGGGUCAAGGUUUUUGUUUGCCAUAAAUCUGUUUAGAACUUUCUUGGGAAGUUGAAACUACAAAUUAAUUGUAGGAUUGAAAGUUUCAUUGUGGGAUUCGUAUCAAAGCCCAUCUUGAAUAUUGGUCUCUUACACACAUGAUAGGAUUUUGUUCAAGAUUAAUGCCAAUAUCUCCAAGUGUUUGUUUCAUCCAAAGGGUUUGUGCACAACAACUACCAGCAGCAAUAUAUUUUUCCUUGGUGGUUGAAAGUGCAACCGAAUUUUUUUUCUUACUAAACCAUGAAACAAGUGAAUGAUCUAGGAAAUGGCAAUUUCCACUAGUACUUUUCCUAUCGACCUUAUAAUUGCCAAAAUCGGCAUCCGAAUAACAAGUUAAAUCUAUAUGGGUUCCUCUAGGAUACCAAAGGCCAAGAUCUAUGGUUCCACUCAAAUAGUAGAAAAUUCUUUUAACAGCAAGCAAAUGAGAUUCCUAACACAAACAUACAAUAAACAUGAUAUCGGGUCUACUUGUGGUUAAGUAAAGUAAAGAGCUUAUCAUACCUCGAUACAUUUUGAUAUCAACCUCUUUACCUUUUCAUGUUCGUCAAGCUUGAUUGUUGUGGUCAUUGGAGUGCUCUUGGGUUUUGAGUCAUCAAUGCCAAAUCUCUUGAGUAGAGCUUUGACAUAUUUAGCUUAGUUGAUGAAGAUUCCCUCAUUGUUUUGUUUGAUUUGAAGUCCAAGGAAAUACUUCAAUUCUCCCAUCAUGCUCAUUUCAAAUUCCUUACUUAUACAAGAUGAAAAUUCCUUGCACAGAUAAAUUCCUUCUUNNNNNNNNNNNNNNNNNNNNNNNNNNNNNNNNNNNNNNNNNNNNNNNNNNNNNNNNNNNNNNNNNNNNNNNNNNNNNNNNNNNNNNNNNNNNNNNNNNNNNNNNNNNNNNNNNNNNNNNNNNNNNNNNNNNNNNNNNNNNNNNNNNNNNNNNNNNNNNNNNNNNNNNNNNNNNNNNNNNNNNNNNNNNNNNNNNNNNNNNNNNNNNNNNNNNNNNNNNNNNNNNNNNNNNNNNNNNNNNNNNNNNNNNNNNNNNNNNNNNNNNNNNNNNNNNNNNNNNNNNNNNNNNNNNNNNNNNNNNNNNNNNNNNNNNNNNNNNNNNNNNNNNNNNNNNNNNNNNNNNNNNNNNNNNNNNNNNNNNNNNNNNNNNNNNNNNNNNNNNNNNNNNNNNNNNNNNNNNNNNNNNNNNNNNNNNNNNNNNNNNNNNNNNNNNNNNNNNNNNNNNNNNNNNNNNNNNNNNNNNNNNNNNNNNNNNNNNNNNNNNNNNNNNNNNNNNNNNNNNNNNNNNNNNNNNNNNNNNNNNNNNNNNNNNNNNNNNNNNNNNNNNNNNNNNNNNNNNNNNNNNNNNNNNNNNNNNNNNNNNNNNNNNNNNNNNNNNNNNNNNNNNNNNNNNNNNNNNNNNNNNNNNNNNNNNNNNNNNNNNNNNNNNNNNNNNNNNNNNNNNNNNNNNNNNNNNNNNNNNNNNNNNNNNNNNNNNNNNNNNNNNNNNNNNNNNNNNNNNNNNNNNNNNNNNNNNNNNNNNNNNNNNNNNNNNNNNNNNNNNNNNNNNNNNNNNNNNNNNNNNNNNNNNNNNNNNNNNNNNNNNNNNNNNNNNNNNNNNNNNNNNNNNNNNNNNNNNNNNNNNNNNNNNNNNNNNNNNNNNNNNNNNNNNNNNNNNNNNNNNNNNNNNNNNNNNNNNNNNNNNNNNNNNNNNNNNNNNNNNNNNNNNNNNNNNNNNNNNNNNNNNNNNNNNNNNNNNNNNNNNNNNNNNNNNNNNNNNNNNNNNNNNNNNNNNNNNNNNNNNNNNNNNNNNNNNNNNNNNNNNNNNNNNNNNNNNNNNNNNNNNNNNNNNNNNNNNNNNNNNNNNNNNNNNNNNNNNNNNNNNNNNNNNNNNNNNNNNNNNNNNNNNNNNNNNNNNNNNNNNNNNNNNNNNNNNNNNNNNNNNNNNNNNNNNNNNNNNNNNNNNNNNNNNNNNNNNNNNNNNNNNNNNNNNNNNNNNNNNNNNNNNNNNNNNNNNNNNNNNNNNNNNNNNNNNNNNNNNNNNNNNNNNNNNNNNNNNNNNNNNNNNNNNNNNNNNNNNNNNNNNNNNNNNNNNNNNNNNNNNNNNNNNNNNNNNNNNNNNNNNNNNNNNNNNNNNNNNNNNNNNNNNNNNNNNNNNNNNNNNNNNNNNNNNNNNNNNNNNNNNNNNNNNNNNNNNNNNNNNNNNNNNNNNNNNNNNNNNNNNNNNNNNNNNNNNNNNNNNNNNNNNNNNNNNNNNNNNNNNNNNNNNNNNNNNNNNNNNNNNNNNNNNNNNNNNNNNNNNNNNNNNNNNNNNNNNNNNNNNNNNNNNNNNNNNNNNNNNNNNNNNNNNNNNNNNNNNNNNNNNNNNNNNNNNNNNNNNNNNNNNNNNNNNNNNNNNNNNNNNNNNNNNNNNNNNNNNNNNNNNNNNNNNNNNNNNNNNNNNNNNNNNNNNNNNNNNNNNNNNNNNNNNNNNNNNNNNNNNNNNNNNNNNNNNNNNNNNNNNNNNNNNNNNNNNNNNNNNNNNNNNNNNNNNNNNNNNNNNNNNNNNNNNNNNNNNNNNNNNNNNNNNNNNNNNNNNNNNNNNNNNNNNNNNNNNNNNNNNNNNNNNNNNNNNNNNNNNNNNNNNNNNNNNNNNNNNNNNNNNNNNNNNNNNNNNNNNNNNNNNNNNNNNNNNNNNNNNNNNNNNNNNNNNNNNNNNNNNNNNNNNNNNNNNNNNNNNNNNNNNNNNNNNNNNNNNNNNNNNNNNNNNNNNNNNNNNNNNNNNNNNNNNNNNNNNNNNNNNNNNNNNNNNNNNNNNNNNNNNNNNNNNNNNNNNNNNNNNNNNNNNNNNNNNNNNNNNNNNNNNNNNNNNNNNNNNNNNNNNNNNNNNNNNNNNNNNNNNNNNNNNNNNNNNNNNNNNNNNNNNNNNNNNNNNNNNNNNNNNNNNNNNNNNNNNNNNNNNNNNNNNNNNNNNNNNNNNNNNNNNNNNNNNNNNNNNNNNNNNNNNNNNNNNNNNNNNNNNNNNNNNNNNNNNNNNNNNNNNNNNNNNNNNNNNNNNNNNNNNNNNNNNNNNNNNNNNNNNNNNNNNNNNNNNNNNNNNNNNNNNNNNNNNNNNNNNNNNNNNNNNNNNNNNNNNNNNNNNNNNNNNNNNNNNNNNNNNNNNNNNNNNNNNNNNNNNNNNNNNNNNNNNNNNNNNNNNNNNNNNNNNNNNNNNNNNNNNNNNNNNNNNNNNNNNNNNNNNNNNNNNNNNNNNNNNNNNNNNNNNNNNNNNNNNNNNNNNNNNNNNNNNNNNNNNNNNNNNNNNNNNNNNNNNNNNNNNNNNNNNNNNNNNNNNNNNNNNNNNNNNNNNNNNNNNNNNNNNNNNNNNNNNNNNNNNNNNNNNNNNNNNNNNNNNNNNNNNNNNNNNNNNNNNNNNNNNNNNNNNNNNNNNNNNNNNNNNNNNNNNNNNNNNNNNNNNNNNNNNNNNNNNNNNNNNNNNNNNNNNNNNNNNNNNNNCAACCUGGUCCACAUAUUGCAAUCGAAUUAUUAAAGUUUCCGGACACACGUCUCAACAGGAAGCAGAUACAAACAAUUCCUCGGGAUUGUUAAUUAUGUCCGUGAUUUUAUCCCAAAAGUUGCAAUUCAAACCAGCCAGCUGUCAUGCAUGCUCAAAAAACAGUACCCUCUAUGGGGCCCUGCUCAGACCGACGCUGUCAAGCAGUUAAAGGUAAUAGCACAAUCACCUCCUCCACUCCGUAUUCCCACAAAUGGACAACGCAUCCUCCAGACUGAUGCCAGCGAUGAUUAUUGGAGUGCCAUUCUCCUUGAAGACAUCAAUGGCGUGCGUCAUUUCUGUGCUCAUGCAAGCGGACAGCUUAAAGACUCUGAAAAGAACUACCAUGUGAUCUACAAAGAGAUUUUGGCAGUUAAGUAUGGCAUUAAAAAAUUUGAGUUCCAUCUUAUCAGCCACAAAUUCCUUAUCAACAUGGAUAAUUCAUCUUUUCCCUGAAUCUUUGACUUCAAGAGCAAAUUGCUACCUGACAAGCAAUUACUCAGUCUCAAAACCUGGUUUGAUAAAUAUGAUUUCACUGUUCAACACAUAAAAGGCAACCAAAACCUCAUUCCAGACUUCCUCACCCGUCCAGCUAUAAAUAAACCCGCACUCAUCUCCUCGAUUCAAACCAUUCCAGGUAUAGCCAUGAAUCGCCAACUUCCUUUCAAAGCUCUCAACCAAAGAAAUUUCCCCAUGAACAUCUCUUUCCAAUCGGCUUAUCAAUUGCAAGAUUUUGCAAAGAAAGAAACUGGUUUUUCUUUAAUGUCUAGACCAAAAACCCUGACCGAUUUCCUAAUCUUUGCAUGGAACACUUGUUUCUCACAGGCCUCACUUUGUCCUCUCUAUCCAUCUCCGAAGAUGAGCUUUGGUAUAUGUGGUGUCUCACCACCUCGUAUGCUACAAAGCUAGUUUUUCCCAUCAAGCCAGUCCUGACUCACCUUACCACUCCCGAGUUCUCACCAGACCUUCUAUGGACUCUCUUUGAAUGGUAUUCUCCCCUCACUUGGUGGCGCCAGCAACUCCAACAUUUGUGUACCUUUCAUGGAUUAGACAAAAUGCCAGACCAAGAAGCUAACAUGUGGACCACGGCCUUCAUCGUCCACAGGCCUUACUUCCAGCAUCNNNNNNNNNNNNNNNNNNNNNNNNNNNNNNNNNNNNNNNNNNNNNNNNNNNNNNNNNNNNNNNNNNNNNNNNNNNNNNNNNNNNNNNNNNNNNNNNNNNNNNNNNNNNNNNNNNNNNNNNNNNNNNNNNNNNNNNNNNNNNNNNNNNNNNNNNNNNNNNNNNNNNNNNNNNNNNNNNNNNNNNNNNNNNNNNNNNNNNNNNNNNNNNNNNNNNNNNNNNNNNNNNNNNNNNNNNNNNNNNNNNNNNNNNNNNNNNNNNNNNNNNNNNNNNNNNNNNNNNNNNNNNNNNNNNNNNNNNNNNNNNNNNNNNNNNNNNNNNNNNNNNNNNNNNNNNNNNNNNNNNNNNNNNNNNNNNNNNNNNNNNNNNNNNNNNNNNNNNNNNNNNNNNNNNNNNNNNNNNNNNNNNNNNNGGAUUGAGACAUAUUUUUGUCCCAUAAAAAAAUUUGGGACGGGAUUGGGACAUUUUUUUAUCCCAAUUACAUAUGCGGGAUGGGAGUGGGAUUGACAAAUUCCGUCCCAUCCCGUCUCAUUACCGAUUAAGAAUGGAAAAUUUUCCAAUUGGGAUAGGAUCCCGCAGGAUCCCAUCUCUUUUGGGACGGGAUUGGGACAUAUUUUUGUCCCAAAAAAAAUAUAAGGACGGGAUUGGGACGUUUUUUCAUCCCAUUUGCAUAUACGGGAUGGGACUGGGAUUGGUAAAUCCCAUCCCAUCCCGUCCCAUUGCCAACCCUAGUUGUACUCCAGGAUCAAGUUCAAGUCCUCAAGGAAUCCUUGUCAUGGAACAACGUCCUGACUACACCAAUGUCUUAUUCCAAGACGCUCAGGACCCAUGGGAAGACUUUCAGUCCCUUCUCCAUACUGACACUCCCCAUUAUACUGUCACCAACCCAGACUCUCCUGCUGCAUCUACCUCCCAGCACAUGUCUGAAGCUGAUGAAGAAAAGUAUCAACAAGCUGAAGCGUAUCUCAACCAGAGACAGAGGCGUCGGCACAAGCGACAAUAUGAGAAAGAGACAGGAGACGUGUCACCAUCGCGCUAUCCAUCCACUCCAUGAUGACACUUUGUUGCUCUCACACAACUUUUGAUGCAAUAACCCAUGUGACUCCCGUUUGUCUUUUGUUAAAGUCCUUGUCGAUGUGCUUUACUUUUGUAAAAGUCCUUGUAGGUAUGCUUUACCUUUUGUAAAAGUCCUGAUCGGCGUGCUUUGCUUUCAAAAAAGGUGUGCCAUGUGAUAUGAUCAUUCGAGAGGUCCUAUUCUCAAUGAUCCUCUAUAAAAGGCACCUUUGGUCUCAGUUGUAAGGGGAGCCAAUCUGAAAAUAAAAGCUUAAGUUAUCUACAUUAUGUUUCCCUAAAACCUCUCUCUCUUCUAGGAAUCGAAGAAAUUAUUCGAAUUAAAAAUGAUACGCUCACCUCAAAAUUUCUAAACUGAGUAUGCUCUGCACUUGCCUCAAGUCUGAGGAUCUUGUGCAUCAGAAAGGUCCUGUUUAUCCUCCAAAACUGAUUUUUCUAAAAUGAAAGUGUUUUCUCACAACGUUCACCCUCUUUGAAGGUUUUCGGGUGGUAUCGUGAAAAAAUUAUUUUAAAAAAUGAAUUUCGGAUUUGGUAUUAACUAGAUAAGUGUAUAUCGGCUGGAAACCAAGGUGUGCAGACUACUGGUCCAAAGGAGAUUUAAAUAUCUUGGCUUGCCAAGGAUCUCAUCACUCUGGUAAAACAACGCCACGUACAACUACCCACUGGUAUCAGAGCCACACUUCAUGUUGAGGUGGUAUCAUUAGUAAUUUGAAUAAUCUUAUUUGAUCUCCUAGAAGAAGAUUCAUCAACCAUGGAAACAAACACAUCUCUAACUUCUACAUCAUCUUCAUCUCAUAUUUCUCUUUCUUCUACACUCUCUCUCCCCAAAUCAUGCUCUAAACACAUAGCCUCUAAAAUUGAGAAUCUUGUUGAAUAUUCUUAUAUUCUAGAAUCUGCUCAAAUCAAUGAGUCCCAGUUUCCCAUCAUGAGUCCUUACAAUCUCUACAAAUAGAAAACUUCCCUUACUAGAAGUAUUCGAACCCUCAUCUCCACUAAAAGACCACUCCUAAAGGAAUAUAUCCAGUCUUUUAGACUGGAUCAGUGUGCUCUCCAAGCCUCACAGAGUGAACAAUAUGUCACUAUGGAAAUACCCUCAGAUCUCGUCGUCAACUGGAAACGAGAAGGGUACACACACCUCCAUCUUGGUGGUGUACGAUUAAUUCUCACUCUUCAUGGUCGGAAAGGUUUACCUGUUACAACUAGAAUGAUACCAGAAAUUUUUGGACCUAGAAUCAGAGUUAUGAAUGGAUGACAGUCCCUCACAUUGCCUGUCUCGAACAAGAUUUCCAGAUCAAGACUUCCUUGAAGAACUUCCUUAUGGAACUUAACCAUAUUCCUCCAGACCAGCCAAAAAUCCUCCACACAUCUCUUGGACUAAAACAUGAAAUGUUUAUGAUCCCUACUCCAUCCUUACAUUCCCAACCUCCCAACCGUGGAAUCAUCAUAAAAGAAGAAAAGCCAGAUUACACUGACUUUUUAUUCCAAGAUUCCCAGGAUCCUUAUAAAGAUUUUACCCCGGUACCUUCACCUUCACCAUAUAAUUUCCCUAAUUUCCCUGUAUCAUCCACCUCUCAGUAUCCGCCAUUUUCCUCUCAACCUAAGCCUUUUCCUUAGCCAACCCCUCUAUCACCAAAAGCCCGAGAUUGCCCUUAGCCAUGUGUUCCAGGUUGUUCUCAUCCAGAAAGAAUCUUCAAAAAAGACAAGGACCCUGAUCGUGACCCUGACGAGACCGAAUCAUCAUCUGAGGAUGGAACCAUAUCUCUUUAAGAGUGAGAAUAAGACGAACACCUCCAGGGUGAAGAUGUGUAUAGCCUUCACGUUUCCAUGUAGAGAUCAAUUCUGAGGGGAUUUCAAGAGUGACAUAUUGUUCAGCUGUGGUAGCUUGCAAAGCACACUAGUCGAGUUGGGAUGACUGGAUAUAUUCCUUCGGGUGGGGUUGUUUGGUGGAAAUUAGGGUUUUAAUACUUUUAGUAAAGGACGCAUUUUUAUACAAGUGAUAGGGACUAAUGAGAGGUAGAGAGGAUUCAUUGAUUUGAACAGAUUCAGAAACAUAGGAGUAUUCAACAUGAUUUUCUAUUUUACUGGCUGUUUGUUUACUACAGGAUUUAGGUAAAGAAAGAGUAAUUGGAGAAGAUGACGAAGCAGGAGUAGCUGAGGAUGAUGAUGAAGCCAUGAGAUUAAGAUUUUUUAUUCUUUAAAGCUUUGAUUCCUAGGUGGUUAAACUCUUAUAACCUAUACCAACAUCUAAGAAUUUCAUGUAUGCCUCUGAUACCAACUUGGGUCGGGCCUAACUCAGCCCCAAAAGAGCUCUCAAAAGGUGAGGACUGCCCAGUGCUUAUAAGCGACCAGGAGCUUUGGCUUGCCAGUGAUGUGGGAUAAGAGCAUAUCAUUCACUCUACCCUCGCUCUCAGGCCUUGGCUCUGUGUUCCAGGUUGUUCUAAUCCAGAAAGAAUCUUCAAAAAAUACAAGGACCCUGAUCGUGACCCUGACGAGACUGAAUCAUCAUCUGAGGAUGGAACCAUAUCUCUUUAAAAGAUUUGUCACUUUGUAAUAAUGUAAAAUAAAGUACUUUAUGCUUUAGCUUUUUAAAGUUGUUUGUCCUUAUGUCAUCAUGAACUUUACUUUUGUCGGCCACUACUGUACCAGUGAGCCUACCUACGUUUGUAAAAUAAGUGUGCCUGUAUGCCAGCUGAUUCGAUCUCGAUCCAGCUUUUGUCUUUUCCCCUCUUUAUCUUUAAGUAAGGAGAAGUUAUUUGAAUAAAAAUUAAGAAGUUUUUUAUAACAUUUCAAGUUUCAAUAUUCCACCCUAUGGAUAACUAAAACCUUCGUUUUUAUUCUUUAAUCCUAAGAUUCUUUAAGUUUAGAACUCUUACCCUUGUUCAAUGUCUAUCUUCUGCAAGUAUGCUCUGCACUUGCCUUGAAAAAGGAUCCUGUGCAUUAGAAAGCUACUCAUGCUCCUAUUCUUUCUUUGCUCUGAGAUAAUAGACGGAACCUUGCCUUUAGACUAAGUGACCAAGGAGAGUCUAUGUCUUUUUGGUUAUCUAGGUUCUUAGUUCAUUGUAAGAUAUGGAAUGUCUAGUAUCUCGCAACCACUUCAUUCUCGUUUUCUAGGUAUAUCGACUGGAAACCGAGCAUGCGGACUACUAGUCUAAAGGAUAACAUUGUUAUCAUUGCUCUGGUAUAACAAUGCCACGUACUUAGAAUCCCCAGUUGGUAUAAGAGCUAAGGCCCGAGGGUGAGGGUAGAGUGAAUGAUAAGCUCUUAUCCCACAUCGCUGGCAAGCCAAAGCUCCUGGUCGCUUAUAAGCGCUGGGCAGUCCUCACCCUUUGAGAAUCUUUGGCAAAAUGACCUUUCUUUUUGCAAAUGAAACACCUGCUUUUCUUUCUAUUAGGAAACCAUUUAGAAUGGGAUUGCCUCUGUCUGAAAAAGCGAAACUGGUUGGUAUGCUGUUUCUUGGAUGGAAAUGGGAAUCUGGAUUUCUUAAAGUGAGAUUUUUUCUUGGGUGAGCAGUCACACUUCUUUGGAUCUUUGCACUUGAUAGCCAAGUAAGGCUUUUUGCAAGCAGAUCUGAAAGGUUCUUUGUCUUUGAUGAGUUCCUGGAAGAACUUCUUUUGUUCACACAAUUUGUCAAGACAUCCCAGAGCAAUCUUGAAUAAUUUUCCCAAUGAUAAUGUGUCAAUGUUGAGCAUGUGAGCAGCUAACUGACGUUGAAUUUCUGGUUGUAAUUCUUCUGGGAGAGAUGCCAGAAAUAAAUGCCUGAGUGUGGGAUCAUUGAAUCUAUUCAGCUUAUAAUAGAGCAAAGACAUUCGCUUGUAGUGGUAAUGAAGAUCUUUUGUGUUGAGAGAACAACAUUUCAUGUUGAGAUAAUCACGUCUUGCGGCUUCAAAAGUAGCACUUGGUUCUCCAAUAAAUUGAUCAUGGAGACCGGCUAAAGCCUGAGAGACUCAGAGACUAAGAGACAUCAGAAAUUUGGAUGAACUGAGUUGUCUAUAUACUGUCCAAGACUUUCAAACCAAUCUCGAAGAGAACCCGUAAACUAAGUACUGAAUUCUCUUUGAACAGAUUGGGUUGUUGCAUCUGGAGCUAACAUUUGGAGAUCAAUCCAAGUAGACAACUCUUGUAGUCUUUUUCUCCAUUUUGUCGGAGGGAGAUUAUCAAAAGUAAACCAUGGACCAUUGGAAGGUUUGGAAACUUUUGGCUGAGGUGGAAUUGACUGAGAAGAUUCACCAGUUUCUUGGUUUUCUUCAUCAGUCUCAACAGGUUCAGUUCUUGGGCCAGGGUCAGUGGCACCAAACUAAUCAUUAGGUUCUGCCAUGAUGAGUUUGGAAAUAUCAGCUAGAUUUGAAUCAGACAAAUUGAAUGACUCAAUGGAUGAUGAAUAUGAUUGUGAAGGGGAAUUUUCAGUAGAGGAAUCUAGAGAUGGUGAAUGGGAAAGUUGUUGAGUAGAAUACUGGGACAUGGGCUGUUUUUCUAGAGAAACAGUAGUUUGGAUUGGUGGUGGUUGAGUAGAUUCAGGUAAAGAAGUUGGUGAUGGAGAGGGUGAUGGUUCAAAUCUAGAUGUCUGAGGAUUUUGUUGAGGAAUGGGUUUUUGAACUGGAGCUGGUUUUGGUGUUUUCUUUAGUUUUGGUUGAGGGCGUGGAUGUGGAGGAAACAAAGUAUGGGUCAUACCAAAAAGUUUAUAAGUUUCAUAUGUUCGAGAGGAAAAAGAUGGCAAGAAGGGAUGAUAGGUAGGAUUAAUUACUGGUAAUGGAGCAGAACUUGUAAACAGGGUAGGCUAGACCAUUUCUGAGUCAAUUUUGGCAAUUUCAGCUUUCAAGGCUCUUAUCUCAGCUUCUUUUUUAUCAAAAUCAGGACUAUAGACUCAUUGAGCAAGCAUAGCCCGAAGUUCAGAGUCAAGUUGAGUAACUCUGUUAUGAAGAUUUUGAUGAAUCUGAUUUAACUUAUCUGAGAUAGUAUCAACCUUUUUUUCAACCUAGUUGGUUUUUUUUGUAAUGUGGUCUAACUUAUGAUGCAAGGUAGUGAGUACUUGGUUUUGUGCAAUAUCAUUUUGAGUUUGCUAGUUUAAGACUGCUUCAAAAGAACGAGGUUCUUCUAAAUGGCCAGCAUGAGUUACUACAAAGGAGACAUAUGGUUUAGAGAUGAAAUUCUUUUGUUGGUCAGUUUGUUUUUCAAAAGGUGGGAACUGGGCUUGGUAUUGUGUAGAAGUUAAUGGGGAAAACAUCAUACAUGACUGUAUUUUGGGAGUGGGACUAACAUGGGUAGUCUCAUGGGUUGAUUGAAGUAUGCAGCUAAGUAAAGCGGGUUCAUGUUUUCGGAUCCAGGCAAGACCUUUAUCAUAGAUGGGUAAAGGUGCUUGAGAAUCAGGCUAAGGUGGAUCUUUAGGAUGAGCAACAUGAUAGCGGCAAGCUAGAUAAAUGAUCUUUUUAGACUUGCGCUUACGUCUUUUUGGCUCGUCAUCAUCUUCUUCAAUAUCUUCCCAACAAGGAUAGCAUGCAUCACAGUUGCCAGAGGCUGGGACAUCCCAUAAGAAAUGUCCAUGGAGUUUUACUAGGUAGAUAGGAAAACCUUGAUCAUUAAAGGCUUGAAUGGGUAGGUUUUUUGUUCUGUGUGUAUAGAAGUGAUCAUUGAAGAAUAGGUAAAAGAUAACCUGGGUGGUUCUGAAGACGAACUAGGUGGUGGUUUGAAAGUAAGAUGAAUAGUUCCAUCUGAAUUUUUCUGAAAAUGACUUUCAGAAGUUUGUAUGGGUUCAGAAUUUUGAUGAAAUUGUUCAUAAUUGGACAACCAUUCUAAAGGCAUGAGUUUGAUUAAUUCUUGUUGAGGAAUUUGGCUUGGGAUUUGAAUGAUGGUUGGAAUCUCUUUAAAUUCGGCAAGAAUCAUGAGAGCUUCUGAAUUUGCAGUUUGUGGAGUUGGCAAAUCCAAAGCAUGAUUUUGCAGCCUAUAAACAAGCUGAUGGUGCAGGGUAUCUAUUUUAACUGAGGUGAUUUGUUCAGCUCCUUGAAGCUGGAUCUGAACUUUUAAAGUGGUAGCUAGGUUGGAAUCAAGAAGUGAAAGAUUAAAAUUGGGAUAAAAGGUAAGCAAAGUACUUCAGGCAUGGAGGGUGGUUAGGACUGUGCCAAUGAUGGCAUGCUGAUAUUGCUUAAACCUGGUGUCAAGUAAACCAAUUCUGGCUGUGACAGGUAAGCUUUUUCUCCUAUGAAGAGUGAGAAUAAGACAAAAACCUCCAAGGUGAAGAUGUGUAUAGCCUUCACGUUUCCAUGUAGAGAUCAAUUCUGAGGGGAUUUCAAGAGUGACAUAUUGUUCAAUAUGACUGGAUAUAUAUCCUUUAGAUGGGGUCGUUUGGUGGAAAUCAGGGUUUUAAUACUUCUAGUAAAGGAAGGUUUUUUAUACAAGUGAUAAGGACUGAUGAGAGGUAAAGAGGAUUCAUUAAUUUGAACAGAUUCAGGAACAUAGGAGUAUUCAACAAGAUUUUCUAUUUUACUAGCUAUUUGUUUAGUACAGGAUUUAGGUAAAGAAAGAGUAACUGGAGAAGAUGACGAAGCAGGAGUAGCUGAGGAUGAUGAUAAAGCCAUGAGAUUAAGAUUUUCUAUUAUUUAAAGCUUUAAUUCCUAGGUGGUUAAACUCUUAUAACCUAUACCAACAUCUGAGAAUUUUGUGCAUGGCUCUGAUACCGACUUGGGCCGGGCCUAACUCAACCCCAAAAGAGCUCUCAAAGGGUGAUGACUGCCCAGCGCUUAUAAGCGACCAGGAGCUUUGGCUUGCCAGCGAUGUGGGAUAAGAGCUUAUCAUUCACUCUACCCUCACCCUCGGGCCUUGGCUCUGUGUUCCAGGUUGUUCUCAUCCAGAAAGAAUCUUUAAAAAAGACAAGGACCCUGAUCGUGACCCUAACGAGACCAAAUCAUCAUCUAAGGAUGGAACCAUAUCUCUUUAAGAGAUUUGUCACUUUGUAAUAAUGUAAAUAAAGUACUUUAUGCUUUAGCUUUUUAAAGUUGUUUGUCCUUAUGUAAUCAUGAGGACGAAAUGUUGUUUGAAACAUUUCGAAAGAGUAGAAGUUUUGGAUGCAACACUUGCCUUUUAGAACUUACGGACUACUGGUCCUAAGGAUAGUAUAGCACUAUCAUAGUUCAUGUGUAACAAUGCCACGUACCUGUAUUCACCCAGUGGUAUCAGAGCCAAGCGACUAUUUUCUAGAGGUGGUAUCAUGGUUUAGUACUCAAGUAUUUAUUCAACACCUAGAAGAAACUCUAUCAAAUAUGGCACAAAAGUUUUAGUAAAAUCAGGUAAAGCAAGUAAUGGUGCAGAAACCAAUUUCUCCUUAAUUAGAUAAAAUGCCCUUUCUUGUUCACUACCCCAUUUAAAUCCCACAUGUUUCUUCACAAUUUGAGUUAAUGGUGCAGCAAGGGUGCUAAAAUCUUUCACAAAUCUUCUAUAAAAACUAGCCAAACCAUGAAAACUUCUUACCUCACUUACACUUUUAGGUGUAGGCCACUCUUUAAUAGCCUUUACCUUCUCUUCAUCAACCUCAAUUCCUUUAGCACUUACAACAUAACCAAGAAAAACAACCUGAUUUGUACAAAAGGAACACUUCUUCAAAUUAGCAUACAACUUUUCCUUCCUUAAAACAGUCAAUACACUUUGCAAAUGUUCAAUGUGUUCAUCUAAGCCUUUGCUAUAGAUCAAAAUAUCAUCAAAAUAGACAACUACGAAUUUACCAAUAAAAGCACGCAAAACAUGGUUCAUUAACCUCAUAAAAGUGAUAGGUGCAUUAGAUAACCCAAAUGGCAUCACUAACCACUCAUAUAAACCAUAGUUUGUUUUUAAAGGCAGUUUUCCACUCAUCUCCCUCUCUAAUCCUAAUUUGAUGAUAUCCACUUUUAAGAUCAAUUUUACUAAACACACAAGAACCAUGCAAUUCAUCAAGCAUGUCGUCAAGUCUAGGAAUAGGGUGUCGAUGCUUUAUAGUGAUUUUAUUAAUUGCACCACAGUCAACGCACAUCCUCCAUGUUCCAUCCUUUUUGGGAACUAGUAAAACUGGUACCGCACAUGGACUCAUGCUCUCCCUCACAUAUCCUUUUGCCAAGAGUUCUUCAACUUGCCUUUGAAGCUCCUUUGUCUCCUCGGGGUUACUUCUAUAUGUAGGUCUAUUAGGAAUGGUAGCUCCAGGGACGAAGUCUAUUUGAUGCUCAAUUCCCCUAAUAGGUGGCAAACCGUUAGGGACUUCAUUUGGAAACACAUCAUCAAAGUCCUGCAAAAGAGUCACAAUAGCACUAGGCAAAGAAAACUUAAUGCUAGCCUACUAUAAUUAAUGCUAUCAUUGACAAAUCUAAUGUUAGCCCACCAUCAUUGAUGGUAGAAUUACCUUACACAUUGACAAACUUGAAACAAAACAAACAAAUGAAGUUGAAAAACAAAGGAGUCGUUGAAAAUCCCAAGUCUGAACAAGCUGUAAUGAAUUGGUCAUAACUCCUUCUAGAGAACCCCAAAUCCAGCUCUGUAAAAUUUAUUGGAAAGCUAACUUAAUUAUCUUUCCAACGGUAUAUAGCUUACACAUUACUUCUACCUCAAUCAAUACAUUUUUUAUUCCGAAUUUGACCUUUCUGCAUUUGAUACAAAUUGUGCAUUUGGCUGCCCAAUAACUUGAAUGAUGCCCACAAUGCCUUGUCUUCUCUUCAAGCCCAAUUCAUGAUGUCUUGCAUCUUGAAUUGUAUUUUCAAUCCAUAUUUUCUCAAUUAAUCCAUUUAAAGCAGCUUGCAUCUUUUUGGCUCUUGCUCUUGUAAUUAGGCCUCCAUGAAUGUGCAAAGGAUCACUUGAACUUUUAAUGGUAUUCCCUUGAUGGUUCUCAUCAGACAUUUUGCCUGCAAUUGCCCUAAUAAGUCAGCUAAGUCUGUUCGUCUCAUUCAGCAUCUACAGCAUUCCUCUAUUCUUUCUGAUAAUGAAGACGUUGAAUCCAUCUUCUCCGAAUAGUCCGAGCAAGAUGAGCAUACAGCUUUCAUUCUUGUUGAUCCGAUAGACUCUGACCCAGAUGACAUUUCUGUAAUCUCCACUAUUCAAGAAAUGAACCACAUUCGUCCCAAACUUCUUGGUCCAUCAGUAAAAGUUUCAGUCAUCUCUUCUCAAUUCCAUAAACUUGUCUCAGUCAUCAGUUUCCUUGAUACUGGCGCACAGCACAGUAUGCUUAAUCCCAGAAUCCUUCCUCUGGAUUAUUGGGAAAACCACACUGAAUACUUCAGAGCUGCAAAUGGAAAAGUUUUUGAAACAUCUCUUAUUACCAAAAAACCCAUUGGUAUCCAGUUCUUUGCCAACUAUAUCAUUUGGCAAAAGAUUGUUGGUUCAGAUUUACCAGACAAAGAUCUCCUUAUCGGAUUUGAUAUACUUCAACUGGUAAAAAACCUUUUCAUUACACCAAUAGGCAUUAAAUUCAAACCAAUGUUCAUGCCUUAUACAGAUGUCCUCCAUCUGUAUACAAUGUUAGAUACAACUCCUCCUUAUACCUCUAUUUCCCAAAAGUUCCUAGAACUCUGUCCUGAAAAUCACUCCCAUUUCACUCACCCACCACAACUCUGGAAAAAUCCACAGUUUUUCAUCCAUCUUCCUUUCAAACUUAAUGAAGAUGUCAAUCCUACCAAAGCCACUCAUCCGGGCAUGCCUCCCCCUGAUCUCAUUCUCGCCAAGCAAGAAUGCCUUCAAUUGCUUCGGCAAGGUCUCAUAGAACCUACUACUUCAGAUUGGGCUUGUCAAACUUUCUAUGUUGAAAAACGAUAUGAAUUAGUUUGUCGAAAAAAGAGAUUAGUCAUUGAUUACCAGCCACUCAAUGCUUUCCUUAAAGAUGAUAAAUUUCCUCUCCCCAAGAUCCAGUCCCUAUUCAUUCAUCUUCAAGGUGCAAAGGUAUUUUCAAAGUUUGAUCUCAAAGCUAGUUUUUGACAACUUGGUAUUUCCCCAGAAGAUCGUCCCAAAACAGCCUUCUGUAUCCCUGAUGCUCAUUAUCAGUGGACAGUUCUACCCUUCAGUCUCAAAGUUGCUCCAUCCUUAUUUCAAAAAGCAAUCGUUAAGAUCUUUUCUCCAAUCCUCCAUCAUGCUUUGAUCUAUAUUGACGACAUCCUGUUGUUUUCCCAUGACCACCAAACACAUCAACAACUCCGUUCAGAUUUCCUAGAAAUCGUGCAGACACAUGGCAUCAUGCUUUCUGAAAAGAAAAGCAGCAUAAGAAAGGAAUCUAUUGACUUUCUUGGCAUGGUCUUAAAAGAUGGUCACUACCAUCUAGGACCACACAUCGCAGCAGAAUUAAUAAAGUUUCCUAACAUCGAUCUCACCAAAAGGCAAAUUCAACAGUUCCUUGGAAUUGUCAAUUAUGUCAGAGACUUUAUUCCCAAAGUUACGGUCCAUACCAGCUAGCUAUCCUGCAUGCUAAAAAAGAUAGCUCAGACAGAUGCUGUAAAGCAACUAAAAAAGAUAGCCCAGUCACCUAAUCCACUCAAAAUUCCCACUACCGGACAACUCAUUCUCCAGACAUAUGCUAGUGAUGACUUUUGGAGUGAUAUCCUCCUGGAAAAGAUCGGUGACUCCGAGUCCUAUUGCGCUCAUGCAAGUGGACAAUUCAAAGAUUCAGAAAAGAAUUACCACGUCAUUUACAAGGAAAUUCUUACGGUAAAAUAUGAAAUCAAAAAGUUUGAAUUUCAUCUCAUCAGCCACAAAUUCCUCAUCAGAAUGGACAACAGUUCUUUUCCAAAGAUCUUUAACUUCAAGAACAAAUUGCUUCCUGACAAGCAAUUGCUGAACUUAAAGACAUGAUUUGCAAAAUACGAAUACACAGUUCAACACAUCAAAGGUGAUAAAAAUCUUAUCCCUGAUUUCCUCACCCGACCAUCUAUAAAAAGCCAUGUUCUCAUCUCUUCUAUCCAAACCAUCCCACUUAUAGCCAUGUAUCGAACACUCCCCUUCAAAGCUUUCACUCAAAAAGCUUUCCCUCUAAACCUCACUUUUAGUUCAGCCUUCCAAAUCUAAAGCUUUGCAAAGAAGCUCAUUUAUAGGUAUUUCAUGAAUGUUCACAGAACCAAACCCGAAAUGUUUCCCUCUCUAUGCCCAAAACACUUGUUCCUCUCUGGUUUCACCAUUGUUCCCCGUCUCACCAUCUCUAAAGAUGAGUUAUGGUAUAUGUGGUGUCUCACAGUCCUGUUUGCUAUAAAACUUGUUCUUCCUAUCUGCCAUACCCUUCGGCAUAUCUCCACACCCUAACAUGCACCCACACUUCUCUGGACACUCCUCGAAUGGUUUUCACCACUCACUUGGUGGCGUAAACAAUUACAAAAUAUAUCUAACUUUCAUCAGUUAGAUCGAAUUCCAGAUCAAGAAGUAGAUAUGUUUACUUCGGUAUUCAUAGUCCACAUGCCAUAUUUCCAGCAUCCUUAGAAAAAAGACUACUGGACACAGGACAUGGCGUAUGAAUGGAAAACAUUCCCUCAUCCUUUCCCUCUUGACCAUGAUCCAACAAUCAUCUCCACCCUCAAAGCUUACUUGUUAGAGCUCAACAAUAUCCCACCUGCUCCAACAGACAUUCACCACACCUCCAUUGGUCCUUCUCACACUCUUGAGAUUCUGCCAGACACUCAAAUAUGUACUCCAAGUUCCAGUUCCAGUCCUCAUGGCAUUCUUGUUCGAGAACAACGACCUGAUUACACCAAUGCUCUCUUUCAAGACACUCAAGACCCUUGGGCAGACUUUCAGUCUUUAUUAUAAACCCAAGAGACUCAGUACACAGUCACUGAACCAGGCUCUUCGUCUACUCUAGCUCAAGCUCAACGACCAGCAAGCCCCGAAUUAGAUGAAGACAUCCUGAUUUACCAAGAAAUCCAAAGAGCAAAGGAAGAAUAUGAAAAUGAAACUGGUGACGUGCCCCCAUCCAGAUUUCCCUUAACUCUAUAAUCGCCUCACAUGGCUACAGAGUCAUCUGGAAACCUCAGCUUUUCCUGAUUUCAAUAAAAGACAUGGGUCCUACCUUGAUUUAAUUAUGGUUUGCUUAAAGAAAAGAUAAGGAUCAUGUCCUAUCUUUAUCUUUAUUUUUAUUUUAACUUUCCAGCUCUAUUUAAGAGCUCUUCCGUCCUUGUAAAAUUCAGAUUGCCAUCAAUAAUAUUUCUAAGUUUUCUUAAACUUCUAUGGCUUUCUAAGUCUCUCUUCUUCUUCUUCUAGGUAAUGAAGAAAAUACUUGAGUUAUUAAACUAAGAGCGUUCAUCUCUAUUUUCUAUACUGUGUAUCAGAAAAGUCCUGAUUUAUUUAUAAAACCAAUUUAAAAUAAAACUGUUUUCUCACAACAUUCACCCUCUUUGAAGGUCAGAGGUGACCAGUUUUCGGGUGGUAUCGUGAUCAAUGAUUUUUGCUUUUUUAGGUUUUAUAUCUCAAGUACUAUAGGUAUAUCAGCUGGAAACCAGAACUUGCGGACUACUGGUCCUAAGGAUAGUCUAGCACUAUCAUAGUUCAGGUGUAACAACGCCAUGUACCUGUAUUUGGGUAGAAGGUUAACAAGACACUGCCAACAUGGAGUGUGGUUAGAACAGUGCCAAUAACAGCAUGUUGAUACUGUUUGAACCUUGUAUCAAGGAGGGCAAUUCUUGCUGCGACAGGUAAGCCUUUUCAGCCAUGUAAGGUGAGGAUAAGCCAGACACCACCUAAAUGGAGGUGUGUAUAUCCUUCUCGUUUCCAGUUAGUUACGAGAUUUGUUGGAAUUUCCAUGGUGACAUAUUGUUCACUUUGAUAGGCUUGGAGAGCACACUAAUCAAGUCGUGAAGACUGGAUGUACUCUUUAGGAAGAGGCCUUUUUGUGGAGAUCAGGGUUUGGAUACUUCAAGUGAAGGAAGUUUUUUGUUUGUAAAGAUGGUAUGGACUCAUAACAGGGAACUGGGACUCAUUAAUCUGGGUAGAUUCAGGAAUAUACGAGUAUUCAACAAGAUUUUCUAUUUUGGAUGCGACAUGUUUUUUACAAGAAUGAGGUAAAGAAAGAGUAGAAGAGAGAGAAAUAUGAGAGGAUUUUGAUGAAGUUAUGUUGGAUGAAGAAGAUGCCAUAUUUGAUAGAGUUUCUUCUAGGUGUUAAAUAAUAAUACUUGAGAACUAAACCAUGAUACCACCUCUAGAAAAUAGUCGCUUGGCUCUGAUACCACUGGGUGAACACAGGUACGUGGCAUUGUUACACAUGAACUAUGAUAGCGCCAGCCUAUCCUUAGGACCAAUAGUCCGUAAGUUCUAGUUUCCAGCCGAUAUACCUAUAGUACCUGAGAUAUAAAACCUAAAGAACCAAAAACCAUUGAUCACGAUACCACCUGAAAACAGGUCACCUCUGACCUUCAAAGAGGGUGAACGUUGUGAGAAAACAAUUUUAUUUUAAUAAAUCAGGACUUUUCUGGUACAAAGGAUCCUUGAAGCAAGGCAAGUGUAGAGCAUACUCAGUAUAGAAAAUAGAGAUGAACGCUAUUAGUUUAAUAACCAACUCAAGUAUUUUCUUCAUUACCUAGAAGAAGAAAAGAGACUUAGAAAGCCAUAGAAGUUUAAGAAAACUUAGAAAUAUAAUUGAUGGCAAUUUGAAUUUUACAAGGACGGAAGAGCUCUUAAAUAGAGCUGGAAAGCUAAAAUAAAGACAAAGAUAAAGAUAAGACAGGACCUUUAUCUUUUCUUUAAGCAAACCAUAAUUAAAGCAAAAGCAAAAGCAUAAAAGCUAAAACACACUUUAGACAAGGUAGGACCCAUGUCUUUUAUUAAAAGCAGGAAAAGUCGAGAUUUCUGGAUGACUCUGUAGCCAUGUGAGGCGAUUAUGGAGUUGAGGGAAAUCUGGAUGGGGACACGUCACGGGUUUCAUUUUCAUAAUCUUCUUUUGCUCUUUGGAUUUCUUGGUAAAUCAGGAUGUCUUCAUCUAAUUCGGGGCUUGCUGGUCAUUGAGCUUGAGCUGGAGCAGACAAAGAGCCUGGUUCAGUGACUGUGUACUGAGUCUCUUGGGUUUGUAAUAAAGACUGAAAGUCUGCCCAAGGGUCUUGAGCGUCUUGAAAGAGAACAUUGGUGUAGUCAGGUCGUUGUUCUCGAACAAGAAUCCCAUGAGGACUGGAACUGGAACUUGGAGUACAUAUUUAAGUGCCUGGCAAAAUCUCAAGAGUGUGAGAAGGACCAAUGGAGGUGUGGUGAAUGUCUGUUGGAGCAGGUGGGAUAUUGUUGAGCUCUAACAAGUAAGCUUUGAGGGUGGAGAUGAUUGUUGGAUCAUGGUCAAGAGGGACAGGAUGAGGGAAUGUUUUCCAUUUAUACGCCAUAUCUUGUGUCCAGUAGUCUUUUGUUUGAGGAUGGUGGAAAUAUGGCCUGUGGACUAUGAAUAUCGAAGUAAACAUAUCUGCUUCUUGAUCUGGAAUUUGAUCUAACUGAUGAAAGUUAGAUAUAUUUUGUAAUUGUUUACGCCACCAAGUGAGUGGUGAAAACCAUUCGAGGAGUGUCCAGAGAAGUGUGGGCGCAUGUUCAGGUGUGGAGAUAUGCCGAAGGGUAUGGCGGACAUGAAGAACAAGUUUUGUAGCAAACAGGACUGUAAGACACCACAUAUACCAUAACUCAUCUUCAGAGAUGGUGAGACUGGGAACAAUGGUGAAACCAAAGAGGAACAGGUGUUCUGGGCAUAGAGAGGGAAACCUUUCUGGUUUGGUUCUGUGAACAUUCAUGAAAUACCUAUAAAGGAACUUCUUUGCAAAGCUUUGGAUGUGGAAGGCUGAACUAAAAGUGAGGUUUAGAGGGAAAGCUUUUUGAGUGAGAGCUUUGAAGGGGAGUGUUCGAUACAUGGCUAUGAUUGGGAUGGUUUGGAUAGAAGAGAUGAGAACAAGGCUUUUUAUAGAUGGUCGGGUACGAAAAUCAGGGAUAAGAUUUUUAUCACCUUUGAUGUGUUGGAUUGUGUAGUCGUAUUUUGCAAACCAUGUCUUUAAGUUCAGCAAUUGCUUGUCAGGAAGCAAUUUGCUCUUGAAGUCAAAGAUCUUUGGAAAAGAACUAUUGUCCAUUUUGAUGAGGAAUUUGUGGUUGAUGAGAUGAAAUUCAAACUUUUUGAUUCCAUAUUUUACCGCAAGAAUUUCCUUGUAAAUGACGUGGUAAUUCUUUUUUGAAUCUUUGAACUGUCCACUUCUAUGAGCGCAAUAGGACUUUGAGUCAUCGAUUUUUUCCAGGAGGAUAGUACUCCAAAAGUCAUCACUAGCAUCUGUCUGGAGAAUACGUUGUUCGGUAGUGGGAAUUUUGAGUGGAGGAGGUGACUGGGCUAUCUUUUUGAGUUGCUUUACAGCAUUUGUCUGAGCUGGACCACAUGGUGGAGCUGUCUUUUUGAGCAUGCAGGAUAGCUGGCUGGUAUAGACCACAACUUUAGGAAUAAAGUCUCUCACACAAUUGAUAAUUCCAAGGAACUGUUGAAUUUGCCUUUUGGUAAGAUCAAUGUCAGGAAACUUUAAAAAUUCUGCUGCAAUGUGUGGUCCUGGAUGGUAGUGGCCAUCUUUUAAGAGCAUGCCAAGAAAGUCAAUAGAUUCCUUUCCUAUGCUACUUUUCUUUUCAGAAAGCAUGUUGCCAUGUGUCUGCACGAUUUCCAGGAAAUCUGAAAGGAGUUCUUGAUGUGUUUGGUGGUCAUGGGAAAACAACAGGAUGUCGUCAAUGUAGAUCAAAGCAUGAUGGAGGAUCGGAGAAAAGAUCUUAACCAUUGCUUUUUGAAAUAAUGAUUAAGCAACUUUGAGACCGAAGGGUAGAACUGUCCACUGAUAAUGAGCAUCAGGCAUACAGAAGGCUGUUUUGGGACGAUCUUCUGGGGAAAUACCAAGUUGCCAAAAACUAGCUUUGAUAUCAAACUUUGAAAAUACCUUUGCACCUUGAAGAUGAAUGAAUAGGGAUUGGAUCUUGGGGAGAGGAAAUUUAUCAUCUUUANNNNNNNNNNNNNNNNNNNNNNNNNNNNNNNNNNNNNNNNNNNNNNNNNNNNNNNNNNNNNNNNNNNNNNNNNNNNNNNNNNNNNNNNNNNNNNNNNNNNGAGGAGCUGUAUCUGACAACGUAUACAGACGGAGGACAUCUGUAUAAGUCAUGAACAUUUGUUUGAAUUUAAUGUCUGUUGGUGUAAUGAUGAGGUUUUUUACCAGUUGAAAUAUAUCAAAUUCGAUAAGGAGAUCUUUGUCUGGUAAAUCUGAACCAACAAUCUUUUGCCAAAUGAUACACUUGGGAAAUAACUGGAUACCAAUAGGUUUUUUUGGUAAUAAGAGAUGUUUCAAAAACUUUUCCAUUUGCAGCUUUGAAGUAUUCAGUGUGGUUUUCCUAAUAAUCCAGAGGAAGAAUUCUGGGAUUGAGCAUACUGCGCUGUGCGCCAGUAUCAAGGAAACCAAUGACUGAGACAGGUUUAUGGAAUUAAGAAGGGAUGACUGAAAUUUUUACUGAUGGACCAGGAAGUUUGGGACGAAUGUGGUUCAUUUCCUGAAUAGUGGAGAUGACAGAAAUGUCGUCUGGAUCAGAGUCUGUCGAAUGAGCAAGAAUGAAAGCUGUAUGCUCAUCUUGCUCGGACUGUUCGGAGAAGAUGGAUUCAACGCCUUCUUAUCAAGGCAUAACAUUCUGAGAUUGUGCAUUGGGACUAGUCAUUUGUACAUCAACCCAAGUAGCAAAUUCUUGAUGUUGAGCCUGCCAUUUAUGACGAGGGAUGUCAUCAAAUGUAAACCAUGGAGAAGAGAUAGUUUGGAAGAUUUUUCAGAAACCGGAGGAACUGGUGGAACCGGUUCUGUUUGAGAGCCUUGGACAUCAUCAUUAUUAUCAUCAAAAUAUUCAUCGACAACAGGAGUGGAGGUACUAGGAUCUUCUGUUUUUUUGGCCAUGAGGAGACCUGAAAUAUCCGCAUAUUGAGACUCUGAAUCUGAAGAAGUUUGUUCAGAUGGGCUGGAAUCUGAGGAAGAUAAACUUUCUUCUGAGGUUGAAUCGAAGUCAUUGUUGGGAGUGUCAAUCUGUUGAUAAUGGUAUUGGGAAGCUGGAGCUUUAUCUUUCUUUGGAGGUUCAGGUUUAGGAGUUGCUUUAGGAGUUUUUGGUGGUGGCACGGGAGGAAUAUUAUAGAGAUGGGAGAGACCAAAAAACUGAUUAUAGGUUGACUGUUUAGGAGUGUAAAAUGGCUGGUAUGAAGUGAAUAGUGGUGCUGGGAUAGGUAUGGACUGGGUUUUGGUGAAAAGAGAAGGUUGUACUUUGUCAGCAUCAAUUCUAGCCAAUUCUGGCUUUAGCUGUAUGAUCUCUACUUCUUUUUUAUUGAAUUUGGGACCCCAAAUACGAUUGUUGAUCAUCGUUCUAAGAUCAAUAUCCAAUUCAGAGAUUCUGUUAUGCAUAUUUGAAUAAAUUUGUUCAAGCCGGGAAAUAAUAGUGUCCACCUUUGUUAUGUUUGUGACACAUGUGAUGCCACUUUAUCAAUCUUUUUUCCAAGAUGAUGGAGAGCUUGAUUUUGAGCACUGGCAUUUUGCGUUUGCCAGUUAAGCACUGCCUCAUACUGCUUUAGUGCUUCUAGUGUGCCAGAGGUUGUGAUUGGUGAUUGGACAUGGGGUUGAGAAACAACUUUGGUUUAAGGGUCGGUGUUCCGUUCAAGUGGAGGAAAAAAUUCUUGGUAUGAUUGGCUAGAAGAUGAGAACAUCAAGCAUGACUUGAUUUUUGGUUGAGCAGGAACAAGCUUAUAUGAGGAUUCUCGUUGGAGUUGCUUGAGUGAUUUCUUGUAAAUGGGUAAUGGUUGGUCAGAUCCUGGAUCAUCUGGAGGUUCUAGGCGAUAGGGUCGGCAUGGUGGUUUGGGAGGAGGAGGUUUUUCUUUCUCCUUCUCCGUCUUAUGUUUUCAAAGUCUUCAUCAUCUGUGUCAUCCAGGCAGGGACAAUAUGGAUUACACAUAUGGGCUUCUGGAACAACCCAUAAGAAAUGAUCGUUGACUUUGUCCGGGUAUACUGGAUAUCCUUCUGAGGAAAAUCUAUAGAUUGGAAGAUUUGGCUCUUGUCCAGUAGAGGUGAAUUGGUAGACAUACAUGAAAAUGCAGGUGAUAUUACUAAACUUCAUGCUAAGUAUAGAACGAAACAAAUAGGAAUCGAAAUCUUAGUAGUUAAUGAUAGACUAAUGGUGUUGAGAGCUGUGAUGAUGAUUCUAAAAUCUUGUUCAGUUUAUUUCUUCUAACAAUCAUUUUAUGUCCCACAAGUACCACUUACAUUAAUGCGAUGUAUUUCCAUGCCCUGAAAAAUGUACAGUCCAUUACGAAAAAAAUGGAUUAUAUGUGCUUUAACUUUCACAUGCACCAACCUUCACCACAUACCAACCUUUCUAUACACCCUCUACCUCUAGGCAACCUAUAGACUAUGCCAAAUUCUUUGGCCUAUCGCAUCUCAAACAUGCUCCAACUCCUGCUCCUCCUAAACCACGGUCUAAACCUACUAAGACUGCACCACGUCCAGCUUACCACCAACCUUCUGAUCCACAAUUUUCUCCACAAUCAUCUCCAGAACCUCAAUCUAUUCAGAAGAACAAAGAACCUAUGCAUCAAUACUCAUCCCAGAUCCUGCCUCACCCUUCAGAAUCAGAAGAAACCUCCACUGAUGAGGAAUCCUUUUCUUCAGAAUCCUAUUCUUCUUCCUCCAACUUUGAAAAUAGCUUAGCUGAUAUCUAUAAGCUUCUGAUGGUCCAACCAUCAACUGGGUCCAAUGAUCCUUCUCCCUCCUCACCUUCUCAAACACCUAUAGUUGAGGAAGCAGAUUCUGACACCAAUCCUACACCUCAUCACGAAAAUUCUUCUUCUAAACCUUCCAAUGGCCCAUGGUUUACUUUUGAUGACAUUCCAAGAAAAAAAUGGCUAGCCAGGUUUCAAGAAUUUUCUGCCUGGAUUGAUGUUCAGAUGCUUAGAACUGGAGCAACGCCCCAAACCGUCCUUCAGGAGUUCAGUUCUCGUUUUAUGGGAUCUUUAAGAGAUUGGUUUGAAAGUUUAGGCCAAUAUAGGCAACUCCAGUUAAUCCAACCUGAAAUCCUCCAAGUUCUUGGGCUUAUAUAUGACCAGUUCCUUAGAGAAGCCACAACGGCUAAUGAACAAACAAGAAGAGAAUAUCAUUAAAUGAAGUGUUGUUUUCUCCAGACAAAAGAUUUGAAUUUUCACUAUAAGAGAAUGUCUACAAUGUAUUACAAACUCAAUGACUUUAAAAAUCCUUCAUUGAAGCAUGUCUUCGUAACAUUUCUUCCUAAAGAAAUACAGCCAGAACUUCAGAGGCAGUUUCACAGUCCAUCAGUUGGACAUAACCAACCUCGCUUUGGGAAAAAUCUACCAGUUAGCAGUUAAUUGUCUGGAAAGACUUUGUGAACAGAAGGAAUUCUUCAAAUACCCUCAUGGAAACAGCAGCCUUUCAAAGUGCUUGUAAAAUAUUCCAUAUUUCCAUUAAGUACAAAGAAGAAAAAAGAUUGCACUUGUUCAAUAAAAAAGAAUCUCAUUUCUAGAAAUUUCAGAAUCCAGAAAAGAAAAGUCAAACCUCUUCCAGAUCUAGAUACAAAAAACCUUACCGAUUCUUCAGAAAAAAUAACCAUGACCAAUCCUCUAAAUCCAAAAGUAGUCGUUGUUUUAUCUAUAAAAGGAAAGGGCAUUUCGCGAGAAAUUGUCCAAAUAGACCUGCAACAUCAUCAGAACGUGAUGAUGUUGAAUCCUUUCUCUCUGAAUAAGAAGAAUAUGAUGAACAAACAGCAUUUGUCCUUAUUGAAACAGAAGAUCAUUCUGAGUUUGAGAAUGUUUCUGUAAUUCAAACUAUACAAUAAAUCCAGAAAGUCCAACCAGCCAUUCAUAUCCCUUCUAUCAAGAUCCAUAUUCUCCCCGAAAAAUUUGGCAAACCAGUUCCCAUCAUAGGAUUUGUUGAUACUGGAGCUCAAAAAAGUAUGCUUAAUCCUUUAAUUUUCCCAUCCCAUUUCUGGGAAAAACAUACAGAAUAUUUCAGAGCAGCUAAUGGAGAACUGUUUCAUACAAAUCUUAUUACCAAAAAAUCCAUUGGUAUUUAAUUCUUUCUAGGAUAUGUUCUUUGGAUAAAACUUGUUGAAUCCAACCUUCCUGACAAAGAUUUGUUAAUUAGGUUUGAUAUUCUUUACCUGGUUAAAAAGCUUUAUAUCACAGCUUCUAGAAUCUAUUAUAAACAUAUGUUUCAACCUUAUACGGAUACCCUGAGAUUGUUCUCUAUCUCAAGCUCUCAUCCUUCAUUUGAUCCUCUCAAAUCACGUUUUCUUCUUCAUUGUCCAGAAAGUCAUAGUCAAUUCCUUCAUUCGGCCCCUCUAUGGAAAAAUGAAAGCUUCUUCAUUAAGCUCCCUUUCAAGCUUAACGAAGACGUUAACCCAACCAAAGCUACCCAUCCAAGAAUGACCCCGACCAACCUGAAACUAGCCCAAGAAGAAUGUUCUCAGUUGCUAAAAUAAGGCCUCAUUGAGCCCACAGGUUCAGAAUGGGCUUGUCAAGCUUUUUAUGAAAAAGGUCUGAAAUAGUUAGAGGAAAAAAAUGUCUUGUCACUGAUUACCAGCCUCUCAACUAUUUUCUUAGAGACGAUAAGUUCCCCUUGCCAAAAAUCCAAUCCUUAUUUGUUCAUAUCCAAAAUGCUAAGAUUUUCUCAAAAUUUGACCUUAAAGUAAGUUUCUGGCAAUAAGGAAUCCACCCUGAUGAAGACCUCAAAAAGCUUUUUGCAUUCCAAAUGCCCACUACCAAUGGAGAGUAAUGUCAUUUGGCUUUAAGGUAGCCCCCUCACUUUUCCAAAAGGCCAUGAUCAAGAUCUUUGAACCAAUCCUUCAUUAUGCACUUAUCUAUAUAGACGACGUGUUAUUAUUCUCCAACGAUCAUGAUUCCCAUCAACAAUUACUUUCCCACUUUCUUGAGAUAUUGGAAACAUAUGGCAUAAUGUUGUCUAACAAAAAGAGUAUCUUAGGUCAAGACUCUAUAACCUUUCUCGGCAUGACUCUAAAAGAUGGAUACUAUAGUCCUGGUCCACACAUAGCCUAGGAACUCACUCAUUUUUUAGAUGAACAUUUGUCAAAAAAGCAAAUUCAGCAAUUCCUAGGUAUCAUCAAUUACCUUCGGGAAUUCUUUCCACAUGUAGAUGUUCACACCAGCCAACUUUCAAAGAUGCUCAAAAAAUCAGCCCCACCAUGGGGCCCCCCUUAGGCUACUGUUGUCCAACAUCUCAAGCAGAUUGCUCAGCAUCCUCUUCCAUUGAGAAUCCCCACUGAGGUCAGAGGAUUCUUUAAAUUGAUGCAGGUGAUGAAUACUGGGGAGCCAUCUUUUUGGAAAAACAUGAUGGCAAAGAAUCUUACUGUGCUCACGUCAGUGGACAAUUCAAGGAAUCAGAAAAGCACUACCAUGUGAUCUACAAAGAAAUCUAGCCGUUAAAUAUGGAAUUCAAAAAUUUGAAUUUCAUCUUAUUGGCCAUAAUUUCCUUGUCAUAUUAAUAAGGUCUCCCAAAAAAGCAUCUCCUCCGACUCAAAACAUGGUUCUUAAAAUAUGACUUCACAGUCCAGCACAUAAAAGGAGACCAGAACCUCAUCCCUAAGAGUCUCUUUUGCCUCAGUUCCAGUCAUCUUCAUGGCCCUUACUUUACCCAACACAGCUUUGACAAAAAAGUCCUUCCCUUGCAAUCUCACUUUCUCCAGUCCUUAUCAUAUCCAAGAUUUUGCAAAGAAAUUUAUUUUUUGAUAUUUCAUGAAUAUCUAUCGCACCCAAACAUCCGGAUUUCCAAGCUUUCAUCCAGAUCACCUCUUUCUUACAAGCCUAAAGAUCAAUCCCUCCAGGGAUGUCACAGAAAAUGAAUUGUGGUAUAUAUAGUGUCUUAUCGUCUUAUACGCCACCAAACUAAUCUUUCAUGUACAACCAAUGUUUCGGUAUCUCACCGAUCCAAACUAGGCUCACUCUCUCACAUGGACACUUUUUGAAUGGUUCUCCCCUCUCUCCUGGUGGAGAAAACAAUUUGAUCUCAUAAUCAAGCAUCACCACAUUAAUCUCCUUCCUGAUCAAGAAGGUGAACAGUUCACCUCAGUCUUUAUUGUCCAUCGUCCUUAUUUCUAGCACCCUGUUACCAAGCUCGUUUGGACUCAGGAUCAAGCUUAUGAAUGGAAGAUUGUUCCCCAUAGUUUUCCUCUAGAUCAUGAUCAUAACCUUGUCUCUACCCUAAAACAAUACCUCUUUGAACUAAACAAUGUCCAGUCCUCUCCUAUUGACAUCCAGCACACCUCCCUUGGACCACAACAUGAACUCAUGAUCAUCCCUACCACCAAGUCACCUUCAUCCAGUAAUCCUCCUCCCUCUGGGAUUUUGAUUAAAGAAGAAAAGCCUAAUUUUAUAGAUAUCCUCUUUCAUGAUUCACAAGACCCAUGGGAAGAAUUCACCUCAAUUCUGCAUCCCACUAAAACAUCUCAUGCUCCCUCUACAAGUAUUGUUCUACCGACAAAUUCACCUACCCGACAAUAUUAUGAGAACUUGCCUUGGUGGAAAGAGCCAUUUGCUGAAGUUGACAGUGAUGUUGACAACUUAUCUCCCUCGCACAGUUUUUAAAGAAUUUUGUAAUAAUUGCUUUUGCUUUCGUAAAAGCAAAGUGUUUGCUUUACUUUAUCUUUACUUUAAAGCAUCUUCCAUUUGCUUUGUCUUUAACUUAAAAUCCAAAAAGACAGGGGACCUAUCCUGUCGGGAAUCUUUUGCUUUUGCUUUUGUAAAAGAUGAUAAGGCUUGUUUCGUCCUCUUCCUUUGAAUUUUUCUAUAUAAGGAGAAUUCAUUCUCAGUUGUAAGCACCUCAGAUUUUGGGAAAUAAUAAUUUGAGUUUUCCAAUAUCAUGACUUUCUAAAAAUUCUCUCUUUUCCUUUAUUUCCCUAAGAAGGACAACAGGUUCUCAUAAUAGUUCACUUCAAUCUCUUUAAACGAGUAUGCUUUGUACUCGCCUCUUUGUAGGAUCUUGUGCAUUAGAAAGUUGUUUGGCUUUGAAAUUGAUCCAACCAACCACAGUUCAUCAUGUAUUAUAGCCAAGGAGUGGCUUCACCAUUGGGUGGUAGUGGUUGACCGACUGGUAUUAGAGAGAAACCAGUGACAUAUAUUCUGAUGGUCAUCCCAAAUGGGGACUAGAUCAGUUUGCACUACUGGUAUAACAAGCCACGUACAAUUAUUUUCUAUCUUUGAGCAUAAUGUUUUUUAUUAAAAUGAAGUGGUAAAUAUGAGAUCUGUUUGUCUUGAAUAGGUAAAUAAAGGAAAAUCUGAAACAAAAUGGCAUCUUCAUCAAAUAGUAUAGAUAAUCUUGCUCCUGUUUCUCUUUCUUCAACCCUCUCACUUCCAAAAUCUUGUUCUAAACAUGUGGCUUCAAAAAUAGAAAACAUUGUUGAGUAUUCAUAUGUCCCAACGUUAGCCCAAAUUAGUGAAUCUUCCAUGCCUUUCAUUAGCCCAUAUAGGCUGUAUCAAUGAUCAAAUUCCUUAACCAGAAGUAUUCGAACCCUAAUUUCAACCAAAAGACCUGCUCCUAAAGAAUAUAUCCAGUCAUCUUGACUAGACCAGUGUGCUCUUCAAGCAUUACAGGCAGAACAAUAUGUCACCCUUGAAAUUCCACUAGAGCUUGUGGCCUAGUGGAAAAGAGAAUGAUACACACACCUCUACCUUAGAGGAGUUUGUUUGAUUCUCACCCUUCACGGGAGGAAAGGCUUACCACUGUCACAGCCAGACUGGCUUUAUUAGACACCCGAUUCAAAGAAUACCAGCAUGCAAUCAUAGGAAUAGUCUGACUACUUUACAUGCAGUAAGUGUUCUUUUUACCUUUUAUCCAAAUUUUAACCUCUCACUUGAUGAUCUAAAUCUACCAACUACUCUGAAAGUUUAGAUCCAGAUCCAAGGAGCUGAACAAAUAGUUUCUUCCAAAAUGGCAAGCUUACACCACCAGUUGGUGUACCACCUACAAAAUCAUGCCCUUGACCUUCCCACACCUCAAACCACAUUAGAUGCACUGAUGAUUCUUGCAGAUUCCUCAGAAAGCAUACCUUCCAUAGUCCAAAUUCCAAGACAAAUACAAAAGCAAGAGCUUCUUAAGCUCAUGCCCCUUGAAUAGCUUUCCAAUUAUGAGAAAUUCCAUCAAAACUCCCAGCCAGUCCAAACAACUGAUGCUCAUUUUGAAAAAAGAGCAGAUGGAACUGUAAAAUUGACUUUUCAAUCACCAUCCACUUCCCAGACACCCAUUGUUUCCCAUCCAUCCUCUGAACAAUCAACACCCAGCAACUCUUUUUCAUACUCCUCCAUGAUCACAGCCGUAUCUACGGUACAAGAAAAUCUUCCCAUCCACGAAUCUGCCUCAGAUGACUAUCCGAUCUACCCGGACAAAAUCAAUGGUCAUUUUUUAUGGGAUGUUCCAAGUUCCCGUAUGUGUGAUCCAAAUUGUCCUUGCCUCGAAGAAGAGGAAGACGAUGAUGAUUUCAAUAGACGUCCCAAGCGACGUAAAAAGAACAGCCACAAAUUGGAUCCAUGUCACAAAAAACCUCCUCUGCCUCCAGAUGCCUUUACCCAUUUAUAGAAAAGGCUUAAGGCUUAUACAAAAAGAGUAUAAAGAAAGAUCAUAGACNNNNNNNNNNNNNNNNNNNNNNNNNNNNNNNNNNNNNNNNNNNNNNNNNNNNNNNNNNNNNNNNNNNNNNNNNNNNNNNNNNNNNNNNNNNNNNNNNNNNNNNNNNNNNNNNNNNNNNNNNNNNNNNNNNNNNNNNNNNNNNNNNNNNNNNNNNNNNNNNNNNNNNNNNNNNNNNNNNNNNNNNNNNNNNNNNNNNNNNNNNNNNNNNNNNNNNNNNNNNNNNNNNNNNNNNNNNNNNNNNNNNNNNNNNNNNNNNNNNNNNNNNNNNNNNNNNNNNNNNNNNNNNNNNNNNNNNNNNNNNNNNNNNNNNNNNNNNNNNNNNNNNNNNNNNNNNNNNNNNNNNNNNNNNNNNNNNNNNNNNNNNNNNNNNNNNNNNNNNNAUUACGUACACCCAGACAAUCUUAGAGACCACCAACCUUCUGAUUCAUAAUUUUCUCCACAGUCAUCUCCAAAACCUCAAUCUAUUCAAAAGAACAAAGAGCCUAUGCAUCAAUCCUCAUCCCAGAUCCUGCCUCACCCUUCAGAAUCAGAAGAAACCUCCACUGAUGAGGAAUUCUUUUCUUCAGAAUCCUAUUCUUCUUCCUCCAACUCUGAAAAUAGCUUAGCUGGUAUCUCUAAGCUUCUGAUGGUCCAACCAUCAACUUGGUCCAAUCAUCCUUCUCCCUCCUCACCUCCUCAAACACUUAUAGUUGAGGAAGCAGAUUCUGAUACCAAUCCUACACCCCAUCAAGAAAAGUUUUUUUCUAAACCUUCCAAUGGCCCAUGGUUUACUUUUGAUGACAUUCCAAGAAAAAAAUGGCCAACCAGGUUUCAAGAAUUUUCUACUUGGAUUGAUGUUCAGAUGCUCAGAACUGGAGCAACGCCCCAAACAAUUCUUAAGGAGUUCAGUUCUCGUUUUACGAGAUCUUUAAGAGAUUGGUUUGAAAGUCUAGUGGGAAAGUAAUUGGUGAUGGGAAUCAUGAUCGUUGGAGAAUAAUAGCACAUCAUCUAUAUAGAUAAGUGCAUGAUGAAGGAUUGGUUCAUGACCUUUUGGAAAAGUGAGGAGGCUACCUUAAGGCCAAAUGGCAUUACUCUCCAUUGGUAGUGGGCAUUUGGAAUGCAAAAAACUGUUUUAGGUUUGUCAUCAGGGUGGAUUCCUAAUUGCCUGAAACUUGCUUUAAGGUCAAAUUUUGAGAAAACCUUAGCAUUUUGGAUAUGAACAAAUAAGGAUUGGAUUUUUGGAAAGGUGAACUUAUCGUCUCUAAGAAAACAGUUGAGAGGCUGGUAAUCAAUGACAAGACGUUUUUUUCCUCUAACUAUUUUAGACAUUUUUUCCACAUAAAAAGCUUGAAAAGCCCAUUCUGAACUUGUGGGCUCAAUGAGGCCAUGUUUUAGCAACUGAGAACAUUCUUCUUCGGCUAGUUUCAGGUCGGUCGGGGUCAUUCCUGGAUGGGUAGCUUUAGUUGGGUUAAUGUCUUUGUUAAGCUUGAAAGGGAGCUUAAUAAAGAAGCUUUCAUUUUUCCAUAGAGGGGCCGGAUGAAGGAAUUGACUAUGACUUUCUGGACAGUGAAGAAGAAAACGUGAUUUGAGAGGAUCAUAUGAAGGAGGAGAGCUUGAGAUAGAGAACAAUCUCAGGGUAUCCGUAUAAGGUUGAAACAUCUAUUUAUAACAGAUUCCAAAAGCUGUGAUAUGGAGCUUUUUAACCAGGUGAAGAAUAUCAAACUCGAUUAACAGAUCUAUGUGAGGAAGGUUGGAUCCAACAAGUUUUAUCCAAAGAACACAUCCUAAAAAGAAUUGAAUACUAAUGGGUUUUUUGAUAAUCAAAUUUGUAUGAAACAAUUCUCCAUUAGCUGCUCUGAAAUAUUCUGUAUGCUUUUCCUAAAAAUGGUAUGGGAGAAUUGAAGGAUUAAGCAUAAUUUUCUGAGCUCCAGUAUCAACAAAUCCUAUGAUGGGAACUGGUUUGCCAAUUUUUUCGGGGAGAAUAUGGAUCUUGAUAGAAGGGAUAUAAAUGGCUGGUUGGACUUUCUGGAUUUGUUGUAUAAUUUGAAUUACAGAAACAUUCUCAGACUCAGAAUGAUCUUCUGUUUCAGCAAGGACAAAGGCUAUUUGUUCAUCAUAUUCUUCUUGUUCAGAGAAAAAGGAUUCAACAUCAUCACGUUCUAAAAGUAACAUGGAAUCCUGGAGAUGUUCAAUAAGCCUGACUGAUUUCGUAGGUCUGUUUGGACAAUUUCUCGCGAAAUGCCCUUUCCUUUUACAGAUAAAACAGCGACCGCUUUUCCAAACCAACUAAUCACCAAGAAGCCAAUUGGUAUUCAGUUCUUUCCAAACUGUAUCCUUUGGAUCAAAAUUGUUGGAUCCAAUUUGCUUGAUAAGGAUCUUUUAAUCGGGUUUUAUAUGCUUCACCUAAUUAAAAACGUUCAUAUUACAACCUCUAGGAUUCGGUACAAACAAAUGUUUCAACCAUACACUGAUCUCCUGAGACUGUUCUCCAUCUCAAACUCUCCCCCUUUAUAUGACUGAUUCAAAACCCGGUUUCUUCCUUUCUGUCCUGAAAGCCAUAGCCAAUUUUCACAUCCAUCUCCAUUGUGGAAAAAUGAAGAUUUCUUCAUUAAGCUUAACGAAGACAUUAAUCCCACAAAAGCUACCCAUCCUGGUAUGACACCAUCUAAUCUUAAACUAGCCCAACAAAAAUGUUCUUAAUUGCUUCAACAAGGGCUUAUCGAGCCCACAAAUUUAGAAUGGACUUAUCGAGCCCACAAAUCAAGCCUUCUAUGUGGAAAAACGGUCUGAAAUAGUCCGAGGCAAAAAAUGUCUUGUCAUAGGUUAUCAGCCUCUUAACUGUUUCCUCCGUGAUGAUAAAUUUCUAUUGCCAAAAAUUCAGUUUUUGUUUGUCCAUAUUCGUGAUGCCAAGGUCUUUUCCAAAUUUGACCUUAAAGCUGGAUUCUGGCAACUAGGAAUCCAUCCAGUUGAUCGUCACAAAACUGUCUUUUGCAUUCUAAAUGCCCAUUAUCAAUGUAAUGCCAUUUGGUCUCAAAGUAGCUCCUUCACUUUUUCAAAAAACCAUGAUCAAAAUCUUUAAGCCCAUACUCCAUAAUGCACUUAUCUAUAUCGAUGAUGUGCUCUUAUUUUAUAAAGACCAUGACUCCCAUCAAGAUCUACUUUCCCACUUUCUCAAGAUAGUAAAAUCACAUGGCAUUAUGCUUUCUGGCAAGAAGAGCAUCCUAGGCCAAGACUCUGUAGAAUUCUUGGCAUGUUCAUUAAAGAUGGCCAUUACCACCCUGGUCCACACAUAGCUCAAGAACACUUGUCCAGGAGGGGUUUACCAUGCAAAAUACUCAUUCUAUGGUAAGUGGUAUUAGAGCCAAUGUUUGCACACACUCAAUCCAACUCAUGUUAGAACAAUAGCCAACCCGCCAAAUCUAAGCACAUCAUAAGAGACCACUAUUUGUGUGGAGCCAGUCACAUUCAAACUAAGACUCAUAGUAAGUCCAACACUACUUCCAUCAACGUUUUGGAACCUUGCAUUACCACACUUGAAGCCUUAAUAUCCACUGUAUAAGAAAACCUCUAAUGUUUAGAUGAAAGAGUUGAUGGUCUUAAGGGCGAGUAUGCUGACUUUACAGUGGCAACCAAGGCUUUAUUUAAAAGCAAGCUAACGCCAUUCAAGGGGAAUUUGUGACAUUCUACGAGGAGAUGCUCAAACUCUGUAGCUUCGUCCAAGACGAGCUACGAGCGAUCUAUGCGAAAAUGAAGGAAGUCCGCUCAAAUUAGGCUUGGCACAAUUUUGCACUCACACCUAGCUCGACCUCCACAAGCACGAGUGAUGAGUGCUGUAUCGAUGUGCUAAAAGCCUAAUACCUAUGAUGAUACACAAAAUGCCACUAUCGUAGAUAACUUCCUAUUCGGGCUAAACUAGUAUUUCGAUGCCAUGGGACUCCAAGAUGAGGCACCAAAAGUAGGCAAAGCACAUAUAUACUUCCAAAAUACAUAGAUAGAUUUCCAACAUGAACUCUGAAAGUAUUUUACCCCAAGUAAUGCUGAGAAAAAAGUAAGAGUGCCAUUGUCAACUCAAGCACAUGGCUAGUACUCGCGACUACAUCAAUGAGUUUACUACACUUAUGCUUGAGAUUAUCAAUAUGUCGAAGGAGUCCCUCUUUUACUUCUAAGACAGCCUCAAGGAUUGAGUUAAUAUGGAACUUGAUAUAAACAUGACAUCCAAUCUCUCAAUGGUACAAUUGUCGUUGAGGAAUCGUUAGCCGACUACUCUGCCCAAGUCAAGGAUAGAAGAUCUAAUCGAAGCAAAGAUAGGGGAGAAGGUGAUAAGGAUAAAGGCCACAAUUGCAAUUAUUGAUGGCAAAAAAAGCAUCUUAGCAGUGAAAGCGGGCAAAGCAACUCAGAUAAGAAGAAAAAGCUAACUAACCCUCAAAGCCUAUGCUUUAUUUACGACGACCUCUAUUGAGUACAAAACUCUGAAAAAGAAUUCAUUCAAUGCCCUCACAACACGACCUAAAGGCAACUCUACAUCAUUAACAAAGGAACCUCAGCCUAAUAUAGGCUCCUUCCAAUGUUGGCGCACUCAAGAGCCAUCCUCGAACACCCACACUAGUGAAAAAAUGGCUCAUGUCUGCAGUGCAACUAUUAACGGCCAAGUUGUAUAUAUGCUGUUAGACACCAGAGUAAUACAGAACUUCAUUUGAAAGAUGAGGCCAGGUGUCUAAGCUCAAAGCUACUAGGGAAGGAAGUAAAAUAAUAGUGGUAAACUCACCCACUAAGCUAAUCACAGGUACCGCAUAAGGUGUAUCACUCAGGAUGUGGAGCGAAAAACUUGACUUCUCCAUCAUGCCCAUGCAUGACCUUAAAAUAGUCCUUGGUAAGGAAUUCAUCAACCAAGUCCAUGCCUUCCUGUUGUUGGCCAUGAACUCCUUAAGCAUCUUUCACAGGAGUAAGGCAUACAUGGUCUCCACUGAGCACAUGAAGUUUAAAGAAAGGACACUUUCAGCUGUACAAUUUAAAAAGGCCUUUAAAAAGGACCCUAGCUCUUAGUUUCUAUCCAGGAGCUGAACGAGGGAGAAGAUUACAAAAACUCACCAACCUAAGCUCUUCUAUAAGUGUAAGUUAUCCUCAACGAGUUCAAGGACAUGAUGCCUCCACAACUUUUGAAGAAACUUCUACCUAAAUUAGAGUUAGAUCACGAGAUUAAGUAGGAGCAAGGCAUUAAACCUCUAGCCUUAGCACCAUACUAUAUGGCCCCACUUGAACUUAAAGAGAUGUAAAUAGCUCAGAUUUAUUGGACACUGGUUAUAUUUACCCAUUUAAGGCUCUGUUUGGUGCAACGUCCUUUUCUAAAAGAAGAAGAAUGGCUCUCUCUGUAUGUGCACCAACUCAUUCAACAAAACCAUUAUUAAGAAUAAGUAUCCAAUUCCUUUGGUAGCAGAUCUUUUUGAUAAACUUUAUAAAGGGCAGUACCUCACCAAGCUUGACUUACACUCUAGGUACUACCAGGUUUGUAUCACCAAGGGAGUUGAACCAAAGACGACAUGCAUCAUAAGGUAUGGAUCCUUCGAAUUCCUUGUCAUAUUAUUUGGCCUUACUAAUGCCCCGGCUAUAUUCUACAUACUUAUAAAUAAGGUUCUCCAACCAUUCUAUGACACCAUCGUGGUAAAUAGCACCACCUUGGAAGAACAUGCCCAACAUUGGUGACAAGUCCUCCAAGUACUAUAUGAUCUGUUCACUUAGUGAGAAGUGAAAUUCCUUGGUCAUAAAAUCAUAGAUAGGAAACUAAUGAAGAGAACUCCAUUGCCUCCCACUAAGGCGCCCAAGAUACGAUCAUUCCCCGAAUUGGUGAUUUACAACCACCGCUUCAUCAAAGGUUGCUUAGCUAAGGCGAACGUGGCAUUGGUCCAAUAUGCUAGCAAGUUUUCAAAGAUUUGAGAAAGGCUGCUUCAGUGGAACCUAUUCUCUCUUUUUCAAACCAUUUUAAGCGUUUCGAGGUUCAAACAGAUGCCUUAGAUUUCACUAUUGGCAGAGUCCUUAUACAAUAAGCCACCCCAAAACUUUUGAGAGUCCAACGCUAAACGUCAUAGAACAUUAUUAUACCAUAUAAAGGAAGGAGAUUAUUGUUAUCAUCCAUUACUUAUGAGUGUGGUAAUAAGACUUGUUUAGCUCGUACUUUAUAAUCAUGAUGGACAACGUAGCCACAAGCUACUUUAAAACUCAAAAGUUAAGCCCCAAGCAAGAUGGUAGUAAGACUUUUUUGCAAAUUUGACUAUCAACUUGAGUAUAAGUCGGGAAAGCCAACGUCAUAGCAAAUGUACUAAGCCACAAGGUAGAGUUGGCAACUCUUAAUAUGAGCCAAUUAAAGUCUGACUUUGUCUCAUCCAUCCAAGAACUUCUCCAACAAGACCCUUGGCCAAAGACUUGCUGGGGAAAGAUCUCAAGGGCAAGACAAGGCACUCUUGGCAAGAAGAAUGCAUCCUCCUCACCAAGAGGAGAUCGAAUAUUUGUGCCUCAGUGGGGAAACUUACAAAAACAAGUCAUCAAAGAGUAUCAUGACUCAAAGUAGGCUGGUCACUCUAGACCUGAGCACACCGUUGCACUGGUUGAAGCCUCGUACUUUUGGCCACACAUGCGAGACAAAAUCGAGGCAUAUGUGCAGACUAAUCUUGUAUGCGAAUAAGAAAAGGUAGAUCACCAACUUUCAAUAAGAUUUUUGGAGCCCCUGCUACUUGCAUCAAGGCCGCAGGAAAGUGUACCCUUGGACUUCAUUACAGCCUUGCCCAAGUUCGAUUAGUGAGAAAGCUUCAUAGUGGCUGUCGAUCACUGCAAUGAGUUCACGACCUUCAUCAAGCAUAUCAUGAAGCUAUAGAGAGUUCUAAAAAUAGAGUAAGUGACCAAGACCCUCGAUUCACUAGACGCUUAUAGAUGGAGCACUUUAAGUUUCUAGGAACCGACCUCAAGUCCCCAAUAAGCUUCCAUCCAUAAACUAAUGGGCAGAUCAAGUGUAUAAAUGGCCUUCUUGAGAUGUAUCUAAGGUACUACGUGAGCGAUCUUCAAUGAAGCAAGGCUACUAGAAAGAGCCCAUUCAAGAUCAUUAUAGUAUUUCAACCCAUGAUCUCCAAUGUCAUAGCCUCAAUAUAUGGAGAAACAAACCAUGCUGCUCAUAAGCUCGCCUACGAGUGGCAUGAAGAAGUGGAUAUUAUGCAAACAUAUCUUGAUAAAGUCGAAAAGAAGAUGAAAAAGUGCAUGGACAUAAGUAGACGCCACAUCGAGUACAAGAAAGGCGACCAAGUGAUGAUCAAGGUCCUACCCUAACAAUUCCAGACUUUACGAAAAGUUCGGAAAGGGUUAGUGAGGAGAUAUGAAGGACCUUUCCCAAUUGUCCAACGUGUGGGCAACGUCUCAUAGCAACUCUAACUUUCACCAAGACUCAAGAUUCAUCUAGUCUUCUACGUAAGUCUAAUCAAACCAUACCACAGACAUAUGAGAGACCCAAGUCAUAACAGUCGUCAUUACCACCUUCGACAAAGAUGUAGAGUGCAUUCUUGCCGAUUGCGUAAUUCGAAGAAAAGGUGUACAAGCUUACAAGUACUUAGUGAAGUGGAAAGACCUCCCCAACAAUGAAGCUAGUUGGGAGUGCGAAGAUAAUCUAUGGCAAUUCGCAGGGUCCAUACAGACAUUCAAGUACGAGAAUAUGAUGAAGAUACCCUGAGUAUAGGUGGGGAAAGAUGUAAUGGGUCGCUAAAUCUAAGCCAAGUGUGCUUGUUUAGCCCGAUUCUAAAAUCUUCCAACAUACUCUAGCACACUUGGAUCACUUGUACAUAUCUAGCACCUUCUACACUUGUGUAUACUUAGAAUUCUCUAGAACUUGGCAUAAUAUUGUAGUAAGUGGCAUGUACAUAAAAACAUUCUAGAUUGGGCAAGACUCCCCUAUAAAUAGGGCAUGACACUUGUCAUUUGAGCACAUAGCAAGUAAAAGCAACUCAGGCAUACUCCUUAGCUUUCUGCAAGCAACUUUGCUUAACUAGUUUCAGAAGUUCAUCGCUUACUUAGUGACUUUUAGGCAAACAUUGUCUAAGUGGCACACGAGUUUGUUAUACUAAAUACUCAUCCAAUGACAUUAAGCUAAACUAGGGCCGGGGUUGUUUGACUGUGUUUGAUAGCUUAGGAAGAAUUAGGGUCGAGUAUGUCUAAAUAUGUGUGAGUAUGUCAUUGUCAUAAAGAAGAAGAUUGCAUUGUUGAUGUGAAGAAGAGGAGAAGGGCAUUAGAUUUAGUGAUUGAGAAUUGCGAUUGCUUCCCCUUUUUUUCAUUUAUAUUAUUUUUGACUUGGCAAACUGUUUGUUUGGGUUCAUUUUGUUGGGUUCUUUUUGGUAUCUUAACACCAAAUUGUAUUUUUAUAUUAAUUUAAGUAAAUUGUAUCGAUAAUUUGUAAGUAUAUAACAUCAUAUAACAAGUUAUAUUUUAUAGGAAUCUUAGGUGAAAUUAUAUUUUUAUUUCAAGUUUAAAUCAUAAUUUGCUUUAAAAACAAAGUUAACUACAUUGUACUAGCUCAUAAAUUUAAUUGUAUACUAUGGACCAAACGAGUUAAUUUUAUUUCUAUAUAUGAAAUUGGAUUUAACAGAUAUAAUUUGGUACGUGUGCUAAUUCUCUUUAAUGGUGUAUGGAUUAAAAAAAAAAGAUGAAUAGAGGUUCAAAGGCUCUGAAGCUAAAGGAAUAAAUAGUACCAUGAUUGACAACAUAUGCAGAAUUGAUAUGGACUUUUCAGGAUUUGAAAUUACAUUGAAGUUCGAGCUUAUGACAUUUGAUCCUAUGCCACUAGUCGCAAUUAAAACCAGUAAUGAUUUUGAGUUUUUUUUUAGGAAAUAACCAAUGGAAUGCAAAUUAGAAACCUUCUUUGUGUCACUUUUCAACCCAAAGCGAGUUCAGCAGUUCUCAUGGGUAGACGACGUUCACUUCAUCCUACGUGGGAAAGGAAUCAUGAUUAUUCAAGGUACGUAUCUCCAUCAUUUAUGAAUCUUAAUAGUCUCAAUUCGAACAAUUUCACUAUUGGAGAUGAAUCACCACUUCAAUUUUUGUGCCAGAGUGCAACCUAAUGAUGAACACAAAACUAAUUAAUGGAUUUAUGACUAUUGUUGAUUGUUUGGAUGGGCCACCAUUAGUUAGUAAUCCAGGAUUAGGGAAUAACGGGUAAUGUAAGUUAAAAAAACCUCAAACAAUACAUACAUACCUAGAAUGAAUUUACUUGCUAGUAAUAGUAGUUUAUUGUCAAUGGAAGUUACUGGUAUUAGUGAUGCGUCAAUGAUUCAAAGGAGGUUUUGCAAGAAAAGCUUAAAGUAUUAGCUAUGAGAAAAAAGCUCUAGAUUAAAACCUUAAAAUCAUACAAAGAUUUACCUUUUGUUGUUUGUGUGGACCACAAUUGUAAGUGGCGUCUUCGUGCAACCAGGCUUAUAGGUUGCAAUAUGUUUGAAAUUAGAAAGUAUUGCAAUCCUCAUAAUCACUCCCUUGAUUUGCAGCAAAGAGAUCAUCGCUAAGCUUCAUCCAAGAUAUCUAGGUAAAACUUUCGGUACAAGUAUAAGCCUGCUAAUAUCAGGAAAUAUCAAUGAGUCAAGGGCAUCAGAGCUAAUAUGCCUGGUGACUAUCUAAUUUAAAAUCCUUGGAUAUUGGACAUGCUUACUUCUCACAUCAAAGUUAUUAUAGACUUUAUGAAAUAAUCUCAAAUGCCUAUACCUGUGCAAGUAAAAAUAAUAAUUGAUAUUCCUAUUUAUAACAACGCUACAGUAUUGACAAUUUUUUACCAAAACUACAAAUUAAUGGACAACCAUGAAGGUUGUAUGCCUCUUUUUCAAGGACAUAAUCUAGACUUAGCCUUUCUUUAUUCUCCCUAAUUCCAUUCAUAUUCUUCACAACUUUUAGUGUGGCUUUAAAGCAGAAUGACCACAAGGAUGUUUAUGAAAUCUUCAAAGUUCUCAAUAUGAAUAAUUUUAUCCACGUUGGCAUAUGAUCCCCACUCUUUUCAAAGUAAUAAAACCUCUAAAAAGCAUAACAUGGAAAAAUUAACAAUUUCCAUAUCAUCUUCUACCUUAGUUGAUUAGAAAGUCUGACCUAGAAAUGUAUUUGUGAACUCUGUACAACCAUCCAACAAAACGUCGCAUACUUGUCUACCGUCACUAACAAUGUCCAAGUUAGGUUUAUAAAUUUCUCUAUAAUUCAAGUUAGUCACUAAUGAGAAUAUAAACAUUGAAAAUCAGCACGCUUUCUUCCUUAUAUUAAAAUACAUUGCUUCAUCAGAUGAAUGCACAUGCCUCAAUACCAACAUAUGCAAUAACUGAGUACAAAAUUGAAACUCAUUUAAAUUUAAAAAGUGCUCAAAACAUGAUUUGUGAAAAAUCUCAACUUGUUCAUCACUAAGUUGAUUUUUUAUUAUUUCUAUUGGGUCUAACAAUAACAAAUUAGUAAUUUUCACAUUAACCCUGGAUCCCUCUAGAGACAUUUCAGAAGACGAAUUAUGGUACGUCUGGUGCCUAACUGUCCUCUAUGCCACCAAACUGAUUGUUCUAGUAACAGCCACCUUACAUUUUUUGCCUAGCAAUAAAUAUAAGUUCUUAGCACAAAUUAAGUCUUCAAGGAAAUAAAUUAUUUUUAUGAAUUAAGAAUUAUGAAAAAAGUUGUGUAAUUGUGAGGUCGUGUAUCACAUGCAAUCGUAUGUUACAAGAAGUCAUAUAUUACACAACUAAGGGUCGUGUGGUACAUGAAGUCAUGUGUAACAUGACCUUAAGUCAUGUAUUACCCGACCAAUUGAUAAUUUACACAACCUAUCAAAUUUUCAUUGUUUCCACGAAAAAAAAAUCAUAAAUUUAUUUUUGAUUAUGUUAUGAGAGAUCGACAACCAAUUUCAUCUAUUUUUUUCAACAUAAAACCCUAUAUUUUUGCUUUUUUCCUAAAUAUCAAAAUCCUAUCAAUUGAUUGCAAGAAGGAAAAUUAAAUACUUAUCCUAAGAAGUUGUCAACUGCAAUAGUAAUGAACUUUUUUUAUGAUAAAAAAUAGUCAAGUAUUUUGAUGAUCAGCACUUUAAAUUUCGGCGUUUGAAUAUUAGAUUUGAUCUCUUCUCCAAACUUCAAAGUCAAAUUAGUCAUGUACAAAAGUCGUGCUAUAUCCAUUUUGAAUUGGGCCACAACUACAAUACAUGCAUGUAUGUGAUACAUGCAAGCAAUUAAAAAAAAAACAGAGGAAUUGUUUGGCUACCACAAACACUAAAAAAAAUAAAAAAACUAGGAGCAACUAAUUUUUGCAACCGGUUGCCUUUUUAAUGAAUUAAAUAAUAAUAAAUAUAAUAAUAUUCAAAUAUAAUAAAUAAAUGAUAAUAAAAUCAUCAUUAUUUUAAUAUUAAAGGACACAUAACAAUAAAAUAAUCAUUUUUAUAAUAAUAAAAAAUGAGUUUCAAGUUUAAUGGUACAAGGAUCAAGUUAAUGGUCGUGGUGUCAUGUUUAUUGGUCCAUUAUUUUCAUGGUUGUAAGUUAAUGAUCUCAUGUGUUUAUGUUUAUUGCUCUAAGUUUCAAGUUUAAUGGUUCAAGUAUCAAGUGAAUAUUCAUGGUUUCAUGUUUAUUGGGUCAUUAAUUUCAUAAUUUUCAUGGUUGCAAGUUAAUGAUCUCAAAUUUCAUGUCAAUUGCUCUAAGUUUCAAGUUUAAUGGUCUCAGUAUCAAGUUAAUGGCGGGUGUUUCAUGUUUAUUAGUCUAUUAAUGGCAUGAUUUUCAUGGUUACAAGUUAAUGAUCUUAAAUGUCAUAUUUAUUGCCCUAUGUUUCAAGUUUCUUUGGUUUCAAAUUUAAUGGUCAAGUAUCAAGUUAAUGGCCACAGAUUCAUGUAUAUUGGUCCAUUAAUUGUAUGAUUUUCAUGGUUGUAAGUUAAUGAUCUCAGGCUUCAUGUCAAUUGCUCUAAGUUUCAAGUUCCUUUAGUUUCAAGUUUAAUGGUUUCAGUAUCAAGUUAAUGGUUGGUGUUUCAUGUUUAUUGGUCCAUUAAUUGUAUUAUUUUCAUGGUUGCAAGUUAAUGAUCUCAUGUUUCAUGUUUAUUGCCCUUAGUUUCAAGUUCGUUUGGUUUAAAGUUUAAUGGUCCAGGUAUUAAGUUAAUAGUCAUGGUUUCAUUAAUUCCAUGAUUUUCAUGGUUGCAAGUUAAUGAUCUUAGGUUUUAUAUCAAUUGCUCUAAGUUUCAAGUUCCUUUAGUUUCAAAUUUAAUGGUCUCAGUAUCAAGUUAAUGAUGGGUGUUUCAUGUUUAUUGGUCAAUUAAUUGGAUGAUUUUUGGGAUUGCAAGUUAAUGAUCUCAAGUUUCAUAUUCAUUGCCUUCAAUUUUAAGUUCAUUUAGUUUCAAUUUUAAUGGUCACAAUAUUAAGUUAAUGGUAGGUGUUUCAUAUUUAUGGUCUCAUAUUUCAUAUAUACCGAUUUUUCAAGUUUCCAUUUCUUUCAAAUUUAAUAAUAAUAAUAAAUCUCAGCCAUUCGAUCUACUUCAUUUAAUCCAAUGGCUAUUUUUUAUGCAUGCAUGAGAUUCAUGCAUGUACUCUAGUUGCGCCCUUUGAAUUGAGGAUAUUUUUAGUAACUUGAUGUGACUACUUAAAAUGGAAAAAUAUACUCUCCUGAUCAUGAUUUCUUCUAAGCUUUUUAAGAUAUUCUAUCACGUGUCUUUUAAUAAUAGUAUAUGGAUAAAAUUUAACUUCUUUAUUUUUUUAUUUAUUAACUACCAAUCGUCAAUUGAGUUAUUUGCUCAAAACAUGAUCAAAUUAAGAAAGAAUCCUGAUCCACUUAAAAUAUAUUUAUGAAAUUUAUUUUUAAAAAUUCUUUUUUCAGGAUAUUAAAAUUAGCACUUAAAAUAUAUUUAUGAAAUUUAUUUUAAAAAAUUCUUUUUUCAGGAUAUUAAAAUUAGAGGGUUUCUGCCCCAAUUACCUCAGCAUAAACGGCAAGCGAAAAAGAAAAAGCCCACAAAAAAUGCCAUGGUUGCAACAACCAGCACAAUCAGUAGGGCUUUCAGUUUCACUUGCAUGUUCAAGUUGUGUCGUCCACUUUUCGCACUCUCAACCAGAACCCACAUGGAAUCUCCACGCGUGAACUCUGCUCUUCGUUCUCCUGCAAGAGAAACUCAUAUCGGAGACACUGACGAUGGGUUCAUUACACUGCAGGAGUGGCAGGGCUGGGGCGCUGUGUCUCCAUUGCCAGCUUUGGUUCAGCAAAUUGUUGAGGACUUGAAAGCUUUGGAGAAAAAUUUUGAUGCCCCCAUGAGUUUUGGUGGUAAUGGUGGCAGACUUCAGGUACUAUAUUCAAUCUAAAAAUUCCCCUUUUCUUUUCCUGUUAAUAUUAGUCUCUGAUUAGUUUGGUUGCUGGAAUGGUCCAAAUGUAAAAUUUUAAUCUUGAGAAGCUGGUAAUUUUUUAAGUGUUAAUUCUGAAAAUUGAUAAUGGUUUCGUUUCUAUGUGGUAUAAAGGUGCUCAGUAGGCAUUGGUGUAACAUGAACUGUUCUUUAUUAAUUGUGUUUGUGAAAGAAAUGAACUAUUAGAUGCUUGAUACUGAUUUGGUUUUAUAAUGGCUAUUGACUGUUUAAUAUGCAAAUUAGUUGAAUUUAUAAAAUAUGUUAAGGUAAUUUUAAUUAGGAUAAUUCUACUGAGGAAUUUUUUUCAGAUAUGUGGGUGUUGGUCUUACCAGUUAUUCAGUAAUCAUUUCAUCAUUUUCUUGAGUUUAUAUGUACAGAAGUAUGUGUCAUCAAAUGUGGGCAGCAGCUAGUUUAGUUACUAAAAUCUCAAGUUAAAAUAAGAGGUCUAAGGUUUGAUCCCCUCUCACAUGUGUUGCAAAGGGAUUAGGCUGUCAUCCGGCUAAAAAAGGAAAUAGGUAUGUGUCAUCAAAUGCAGUUGUGGUAACUUUCCGCUGUUUUGUAAACAAGACUAUUUUAAACCUUAGGUGCAGAUGCAACUUCUUGCUCAUACAGGAACUGUAUAUUUUGCUUUCUAUUUAUGGUUUUGUGUGACUGACUAGUUUUUAUUUCAACUGCUUGUGGUUCAUGUGGUGGGAAAAUGUUUUUUUUUUCACCCAUCAGUGCUUGCUCAUAAUACGUAUUUAUUUAUCCUCUACUGCAUAUUUCAGGGGGAUUUCAAGAUUCUAGAGGAUAAGAAACAUAGAGCAACAUACCAGACUUUGGGCGAGUCUGAAAAGAAGCUUCAAUUCUUUACAGCUCGACAGAUAGCCUGCCGUUUGCUCGGAAGUCAGGGUUACCUUUGCCAGAAGGUAUGUGGCUGUCUUUUGGAGCAUUAACUACAUUUUUCAUGGGCUAUAUGUACUUUUUGGUUUAAUUAUUUAGAAGGUACUUUUUAUAAAACAAAGUUCAUGGUUAGAUUAGAAUGGGUAUUGUGCCUUCUAGUUGCUUCAGUUUCUUCAUUAUCCUUUUCUCUUAUUUUUAAUGUCCUUUACUAAAUCGGCAGUGCUGGAUUGCCAUGGAAGACUGCAUGUGUUCAAAAGUCAAGCACUGCUCUCUAUGGUAUGGUGUACGGUUUUGGCUGUACAUGCAUCCAAAGGUUAGGAUAUUAUUGUCACUUUGCUGCAUGUUAUCUGGAGGCAUAAGGUACUUUUUAAAGAAAACCCCAUGUGAUCAUCCUCUUUCAGGACUUUCUACGACAGAACAACACUGGAAAGUUGCUGUGGCAAGUACUUGGAGUUCAAGCUGCAACUUUGUGCCUCUAUGGCGUUGCAGAAGAUGAAGAAAUUAUGUGGAGUGCAUUUAAGCGUGCAGGUUUCCUUCUUCUCUUCUCUUUUAGCUGUUUUAGUUUUCAAAGAUUUUGGGUGCCAGUAAUUUGUAGUUGGCAAUUAGUUAUAGAGUUCAAAUUUCAUUUAAAAGCAAGUGGAGUUAUUUUACUCCCAACAUCAGUGUCAUAGAAUUCAAAGUUAUUCAAUGUUUUGUUACAUAUUCAAUUUUUAAAGGAAAAUACUUUAUGUUUUUAUUCUCUGUUAAUGGAUUAAGUGAUAUAUGGAGUAUACAUUGAGCCAAAGUAACAAAGUGUAGCUUUUUUAUUUUGAUAUAAUUCAUUUGGUGUUUGGAAUCAAUAAACGAACUUUUUGUUAAAACUUAACUUUUGCCAGUGAUCUCUGUAAUAAGCUAAUAUACCUCAUAGCUAUAUUUCUGUGACUGUGAUCGUCCAUGUUUAAAUAAAUGCAUAUGAGAAACCUUUGCCCUAUGACUCUUAUUUUCAUCAUUUUCAGGGAAAAGCAAGGUUUGGUGCCUAUAUCCCAAUAAGAAUGCAAUUAAAAUGUCAGUCCAGGAUACCCUUGGUUAUGGAUCUUCAGAGGAUCUAGAAUACACACCAAUGAUGGUAUUAUCUCUCAUUAUUACUUUGUAAUGUUAUAUAGAGUUGUGCACUCAUAUCAGCAUAAGCAAAUUUAUUUCUUGUUUUGCGUAGCAUGCUCAUAAUAGAUUGGAACUUAGUGUUAAUGUUUCAUAUGCAUAUCCCAUCAAAUAGAUACUUAAUAUGAGAAUCAAGAUUAUCCGUUUAUAGCUAACUGUCUUUUUCUUUUUUUUUUCUUUUAAUGUUAAAUUGUUGUAGAACUAUAUGAACGACUUAGAAUAGUAAUAAGAUAAAGAUUUAUUAGUAUUGGUCCAAUAAACCUGGAUCUUCCUUUAAUAAGAAAACCAAUUCAAACAGGUAAAAAUUGAAUAAUGGUAGUAAAAAUUGAAUAACACCAUUAAUAUAACUGAAUAACAUAUUUUCUAGUUAUCUAAUAAAUCUUAAUUUCAAUUCCGCAUCACUAAUAGUAAAAAAUUCAAAAAAAGAAAGCAGACGUGUGAGGGAGCUCAUAUGCAUUUAGAUGAUGAAAUAAUUUAGGAUCAUCCUGGGGCAUGGCUUGAACAAUGCAAGAACCAAUUUGUUGAUGUUCGAUGAUGUCUAGGGCUGGCUUGGAUGUGACGUAGAUUCAUUUGGCACAGUAAUUGUUCAUGUGUGGGCAUAGGAAGUGCAUGAAAGUGGUUUGCUUAGUAAUUUCUAACAGACAUUAGGGUCAGAAGUUGUAACUGCAAAUGAAUUUGCAUGCUGAAAGCAUAUUAGUACAAUGUAGUUUGGAAAUUUUGACUUUUCUCUGACAAAAUUUCAUUGAUCAUGCAAAGUUUGGAGUCUCUUAUGUCUUCUUUCAUUUAACUAGGCGGUAACACAGAUGUUGGUUCUACUGCACAGACUGAUGGAGAUAACACUCUAAAUUUUGUUUUGAUUGAUGGCACAUGGAGCAACUCUGCUGCAAUGUUCAACCGUUUAAAGGUUAUUUAUUUCUUUCAUAUUUGCAGACUAAUUUUGUAUAGAUAUUUGGUUUCUCUGCAUAUUCAUCUCUGUCUCUCUCUUUCUCUCUCGAGGCGAAUGACUGUUGUGUAUGAAGAGAUGCAUCUAUUGGAAUUCCUGCAGUCUUCUAAAAACUUUGAAAUCUGGUCAAACGCAGUGGCUUUCAUCUAUGAACUUGGAAUUUGGUGAUUUUUAGAUUACCUGUGCUUAGUAAUCUCACAAUAUUUGGCAAAUAUAUGAUGGAUUAUGAGUUUAAAAUGUUAAUUCCUGGCUGGAGUUUUGGAUACAAGUUUAAAUAUUUUUGGGAUACCACUGAAAAAUUUACUGACAAAACCAUUUUUUUAACAAAAUUGACUUUAAGCCACUUUCUUCAUAUUCUUUCCUAUUCAUUAUACUGACCAGGUGUCUGCAGCUCUUGGGGCUUGACUAAUCCUCAAGCUCAACUGCAGUCAUCGAUCGGACCAUCUCCUACGUACUACAACAGUGGCAUAUCCUAAAGUUGGAUCUAAAGCUGGAUCCCUGGGAUUUGUGGUGCUUGUAUGAUUUUCAAUUGUUGAUUUAUAAAGUGAAUGAUGUAGGUAUUUUCUAUGUUCAGGAGAAAGCUAAGACAGUUUGGGACGAGGAGGACAUUCCUUGCAUAUCUCUAACCAUGGGUGCAUCGGCAAUGCAUAAACUUAGGUAAUUAGUGUAUAUUUGUCAAAUCUCUUCUUAGAUGAUCUCAUGUACAGCUUUUUAUGCAGCCCUCUCAUCCAAUUAAACCUCUUGGGAGUGACCAUGUUUUGUAAUUUUAGUGCAGGCCCCAACCGUCCUGGGACCGCACCUGCACAGCAGCUGCAGCCAUUGGCCUCCUUUCUGAGCUGCAACUCCUUCCAAAAUUUAGUUCAUGUGGAUUGGAUGAAGCGGUUGAAGCAAUAGAGGAUGCCUUGGCUGUUUUGUUAGAAGCACUAACGACCAGACGGCUUCGAAUGGGCAGGUCCGUCACUCGUAAAGCAAGACAUAACCUCAACCUCUGGUAGCUAACCGAUAACGCAUUCUGCUCUGUAUGGGUAUUACAUACUGUUAGUCGGAUAAAAAAUAGGAGAACCUUGCCUCAUCAAAAUAUAGGAGAAUCUUGCCUCAUCAUUUCCAGCCAGUCCCACUGAUCUCUCUUCUUUUAGCACAAGUUAGCAGCAAUAGCACAGAUUUAUACUCACCAGUUGACACAUGGAUAGUUUUCAUGCUCUUUCCUUUCAGUUGUGGGUGUUACGGAGUUUAGCCUCGCUUUUUGAGCAUAAAAAACAUCGUUGUAAUAAGCUUAAAUUGAUUUAUUAUUGUACAACAUUAAAACCCGCAUUGGCUUCCUAUCAUUUUAGCCCAUUUUGACUUUUUUACCCCUAUAUUCUCUCAAUUCAUAAACAUUUUGAUUAAGAUCAAUUGAUAUCAUUGGUUCAGCACCAUCUAUAUUCUCAUAAUGAUAGAUUUUAGUAAAAUAUUAAUCCUUUUUUGUGGAUAAGAGUAAAAAUAUUAAUUUAAAAUUAAAUAUAGCCCCACUUUUUCACCAGUAAGUAACCGAACCAAUGCCUAAAUGGCAAAAACAUGGAGCAAUACUAAAUGAACAAAAUUGUAACAAAAAGAUUUUUCUUUUAAUUAAUUUUGAGGAUUUUAGCGAAAAAAAUCAUUAAAGGAAAUUUCAAAAAUUCACAAAAAAAAAAUAUUUUGUUGGCAGUUAGGUAAUUUUAUACACAGCUACUUUCAUACCGACCACAGGACAUGACCUGAGUCAGCUGACUGGGUGUCUUGUUGCCACCAUUCUUGCAACAUUUUCCUCUCCUCCGUUUCUCCCGCUCUGCUAAUAAAAGUAAAAUAGAAAUGAACAUAAAAGGAAUGGCGAUAACAACCUGGGAAAUUUUCUGUAAAAGGGUGAACCCAUUACAGGAGUCGGAGAUCGUCUCAUUGAUCUCUGAAAAAAGAGAGACAAUGAGCUUCGACCACUGCGUUCAAUUUAUUCUCUUCUCUCUUCUCAUUCAAUGGGCUGCUUCCUCUUCUGUAGUAUCCGGUAACUCGCUGUUCGUCCUUAUCUUUGCAAUUUGGUUUUUUUCCCUUUUUUUUUAUUUGGAUGUUUGCAUGCAGAUGAUAUCUUUGAAUCUUAUAAAGCUACCAGCCGUAACCUUCUUCAAGUCAAAGAAAGUAUGUUCUUUGUAAAUAAAUUAAUUCUUAAUUGCUCUUUUUCUUUUCUUUUGGCAGAAUGUAGAAUUCGCAGAUAUUGAUAUUUCAACGUUGAAAAGCAGGCAUCUAUUAAUUAGCUUCCAAAAUAAUGUAUAUGCGCCAUUUGUUUCUACUUUUUUCAAAUAAGAAUUUUGCUUAGAAAUUUAUAAAAUAGCUAAUUGGCUGUUGUAUCUGUCACAGAAAUGAAUUAUUACUCUGAUAAAGUAAAUAAAUUUACCUUCAUUAUAUAUUAUAUAUAACACCAUUUGCAGUACACUUAUAGUUAAUUACAUUAGGGUAUAUCGCAUUAAGAUAUUUGGUAUACUUUAGACUGUAUUAUAUAUAAUAUUAUUUUAUAUUAAUAUUAAUAUUGAAAUAGUAUUAUUUAAAUUUAUUAAAAAUUAAUUUUUUAAAUUAAUUAUUUAUAUGUUAUUUUUAUAACAUAAAAAUAAUUUAAUAAAUACUAUUAUCAAAUAAUAUAAUAUUAUAAUAUUAUAAAUAUAAAUAUAAUAUAAUAUAACACAAUAUACUAUUAAAUUUUCAAUUUAGUCAUAAAUCAAAUUUCAUUUAUUAAUGUCAACAAUAAUUACUUAAUUAAUUUUUAAAUUUAGUGUUAUUAAAUAAUAAAUUAUUGAAUAAUUAAAAGAUUUAUUAUAUAUUUAAACUAAAAUAAUUAAAAUGAUUUUAUGUAAUAAAAGUAAAUAAUGCAUUAUUAUUUACUUAUUAAGUAUUUAGAUUUAUUAAUAUUUUAUAUUAUUAUUUAAAUUGAACUGCAUUGAAUAAAAAUAAAAAUUAAUAUUUAACAAAUUUAAAUUGAUUUUCAAUAAUAAAAAUGAAAAUAUGAAUAGUAUUUUAAUAAAAUACAGCCUAUGCCCUACUUUUUCAUGGUUUUAUUUUAUACUCCUUUCAUUGUAUUAGUCACUUUUUUAAUAUAAUAUAAUGCAAUUAAAAAUUACAACUAAAUACAAGUUUAUAUAAGAAUAAUAUUUUAAUACAAUACCAUAUAGUGUAAUACGAUCAGCCAAAAGCAUCCUUGCAAUCCCAAAUUGGUAGUGAUAGGAUAUGAACACGUUCCAAGAUCAUGGAUAUUGUCAUGGUUGAAGAUUUGUUUUCUCGGCUAAUUAUGCAUUGAUGUUGCUCGAUAACUUUUAACGGGCAUGAAAAAAUUCUGUGCGGAUAUGCCUUGUAGAUCCUUCUAAAACAUCUAGUGACAUUAGUUGUAAAAGUAUGCUAUGAUGAUAUGUUUCGCUUAUUACAAUCUGCAGAAUGUCCUGAAAAUUUCGAGGACAAGAACUACACAAUCAUCACAAGCAGGUGUAAAGGACCCGAAUACCCAGCUGAUCAAUGCUGUCCGGCAUUUAAGGAGUUUGCUUGUCCCAUUCGCGAUAAGAUUAAUGACCCGAAAACUGAUUGUGCUCAGACAAUGUUCAGUUACAUAAAUCUCUAUGGGAGAUUCCCACCUGGCCUAUUUGCCCAUAAGUGUCGUGAAGGGAAAGAAGGUCUCAAGUGCGACGAACCUACUCUCCCACCAUCGGGUAGUGCAGCAGCUGUUCAUUCCACCCCAUUGCUUCUCACAGCUGGCUUCCUGGUGUUACUGCCCUUGAUGCUGUAGAGGCUUAAAUGUGAAAAACCAAUAAUACGUUUUCUCCAUUUUAUAUGUUUUUUCUUUUCUUUUUUCUGAAUCCAAUAUGGCUUCUUCAUGAAUUCAUUUUCAGAUGAUUUCUUUGCAUAACUGCAUAAUAGAGUUGGUACUGCCUUGAGAAUAUAAUCUCAUAAUCAAACUUUUUUGACUAGUCAAAUCCAAGCGUGUAGCUGUAAUUAAACAAUUAUUCAUCUUUUCUUACACAAUUUAGUCUGCUUCAACAAGCCUUUUGGUUCCCAUAACAGAGCAUAUGUGAGUGUGUGAGACCAUACUGGCACAUCCUUGAAUAAUUCUUGGUAUAUUUGGUUGAAAGGGGUCGCGGAACAAAUACACAAAUCGAAUUCAAAUUGAAUCUUAAACGAAUAAACAAAUCAAAUUUGUUUAUUAAACCAACUGAAAUUUAAGGAUUCAGAUUCGAUUUGUUUAUUAAACAAAUUUUGUAUUCAAUUUAUUUAAUUCAUUUUGUAAAAUUAAUAAACGAUUCGAAUCGAAUCGAAUCUGAUUUCAUUUAUUAUUCAUUCAUCCGAUAACAAACGCAUAACAAAUCGAAAUGAAUGCAAAUUCGUUUACAAAAAUAUAAUAAAAUGAAGCAAAAUAAAAUAUAAAAACCACAAAUUUAAUAUCUUACAAAAUAAAACUCAUUAUCAUUUAUAACUACUAUAUUAGCCUUCAAAUUUUAAAUUUUUUCAUACAUUUUAAGGAUAAAUAAGUAAUUCAAUUAAACGAAUUUUAAAUAAAUAGAUCGUAUUCGAUUCAUUUAUAACAUAUUUAUCAAAAGAAUCCUCAACGAAUAAACGAAACAAUGCUCCAAACCCAAAUUCAAUUCAUUUAAUUUGCAAAUCAAAUCGAAUUCACUUAUUUAGUAAAUGAAUCAAUUUUUUAAACGCAAAACUCAUUUAAUUUGCAUCAAAUCGGCUAAACCAAUCUUGACCCAAAUUGUCACUAUUAAAUUCUUGUUCACUUCAAAAGCUAUUGAUAUUUUAUUUACAGGGUGGCAUAGUGCAAUGGUUUCACUAUCUUGCAAUAAAGGUAUGCCAUACCAAAAGUGAUGAAGAAAUGUCAUCAAGUGAUGGAGUGGACAGUUACUUCUCAGUUCCCACACUUUGGAAAGACGCUACAAUGAUAAAACCAACAUCUCGAUCACCAGAAAUAUUCAAGGACACCGUUGGCCAAAGUCAAGUUAAUUAAUUUUAAUUCCGCAAUUAAUCCUGAAUUUCUACAAAAUCUGCCUAAUUUAGGUGUCAUGACAUGUUAGGACAGUGAUCAUAAUCUUUCACUGGAAACGGAUGAUGCGUUCAUUGAAACUCUAUCAUUCAGCGGUGAGUAGAAUGAUUCUGCAAAAUGGAUUAGUAACAAACAACUCGAGUUAAUGAAUGAUUCUGCAAAAUGGAUUAGUAACAAACAACUCGAGUUAACCUUUAUUAACACUUGUAUACUAAUUCCAGCUUGACGGAACAUUAAAGCAAAAUGAGCUUUUACUCAACCAACCAUGCAACUUUGAACAUUUAAUUUGAUUGGCUUACAUGGUUAAAAAGCAGUCAAAUUCCACAAGUCAACUGAAACAAGUAGGUCUUUCAAUAAAGGGUAAAUAUGAAAGGCAGCUUUAUAUUAAGGAUUCCUAUGAGACACGCACUUUACAUCUUUGAUCCAAAAUGUACCAAAGCAUAUCAAAAUGUCAUCAAAGCAUAAAAGAAACUUCUCAAAUGGUCAAUUUACUCAGUGAAACUACUAUUACAGAGCGUGAAAAAUUACAAUUUUUUUCUCACCUCUUUAAAAAUCCAGCAGAAAAAUUAAAAAUUAAAAAAAAAAACUCUUGUUUCUCAUCUGUGAGCAGUGACCAGAGUCUCAAUAAACCUCAACCCAUCAAAUCUUGGAGCAAAUUUUUCUGUUGAUGAUGAUCUUUUUGUUGAAUUCUCAUGAUCUUUCUUUGACGAAACAUCCUGAAAUACAAAUUAAAAGAACUAUAAAUCCACAAUCUACGGAAUUAAAAAAAAAAAAAAGAAUCAACAAAAUUAAGCACUUGAUCCAAAGGUUGACUCCAGCAACAACUGUCUAACAAAGAAACAGAGAGAGAAAGAGUCGAAGACAGAAAAAAGAUUGAACCUGGAUCUAAACACUAAUUCCCGUAAACUAUUUUCUGUGCAAACAAUCAGUAAAAAUUCAAUCAAACGGACAGAAACAAAAGAAACCCAAUUCCCAAAAGGGGAAAUUUGAAAAUCUAAAAAUAGGGAAACCCAGGAAGGGAUUUGAAGAUUUACCUCAUGGGAAGCUUGAAAAUUUGAAUUGCAAGCUAAGUUUGUGGUGGAAGAAUCAGAUAUAGCUGUAGCAGAAGCUGCAGCAACUGAGGCUGCAAAGAGUCCACAUUUCUUCAUUAUUGCUAGGCGAUGAAAGAAUUUAUUUCCCGGAAAUCAGAAUUUUGGUGAGCACAAGUAUGCGUUUUCUUAGAGAGAGAGAAUGAGUGAGAGAGAGUCUCGUGUGGAGAAGUUAAUGUGUUUGACGGCAAAUUUAUAGUGCAGCCUUUCGAUUGGUUGGUGGUAGUUUCGAGCAUUUACGCGGCAACCGUCACGCCUUAUUCUUUUGAUUCUGAAAUUACGUUAUUAACCCUAGAAUUUGUUUGGAAUAUAUUUUAUUACCUAAAUACCCUCACUGUUUUGCUUUAUUGACAAUUUUCUUUUGCCACCUCGAAGAAUAGGAGCUGGCUAAAUUCGGCGCUGAUGUUUGUCCCGGGUCAAAUCACGAAACUUGGUUAAAACGACGAUGUUUGUUCUUUUUUUUUUUUGUUUCAAUCGCGUAAAACGACGUCGUUUGACUCAAGCAAAGACGAUGCUGGGUAGGAAAAUUUACAGAGGAAAGAAAACUAAACAGUAAGGAGCAGUACAAGGCACAAACAAGUUGACUAAUGUGGAGAAGCAAACUUUUCUUUUUACAGCCACAUAACAUUGAUAGGAGAUCAAAGGAACCCAUCAGUAGACAGAUCAAAAUCCAAAAUCACGUCUCAGCAAACAAGCUAGACAAAUGCCAUGCCAAGUAAGUGAAGUUCAUUGAAACUUUUCCUUGUGAUCAAGUACAAGUACGGUAAGGAAAACUUUGCGGCUGAUGCAUUAUCUCGAAUCGGCUUUCUCUUCGAAUUUUCGUUUCACCAUAGAACCUCAGAGAUAGAACUUCAGAUUUCUUGAACUUCAGAUACCUGCAGCUAGCCACAUCAAACAGUAGCCUAUAAUUAUAGAAGAAGAAGAAGGAAAGAAGUUCAAGAAAGUUGCGGCGGUGGCUGGGCUAACGGUGCGUUUGAUGGUGGCCGUGAAAGGGAAGAGGAAAGGAGGAAAGAUGAAGAAAGAAGUUCAAGGGAUUUGAUGCCAAACAAAGAGUAAAAGAAAGCAGCCAAAAUGACGUCACUUUAGGGAGAAAGAAAAAAAAAAAAGAUGAAACGGCGUCGUUUGCAUCAGUUUUGGGGUUUGACCCGGAAUAAAUAUCAUUUUUCGGAUAAGUUACAGAUUCUGUAACUUAGAGAUCCAACUGUAGCCAACUCAUAUUGCCUGCAUUUGCACGGUUUUUCUCUUUCCUCAGGACACGUGUGCUGCUUCCUAUUGGGUGUGUACGUUACAGAUUCUGUAACAUAGAUUGGUCCCCGAAGAAUAUGAUUUUUUUUCCUAUUUAAAAAGAGGGUCCAGCUAUCUUACAUAUAGGGUUUGGAACCCCAUUUUUUGUCUUUUUCAAAUUCACCUUUGGAUUUGGAUUUAACCGAAGAGUUGUAUAAUGGCUUAGAUUAGAUUAUUGGGUUAUUAACAUUAACAGUCCCUAUUGUUCAUGCAAAAUAAGAAAAAUCAAAAGUUUUAAAAUUAUGACAUAUAAGUUCAUAAUAUUCUAAUUUCUUUGACACUAUUGAAUUAGGUUUCCAAUUAAAUGACUUAUUGUUCAAUUUAUUAAUAUCUAUUUAAAUUAAUAAAUUUAGAUAUUAAUUAAUAAAUUAACUAAUUUAUUAUAUAGUUAAAUUAUGUAUAUUAUUUACUAACCAUAAUUAAUGAUAAAUAUAACAUAACGGGAACCAAUUUUCUCUCACCCAUGUGAAUAGGGUUCAAACCUCAAAAUCUUUUUUUUUUUCAAUACAAGAGAUUUUACUAUUUCAAGUAGAUGGAAUGUAUAAAAUACGAAAAUAAAUUUGAUUUCAUAUUUUAUGUAGUUAAUGUUUUAUAAUUUUUUUUGUAACAUAAUAAUUAUUUAACAUACUGUCAAUUAUUUAAUUAUGUAGUAAAAAUAUGUUAUUUACUAAUAAUAAUAAAAUAUUAAUUUAUGAAUUUGUAAAAUCAUUUUUGUUUGUUUGAACAAUGAGUUUUGUACUUUUGGUUGAGUUUUUGUCCUUAAAUAAAAAGAAUAAAUUUAAUUGCACACUUAAAUAAAUUGAUAUUUGUUACUCCACCCCAACAAUUUAAAUAGUCAUUAGCAUACAUCUAUCUUUUAUUAACUUAUCUGAGAGAAGGGUAAAAAAAAAAAUCUAAACAAUUACUCUAUUUAAAAAUAAUUUAAAUAUUUGUUUAGUAAAAAUAAACUAAAAAUAAGUAUUUUCUAUUAUUUAUUCUCUCUUACUAACAUCAGACAUGGAGAACAAUAGAGAUGGCAGUUCAACACAUAUCUAUCAAUUAAAAUAUAAGUCAAUUAGUAUAAUUAAUUGUGUCAUAAAUGAGUUAUCAUAUUAGGAGUUUUAAAACCGAACCCAAUACAGUUAUUAAUCGAGUUGACGGUUAGGAAGAGCAAACAAAUCCAUUCAAGUUGGAUAUCUAAGUAUUUGAUCUAAAUAGAUUGGAUAAUAUCCAUCCAAAAUACUUCGGAUUUGAUUUAUUUGAUAUCCAUCCAUGAACUUGAAUAUUAGUAAUAUUUAAGCGUACGAGGCUAAAAUUGAAUAUUAUAAUUAAUAUUUAAGUUGUAAAUUACAUUAAAAAAUCAAAAUAACAUUGCUAAAAAUUAUUGCACCUCAAUGACAACAAUGACGGCACCAUCACUAAAAAGUAGAAGUGAGUGAACAUAAAUAUAAAUACUAUCAACAGAUUCAAAAUUCUCCAAUCUAUGUAAUGGUGGCAAUGUUGUAGGAUAAAUGGAUAUGUUGGCGAUAGAUGUGUCUUCCAAUGCAAACAACUAUAACAAGACCCCAUGAUUAGACGACAUUUCAAUAUUCAUUGCCUUUAAAAACCAAAUGAGGUGAACGAAUCCCACAAUGAAAUUUUGAAACCCACACUUAAUUUGCAGUUUCAACUUCCCAAGAAAGUUCUAAAUAGAUUUAAGCGAAACAAAAAUCUUGACCCAAUGUUUAAGAAAACAUGAACCAGAGGUAUAGAGAAGGUGAGUGAUAAGUCUAUUUUGGAACGCCACAAGAAUGUAAAUAAAAGAUAAGUUCACUAGUUCUCAAAAGAACCAAAGAAAGAAUGAUCUUUCAAAUUCAAAAUAACAUUCAUCUCUAAUUGUCUUACAUAGCAAGGUUGCUGAGUUUAAAUAAGCUAAUAGAAACCCAAGAUCCUAAAAAUACAAAUGAAAACAUUAGAACAACCUUCCAAGUAUAGGUUUGUCAAAGAAUGCUUCAAAAGUCUUCACCAACUCACCAUUAGUAAUGCUAGUCAUUGACAAACUUAAUGUUAACCUACCAUAAUUAAUGCUAUCAUUGACAAACUUAAUGUUAGCCCACCAUUAUUGAUGGUAGACUUACCUUACACAUUGACAGACUUAAAACAAAACAAACAAAUGAAGUUGAAUAAACAAAAGAGUCGUUGGAAAUCCCAAGUCUGAAUAAGCUGUAAUAAAUUGGUCAUAACUCCUUCUAGAGAACUCCAAAUCGAACUCUGUAAAUUGCAUUGAAAAGUUAAUUUAAUUAUCUUUUCAACGGAAUAUAGCUGGCACAUUACUUCUAACUUAAUCAAUACCAGUUUUAUUUCGAGUUUGCCUUUUUUGCAUUGGAUCCAAAUUGUGUAUUCGGUUGCCCAAUAGCUUGAAUAAUGCCCACAAUGCCUUAUCUUCUCUCCAAGCCUAAUUCAUGAUGUCUUGCUUCUUGAAUUACAUUUUCAAUCCAUAUUUUCUCAAUUAAUCCAUUUAAAGCAGCUUGCAUCUUUUUGGCUCUAACUCUUGUAAUUGAGCCUCCAUGAAUGUGCAAAGGAUCAAUUGAAUCUUUAACGGUAUUCUCUUGAUUCCCUUGAUGGUUCUCAUCAUGAGGAUCUCUAAAUUGAAAAGACGAUGGUAGUGUAAUGUAACUUGUGUUUUUAUGGCGUAAUUAUGGUUGCAAUUAUUUUGAAAGGGGCGUGCAACUCUACAUGUCACCAUUUUCUGGCAUUGCGAAUAUAAUUGUAUAGAUCAUCCAAUUUCAAGUCUAAUGGUACCCUUCAUGGCCCCUUUUGAUUAAUAAUGUCAUUGUACGCGAGGAAACAGUGGUCACUAGUGAUUGUCUAUAUUUUUUAAUGUAAAAUAUCUUUUUGUAAAUAAUUAAAAAUAAGAGUAAUAAUUUUAUUUUAUUAUUCUAAUUCUAUAUUGAAAAUAAUUUUAAUUACCUUUUAAUUAAAAUGGGUGAGAAAAAUGAUGUCAUUGAUGGUGCAAAAUGGGUGAGAAAUAAGGAUGGUAAUUUAAACCCAGAUCCAGCCUGGACCCGGACAAACCCGGAUAAUUCAAGUUGGGUUUAACUUGUAUCGGAAGAAAUCAAAUUCGAAAUCCAGAUGUAAUUUGAACCCGGACAUAUCCGGGUCCGGUUCCGAAUUUGGUUGAACCCGCAAAUCCGAAACUCAAACCUGAAUGUAUUUGUUUUUAUAUUAGUUUUGCUUACUAUAAAUUAAAACAAUGGAAAAAAAUAGCCUUGCCCUAGUUUCAGUUUCACAGUGGCACUGCCAAAGCCGAAAGCCAAAUAUUUCCUCAUCAAAUUACCGUGAAUCGUGUUGUGUUCCUCUUCCUUACUGCCAAAGCCCGAAUCAAAUUGCUGAUAGUUAUCACCAAAGACAACAAUACAGUCGAGAAAAAGAAGAAGAAGGCGAAGAUGACCAAUCCUAAAGCAUAUCCAUCUCGAUAUCGAUAUCUCUAGCAAGGCCACGGGCAAGUAGUUUCAACAACGAUAUUUUUGAAAAGUUGGCCCAAGAACGUGAUUUCAUUCAUUUUAGGUUCUGAUUAUUGGAAGGGUAUUGGAUUGUGAUUUGAUGGGAGUAUGAACAAGGCAAUUACAGAACAAGUAAAGUGUUGAGUGUUAUAAAAUGUAUAUUUAUAAAGGAGAAAAUCGUCAUUUUACAUUUCAAGUGUUACUAACACCCUUACUUUUAUGUAUUUAAGCUUCUUGUGAUUUAAUUGCGUGUGUUCUGUUUUAAUUAAGUAUUUUAUGUAUUUUAGGAGCAUCAUGGUCAUUUCACAAUGAACGAGAAAUCAGACGACAAAACAUACAUAACUUUUAAACUCAGGACAGUCGAAAACCUUAGGAGGAGUAUAAAAGGAAAAAUGUCACUGUUCACAUGUACGACACUAUUCACAUGUACGAUACUGUCCAUGUUAUUGUUCACGACACUGUUCACAUAUACGGAACGAUGACAUGGCAUUGACCGAUGAUGUGGCAUUGACUGAUGAGGUGUCACGAUUCUAUUGGACAAAAUUCUUAUACACUGUUGAUUGGCAACGUGGCAGCAUGUUAGUGGACUAAAAAUCGCGCGUACGGUACAUGCAUAUACACAUGAUUAUUUUCAACCAAACUGCGUCACUGUUCAAGUCGGUUGACUGUUCAAACCGUGUGGUCAAACCGUGUCACUGUUCAAACUGCGUGGUCAAACCGCAUACUAUUGAUUGAUGAUGCAGCGCAAUCAUGAGCGUCCAAACUGUUUUUAAUCCGAUGACCAUGAUUUACUCAAUGUAUCUAUAAAAAGGGGGCCUCCCCCCCUAAUUUGGUAUCUCUGAAUUCAUUUUUGAGUUCUAUUUUCUGUAAUUCCUUCUCCAUCUUGUAUUUUCUACGUAUUUUAAUAAAUUUCCAUUUUGCCCCUAGCUCAAUUAUGAGUAGCUAAUUUUCUUUCAAGCUUGGGUUGAAGGUAAAGUCUCAACAUGUGCCAUAGGCUUUAUUUGGUAAAUUUAUUUUCUCUUCCCCUCUAAUUUUUGUGGAUGUUUUGACUUUUCGUAGACAAAUAAUAAUAAUCUUGUCUAGAUAUCGUCCUAGUUUCACCGGCUCCCUAGUACAAGGUUAUUAUUAUUUGGCACGAUAAGCCCUUAGCACCAUAUUGAUUAGAGUGUGGUUCAUGAGGUGUGGAUACCCCCAUCAUGAUUUAAUUGACACUAAUAAGGAAUAUUUAGCCCAUGGUACAUGUUGAUGCGAAUCUAAAUACCCAAGUGCUUCAUUUAAAUAGAUUUCUCUUCAAUUUAUUCUCGCCAUUUUAAUUUAAAUUUUAGAAUAUUCCAAAUCAUUUUCACUACAAAUCCAAUCACCCAUUUAGAAAAAUUAAUUCUACACAUAAUUAAAAUUCACCUCCUCGUGGGAUCGACACUCAUCACUAUUAAUCUAUUUUACAAUAGAUUCGUGCACUUGGGAGUUCAAUAAAAUUUGCACAACAUAAAGGCUAUAAAUGAGAUUUUGAAAAUUUCUUUUUUCCCUUUUAAGAUUGUGAAUUGGAGAAGCUUUGGAUUUUGGUUGAGUGAUCUUGUUGAUAAUAAUCCUGGCUUUAGUUAUUUAAUGUUCAUGACUUCAUCGUUUAUUCCUUACAGGUUGCAGCAAGUAAAGUUUGAUGAAGGGUUUUUCAAAGCAAAUGAGAGAAAUUAGGUUCCAAAAAAAAAAAAUUAACUGGGUUUAAAAACUGGAUAUUUCCUAGUUUAACCCUUACUGGCCCCUCAGUAAAAAAAUUUCAGUUUUUGUCCAGAUCUAGUAAGAUGAAUUGUCAUCCAAGUCCGAAAUCGGAAAGGCCAAACCCAAACCCAGACUCCGAUUUUGUCAUUCUUAGUGUAGGUGCAGGAAUAAUGUGUAAAAAUUUAAAAGUUUUUAGAUUUUUUGUUUUCAUAACAAAUAAUAGGACUCCAUUGUAGUUGACCUUGAAAAAAACAAAAAGAAGGGGUACCAAACCUAUGUUGCAACGUAAUUUUACUCUUCAAAAGAUGGUAAGAUAAUCAUUAUUAUUAUUUUUAAAUAGGGUAAGAUAUUUGGCUUGACACUACACGGAUCAUUACUUUCCCUAAAUGAAAAUAAGUUAAAUUUGGUCAAAAAUUAUUCAUAUACGUAUAUCUUUAUUGGGUGUGAUUAAGUUACAUUAUAUUGUAAUUUAUAUCAAUUUAAAACUUAUAAUCUAAGAAUAUUUGAUAAUUAAAUUACAUUUAACUUGUUUUGCACAAUUCUUAAACUAAUAUCAACUACACUAUUAUGUAACUUAAUAAAGUCCAUCUUUUCUAAAAUAACAGAUCUAUAUGGGGUGUGGCACCAAAGCCGGAAGCUCAAAACUUGUGAAAAAAAGGGGAAAAAAAGAUAGCACAACAUGACACUAGGGAUAGCAAUGGAGCCCAUAAAUUCGCCUGUCCAAACUUGUCCGCCAAAACCAGCCUGCUAUGUGUAAUUUUGUGAGUUGCGAGCGGGUUUGAUAUCACAAAUUAAAACCUGCAUUGGGUUGCGGGCGAGUUUGGCAUAUGCUAAAUAUCUGCAGGUGUUUGCCAAACCGCACUUUUUUUUCAAUUAUUUUUUAAAUUUUAAUACUUGUUAUAAUUAUUAUAUACAAAUUAAUUUUAUUAUAUAAUUAUGGAUGAUUAUUAGUUAUUAUAUAAUUAUGGAUCAUUACAUAUUAUAAUUUUAUUCUUCAUAUUAGAGUUUGGAAAAUAUCAAUGUUCAGAAAAUAUUAAUCUUAAAUCGUUAUUGUAGGAAUCAUAUUGAAUGGGUGAUAAUAGUGAUGAAUAAAAUGAAAAUCUUAAUUCCUGAAACUUAUGUUGAAUGAGAAUAUGAGAUGAUAAAUUUUUAUGGUACAGUGAUGCUACUUUUGUAUAAUUGUGUUAUUACUUUUGGAUAUUAGUUUGUGUUUUUUCUUUUUUCUUUUUUAUCUGAAAGCAUUUUGCGUUUUGAAGGAUUUGCAUAUUUCAUAUUUAACUUGAGAAUUAGUUUUGGAUUGAUUUUUAAAAUUUAAUUUUUUAUUUACAUUUAUUAAAUUUAGAAUUGAGUUUUUUUGUGAAAUUUUAUGUUAUUGAUAUAAAUUUACAUAUUGAGUUAUAUAAUUUUAAUUUUUUUAGUUUUAUUAAAAGUAUCUUUCAACUUUUUUAUUUUAAAUAUAGGAACUUACAAAAAAUCUAUCGGGUACCAUAAUUAUCAAAAUAAAAUUUAUCGGGUACCAUAAUUAUCAAAAGGGUAAUUUUUAAAAACCUCCCCUGAGGUUUGGGCUUGUUGCAAGUAGAUGGCGAGAAUCUGUUUAUUUGUAAAAAAACCCCCUACCGUCAGUUAAUUUUAACAUUGACCGUUAGUUGACUGUGCAAAGACAAUAUUGCCCUUAACAAUAGUUUGUAGACUGACAUAACUAAAAAAAAAAACUAAAAUUGUUGGCGCGAAAAGUACAAACCCUGUUUUUUGACAAUUUUAUCCUUAUCAAUUCCAAAAAUUUACAAUAUCAUAGGUAAAGAUUAUGACUAUUUCAUUUUCAAGUUUUUUAUUUUAUCUUUCUUGUAUGAACUUUAAGGAAAUAUCAAUAAUUUAAAGAGGAUUUUUCAAGUUUUUAAUUUUAUCUUUUUUGUAGGAACUUUAAGAAAAUAUCAAUAAUUUAAAGAGGGUAAAAUAACCAACAAUUUUGGUUUUUUUUUUAGUUAUUUCCAUCUACAAACUAUUGUUAAGGGUAAUAUUGUCUUUGCACAGUCAACUAACGGUCAAUGUUAAAAUUAACUGACGGUAGAGUUUUUUUACAAAUAAAUUAAUUCUCGUCAUCUACUUGCAAUAAGCCCAAACCUCAAAGGAAGUUUUUAAAAAUUACCCAUUAUUAAAAUCCACAGUAAAUAAGUUUUUUAAAAGAAUUAAAAUCCACAAUAAAUUACAGGUAACUUUAAUAAUUUAAAUUUUGUGCCCCUGUGGAAUCCAACACCAAGAAUACCCACAGUGGAUCAUUAUGAAAGAAAGAUUUUGACUACUUGAAAGACAACGUUUUACUGUAGCAUUGCGAUCCGGGGCAAUUACGUAAAAUUAUAUGGAAGUUAUUUUUCGCGGCACAUCGAUGUUGAUUAUUUCUAGAAUUCUCCUAAUACGCUGAUAUUUUUUUCAUUUCCCAGUCAAUAAUUGGAGGCCACGUGGAUGGAUUACAUUAUCCCACGUAGGCUUCACGAAUUUCAUAAGUUGUGUGAAAGGUCUAGAUUUUCGGCUGAGCGACAGAUGCAAAGCGCAACGAAGCUAACAACGACAGCUCGUUAAUUAUAAUGGAGUUUUUUCAAAACUGCUCCUUUAGCAUGACAUAUUUACUGUACAGUCCUAGUUAUUAAUUAUUAUACAUUCAUAUAUUUAUUAAUUUAUUCGUUACAGGACGACCGUUUAGCUUCUAGAAAAAAUUUUCUUCAAGGAUCUGUCAUAAUUGUUUGGCCUAUUAUGCUAAUCGGUCAGCCUAUUACAGGCUAUUGUAUUUUAGUCCACCCAAUAUUUUUUUAAAUGAUAGAAUAUCCUAAAAAUUUUAAAUAUUUAUAAAUAAAUCGAGAGGCUUGAAAGAAAAUAUUUUUGAUAAAAGAAAUUGAAUUUCUAUUUUCUUCAGGUAUUUUUAAAGCACAUUUAUCACCAAACCAUAAUGUACUAAAAAAUUUAAGAAUUUUGGUGAAUAUAAUGCAUAAAAGGUCUUUGAGUUCAAAUUUCUAAUCAUACAUAAUUGUAGACAAACUAGCUUUACAUGAAAAAUUAAAAAAGAAGAUAUAACCUAAACUAGUGUUUUGAGUAUGAGGCUUGCCUCAACGAACCAUUUCCAUGAAUACCAGAUCUUGUUCUCACAUACAUGAAUCUUGAGUUUGAAAAUCUAAUGAAAUUAAAAAAAUUCUUUUCCUUAAUAUCCUUAACAAAUAGUUUGUUAUUAUCAAAAUCAAAGUUUGCGUAACUACUUGGGUUAAUGCUAACCCUCUCAAAGAAUGAAGUUGAAAAAUUGAGAAUUUAAAGAUUUGGAAAUUGAUAACCACUAAAUAAAAAAUUUGAGAGGAAAGAUUAGACUUAGACAUGGAUCACUAUUAAAAAUUAUUUAUUUUAAGAAUAUAUAGAGGUUGGAUUUUGGUAAAUACAAAUAACUUGAAGGACUUUUUGAACUAUCUUAUUAUUUAACUUAAUAUAUUGUAUAUUGAUUUUUUUUUUAAUUUUCUUACAAGGGUCACGAUCCAUGCUGGUCUUUUAUGGUGUUGCCCCUAUUCGCAUUAAUAGUUUUAAGAUUAAGGUUACUUUACAAAAUUAGUUCACUUACUAUUGUUUCUUGCUUUAGCAGCUAAAAAGGGUGCUUAUAAUAUGCACACGCUGGUGAAUGGGGUGCUCAACACGAAGAUUUUGCCUUAAGCUCAAUUGCUUGUAUAGUCUUUUAGUCUAGCACUGACAUAUUAUUUACGAGAAUUUACAUUUAAAAUAUCUUUUUCUUUCAAGGCUUUUAAUUUAAAAGAAAAAAGAGGGCACUUUCAUAAUUUUAAUCUUUUUUUUUUUUACUAUUUUCACAGAUUUUCCUUUAUAUUUAUUAAUGUGUAUUCACUGGGGACAAUGAAUAUACAUGUAAGGCUUCAAAAUAAUGUGUCAAAACAGCAUUAUCAUAGAUUUUUUAUGUCAUUACGAGAGAAAUUACAAGAUGACAAAUUUCCUUUGCAAAAAAGACAAAGCAUUUUCACCUAUCUCAAAAAGGCUUUGGCUAAGUUACGUUAAACGUAACUUACGCCAGAUACAGCAACAAUACUAGUGAUGGGACUUGUCACUGUUGUUGUGCCUGGCGUAAGUUACGUUUAACGUAACUUAGCCGGCUCCUCUCAAAAAUGCCCAGAUCCUGCGCUUUGCUGGCAAAUCAAAACAUCUAAGCCCAAGAUUUUUUAUUGUUAUUCUAGUGGUUGUCAUUAGCCAACAACAUCUAGUAUUAAUCAACCACCUUUGUGCUUCACACGCGUCACACCAACUAUUUUUGUCCACCAAAUUUGUUAGUUUUAAUUGUAUAUUUAUUUAUUAGUGGUUGGGGUCAUUGCGUGGUUCGGUUGGAAACUUUUUACAAGUGAAUACGUUACGUGGUAAUAGGCAAUGGUGAGUUGAAAUGCGGACCCUUUCUGUUUUCUGUUGAAACCAAACAUGACAUGUUCACUUGCGAGUUGCGAUGGCGUCAAUUGUUAUAAUCGAGUUAGCCGUAUGAUUGGUAAACAUCAAUAAGAGAAGAAAGCCGAGGUACCAUUUCUUUGCAAAAAACUUAAAAGAGGAAAAAAUAGUUUGACGAAUUCAAUAGAUAAUACAAUCUAACAAGAAAAUGGGUGUUGAUAUGGAUCAAAACUGUGCAAUUUUUGUAAAUUUAAAUAGCAUAAAAGAUAUCUCCAACUAUUGAUUAUUCAAGUAUUUAAACCUCUCUUCAUGUAUACAACAAAGGUAUCUUUUAACCUAUUUCAUUAAUAGUCAAAAUUAUAAUGGAAAACUAAUUUUUGCUACAAGCAUAAUUUGGCUAGGCUAGGAGUCCCUUUAUAUAACAAAACUUUGUAAUUAGACACUUGUAAAUUCCUUCUAAUUAAAAAAAUUAAUAAAUGAAACUUUAUACUCCCUUUCAUUAAAGAAGUUAUGAAUCUAAUCACUUUUAACACUUUCGUUAUUAAAAAAAUAAUUAAGUUUCACCACCAUUUAAAAGACGAGCGAGUGAGUGAUUAAUAUAAGUUUAUAUUUUUUCAAAAGUGUAAUAAUUUAUUUAUUUAUCAUAUUAGCUAUAAUUAAAAUAAAUCUAACAAUUUUUUGUUUCUGGUGCGGGGUUGAAAUUUAUCUAUAAUAAUGCUUGAAUUUGAAGGUAUGCACGCCGCAUAAAAUGAUUGCACUAAGCUUUGAAGUGAAAAAAAAAUUGUGCUUCAUGAGGUCAAAUAACCAAAUAAAUAUUCCAAGGUUGGAAAAGGUUAAAUAUCUUUUAGUCAAAGCCAUAAAGCCAAUAGAAAUGACACACAUACACACAAAACAACGGUAGAAAAGAAAGCAAUGUACAACAAAUCAUAGCCGACCACUGCACAUGACAAUGAAAGAGAAUUCCACAACUGACUUAGAUUCAAUCUUGAUUAGUUCUUCGUUAUAUUAUUAUUAUUAUUUAGCAAUGUUAAGGCAUUAGCUCACAUGAGCGCGGCAAGCUCAUAUGCAAGCUGCAUGAAGACAUUUGCAUGUGAAAGAAAACAAUAACACAUAUGCCCAAGGGGGCAAUACCAACUCAUGACCAAGCAAGAUGAGCAAAUUGGUGCCAGUGCAAGACUGAAAAAAGUUGGGUGACUUCUUUAUACCACCACGUUAGAAACUCCUGGGGAAGAACAAGUUGAUUUUGUGACGGCAACUGUUGUGGUCCUUAAUAGAGCUGGUUAGGUUGAUCUGAGUUUUGCUUCAAUUGUGGGCCUAAAAACUCCUGAGUACCUUUCAAGCAAAUCGACAACAUCUAUGUUCAUAAAAAUCCUCUUAAGUUCUUUGUUGGAUAGUAAAUUUUAGAUAACUAGGAAAAUUAAUAUUUUAACGUCUAACACAUGAACACCAUAGUAUUUGAGACCUUAGUUGGAUUUCAAUUGUUUGGAUCCCUACUCCCUAGUAACACUCAUUUAUCAAUGAGAUACAUAAGUCGUUCACCAAAAUAUGAGAAAAGAAAAAUUAUCAAUCAUCCGCCUUAAGUUAUCAUGGUAUAAAAAAUUCUAUAAAAAAUUAAAUUUGUUAAAAUUUUCACCUUAAGUUUGUAAUUUGUAUCAAUUGUCCACCAAAAAGUUAAUUUAUUUUCAUAAUUGAUGAUGAGUAAUUGGUAGUGUCAUUAGAGUGCACCGGAUUUAAAACAUUAUUAACAAUAUAAACAAUUAGUACAUAGCGAGUAAGGAUCGAUCCCAUGAAAACUAUGCUAAUUGUGUUUAUUAUCAACUCUGAAACAAAGACUUAAAGUACUAAUGACGAUGAUGAUGAUGAUAAAAUAUAAAUUAAUCUAACUAAAGAAAAUGCCAACUAUAAAUAAAGGGGGUUUUAUGAAUUUUUAACUAAAUUGCAAGAAAUAAAGAAACUAAAAUUACAAAAAUAAUAGUUUAAUAAAAACUCUAAUUGAAGGAGAAAUAAAUAGUAAUGAUUAAAAUUUUGGUCAAAGGAUGAUUCGCCACCAUCAAGCAUGCACAUAAUCAAUAUAUCAAUUCUAUCAUCAAUUUCUAUUAAAACUAUUAACCGUAGAUAACAAUAAGCUCUGUUAAUCUUAAUUUUUCCUUAAUAUGUUAGGCAGAACAAGUUCUUCACCUAAUCUCUAAUUAUUAAAUAAUUUAAAACAAGCUCUUUAAAUUUGAGAUAAUGGAAGCAUUAAUGCUGUGUUUACUUGCUGGAGUGGGAGUGAGGAGUGUGGAUUCCUUCCACUCCAGCGUUUACUUCUUUAAAAUGGGAAGGGAUUGGAAUCCCACUCCGUGGCCCCACUCAUUUUAGAGUGGGGAGUGAGAGUGGUGGGCCCCACUCAUUUUUGGAGUGGGGAGUGAGAGUGGGACUUCUAUUGGGGGAAUUCCCACUCCCACCUCUCCCUUUUUUACCAUUUUAUUUUUAAUUUAAUUUAAUUUAAUAUUUUAUAAUUAAUAAAAUAAAAUAAAUAAUAAUAUAUUUAUUUGAAUAAUAAUAUUAUAUUUAACUAAAUAAUAAUUUGCAUUGAUUGUAAGUUAAAAUUAUUUUAAAAUAAUAUUAUUAUAUUAAUAGAGAAUUAAUAAAUAUAAUAUUAUUGUAUUUAUUUUAAAAAUAAUAGUACUAUAUUUAUUUAAUAUUAAUAAUAAUAAAUAGUUUAUUCUAAGAAAAUAUUAAUUUUGUACUAAAUAAUAUUAUAUUAUUAUUUUAUAUAAUAAUAAAUUUAAUAUAAUUAUAUUAAAUAAAAUAAAAUAAGGUUUCAUUUUAUAUUAAAAUUAAAAUUAAUAAUUUAUUGUUCAUAAUUAAGAAUAUUAAUAAUUAUAAUAAAUUUACAAAUAUAAUAAAAUAAAUAUUAUGCAUUAAAUAUAUUUUUUAUUAGUUUUGUAAUUAAAAACUAUAAUUCUUUAAAUAAGGAUAAAAUUGUAAUUUGAAACUAUUUACUCCCAAUCCAAGACAAAGUAAACACAUAAAUUGGAUUCUGAUCUCUAUUCCAUGCUUCCAUUCCAAUGUAAGUAAACAACCUACUCCCACUCCCACUCCAAACUCCCAAUCCUAGGAUUCCCACUCCUCAGGAUUCCCAAUCCAAUCCAAGAAGUAAACGCUACCUAAGUAGAUAAAGAUAUUAGGUUGAUUUAGGCAAUAAACACACAAACUUGAAUUAUUUAAUCUAGGUUAUGUUCUCCAAUUGAAAUAACUGAUUCCAAUUUGCUACUAAUGAUUAAAAUAUCAAGACAAUUACAGAUCAAAUAUUUUAAUCUAGUGAUAGAAUUUACUCAAAUCCUAUCUAAUUGGUCACUCAAAUAAGAUAAGAAUAAAAUCAUAAACAUUAAUUAUAAAAGAAUAUAACAAUUUCAAUUAAAUAAAUUGAAUGAUAGAAAUUGAUUUUUUCUCACAUGACAUGUUUAGGGUUUUGAAUUCACCCUCAACCAAAUAAAAAAUUUAACCUAACAUAAUUGAGUUGGGAAUAAAAGAGUUGAUAAAAUCAAUUAUGGAGAUUAAUCCAAAAGGCUGACUUUGCUUUCGUCUAUAUUCGACAGUGCUGCUCCAAUUUAAUACCUUUGGUUUCUCACCAGUGGCGGAUCUAGAAAAAUAAUUUACUGGGGGCUAAAUUAAGUAAAAACAAAAUAUAAAAACUGAAACUUGAAUAUAUAAAUUUUUUGAUAACAUAUUUACAAUUGUUCUCUACACGAUUUCAUAUUCUGACUCAUUAUCAACACUAUUAAAUACAUUUUUUUUUCUAUAUAAACAAUCAAAUUAUCAUUCAUCCAUUCAUCUACUAUCUUAUUCUGAAGUUCAUUUUUCACAAAUUUCAUUAUUGAAAAUGUUCUUUCUACUGUGACUGUAAAAACUGAAAAAAAACAUAACUAUUUGAUAAUUUAACAGAGAUUAUUUAAAAAUUUAUUAAUUUUUCUUUUAAAUAAAAAGGGGUAUUUUUUUUUCAGUGGGGGCUUGAGCCCCCACUAGUCCUACAUUGCAUCCGCCUCUGUUUCUCACUUAUUUUUCUCUUCAUAUGGCUGCCUCCCACUCUUCGGUGUGUGCCGCUUUUUUUUUUUUUUCCUAUUGUGUGUGGCUGCUCCAAAUGCCAAUAACCACGCCUUUAUACAAUGAUUUCAAAAACCAACCCAAGCAAGGCAAGAUUUUUGCAUGCGAUCUUUUAAAUUGGUCAUGUAAAUAUUGCAUGCAACUUAUAAAGUCAUGCACACUAGAUAAAUUUCUAUUUUUUGCAUGCUUGUCCCCAAGGUCUUCAUUAAUUCCACAUGAUUGCAUAAGCUUCUGCAUGUGUAUGAAUUAAUUUAUUGGCUUCAGUUUGAUAGGCUUGAAUUCCACAUGCAUGUAUGCUAAAUUGAUUCUAGUGCUCCACGUAUGCAUGCAUGAUGGAUAAUUAAAUUGCAUCUUCCUUUACUUGUUUUAAUUAAAUUUCUUUACUCCUUCCCCCUUUUAAUUCUUUAAAAUAUAUUUAAAAUUAAAAAAUACAAAAAUCAAGAUAAAUUAACACAAUAAAAUAUAAUUUAAUGAAAUAGCUAAACUAAAAAUUAACUAAAAUAAUUAGAAUAUUUAAGACUAAAACAAGAAAAAGAUUGAGAAAUCAAGUAGUAAAAUAUUGAGAAAAUAUGCACUUAUCAAAUUCUCCCACACUUAAUCUUUACUCAUCCUCGAGCAAACCUAAAAAAAAAAAAAGAACAGAUAGAAAACUUAAACUAGUCCCCUUUCAUAGAAGUCAUGCAAAUGUAACAAGCCUUUAAACCCCUAGGCAGCUCUAGUGGACGAGUUAUAGUCUCAUGAGGGCUUCAUGGAUGAUACCCAAAAACAUAAUUUUUUAAUUUAAAUAGCAUAAAAAGAACAAAAAAAAACUUGAAAUAAACCAUAAAACUAACCUAAAAGAUUGCAUAAGUUAUAUAGCUCAAAGAAAAUUUCAAAUUUGUCUAACUUUAAUUCAAUAGUCAAUCUCAUCUUUCUUUUUAUUCUUAUAAUUUGUGUGUGAAUCAAUUCAAUCAAAAUCCAUUCCCCAACUCUUUAAUAUCAACAACCUUUGCCUUGAACAAAAAAAAGAGUAGGACAAACUAAUCUUAUCAUCUUGAUCUCCAAUUUUUUUUUUUCUCUCAUAGGCAUUUAAGUGCAUUUUCUUUUGAUUUUUCUUUUUACCACAUGCACUUGAUUGAUUUUUUUAAAUAAAUAUCCAUAGUCAAAAGCCUUCACUCUACCCCUUAAGGUAGAUUUCCUCUCAUUGUAGAUUAUCUUCUACAUAAGAAUAACUUCACUCUUAAGGGUUAUAGGUAGCUAUUUCUGACUAUGUUGCUUGUGUAUAUUACAUUAUAUUGUGCAGAUAAAAAUCAAGACAAACGCUUAUCUACUUGAUCUAAAAUUCUCAACUCAGGCUCUAUUAAUCCUAAAUUUUAAGUCAAAAUUAUGAAAGAAUUGACAUUAGUGCUUAUGAUGUUUUAAAGAAGCUCAAUUAAGAGGAAAUCGACAUAAGAAUCAAGUAUAAAAUAAGACAAUAUUCAACCAUUUUUUAGAACCAUAUUCAUUGUCAAUCAAGUUGUUAUCAUUGGUUUUUAUUCAGGGCAAACAAUUUUUUUUUUGGUUUAUUGUUUUUCUAUUUAGAAAAAGCCAAAGCAAGAAAAACUAAGUUUGAAAUCCUCCCUCUCACAGGUAAUUCUUACAUUAUCCUCAAUGUAAGCUUAAUUUCACAGGCCGCUCAAAUCUCCUGCAAACGGAGGCUAAUUUUGUGCACGUGAUUGCACUUAGUAAAAGUCCACCUAAACGAGGAAUGCGCUUAGAAGCGGGAUGCGCUUAGCACUAAAAGGCGGGAUGCGCUUAAAAGUUGGAUGUACUUAGAAAUGAACCGCCAACACAAGUAGCCAACCGUGGUGCGCUUAGCGAUCAUCCAAGCCCGGCCCAAAUUCUAGACUUCUCUACAAUUGUAAAUAUCGUAGAGUUUUCUAGAAUUGAGCAUUUAAGUCCAAGAGAUAUUUGUGCAAGUUGCUAGGAAACUUUAAGAACCUAGCACCCAAGCCUAUAAAUAGGGGUGAGCCCUCUCAUUUGCUCAACAACCACACCACACACACAAACUCUCCAGCGCACACACAAGCCCUCUAAUUCUGGUAAAAAACUCUCUUUGUAAUUUACUCUUUGUGUGUAAUAACAUUAUAUUUUGGCCAUAUCGCUCUCUUCUCUCUAGCAUUUCCAUAAAGCAUUCUUGCUUGGCUAGUUGAGAAGUUUGAAAAGGUGCACUUAGUGACUUGUGUGCUAGAAGUCGAAUAAGUGCCGCACAGGUUUGCUGCACAAAACUCUCAUCCCAUGAAGAAGUGGUAUCAGAGCUAAGGUUUGCACCCGCGCAAGCUAGCUCAACGAGCAAUGGGGUCAACCUUCCUAGAACAACACAAGAGGGCGUAGUCGGUGUGUAGUCACUUGAGCCAACUUAUGGCCGCGAGGAGGGAUGCACACAAGCUAAGUCCUGCGGCAAUUCCAAGGCCGCUUCUGUGGAUGCCUUGGAGCCUUGCACCGCCACACUUGAAAUUUUGAUAUCCAUUGUCCAAGACACCCUCGAUACUUUGGAGGUAAAGGUUGACAGUCUCGAGGGCGAGUAUGGUGAGUUCACGGUAGCCACUAAGACUUUCAUGCAAGACCAAGUCAACUCUCUCCGAAGGGAGUUUCAAGCAUUCUAUGAUGAGUUGCUGAAAUUGCGUAGCUUCGUAUAAAGCGAGCUACAAGUGAUCCAUACGGAGGUUGAUGAGGUCCGCUUGGAUUGGGCUUGGCAUAAGCGCACACUCUCCGCUAGCCCGACUUCGACAAGCUCGAGUGAUGCGUGUAGGAUCGACAUGCCUAAGCCCAACACCUACAAAAGUGCAUGCAAUGCCACCGUCGUCGAUAACUUCAUAUUUGGGCUGGAGCAAUACUUCAAUGCCAUGGCUCUUCAUGACAAGGCAUCGAAGGCAGGCAUUGUGCCUACAUUCCUUCGAGGUGCCGCACAACUAUGGUGGCAGCGAAAGCAUGGCGAGAUGGGCAAGGGCAUAUCUGCCAUCAACACAUGGGUUGAGUUCCAACACGAACUCCCUUAUUUCUGUCCAAAAGGGUUAAUCGUUUAUUAAGUAAACGACAAUCCGUUUUCUUCAACUUAUGAUUUCGCACAUCUUUUUUAUUUUUUGGCCAACAAUUAAUCCAUUCCAAGAUCAUUUCAUUGAUCCAAAAUAUUGUAAAGGCCAAUUUAAUGCAUCUUUCAUGAAUUCACACGAUUCAAACAACCAAUUCAAAUAAGUAAUCACAUCAUUUUAAAACAAAAUAGACUUGAUAUCACAUAAAAUUAUACUAUUGUGCAAUAUUCAUCAUUCCAAGUUCAUGCUUAAUUUUAGUAAAUUGUUCUUCGCUAAAGGGUUUAGUGAAAAUAUCAGCAAGUUGUUUUUCAGUUGAAAUAAAAUUUAAUGAAAUAUCCGAUUUUUUAACAUGAUCCCUUAAGAAAUAAUGUCUAAUCUCUAUAUGCUUGGUUCUUGAAUGUUGGAUAGGGUUUUUUGGCAGGUUUAUGGCACUAGUUUUGUCACACAUGAUAGGUAUUUUAUCAAGGUAAAUGCCAUAGUCUCUAAGAGUUUGUUUCAUCCAUAUGGCUUGAGCAUAACAACUUCCGGCUGCAACAUACUUAACCUCAGUAGUUAAUAGUGCAACCAAAUUUUGUUUCUUGCUUAAACCAAGAGACUAGAAAGUGACCUAAAAAGUGACAUGUUCCACUAGUACUUUUCCUAUCAACCUUAUAUCUCGCAAAGUCGGCAUCUGAAUAACAUGUUAAGCCUAUAUGUGAUCCCUUAGGAUACCAAAGGCAAAGAUCUAUGGUUCCACUCAAGUAACGAAAAAUCCUUUUCACUACAAGAAAAUGAGAUUCUUUAAGACAUGAUUGAAAUCUUGCACAUAGGCAUACACUAAACAUAAUAUCAGGUCUCCUAGCAGUCAAGUGGAGUAAGGAUCCAAUCAUACCUUGAUAUGUUUUGACAUUAACUUCCUUACCUUUUUCAUCCUUGUCAAGCUUGGUUGUUUAGCUCAUUGAAGUAUUUUUUAUCUUUCCAUCUUCAGGUUUGAACCUCUUGAGUAAAUCUUUCAGAUAUUUGGCUUGAUUGAUGAAAAUUCUUUCUUCAGUUUGUUUUAUUUGAAGUCUAAUAAAGUACUUCAAUUCUCCAAGCUCAACAGGCUUGAGGAUUUCACUAAGCAAGUCUCUAAGGCUUCAACAACACUUACAAUUGACUUUCAAGGUGUCAAUAGACCUUUACAAUAAGAGAUUAUUCCCCAAUUCUUAACCCAAGUGUAUCUCAACACUUACAAUCACUCAAAAAUAAAGAUUACAAUUGAAUUUUCUCUCACACAAUGUAUAUGGUUACAAAUGAAAGCUCAAUGUAUGAAUGAAUAAAACAAAAACAAGUUUAAAGCUCAAUAAGAAUUGUAUACACAGUAUCAAGCUCAAUGAUAACUCAUGGAUCACUUUUUAUGUGAAUUUGAUUGAGUCAUUUUAUAGUUGGAGCUAAAAACUAGUCGUUGUUGACUUUCUGCACACAGGCCGAUCAUCGUUAGCGUUUAUCGAAUUGCCGUUUUGACUUGAGCAAGUGACCGUUGUGCUAUAAUUUCAAAUUGUCGGAUCAACAUUUUCUGAAUGUCGGUUUGCUGUCAGUGUCCAGAAACUAAUCUUUAAUUUUGUUCGAUGUCAGUUAACCAUUAAACGUUUAGCCGUUUGCUACAGUGAAACUAUUAUAGUUUUACCUCAAAACUUUCUAUAAUUAUACUAUGGCCCAAAUCUUUAUAAAACUUUACAAAUAAGUCCACUUCCAGAGUUUUGAAACAAUACUAGUUGAUUUCAAAGUUCUCAAAACUUUUUCAGUUAGACCAUGAACUUGAAAAACAACCAAUUUCAUGAAAUCAUUUUUCCUUUAAAUAUAAAUAGUGAUUUAUUUAAAAUGUAUGUAAAAUAAUUUGAGCUUUUAAAAACUUAAUCAUUCUUAAUCUUAUUUGUUAUCAUCAAAAUCAUCAUUAUAGACACAUUCAUGUUAACACUAAUGAUGGAGAAUUCAAAGGUGAAGGCCAUCCUUGAGUGGGAACCUCCGACCAAGUUACUCGAAGUCUGAUCCUUCCUCGGAUUGGUGAAUUAUUACCGUCGCUUCAUCAAGGGAUACUCAGUGAAAGCGGCACCCUUGACCGACUUGUUGAGGAAGAAUCGAACAUGGCAUUGAUCCAAAGAAUGCCAACGUGCAUUCGAGGAGUUGAAGAAGGCUACCUCCGAAGAACCCGUCCUCGUUCUUUUGGACCACACAAAGCCAUUUGAAGUAAAAAAGAAGGCAAGAAGGCCACCUAAUAGCAUUCAAGAGUUGGAAGCUCAAUAACACGGAACGCCACUACACUGUGCAAGAGAAAGAAAUGGCUACAAUCAUUCAUUGCCUACGAGUGUGGUGACAUUACUUACUUGGCUCACACUUUGUGAUUUUAACGGACAACGUAGCCACAAGCUACUCCCAAACACAAAAGAAGUUGAGCCCCAAGCAAGUAAGGUAGUAAGAGUUCCUUGCGAAAUUCGACUACCAGCUUGAGUAUAAACCCAGAAAAGCCAACUUCGUUGCAGAACUUCGUUGGAAAUGUUGUGCAAAUUUUAAUGUACUCGCAAGCGUACGAAUCUAUUAUAGUAUAGACUAAUGGUGACGAGUGUCGAUCCCACGAGGAGGUGGAUUUUAAUUACGUGUAUAAUUAAUUUUGUAAAUGGGUAGUUGGAUUUAUGGUGGAAAUGAUUUGGAAUAUGCUAAAACUUAAAUUAAAAUGGCGAGAAUAAAUUGAAGAAAAGUAUAUUGAAAUUACGUACUUGGGUAUCUGGAUCCGUAUCAACAUGCAUUAUGGGCUAAAUAAUCCGUAUUAAUGCCAAUUAAAUCAUGAGGGGGGAAUCCACACCUCAUGAACCACGCUCUAAUCAAUAUGGUGCUAAGGGCUUAUCGUGCCAAAAAAAUAAUAACCUUGUACUAGAGGGCCGGUGAAACCAAGGCGGUAUUAGACAAGAUUAGUAUUAUUUGUCGACGAGAAGUCAAAACAUCCACAAAAACUAGAGGGGAAGAGAAAAUAAAUUUACCAAAUGAAGCCCAUGACACAUGUUGAGACUUCACCUUCAACCCAAGCUUGAAAGGAAAUUAGCUACUCAUAAUUGAACUAGGGGCAAAAUGAGAAUUUAUUAAAAUACGAAGAAAAUACAAGAUGGGGAAGGAAUUACAGAAAAUGGAUCCUAAAAAUGGAUUCAGAGAUAUCAAAUUAGGGGGGAGAGGCCCCUUUUUUAUAGAUACAUGGAGUAAAUCAUGACCAUCGGAUUAAAAACAGUUUGGACGCUCAGGAUUGCGCCACGUCAUCAGUCAACAGUACGCGGUUUGACCACGCGGGUGAACAGUAACACAGUUUGACCCGGCUUUGAACAGUAACGCGGUUUGACCCGGCUUUGAACAAUAAUGCGGUUUGGUUGAAAAUAAUCCUGUGUAAUGCGUGUACCGUACGCACAAGUUUUGGUCCACUAAUAUGCUGCUACGUCACCAUCAACAGUUCAUAAGAAUUUUAGACCAACAGGAUCAUGACACCUCAUUAGUCAAUGCCACAUCAUCAGUCAAUGCCACGUCAUCAAUCCGUCUAUGUGAACAGUGUCGUGAACAGUAACGUAGACAGUACCGUACAUGUGAACAGUGCCAUUUUCCUUUUAUGCUCCUCCUAAGGUUUUCGACCGUCCUGAGUUCAAAAGUGAUGUCCGUUUUGCUGUUUGAUCUCUCGUUUAUUGUGAAAUGACUAUGAUGCCCCUAAAAUACACAAAAUACUUAAUUAAAAUAAAACACACAUAAUUAAAUUACAAGAACCUUAAAUACAUAAAAGUAAGGGUUGUUAGUAAGACUUGAAAUAUAAAAUGAUGAUUUUCUCCUUUAUAAAUAUACAUUUUCUAACACUCAACAGGAAACACUUAGCAUGAGCCAUCUGAAGUUUGACCUUAUUGCACACAUCAAGGAAGAUCUCUAACAAGACCCACUAGCAAAAGACUUAUUGGGGAAAGUUCUCGAGGGUAAGACAAGGUGAUUUUGGCAAGAGGAAGGCAUCCUCCUCACCAAGGGAGACUGACUCUUCGUGCCUGGGUGGGGAAAUCUGCGGAAAGAAGUCAUUAAGGAGUGCCACGAUUCCAAGUGGGCUAGGCACCCCGAAGUAGAGCACACGACCACGCUCGUCCAAGCCUUGUACUUUUGGCCGCAUAUGAGAGACAACAUUGAGGCUUAAGUGUGGACAUGUUUUGUAUGCCAAUUAGACAAGGCGGAUCAUCAACUUCCGAUAGGAUUGUUGGAGCCCUUGCCAAUAACAUCAAGGCCAUGGAAGAGUGUCACCAUGGACUUCAUUUCAACCUUACCCAAGUUCGAAGGGUGCAGAAGUAUCAUGGUUGUGGUCGACUACUAUAGCAAGUAUGCAACAUUCAUCGCCACACCAACUGAUUGCAAAGCGGAUUCAUUGGCCGCUUUUGGACGAAACCCUUCAAGUUGUUAGAACCGACCUCAAGUUCUCGACAAGCUUCCACCUACAAAUCGAUGGCCAAACCGGGCACAUCAACAACCUCGUUGAAAUUUAUUUGAGGCAUUAUGUAAGCACUCAUCAGCGAGAUUGGGCGAAAUUGCUCGAUGUUGCUCAAUUCUCUUACAACCUUUAACAGAGUGAGGCUACAUGCAAGAGUCCGUUCGAGAUCAUCAUGAGAUUUCAACCUAUGACGCCUAAUGCCAUCUUACGGGAAAAAGCCCAGUGGCUCAUUAGCUCGCCUGCGAAUGGCAUAAGGAAGCGGACAUAACAUGAACCUUUCUUAACAAAGCCGCACGAAGAAUGAAGAAAUAGGCUGAUUCUAGGAGAUGUCACAUUGAAUACAGGGAAGGCGAGAUAAGUCAUGGUCAAGCUCCCACCCCAAUAGUUCAAGACUUUUUGAAAAGUUCACAAGGGGUUAGUGAGGCGAUAUGAGGGGUAUUUCGAAGUAGUACAAUGUGUCGGCAAUGUCUCAAGACAAGCCCCAACCGCCAUUGUCACCUCCACAUCCUCGCCGAUCAAGUCAUUUGAAGAAGGGGUAUACCAGCGUACAACGAGUACUUGGUUAAGUGGAGGAACCUCCUCGAGACUGAAGCAACGUGGGAACGUGAAGAUGACCUAUGGCAAUUCACGAAGCAUGUCUAAAACUACAAGCACAAGACCGCGAUGAAGACACCGUGAGCAUAGGUAAGGGAGGAUUGUCAUGGGCCGCUCAAAUCUCUCGUAAACGGAGGUUAAUUUUGGGCGCUUGGUUGCGCUUAAUAAAAGUCCGCCUAAACGAGGAAUGUGCUUAGAAGUGGGGUGCGCUUAUCACUAAAGGCGGGAUGCGCUUAAAAGUGUGAUGCACUUAGAAAUGGGCCGCCAACAUAAGUAGCCAGCCGUGGUGCGCUUAGCGUUCAUCCAAGCUUGGCCUGAAUUCUAGACUUCUCUACAAUUGUAAAUAUCCUAGAGUUUUCUAGAAUUGAGGAUUUAAGUCCAAGAGAUAUUUGUGCAAGUUGUUGGGAAACUUCAAGAACCUAGCACCCAAGCCUAUAAAUAGGGGUGAGCCCCCUCAUUUGCUCAAUAUCCACACCACACACACAAACACUCCAACACACACACAAGCUCUCUAGUUCUUGUAAAAAGCUCUGUUGUAAUUUACUCUUUAUGUGUAAUAACAUUAUAUUUUGGCUAUAUUGCUCUCUUCUCUAUAGUAUUUCCGCAAAGCAUUCUUGUUUGGCUAGUUGGGAAGUUCGAAAAGGCUUACUUAGUGACUUGUGUGCUAGAAGUUGUCUAAGGCCCACAUGAGUUGACUGCGGAAAACUCUCAUCCCGUGAGAUUAAGCUAACAAAAGAAAGAAUUAAACAUGGGGAAACUAGAUGAAAGACAUAAAUGGAAAACUAAAUAAAAAUAUAAUGGAUAAAGUAAAUGAGAAUGAGAGAGAGAAAGAUUAAAUAUGUUAUGGCAUGCUCUCAAAAUCUAUUCUCCAGCCAUUGGGUUACCUCCCAAUAAGCGCUUGGUUUUUUGUCAUUUGCCUAACUUGGUUCUCAUGUUUUACUCAUCAACGUACGUAAGUUCGUAGAGUGGAACCUCUUUUACAAUAAGUGUCUGAAAGUUCUCAUAGUAAGGCUUCAUUCAACCUAUGACCAUUCAUCAUGAACUCUUUAUUUGUUUUUAAGAUCCUAAUCUCAACUACACCAUGAGAAAAAAGUUAGUAACAACAAAAGGCCCAACCUAUGGAGAAUAUAGCUUACUUGGAAACAACUUAAGGCGAGAAUGGAAUAGCAAAACUUUCUGUCCAACUUCAGGGCUCUUCCUUAAAAUCUGCUUAUCUUGAAAAGCCUUUGUCUUUUCCUUGUAAAUCCAUGAAUUCUCAUAGGCAUCGUUCCAAAUUUUCUCUAAUUCUUGCAAUUGGAGCUUCUUGUGUCGGCCGACAACAUCCAACGCCAUGUUACAUUGUUUCACAGUCCACCAUACUUUUUGUUCGAGUUCCAACAGAAGAUGACAAGGCUUACCAUAUACCAACCAAUAAGGAAGGGGUGUUUGGGGAUUGGAUUUUGCGGAUGAGACAUUAAUUUAUAUUUUAUCCAUGAUUUUGUGGAUUGUAAAUUUUCAAUCCAAUCCAAUCCACAGAUUGGUGAAUUCAAUCCAAAUCCAAUCCAUAUCUCUGCGGAUUAAAAUUAUUUUAUGGAUUAAAUUUUUUUAAUUUUGUUCAUUCUACGAACUAAUUAAAUAAAAAAACCUAAUAUAAAAAUAAUUUUACUACCAAUCAAAUUCAAAAUUGAAUAGAUUUAAAUAAAUAAGUGUUUAAAUAAACUUAGACUAAUACAUUCAAAAGUCUCAAACACUACUAUAAAAAUGACCUUUACUGACACUUAGUUUUCUGACACUUUGUAAAAAGUGUCAGUAAUUAUGUACAUUUCACCUUUUUCUACUUUUAACAAAUGGGUAUCAUAAAUUAUUGAUACUAGUGUGUCAGUAAAUUAAACAUUAGAAAUUAUUGACAUUAAAGUAUCAUAGAUUAAAAAAGAAUGUUAGAAUUUGUAAACGUUUCAACUCAAAUCUAAUACUUCUAAAAUUUAAAAUGCUUAUGUUUGGUCUACAAACCACUAAGACACAAAUAUUAGAUUAAAAAUUAAAAAAAUUAAAAAAAUCCCAUCUCCAUCAAUCUCAUUUCCCCUUUCAUCAUAAUCAAAACAUACAAAUCAAAACUUACAAAAUCCCUAAAUCCACCAUGCCACCGACAUACCCAAAACCUCUCCACCACUUGCGUCACUCCUUUCGACUAGCCAUUGUCAUCAUCUCCUAUGCACCAAGAUCUAGUCUUUUUUGCUGCAGCCAUCUCUCGACAUCUCCUAAGCACCAAAGUUGCAAAUCCACUGCCGUGACUUAGGAAUUUGUGUCAUCACCAAUAGCUUAUUUGCUCUUCUUCACGAUAAUGCCCCCUCUUGUCCUCUAAUUGCCUUCCAUAAUCUUAUGUUUCUUGUUUUUGCUUUUUGUUUUUUGCGUUGUAGAUUUUAUCUUUGUUCUUAAAAUGUACUAACCUUACCUUAAAAAAGGAUACAUGAUCUUAUUUGAAUAAUCUUAUUUGAUCUCCUAGAAGAAGAUUCAUCAACCAUGGAAACAAACACAUCUUCCACUUCUACAUCCUCUUCAUCUCAUAUUUCUCUUUCUUCUACUCUCUCUCUUCCCAAAUCAUGCUCUAAACACAUAAUCUCCAAAAUUGAGAAUCUUGUUGAAUAUUCUUAUAUUCCAGAAUCUGCUCAAAUCAAUGAGUCCCAGUUUCCCAUCAUGAGUCCUUACAAUCUCUACAAACAGAAAACUUCUUUCACUAGAAGUAUUCGGACCCUCAUCUCCACUAAAAGACCACUCCCAAAAGAGUAUAUCCAGUCUUCUAGACUGGACCAGUGUGCUCUAUAAGCCUCACAGAGUGAACAAUAUGUCACUAUGAAAAUACCUUCAGAUCUCGUCGCCAACUGGAAACGAGAAGGCUACACACACCUCCAUCUUGGUGGUGUACGAUUAAUUCUCACUCUUCAUGGUCGAAAAGGCUUACCUGUUACAGCUAGAAUUGCUCUCCUAGACACCAGGUUCAAGGAGUACCAACACACUGUUGUCGGCACCGUUCUGACAACCCUUCAUGCUGGCAGUGUUAUUAACCUUUUACCCCAAUUUCAACCUCUCUCUUGAGGAUCCCAAUCUUCCAACAACCCUUAAAGUCCAGAACCAGCUCCAAGGAGCAGAACAAACACCCACAUCAAAGAUUGCAACCCUCCAUCAUCAAAUAGUCUAUCGAUUACAGAAUCAUGCCCUAGAUCUUCCUACACCGUACACAACUUCUGAUGCCUUGAUGAUCUUGGCAGACAGACACAAUUCCAACCAUUAUCCAAAUCCCCAAACAAAUCCAGAAACAAGAAUUGCUCAAGCUCAUGCCUCUUGAAUGGCUAACUAACUAUGAGCAUUUUCACUAAAAUUCAGAACUAGUAGAAACCACAGAAGCCACGUUUAACAGACGACCAAAUGGUCAAGUUAAACUAUCUUUUCAAACCCCUAACACCGAGCCUGUUUCAAACAGUCCACAGCUUUCCUAUACUGCUAUGAUCACAACAGUUCAAACUGGUCAAGAAAAGAAACUUCAUAUUCAUGGUUUUUCCUCCGAAGGGUAUCCAGUAUAUCCUGAUAAAAUCAAUGGUCAUUUUCUAUGGGAUGUUCCUGAAGCCCAUAUGUGCAACCCGGAUUGUCCUUGCUUGGAUGAUACAUAUAUUGACGAAGAAUUGGAAAUUAUGCGGAGAAAGAAAAAGAAAAAGAAAAAAUCUUCUUAUCCACCAUCAUCUUGCAAAUCUUUUCCUCCACAUCCUCCACCAGAUCCCAAACCUCCUGUCCAUCCAAUCAGAUCUUGCCUUAUGUUUUCAAGUCACUCCUAUGAAGAAUCCUUUCCUCCACUUGAAAAACAGACAGACACACAAACUCGUGUCACCUCCAAACCUUUGUUCAAUCUCCAAUUACAGCCUCUGGGCAACCUGAAGAACCAAAACAGUAUGAAGCUGUUUUGAAUUGGCAAACCAAAAAUGCCAAUGCUCAAAAUCAUACUCUCCAACAACUCGGUAAGAAAAUUGACCGUGUUGCCACUCAAGUCUCCCAGACUGAAACUAAAGUUGAUUUGAUCAGCAGUCGUUUAGAUCAGAUGUAUAUACAUCUCCAAGACUGGAUCUCUGAGCUAGAUGCCGAUCUUAGACGGAUGAUCAACAAUCAUAUCUAGGGUCUAGAGUUUAAUAAAAAAGAAGCCGAGAUCAGAAAACUCAAAGCUGAAUUGUCUAGGAUUGAUGCUGAAAAGACUCGACCUUCCCUUUUUACUCAAUCACAACCUACACCCGUAUCUCCUCCGUUCUUUGAAACUUAUUCACCCUUCUACACACCAUCCCGGCCUCAACAACCUGUUUAUAAUCAGUUCUUUGGUUUCUCCCACCUUCAACCGACUCCUCAACCAUCUUCACCCAAAAAGGCACGAUCUAAAGUCAAAAUCUCCGAACCACGUCCCAAGGCCACUUCCUCUUCCUCUACAUCUACAAUCCCUCCAGAAGAAUCACCACAAGACCGUCCCGAGCCUCUUAACAAAGAUAAAGGCCCAAUGGAUCAGUAUCAUUAUCAUACUGUCCAGACCUAAUCUUCAGAUUCCUCCGACUCUUCUGAGCCUGAAACACACAAUUCAUGUUCGUCCUCCUCUUAUGACUCAUCAAAUGCCUCCACUGACUCCGAGUCUGAAUAUGCUGACAUUACCGGCAUAUUAAUGGCCACUGAAACUGCAGAUCCAAGUGCCUCUACUUCAACACCCAUUGUUGAUGACAAUCCUUCUAACCAAGCAUCUCAAACAGAACCCAUACCACCACCAGUUCAUGAACACUCAGCAAAACCAUCUUCAGCAUCUUGAUUUACAUUUGAUGACAUUCCCCGUCACAAAUGGGCUGCUAGACUUCAAGAAUUUGCUGCUUGGAUUGAUCUCCAAGGUACCAAGCCUAAUGCUCAACCUCAAGCCGUUCUACGUGAAUUCAUGGACCGCUCUACGGGUUCUUUACGAGACUAGCUAGAAAGCUUAGGAGAAUAUAGACAGCUCCAAUUCAUGGAAUCUCUGAUUGGUACAGCCCUCAAUCUUAUUCAUGAGCAAUUCAUCGGUGAAAAAACUGCUUCCACUGAAGCAGACUGAAAAGAAUACCAUCAGAUGAAAUGUUGUUCUCUUAAAAGACAUCUUCUGGAUGCUCAUUACAAAAGAAUGAGUAUUCUCUUCUACAAGCUAAAUGGGUUCAAUGAGCCAUCUCUUAAACAUGUCUUCAUUGCCUCUCUUCCCCCUGAGUUACAACCCGAUCUUCAAAGAAAACUCACAGCCACAAAUCUGAGCAUAACUGAUAUCUCUCUGGGAAAGAUUUUUCAAAUGGCCAUGCUAUCUCUUGAUAAGAUCUGUGAACAAAAAGAAUUCUUAAAAGAUCUCAUGGAAGACAAGAAACCCUUCUCUGAAGCUUGUAAAAAACCUUAUCUCAAAAUCGAGUGUAAGGAUGAAAAGAAAUGUGUUUGUCCAACCACAAAGAAACGACAUUUCCGGAAACACUUCCACAGAAAGUCAUCCUCCAAAAAACCUUUUCGGUAUUUCAAAAAGAAAGAUGUCUCUCAGUACCGGAAGAAAAAAUCCAACCGUUGUUUCAUUUGCAAGAAACGCGGUCACUUUGCCCGUAAUUGUCCCCACAAACCAGCCAAAGCUGUUCGUCUUAUACAACAUCUUCAACAUUCUUCUUUGCUAUCUGAGAAUGACGAUGUCGAAUCAAAUUUUUCAGAACAGUCAACACAAGAUGAUCAGACUGCCUUUCUAAUUAUAGAAUCUUCAGAUUCUGAAGAUAUUUAUGUCAUCUCUACAGUUCAAACUGUUAACCAUGUUUCCACUACUCCAAGGCCUUCUCUCAAGAUGUCCAUCCUUCCUUCCAAAUUCCAUAAACCUAUUCCUGUUAUUGGGUUCAUUGACACUGGUGCGGAUACCAGUAUGAUUGACCCUUCUGUUCUUCCAUCAGACAGUUGGGAACCUCAUUCUAAACUUUUCAGAGCAGUUAAUGGUGAGACCUUUGAAACAACUUUGAUUACCAAAAAACCCAUUGGUAUUCAAUUCUUUCCGAAUUGUAUAAUUUGGAAAAAGAUUGUAGCCUCCAAACUUCCAGAUAAAGAUUUACUCAUUGGUUUUGACAUUCUUCAUUUGUUAAAACCUUUUCCUUACCAUUUUUGGAGUUCGUUACUAACAAAUGUUCUUGCAAAAAAUAGACACUCUCCGUCUGUAUGCCCUUUCAGAGACACCAUCUCCAUACAGUCAUAUCUCACAAAAGCUCUUAGAGUUCUGUCCAGAAAACCACUCACAGUUCCACCAUCCUUCACCUCUUUGGAAAAAUGAACAAUUCUUCAUUCACCUUCCUUUCAAACUCAAUGAAGACAUAAACCCCACAAAAGCAUCACACCCGAGUAUGUCUCCUUCAGACCUCUUACUUGCCAAGCAAGAAUGCUCUCAGUUACUCCAACAAGGUCUUAUUGAGUCUACUGAUUUAGAUUGGGCUUGUCAAGCCUUUUAUGUUGAAAAACGAUCUGAAUUAGUUCGUGGGAAAAAGAGAUUAGUAAUUGAUUACCAGCCACUCAAUUCUUUUCUUAAAGAUGAUAAAUUUCCCCUUCCAAAAAUCCAGACCCUGUUUGUCCAUCUUCAAGGGGCUCGUAUCUUCUCUAAGUUUGAUUUAAAAGCUGGUUUUUGGCAACUUGGUAUUUCACCAGUUGACCAUCACAAAAUUGCCUUCUGCAUCUCUGAUGCCCAUUACCAAUGGAUGGUUAUGCCUUUUGGUCUCAAAGUCGCUCCCUCCUUAUUUCAAAAAGCCAUGACAAAAAUCUUUAGUCCUAUUCUCCAUCAUGCAUUGGUCUACAUUGACGAUAUCUUGUUACUUUCUUCUGACCAUGAGAGCCACCAGAAGCUCCUUUUGGAUUUCUUUCACAUUGUGCAGGCACAUGGCAUCAUGCUUUCCGAAAAGAAAAGUAGCAUAGGAAAGGAAUCAAUUGACUUUCUUGGCAUGGUGAUUAAAGACAGCCAGUAUCAGCCUGGUCCCCAUAUUGCAAUCGAAUUACUCAAGUUUCCGGACACACAUCUCAAUAGAAAGCAGAUACAACAAUUCCUCGGGAUUGUUAAUUAUGUCCGUGAUUUUAUCCCAAAAGUUGCAAUCCACACCAGCCAGCUGUCACGCAUGCUCAAGAAACAGUGCCCUCCAUGGGGCCCUGCUCAGACAGAAGCUGUCAAGCAGCUAAAGGUGAUAGCACAAGCACCUCCUCCACUUCGAAUUCCCACAAGUGGACAACGCAUCCUCCAGACUGAUGCCAACGAUGAUUAUUAGAGUGCCAUUCUCCUUGAAGACAUCAAUGGCGUGCGUCAUUUCUGUGCACAUGCAAGCGGACAGUUCAAAGACUCUGAAAAGAACUACCAUGUGAUCUACAAAGAGAUUUUGGCAGUCAAAUAUGGAAUUAAGAAAUUUGAAUUCCAUCUCAUCAGCCACAAAUUCCUUAUCAACAUGGAUAACUCUUCUUUUCCCCGCAUCUUUGACUUCAAGAACAAAUUGCUACCUGACAAGCAAUUAUUCAGCCUCAAAACCUGGUUUGCUAAGUAUGAUUUCACUGUUCAACACAUAAAAGGCAACCAAAAUCUCAUUCCAGACUUCCUCACCCGUCCAACUAUAAAUAAACCCGCACUCAUUUCCUUAAUUCAAACCAUUCCAGUUAUAGCCAUGAAUCACCAACUUCCUUUCAAAGCUCUCAACCAAAGAAAUUUCCCCAUGAACAUCUCUUUCCAAUCGGCUUACCAACUUCAAGAUUUUGCAAAGAAAUUCCUUUACAGGUUUUUCUUUAAUGUUCAGACCAAAAAACCUGACCGCUUUCCUAAUCUUUGCAUGGAGCACCUGUUUCUCACAGGCCUCACUCUGUCAUCUCUGUCAUCUCUGUCCAUCUCUGAAGAUGAGCUUUGGUAUAUGUGGUGUCUCACCACCUUGUAUGCUACAAAGCUAGUUUUUCCCAUCAAACCAAUCCUGACUCACCUUACCACUCCAGAGUUCUCACCAGACCUUCUAUGGACUCUCUUUGAAUGGUAUUCCCCCCUCACGUGGUGGCGCCAACAACUCCAACAUUUGUCUACCUUUCAUGGAUUAGACAAAAUGUCAGCACAAGAAGCUAACAUGUGGACUACAGCCUUCAUUGUCCACAGGCCUUAUUUUCAGCAUCCAGAAACACGGGACUACUGGACACAAGACAUGGCACAUGAAUGGAGAACUUACCCUCAUCCUUAUACCUUCAUCCAUGAUACAUCGGUCACCUCCGUGCUCAAAGCCUAUCUCAUGGAACUUAACAAUGUUCCUCCACCUGCCACAGAUAUUCACCACACCUCCAUUGGACCAUCACACACCCUUGAAAUAAUUCCAAAAACACAAGGCUGUACUCCAAGUUCAAGUUCAAGUCCUCACGGAAUCCUUGUAAUGGAACAACGUCCUGACUAUACUAAUGUCUUAUUCCAAGAUGCUCAGGACCCAUGGGAAGACUUUCAGUCCCUUCUCCAUACUAACACUCCCCGUUAUACUGUCACAAACCCAGACUCUCCUGCUCCAUCUUCCUCACAGCACAUGUCUGAAGUUGAUGAAGAAAAGUAUCAGCAAGCUAAGGCGUAUCUCGACCAGAGACAGAGGCGUCGGCACAAGUGCCAAUAUGAAAAAGACACAGGCGACGUGUCACCAUCUCGUUAUCCCUCCACUCCAUGACAACGCCUUAUUUUUGUCGCACGAGUUUUGAUAGCACAACCCAUGUGACUCCCGUUUGUCUUUUGCUUUACUUUUGUCAAAGUCCUUAUCAGCAUGGUUUGCUGUCAAAAAAGGUGUGCUAUGUGAUAUGAUCAUUCGAGAGGUCCUGUUCUCAAUGAUUGUCUAUAAAAGGCACCUUUGGUCUCAGUUGUAAGGGAGCCAAUCUGAAAAAUAAAAGCUUAAGUUUUACACAUCAUGUUUCCCUAAACCUCUCUCUCUCUCUUCUAGGAAUCGAAGAAAUUAUUUGAAUUAAUAAUGGUACGCUCACCUCAAAAUUUCUAAACUGAGUAUGCUCUGCACUUGCCUCGAGCCUGAGGAUCCUGUGCAUCAGAAAGGUCCUGUUUAUCCUCCAAAACCGAUUUCUCUACAAUGAAAGUGUUUUCUCACAACGUUCACCCUCUUUAAAGGUUUUCGGGUGGUAUCGUGAAAAAAUUAUUUUCAAAAAUGAAUUUCGGAUUUGGUAUUAACUGGAUAAGUGUAUAUCGGCUGGAAACCAAAGUGUGCGGACUACUGGCCCAAAGGAGAUUUAAAUAUCUUGGCUUACCAAGGAUCUCAUCACUCUAGUGUAACAACGCCAUGUUUAGUUUUGUGGGCAUAUUUUAAUGGGAAAUUUUUAAGAUUUAAGAAAUGAAAAAAAAGAGUUCAUAAUUUUCUAGCUAGUGCCAGAAAGAAGAGCAUAUUCCUUUGCUAAGUUCUUGCUUCUUUGCAAAGAGCAAACAUUCUUGGUAUGUGAAAAUUGCUAAUUUACAUUGUAAUGGAUUGUAGCACACACUAGAUAGAUGUCAUUUUGGUCAAAUUUGGACUAGGUUACACUCUCUCAAUUUUUAUUUCAGACCCUCAAAUUAUGAUACAUGAAAAUUUAUAAGACAGUACUAGAAAAAAUUGAGGUUAUAAUCAAAAUUAAGGACGUUAUACCAAAUAUGCUUAAAAGGGAAUUAUGUCAAAGAUUUGAUAGUGUAACUUUAGAUGAGUGAUGUAGAUAUAGUAAAUGUUACAUACAACAUUUUUAUGCUUUGAACCAUAUUUUGCUUUGGCCACCACUAAGGCUCUUGUUGUUUUCAUUUUCAAUUACUUUGCUUUAUAAUCCGAAACAAAUUGUUUGCUUAUUGAAGGAAAAUUAAACUUCAAAACAUUUGGAGAGGUAGAAAGAGAUACUUAACUUGUAGAAAAUGACAUAUGCAGAUGCCUUCUUAUUAGUUACUGAAAAUCUACCAUCAAAUCUCAUUGCUCCAAAACUAAGAAAAAUUUCCAUGUUAAUUUUAUUUUUUAUUUUUCAUUUUCUUUUAAAAGCCAUUAUUAGCUUAUAAAAUUGUCAUAAGUUUCAACCUGAAAGCAUAAAAAUGUAGUAGAUUAGUUGAAGAUGGGAUUUGUAAAUGAGGACCAUAAAGACUCAUAUGCAAACAAUCAACUAGCAAACUGAAAAGUGUAGAUUUUGAUGAGAGACUCUUUUACUGGACUCAGCUACAAUCUUUUACUUACCCCACUCUAAUUUACUCACAUGUCUUGUUACUAGAAUAUGAAAUUAUUCCCAAUAGCUUUUUAUUGAAAAGUUGAUUAAUUUCCUUUUUCAAGUGGAACUAUCAGUCAAAUGAUUAAUUGUUUUUAUUUAUUCUUUUGCUGGGUUCAUGACCUCACACAGUGUUUAACAAGUGACAUAUAACCAACAAGAUAAAAUAUAAUAUGAUUUUGCUUCUGUUUUAAUACACAGACACACACACAUAUCUAUAAACAUAUGUGUACAUAUAUAUACAUAUAUCUCUCUCUCUCUAUAUAUAUAUAGACACACACACACACACACACACAUUGUAUUUUUCAUAUGUGUGUAUAUAUAUAUAUACACGCGCGCGCGCACACACACACAUACAUAUGUAUGUACACACAUACAUAUGUAUGUACACACAUAGAGAGACACACACAUAUUACAUAAUUGCUUGCCAUUAAUACUUUAUCGAAUUUCCACCAUCAAUGGCAGGUAUGACUCAUGCAUAAAUGUAUACGAAGCAUAUGUUUCUUAUAAGAAUCUCUUUAAUUUAUAGGUGGGGCAUAAGUUGCUAAUCAAUUAGAGGAUUGUUCAGCUAAAGCUAUAGUUUCAGCUUUAGUUGUGUCUGGACCUACGUUGUUUUGGAUAUUUAAGAAGGUAUUAGUUUAUGUGAUAACAAAACUUCUUGUCCUCCUUGUAAUUGUAAUUGCAAUUGCUGUCCUCUCUUUUUCUUCUCAAGAUUGCGUCUUGGUAAGUUUUGCUUUCAUGAUUUUUGUUUGUGGGUUAUUUUCAAGUCGUGGGUUUGAUUGAUUAUAUGCAGAUUAGAGUGAAUUUGUAGAUUACUUAUUUUAAUGAUUUAUUUUUGUGGGUUUGCUUUCAAGUCUUGAUUUGUUUGGUUAAAUGCUUAUUAGAGUAAAAAAUUAGCUUGAGGUUUUGAUCUAUAGCUGUUGCUAAUUUUGAAGUCUGAGGUUUGUGCAUAAUUGAGUAGUUAUAGUAAAAUAAUCUCCAAAAUCUAGCUAAUUACAGCUCAAAAAGUACAAAAUUUUAGCCUUCUAUCACUACUCAACAGAUGAAAAUGUCUCUUUUCAAUCAAAGCAACAUCUUAAAAAUUUUCUUCCAAAGUUUCCCAUAAAUUCUACUAAAUCUCAAGCUUCUGAGUUGGUGCUGAGUUGGUGCUUUACAACGUAGCCAGCCCAUAGAGGUACUAGACUAUUACAUAUUGUUACUAUUUUAAGGCUGUGAUGUGUGAGUGGUCCACUGAUUAUUAAUGUUAUUAUCAUUGUUGACAAAUUAAUAUGUGUAUUAGAUAAAUUAUCAUUGUAAUUCAUUAAUUUAUAGGGGUUGUAAGUGAUUUUCCACAAUUAUGAAUUUAUUAUUGAAUCUAUAAUCAUAAUAACUUUAAACAUUUGAAAUUAAUCAUGCAAUUGAAUUAAACUUAAACUGACAAUAUAUAAUAUAUGAACAUGUAAAAAUAUUUAAAAUGGACAGAACUUGGAUAACUUGUCAUAAAGUGUCUAUAGAGUGUCAUACUGGAGUUGCUGAAUUAUUAAAUUUUGCCUUUUUGAAUACUGAAAACCGAAUGUCAAUUAGAUGUCCUUGUACCUCUUGUCGUAAUAUGGGGUUUCAUACUCCUCAAUAGAUGAAGGAUCAUUUAUUUGAAAAAGGUUUUCUCGCAACAUAUAAAGUUUGGACUUGGCAUGGUGACAUUGACCCUAUUUCUACAUCUACAAAGUGCCAAGACCAUCUACAUAGUGGAAGAUGCUUAUGAUUAUAGUGACAUAUGUGACAUGGUCAAAGAUGCUUAUGAGCACCGUGAUAGAGAUCUUAGUUCUUUUAAGGGUAUGCUUGAAGAUGCUGAAAAGCCUUUAUAGUGACAAUAUGAAAAAGAACUAUAGGUGGUUGAUAAAGGUUUUCAACUUUUUUAGAAGUCCUUGUUGAUAUUUUGCCAAAUAAUAAUGAGCUGCCUAAGUCAAUGUAUGAGACUAAGAAAAUAAUGAAAGUGCUAGGCUUAGAGUAUGAAAAAAUACAUGCAUGUCUAAAUGAUUGCAUUUUGUAUAGGAAUGAAUUUACUGAUCUUACUGAAUGUCAAAAUUGUAGAGCAUCUAGGUGACAAACAAAAAAAGAUGGUUAAAAAAAAUUUAGGAAAAGGAUUCUUGAAAAGGUGUUAUGGUAUUUCCCUCCUAUUCCUAGGUUCAAGAGACUUUUUCAAUCACUGCAAACAACUCAAAAAUUAACAUGGCAUGCUAAUAAAAGAAUUAAAUAUGGCAAGCUUCGCCACCCAGCAGACUCUUCAGUCUAGCAACUAAUUGACAAUAAGUGGCCAGAAUUUGCACAAGAACCUAGAAAUCUCCUUUUAGCUCUCUCAACCGAUGGGGUUAACCCACAUAGUAAACUUAGCACUACUUAUAGUUGCUGGCCCAUUACAUUAAUAACAUUUAAUCUUCCUCUAUGGUUGUGUAUGAAGAGAAAGUUUCUAAUGUUGUCUCUUUUGAUAUCCGGCCCUAAAUACUUAGCACCAUUGAUUGAGGACUUGAAAACUCUAUGGGAGGUAGGGGUUGAUGUUUAUGAUGCAUAUAGAAAAGAAACCUUCAAUUUAUGGGCUGUGUUGAUGUGGAGAAUCAGCAUAAGGAAACCUUUCCAAGUGUACUAUUAAGGGCUACUUUGCUUGCCAAAUUUAUGGGAUUGACACUUGUGCAUGUUGGCUACCCUAUAGUUGAAAAAUGUCAUAUAUGGACCAUCGUCCAUUUCUACCAUUUGCUCACCUAUUUUGGAAACUCAAAAAGGUUUUCAAUGGGAAGCAAGAGUUGAAUGACCCUCCUAAAACUUUGUCUAGUGAUGAAAUCUUUAACAUGGUGGAAGAUAUUAACACUAAGUUUGGGAAAAAGAAGGGCGGAAAGCGGAAACAUGAUGAUGGUGGUGGUGGUGGUGAUGAGAACAUUUGUACAAAAAAAGGUCAAUCUUUUUUUACUUAGAAUAUUGGAAGCAUUUAUUAGUUCGCCAUCAAAUAGAUGUGAUGCACAUUGAAACAAAUGUGUGUGAGAACACAUAUGGCACACUACUCCAUCAAUCGGGCAAGACAAAGGAUAGGAUUAAUGCUAGAAAAGAUCUUGAGUAUCUUGAGAUAAGGGGAAAACUAGUUCCUAAUAAAACCAAAAAAAAAAAAAAAAAACAAAGUCCUACCUCCAACUCCAUACACUUUGAGCAAAAAAAAAGUUUGUGAAACCUUGCAAAGUGUGAAAGUUACUGAUGGCUAUUUUUCUAAUGUCCAAAAACUUGUGUCAAUAGAUGAUUGUCGGCUUCAAGGCCUUAAGUCCCAUGACUGUCAUACUUUAAUGCAACAACUGCUUUCAUUAGCUAUUUGAAAUUGUUUGCCUAUAAAUGUCAGAAGGGCCAUAAUCAGGUUGUGCUUCUUCUUUAAUUCAUUGUUCUCUAAAGUGAUAGACCCUAAUACUCUUGAACAAUUACAAGAGGAACUUGUAAUUACUUUAUACUUAUUGUAGCAGUACUUCCUACUGAUGAGAACAAUCAAGGCAAUACCAUUAAAGCUUUAAGUGAUCUUUUGCACAUUUAUGGAGGCCCAAUUACAAAAGCUGGAGCCAAAAAGAUUCAAGUUGCUUUAAAUGAAUUAAUUAAGAAAAUAUCAAUUGAAAAUGCAAUUCAAGAUGCAAGACAUAAUGAAUUGGGCUUGGAGAGGAGACAAAGUGUUGUGGGCAUUAUUCAAGUUGUUGGGCAGCUAAAUGCACAAUUUGCAAAAAAGGGUAAUUUCAGAAUAAAACUGGUAUUGAUUGAGGUGGAACUAAUGUGCAAGCUAUAUACCAUUGGAAAGAUAAUUAAGUUAAUUUUCCAAUGCAAUUUACAGAGCUGGAUUUUGAGUUCUCUAGAAAGCGUUAUGACCAAUUUCUUACAGCUCGUUCAGACUUGGGAAUUCCAACCACUCUUUUGUUUAUACAACUUCAUUUAUUUGUUUUGUUUCAAGUUUGUCAAUGUGUUAGGUAAGUCUACCAUCAAUGAUGGUGGGCUAACAUUAAGUUUGUCAAUGACUAGCAUUAAUUAUGGUAGGCUAGCAUUAAUAAUGGUGGGUUGGUGAAGACUUUUGAAGCAUCCUUUGAAAAACCUAUGGUUGGAGGGUUGUUCCAAUGUUUCAAUUUUGUAUUUUUAGGAUCUUGGGUUUCUAUUAGCCUAUUUAAACUGAACAACCUUGCUAUGUAAGACAAUUAGAGAUGAAUGUUAUUUUUAAUUUGAAAGAUCAUUCUUUCUUUGGUUCUUUUGAGAACUAGUAAACUUACUAUGAAUUUGCAUUCCUGUGGUGUUCCAAAAUAGACUUAUCACUCACCUUUUCAUUUAAAUCUUGAUUGUGGUGUCAAUAUCCUUCUCUAUACCUUUGGUUCAUGUUUCCUUAAACAUUAAGUCAAUAUUUUUUUUGUUUCGCUUAAAUCUAUUUAGAACUUUCUUGGGAAGUUGAAACUUCAAAUUAAGUGUGGUGUUUUCGAAGUUUGAUUCGCAUCAUUUGGUAUCAAGCUAGUUUCUAAUCAGUUUGAAUGUGUAUUUAUUUCGAUUAUAAAAAAAAUACAGCAAAAAAAAAAAAAANNNNNNNNNNNNNNNNNNNNNNNNNNNNNNNNNNNNNNNNNNNNNNNNNNNNNNNNNNNNNNNNNNNNNNNNNNNNNNNNNNNNNNNNNNNNNNNNNNNNUUGUUUUCUUUUCUUCAAUUUCCUUUUGUCGUUCUUUGUGCCCUCUUAAUUCCUUUCUUUGUUUAGUGUGCUGGUUUGUCAUAUUUGGUGUGCCACCUGGGUUUUUCUUGAUUUUGUUUAUUUAGUUCAAUAAAGAAUUGAAAGAGAGAAUUAAGUUUGGUAAAAGGCAAAAGUUUGUGAGAUCAUUAGAGGAUAAAAGCCAAUUUGUGUGAUAAACACGUGAGGGAGUGUUGUGAGGUCUUUUUGCUAACAUUCUUUUUAGAUAACAAAUAUGUCAAAAGAUCAAGAAGCUAUAGACCAAUCAACCAUGCAACAACAAUUUGAGCACAUGAAUAUGAUGUUUGGAGAGAUCCGUGACAAAUUAGAGAGGUAAGACACUGUCAUUUCCAAUCAAUAGCUCCUAAUGUAAGAAGUAAUCAAGGGCGUGAUGCCAUAAGAGAAGAAGAUUGUGAUGACCUAGAUACUUUUGAUGACCAGGCCACCGUUGACAUGUGUGGAAGAGAUAAUAGAAGGGAAGGACAUACAGAUCGUGAUUUGGGGAGUAUCAAAUUGAAAAUUCCUUCUUUCCAAGGUAAAAAUGAUCCGGAAGCUUAUUUGGAGUGGGAAAAAAAAGGUGGAGCUAGUAUUUGAUUACCACAACUACUUUGAGGAGAAAAAGGUAAAACUAGCUAUUGUUGAAUUUAUGGAUUAUGCUAUUAUUUAGUGGGAUCAGCUUGUUUUGAGUAGGAGACAAAAUUGUGAAAGACCUAUAGCACUUGGGAGGAGAUGAAGGUCAUCAUGAGGAGGAGAUUUGUUCCUAGUCAUUAUUAUAGGGAGCUGCACCAAAGACUUCAAAGUCUUACUCAAGGAUCUAGAAGUGUAGAAGAUUAUCACAGGGAGAUGGAAAUAAUCAUGAUUCUAGCCAACAUUGAAGAAGAACGAGAGGCCACUAUGGCCAGAUUUUUACAUGGUUUAAAUCAAGAUAUUGCUAAUGUGGUUGACUUGAGUUGGAAGACAUGGUUCACAUGGCCAUGAAAGUGGAACGAAAACUAAAAAGAAAGGUUGAUCUUCCUCAUGGAAGUUAAAAUGGAGCAAAGAUGAAAAGGCUGUUUCAAAGCAUAAGAUUGAGCCAUUGAAGGAUCAUAAAGAGCGAGGCAACUAAAGUAAAGGUAAAUAUGAUUUCCAACACUCUAAUAAAUCUGAUUUCCAACACUCUAGAAAUAGAGAUAUUAAGUGUUUUAAAUGUUUUGGGACAGGUCAUGUCGCAUCUCAAUGCCCAAAUAAGAGAGCAUUGAUCUUGAGGGAUGAUGGUGAUGUUGAAACCGAGAGUGAAUCAGAUGAUGAUCCUAUGCCACCUUUGAAGGAUGCUAAUGAUGGUGUUGAGUAUCUUGUUGAUGGUAAAUUGAUGGUUGUUAGGUGUGCUCUCAACAUGCAAGCAAGAGAAGAUGCAGAGGUACAAAAUGAUAACAUCUUUCAUACUAGAUGCCACAUCAAAGAUGAGGUAUGUAGUAUGAUAAUUGAUAGUGCAAGUUGUACUAAUGUACCUAGCACUAGUUUAGUUGAAACAUUGAAUUUGAAAACUUUGAAACAUCCUAGGCCAUAUAAGCUAUAAUGGUUGAAUGAUUGUGGGGAAGUUAAAGUAAAUAAACAAGUGCUAGUUUUAUUCUCUAUUAGGAGAUAUAAGGAUGAGGUUGUAUGUGAUGUAGUACCCAUGCAUGCUGCACACAUUCUUUUGGGGAGACCUUGGCAAUAUGAUGGGCGUGUGAUACAUUAUGGUUACUUAAAUAGAUAUUCUUUUGUAAUGAAUAAAAAGCAAAUCACUCUUGUACCUUUAACACCUAGACAAGUGUAUGAGGAUCAAAUGUCAAUACGAAAAGAGAGUGAGAGUACAAAAGAAAGAGAGAUUGAGAGAAAAACAAGUGGAAAGAUAGAAAAAAAAAGAGAAUAUUGUUGAGAGAAAAGAGAGGCCGCAAGUGAAUCUGUUUGCAAAAGAGAGUGAGAUUAAAAGGGCUUUCUCUUCAAAACAGCCUAUCAUUGUACUUUUGUGCAAAGAGGCUUGUUUACAUACUAAUGAGCUUAACACUUCUUUGCCUAGUGCUAUUGUGACUCUUUUGCAGAACUUUAAUGAUGUGUUUCCAAAUGAAGUUCCUAAUAGUUUGCCACAUAUUAGGGGAAUUGAGCAUCAAAUAGACUUUAUCCCUUGAGGUAAUAUUCCUAAUAGGCCCACAUAUAGAAGCAACCCCAAGGAGACAAAAGAGCUUCAAAGGCAAGUUGAAGAACUCUUGGCAAAGGGAUAUGUGAGGGAGAACAUGAGUCCAUGUGCAGUACUAGCUCUACUAGUGCCCAAAAAAGAUGGAACAUGGAGGAUGUGCAUUGACUGUUGUGCAAUCAAUAAAAUCAUUGUAAAGUAUAGACAUCCUAUUCCUAUAGUUGAUGACAUGAUUGAUGAAUUGCAUGGUUCUUGUGUGUUUAGUAAAAUUGAUCUUAAAAGUGGAUAUCAUCAAAUUAGAAUUAGAGAGGGAGAUGAGUGGAAAACUGCCGUUAAAACAAAAUAUGGUAUAUAUGAGUGAUUAGUGAUGCCAUUAGUGAUUAGCUGGUGGUGAUGCUGGUGUAUAACCAAGGGAUUGAUUUCCUGGGAUAGAAAUGGAUGAUUGACGAAAUGUGACGGGUCGUGGUUGAGGUUUAGGCUUUGGUUUAGGUUUAGGUGGAGGUGGUAAGGGAUUAUCUCUGAAAAGAGUAUGAGUCAUACCAAAUAACUUGGAAGGAUCAUACUGUUUGAUGGGGGAAAGCAUCGAGGCAAAUGGGUGAUAAGUUGGACCGAUGGAAGGGAUAAGAGGUGAUGUGGUAAAAAGGGUAGGUGUUAUAAACUCUCCAAAACCUUUUUCCCACCAACCUCUCGUGACACUGACCCUGAUGAAACCGAAAGCUCAUCUGAAGACGACUAUAUGAAACAACUUCUUUCAUGUUAGGAUUUAACCGACGUUGCAUUUCCUUAGUAGAUUUAGCAUUUUCAUCAAGGUGAAUGUAAUGCAUGCAGUCUACUGGGUUUAUACCUUUAAUGUCUGCUAUGGUCCAUCCUAAUGCUCCUUUGUGCUCUUUUAAAACAUCCAACAACUUAACUUUUUGUUCGUUAUUUAGGGAUGAUGAGAUGAUUACCGGUAGAGUACUUUCUUCUCCCAAAAAUGCAUAUUCCAGGGUGUUGGGUAAUGGUUUGAGCUCGAGUUUCGGUAGUGAUUCUAAUGAUGGGAUGAGUUUCUUCUCUGAUGGUGCUAGUUGUUCAACUCUUGACUUCUAUUUAUUAGUGUCCAUGGAUAGUGCUGAGUCAAGCAGGGCGUUGACCUCAUCGACUGAUCUGUCAUUAUCAAAAUCCAAACCAAAGUGAGUUAAACAUGUUUGUAAAGGGUCAUCACUAAGGUUUGAAAGAAAUGUGUCAUCAACUAAUGCUUUAAUUAAAUCCACAUCAACAAUUUCAUCAUCUGCAUUGUGAGGUUGUUUGGCAAUAUUGAAGAUGUUCAGUUCCAUAGUCAUGUUGCCGAAGGACAACUGCUUAUUUCCAGUCCUGCAUUGAAUGUAAGCAUCCUCAGUUGCCAAGAAAGGUCGGCCUAGGAUAAUGGGGAUGUGCUUCCUUGAAUCCUGUAUUGGUUAAGUGUCAAUUACAAUGAAAUCAACAGGAAAAUAAAACUUGUCUACCUGGAUAAGCACGUCCUCUACAAUAUCACGAGGUAUUUUUGUGGACUGAUCUGCAAGCUGCAACACCACUGGAGUUGGGUGUAAUUCUCCCAGUCCAAGUUUCACGAAUACAGAGUAAGGCAAAAGAUUUACACUAGCUCCUAAAUCCAACAAAGCAUUCUCAAUUGUGUGGUUCCCUAUGCUACAUGAGAUAGUGGGGGAGCCUGGGUCUUUGCAUUUUAGAGGAAUUUUAUGUUGGAGUAUAGAGCUAACGUUUUCUGUUAAAAAUGCCUUCUUUUGAAUGUGAAUGUUUCUCUUUUUAGUACAAAGGUCUUUAAGAAACUUAGCAUAAGAUGGAACUUGUUUAAUAGCAUCAAGCAAAGGGAUGUUAACACUUACCUAUUUGAAGAUUUCAAGAAUCUCACCUGUGGAUUUUCCCUUCUUUCCUUUAGCUAACCUCUGAGGAAAUGGAGCUUUGGGAACAUAUUCUCGUGGGUUGGUUUCUUCUUUCUCUUCCGAUGGUGAGUCCUCAACAUUCACAGGUACAAUUUGAUUUUCUUUUGUCACUGGCAUCUCCACUUUGUUGUCGACUUCUUUUCCUUUUCGCAAGGUCAUGACUGCUUUGACCUCUCCAUGCUACUGUGGUGAACUGGUACUUGCUUCAUGCACUCCUUUAGGAUUAGACACUGGUUGACUUGGAAACUUGUGUUUCUCAAUAGUCAUUGCCAAUGUCUGAACUGAAGAAGCAAGUUGUCCCACUAUCUUCUCAAGGCUUGAAAUAGAUUGGGCUUGUGAGUUGAAGCCUGCUCGCAAUUCAUUUCGUAGUCCAUCAACGGUGCGGUUCUGUUGCUCAAUCGUAGAGUGAGUAACAUUCUUGAAAUUCUGGAAUGUAUCCUCCCAUGGUCUGGGUUGAGAGUAGUUCUGGUUCUGAUUGUAUGGUCUAAAUGGGGGCUGAGAGGCUUGAGGAAUUGGUUGCAUUGGUGGAGCUGGAGCUGUUGGUCCAUUUUGUUGGAAUCCUUGAGACCAUGAAAAAUUGGGGUGGUCUCUCCAUCCAGGGUUAUAUGUGUUGGAGUAUGGGUUAUAAUUUGAUGGUUUUCUCAUUACACCUAUGGCAUUGGCUUGAUCUAAGUAUGAGUCAUGGUCAUGUGGUUUUGUUGAUUUAGCAGUUGAUAACGAUGCUAUUUGUCGAGAGAGACCUUCAAUUAUCGCUUUGACUUUUUUAAUUUCUGAACUUGACUCUCCAAUGUGAACCUCAUUUACUCCUUUAAUUCUUUUAGUGUUCCUGAGUGACCGACUCCAUUGCUGGGAAUUAUCCGCUUGUCGCUGGAAGAAUUUCCAAAUCUCUGAUGCACUUUUUGACAUUAACUCUCCUCCACUUGUUGCCAUUAGCCAUUCUUUCACAUUCAGCAAUAAUCCCUCCAAAAAGUAUUGGCAUUGGUGCAAUUUCUCGUACCCAUGAUGUGGACACUUUAAGAGUAGCCCAUUGAAUCGCUCCCAUGUUUCGAAAAACUGCUUGUCUUCUCUCUGGGUAAACUCUGAAAUUUCCCUGCGAAUAGCAUUGGUUUUAUGCAGUGGGAAAUAUUUAUUCAAAAAUUUCGUUACUAUUUGUUUCCAUGAUGCAAUGCUAUUAGCAAGCAAAGUAUUUAACCAUGAACGAGCUCUAUCCUUUAAAGAAAAUGGGAAUAGUCUAAGUUUAAUGUCAUCAUCUGAAAAAUUCUCAUAUCUAAAUGUUUGACAAACAGCAUGAAAAUCAUUCAAAUGAUUAUAUGGGUCCUCAUUUUCUAGGCCAUAGAAUGUUGGGAGACAAUUUAGUACACUAGGUUUUAGUUCAAAACUCCUAGCAGCUACAUUUGGGUAUCUUAUGCAUGAUGUGCUCAAAUUAGCUAAGGGACUGAAGUAGUCCUUAAAUGGCCUCUCCUGUGGUGGUGCUUGUUGUUGCAAAUCCAUUUUAUUUUUAACGUGUUUGUGUGUGCGCAGUGUUUUUUCUAAUUCAAGGUAUAUAGGCUCAAGAUUAGGUAAUAAUGACCUUCGACCAUGCAUGCAAAGAACAUAAAUGGGAACAAAACAAAUAAAAAUAAAGAAAAAAGAGAAAUUACGGUACUAACGUUAUUACGCUAUUACAACCUUACUAUAAAAAUACACAAAAAAUAUGUGAAAUAAAUUAACUAAAAAAAUUAGUAAGAUAAACAAAAAUUACAAAGAAGAAAAAAAUAACUUGAAAAUUAAAUUACAGAAUUUUAAAGAAGAGAAAAAGAAAAGAAAUACUAACCUCUAAAUGCAAAUUUACUUUUUUCCUUUUUUUUAAUAAUAAAAAAAUACAAGAAAACAAAUAAAGGAAAUUAUUCACAAAAAUUAAUUUUACGAAUUAAAAUAACUUACCUCCCUGGCAACGGUGCCAAAAACUUGUUGUGCAAAUUUUAUUGAACUCGCAAGUACACGAAUCUAUUGUAGUAUAGAUCAAUGGUGACAAGUGUCGAUCCCACGAGGAGGUGGAUUUUAAUUAUAUGUAGAAUUAAUUUUGUAUGAGGGUGGUUGGAUUUGUGGUGAAAGUGACUUAGAUUAUCCUAAAAUUGGAAUUAAAAUGGCGAGAAUAAAUUGAAGAGAAAUCUAUUGAAAUGACGUACUUGGGUAUCUGGAUCCGUAUUAACAUGAACCAUGGGCUAAAUAUUCCUUAUUAAUGCCAAUUAAACCAUGAGGGGGGAAUCCACACCUCAUGAACCACACUCUAAUCAAUAUGGUGCUAAGGGCUUAUCGUGCCAAAUAAUAAUAACCUUGUACUAGAGAGCCGGUGAAACAAAGGCGGUAUCUUGACAAGAUUAUUAUUAUUUGUUGACGAGAAAUCAAAACAUCCACAAAAACUAGAGGGGAAGAGAAAAUAAAUUUACCAAAUAAAACCCAUGACACAUGUUGAGACUUCACGUUCAACCCAAGCUUGAAAGAAAAUUAGCUACUCAUAAUUGAACUAGGGGCAAAAGGGAAUUUAUUAAAAUACAUAGAAAAUACAAGAUGGAGAGGGAAUUACAGAAAAUGGAGUCUAAAAAUGGAUUCAGAGAUAUCAAAUUAGGGGGAGAGCCCCCUUUUUAUAGAUAUAUUGAGUAAAUCAUGGCCAUCGGAUCGAAAAUAUUUCGGACGCUCAGGAUUGCUCCACAUCAUCAGUCAACAGUACGCGGUUUGACCACGUGGGUGAACAGUAACACGGUUUGACCUGGCUUGAGCAGUGACGCGGUUUGGUUGAAAAUAAUCCUGUGUAAUGCAUGUACCGUACGCGAGAUUUUUGGUCCACUAAUAUGCUGCCACAUCAUCAAUCAACAGUGCAUAAGAAUUUUAGUCCAACAGGAUUGUGACACCUCAUCAGUCAAUGCCACAUCAUCAGUCAAUGCCACGUCAUCGAUCCGUCUAUGUGAACAGUGUCGUGAACAGUAACGUAGACAGUACCGUACAUGUGAACAGUGACAUUUUUCCUUUUAUGCUCCUCCUAAGGUUUUCGACUGUCUUGAGUUCAAAAGUGAUGUCUGUUUUGCCGUCUGAUCUCUCGUUCAUUGUGAAAUGACUAUGAUGCUCCUAAAAUACAUAAAAUACUUAACUAUAAUGCAACACACAUAAUUAAAUGACAAGAAGUUUAAAUAUAUAAAAGUAAAGGUGUUAGUAAAACUUGAAGUGUAAAAUGAAGAUUUUCUCCUUUAUAAAUAUACAUUUUCUAACACUCAACAACACCCUUGAACUCCAAUCAUAUAUCGAGUAAAUAUUUAUUUUUACCAAUAAAUAUUCCUAUUGUAUUAUAACAUUACUAAACUACUUUUUAAGUUUAAUAUGGUCUCACUAUGGGGGCAUAUACAUUAUUUAGCACUAAGAAACCCCUAUAAGGCAAAAAGAAAUGUAUUGUUACAAAAUGAACACACUCAUACAUUUUCUGGUUGGUUACAAAAAAAUGUUAGAAUUAUUGCUUAACUAAAUACAAUAUAGGAUACAAACUUUUACAUCAACAAGAUUUUUUUCAUGUAACUGAUUACUAAACUUUUUAAUUUAAAUUAUAGGUAGCAUAUGGUAGAGUAAAUAUUGUGCCAGUUGAGAAAUAGUGUGGUCGUUGGCAAACAAACCGCGCUCAAGCGUGGUGAAAUAACCUAGCUACCAAAUCAAUGGCUUUACUUUUGCAACGAAGGACCGAGACAAUAAUCGUGUAACCCAAAAUAGUGGUGUUAGGGUUGUUGCUAACACUCCACAAAAUUCAAGCUUAAAAGAUAAAAAUCCUCAUUCUGGAGACAUGACUUCUAUGGAGUCAUUGAUGAGAUUUGGCAGCUUGAUUAUCUGAUGGGUAAAAAAACACUUUUCAAGUGUGAUUGGGUAGAUGAUAGAGGGGUUAGUGUUGAAAAUUUAGGUUUCUUUGUAGGUGAUUUAAAUUGGAUCAGCUAUAAAUCUGAUUGCUUUAUUCUGGCUUGUCAUGCAAAGCAAGUAUUUUAUGUAAAGGACCAGCUAGAUAAUAGUAAAUCGAUAGUGUGUUUAGUGACUGAAAAAGCUGAUAGGUUAAAUGGGGAAAGAUGUGAAGACUUGCAUGAGAAGGUUGACGAUGGAAUUUAUAACAGAAACGAUUGUGAUGCUAUUCUAGUAGAUAUUGAUUUAGAGAUUCACUAAAUGCAUUCUUGUAUUUAGUUUCUAGCACCAUCUUUUUUACUUUUCCAGUAAGUGAUUUAUUUAUUUUAUUAUAUUCCAUUACUAUUGUAUUAACUUCUUAAUUUAAUUGAUGUGCUUAUGUAUUUGAAUCAUUUUUAGGGUUGUAGGAGAUAUAGUUGAAAAUGAUGAGUUAACUCUUCCAGAGCUUGAGGGAAGACCAAGAAGAAGAAAACAACAAAAAAGAAAGGCUUGCAGAAAGAGGAAUUUAGUAGUGAAUGUGUAGUUGAGUACAAUUCUUAAGGCGUUCUAGUUGGAAAGGGGAGAAAUGAUCUCAGGAGUUACAUUGGCGUCAUCGUACGUGAAACAAUUUCAAUCUUACUUGAUGACUGGAGGUGUGUGCCACUGGAAACCCUGUGCCUUCAUUUUCAGGUUCUAUUUAAUUUUUUUUUUGUAUAUUUAGCUAUCGUGUAUAACUUCCAUAUUUAUUUAAACUUGAUGCUAAUCCAUGUCACUGGUUUACAUAAAAAGUUCAAGUUUGAGCUUGAAAAGAAAAAGCCAAGUGUUAAAAUGGAUGGGGGUUGCAUCAAGAAACUUUAGAUGCGAAUUGGCAAAUGAAUUCGUUCUACCUUACAAGGACGAUGUAAAGUCAUUGAGGCUGCCUCCUAUUGAAUAUCCUAGCAUUAAAAAGGAAGAUUAGAAACUUUUCGUUGAAAAAGUUUUUCCUGAGGAACUUUAGGUGUGUUGUUUGUCAAUAUUACUUGAUUUAUUUGUUACUGGUUACUAAUAAUUAGUUGUAAUCCUUUUAUUCUAUAUCAUACUGUUUGUGUAGGAAAAAAGUAAGAAAGCAAAAGAUAAUAGAGCAAAGAAUGUCUACAAACAUCGGUUGGGUAGCACAUUAUAAGUUAUUUAAUAUAGAUAUUGCAAUAUAACCCAACUAAUGCAUAAAAUAUAGUAGAAUCAAUCUUACUUAUUUUCUGUCAACCUGUAACAGUAAAAGAAGAGUGGAGUUUCUAAGUGAGAGAUUGAUCAUAGUGAAGCGUGGUUAAUGGCACUGGCUAACCGAGAUGGCAAAUUUGCUCCUGAAGUAACGCAAUUGCUGAGAAAAUAGUAAGACACUUGUAUACUUAAUUUUUACGUAUUUCAACUAAUAACUUGUAGAUUUGUAACUAUGAUUAUUAUGAACUGCCUUUAUAAUUGUGAUUAUUAUGAAUGCCGAUUUCAAAUUUCACUAUAACUUUAUAAUUAUUACUAUAAGGCAUAUGUGGCAAGUUUUUAAAAAUUGGCUCAGGUAGUUAGCCGCUAUCUUUAGGUGGUUAGCAGCUAACUUUCUAUUUUCCCAGGUAGUUAGCCGCUACCUUCAAGCGGCUAGCCGCUAACUUUUUAUCUUCCUAGGCGGUUAGCUGCUACCUUCAGGCGACUAGCCGCUAACAUUCUGUCUUCCUAGUCUAUAGUUCUAAUAUUUAUAUUUUGGCCCCAAAACUUUUAGAAAUUAUACUAUGGCCUAAAAAGUUUUAAAUUAUUGAAGAUAGGUCUAUUCCAAAAUUUAAAAUAAUACCUAGUGAAAUCAAGGAUUGUAAAGCUCUUUCAUUUUAGUCCAUGUCUUAAAAAACAACCAAUUUCAUAAAAUACUUAACAUAUAAUUAUAAAACCUUUGAUUUAUGAAAAAUGAUGAUUUAUUAAGCAAAGUCUUGAGAUAUUCAAAUGCUAAAUCAUUCAUACUUGCAAGAUAUACAACAAUGACAUUUCUAGUUCUUAUAAUCUUAUUGCUUUAUAACAAAAAAUAUUGAUUCAUCUAGAGUCCAUACUAGGCUAAAAAAAGAAGGAAAAAGUACCUGAAAUUCCAAUAUCAUACCUAAAUUUAAGUCAGAUUUAUUUUCCAUUCUUUUAUGAUAUAAUUAAAUUUGCCUGUUUCUUUAUCAUCUGAGUGAAUUCAAGUCAGAUUUAUGGUAUAAUCUAUAUGAAAUAGUUGGUUGCUUUCACUAUGACUGUUAGCUUUUGAAACGUCAUACAAAUUUCUUAAUUCAACUUGCAAAUUUAUAAUGUUUUUUUCAUCUUUGUUUUGUAGAAUGAGCUAAAGAGUCAAGUUAACCAAGGAACAUUCUAGUCACAUGGGUCAAACGACGUUCUAGGUGAAGCCCUACAGAAGCAGCCAAAUAGAAGCAGGGUGCAAGGAGUGAGACAAUUCGUUACCCCAUCCAUGAACUUUCAUGUGAGGUACAAUUUUCUAACUAAAAUAUAAUAGAAUUUACUUUAAGCUAAUAAGCUCCCUUAAGUUUUAAAAUAAAAUAAUAAUAAUAAUAUAAAAUAUUUAAUUCUAAGUAAUGAUGACAUAAACAAUGACAUAAGUGAUGAUGUAAGAGAAAUUUGUAGAGAUAGUUAGGAAUUUUAGAAUUUAGUAAGACAUUUAUGAAGGAUAAUCUCAAUCAUUAAUCAAGAGUUAUGGUGGCAAAAUCCUAACCAUCUAUUAGCCUUAAGAAAUCCUAUAAAUACCCCCUAACCCUUUCAUUUUCAAUACAACUGUGGAAAUUCAAUCCUUUUCUAUUCUAAGUCAUAACAUCAACAGUAGAAAAAUCAAGUUAGAAAGGUCUAGAGAAGUCAAGGUUAAGAGGUAAAUAACACUUCAACCGCAAUGUAGGGACAAAAUUUCUUUUAUACUUAACUUCAACUUUAACUAAUUCUUAAUCUUGUGAUGGCUACUAUAAUGUGAUUGGUUAUGAUCUAAAUUUUUACAUGGACGGCUAUGCGGCCUAUAUUAUAGUAAUUUCUUACUUAUCCUUAUAUGGUCGACUAUGUCGCCUAAUCUAUGAUACUUAAUUAUGUUAUGGUUGGCUCUGCCGCCUAUGUUAAAGAUUGUUGUCCUUAAAUAGUGUUGUGUGUUGAUUUUGUUGUACAUCUAAGAACUUCAAAUGUUAUGACAUAGGUUGCAUUGGAUGCAUGCAUUUCAUGGAUUACUUUAUGAAGAAGACGUUUUAAAAAAUGAAUUUAUGGGUGGUUGUACUACUAGGUGACAAAUUUUCCAAGGAGGGCAAGCUCUCCAAGCAUAGUAAAAUGUAAAUAUUUUGGGGACGGCGAUACGUAACGCCCAAAAGAUCAACUAAUUAGACCCAAGACCAUGUUAUUUUAAAGAAUAAGAAUGCUAGCCUUGCAUACAACAUACCUAGGGCCAUUUAUAUGUAAGAACAAAGUUGUUUUGUAUUUUCUAAGUUUCUUUUAAAAACUUAAUAUGGUCAUUUAUAUGCAUAAUAAUUUAUACAUGCAUCAAAGCGUUAUCUUACUGGACAUUAGCUCAUAAAGUUCUUACAUUGUAAGUAACGAUGAGUACAGCAAGCUGAUGCCAAGUCCUAACCAAGGCGAGGUGCAUAUGGGCAUAUCAAACCUUGGGUUUUAAGAUGGGCACAACUAUGUUUCUAUAAAUAUAUAUAUAUAUAUAUAUAUAUAUAUAUAUAUAUAUAUAUAUAUAUCUUUGCUUUAUGUAAUAAUAAUGCUUUUGGAAAAUAUCUGCAUGUCUCCUAUAUUUUGUGAGAAAGUUAUGCUUGCUAUGUAAAACUUUUUUUUAGAAUUCGUAUUUAUAUUAAACAAGUAAUGAGGUUUUAAAUAUUUCCAAAUUAUUUUUUUUAAAAAAAGUGGUUGUUACAUUUCAUGUAUCAAAGAUGUAUGAAAUGUGAGUUGGCAAGAGAAACAAAGAUGUAUCAAGAGACUUUUCGAUUUAUGUAUGCUCAACUGGAACACAUGAAUGCAAGGUUGAAUGCCUACAAUAAUAUUGGAGUGAGCAGUUCUAAUUUCCCCAAAGGUCAAACCUUCCAUUGAUGUUCAGAUUGAGAUUGAUCAACAAUCCUCUGAAACUCUUGGAAAAAGAAAGGUUAGUAAAAUGAUACGAACCCCGCCAACAACUGACGCGACCCUAAUCAAUUUAGUCCCCAAGAUCGAAUCUAAACCAAGAAUUGAUUGGAACCUCGACCCAAUACUUAUUAAAAGCACGAACCUUGGUAUGUGAAGAUGCCACAAUCAAUAAUGGUAUGUCUGAUUGAUAAUUCAAGAGUUUGAAUGCCACGGAAAUCCGAUAAGUUCAAAGAGUUUGUAAAGAACAAAAGAGAAUUAACUCUCUCACUAAUUGCAUAAAAAAAAACUUAUCUCCUGUUUAUUGGAUUCGAGUACAUUAUAUAGGGUUGGUUACAAGAAUUUUUGGAAAUAAAUCCUAACCAAAAAUCAAAUCAGAAUCAGAAUCUUCCCUAAUAGGAAAGAAUCCAAAUCAAAUUAGAAUCCUAAUCUAAGUAAAUAGGAAAGAAUCUAAAUCAAAUCAAGAUCCUAAUUGGCUUAAAUGCCUUACAUCAAUUAAAUGGAAACUAGGCGAUUAAAAUAUAAAUAAUUGAUUUGUUUCUCUAAUAACCUCCUUAAGAAAUAGGAAAGUAUCUGAAAAAGGAAAAUAAUAUAUUUUCCUGCCAUAAUGUGCAAGCCAACUCCCUAUUUCAUAGAAGUGAUUAUUUGGAAACUUCAAGAGGCUAAAUCAUGUAUUUAUCAUGUGUAAUUCCUUCAAUGGGCCUCCACGAAUUUUAUUGGGCCCAAGUUGCUUGAAUCAAUCCAUUAAGUGCUUCUUUGAAUUUCUUUGCUCAAGCUCUUGUAACGGGUUCGACGGGAACUUGAGUAGGAUUUGAAUAUGCCUUAUCCCAUGUGCUUGUGAUAAGUUUAUUCUUAAUCUCAUCAUUCCCCUCCUCUUGAAGAGGAUUUGUCCUCAAAUCAUCACCUACAUUAAAAGGACUCAAAUCAGAAACAUUAAAAAUAGCACUUACAUUGUACUCACCAGGCAAAUCCAGUUUGUAUGCAUUGUCAUUGAUCCAUUCCAAAACUUGAAAUGGCCCAUCCCCUUGCGCAUGUGUAACCACACCCAAUCGCCGGGUAUAAAGACUAGCUUAUGUCGCCCUUUGUUGGCUUGUUUAACAUAUUGCUCAGUUCUCCGCUUUAUGUUGAACUUCGCCUUCUCGUGUAUAUGUUUAACAAUUUCAGCCUUUUUCUUGCCAUCUAAGUUAACAUGCUCAGAAAUAGGUAAUGGAGUUAAAUCCAAUGGGGUUAAAGGAUUAAAACCAUAAACAAAUUCAAACGCUGAAUACUUAGUGGCAAUCUACCUAAGUUUUGUUGUUAUUUUUAAUGAUAGCUCACAAUAGAGUAGAUAAAGUUCUAUUUACAACUUCUGUUUGACCAUCAGUUUGAGGGUGACAAGUAGUUGAAAACAAUAACUUAGUUCUUAACUUAGCCCAUAAGGUUUUCCGAAAGUAACUUAAAACUUAGCAUCCCUAUCAGAAACAAUUGUCCUGGGCAUACCAUGCAACCUCACAAUCUCCUUAACGAAUAGGUCAAUAAUAUUAGAAGCAUCAUUCGUUUUGUGGCAUGGAAUAAAAUGUACCAUCUUUGAAAAUCUAUCUAAAACCACAAAAAUUGAGUCUUUCCCUUGUCUAGACCUAGGUAAACCUAGCACAAAAUCCAUCGAAACAUCAGUCCAAGGUGCACUAGUAACAUUAGUACAACUUCCUCUAUCAAUAAUCAUACUACAUACUUUGUCUUGAACAUAGCACCUAGUAUGGAAAAUGUUUUCCCGUUGCACUGCUUCAUCUUCCUUUCCUUGCACACUUAAAGCUCUCAUCGCUACUAAAGUCAAUUCCCCAGGGGCUAUAUAUUCUUCAUCUUCGACAUCCUCUAAUGGUGGGAUCUCAUUUUCUUCUGUUUCAUCUUCAGUUAUAAUCUCACCAUUGUCCUGCAACACCAUAACUCUUUUAUUCACACAUUCACUUGCGAUAUGCCCCUGCCUUGACAUUUAAAACACUUAAUGUCACGAUUCCUAAUAGUAGGAGUCACGGUGUUACCUUGUGUACUGUUCUUCGAGGGCUCGGAUCUUAGCUUAGGUGUAGUAGAUGCUUGUGGCCUCUCGUCUUGUUUCACAUAGCUCGACUUCUAAGGAGUGGAACUCGACCUUGGGGCUGAACGAGUGUUACCCCUCCUCUUGAGUUGCUGCUCAAUUUUGAUGGCUUUGUGGACCAUCUCCUCAAUCUCUACUUAAUGUUGCAACUUAACCUUAUCUGCAAUCUUGAUGAGAACUAUCAAGGGAGUACCAUUAAAACUUCAAGUGAUCCUUUGCACAUUCAUGGAGGCCCAAUUACAAGAGCUAGAGCCAAAAAGAUGCAAGUUGCUUUAAAUGGAUUAAUUGAGAAAAUAUGGAUUGAAAAUGCAAUUCAAGAUGCAAGACAUCAUGAAUUGGGCUUGAAGAGAACACAAGGCAUUGUGGGCAUUAUUCAAGUUAUUGGGUAGCCAAAUACACAAUUUGUAUCAAAUGCAGAAAGGUCAAAUUUAAAAUAAAAACUGUAUUGAUUGAACUAGAAUUAAUGUGCAAGCUAUAUACCGUUGGAAAGAUAAUUAAGUUAGCUUUCCAAUAUAUUUUACAGAGCUAGAUUUAAAGUUCUCUAGAAGGAGUUAUGACCAAUUCAUUACAGCUUGUUCAGACUUGGGAUUUUCAACGACUCCUUUGUUUUUCAACUUCAUUUGUUUGUUUUGUUUCAAGUUUGUCAAUGUGUAAGGUAAGUAAAUGAUAGCAUUAAUUAUAGUAGGCUAGCAUUAAGUUUGUCAAAGAUAGCAUUAAUUAUGGUGGGUUGGUGAAGACUUUUGAAGCAUCCUUUGACAAACCUACUUGGAGGGUUGUUCCAAUGUUUCCAUUUGUAUUUUUAGGAUCUUGAGUUUAUUUUAGCCUAUUUAAACUUAGUAACCUUGCUAUGUAAUAAAAAAUUAGAGAUGAAUGUUAUUUGAAGUUGAAAGAUUAUUAUUUCUUUGGUUCUUUUGAGAACUAGUGAACUUAUCAAGAAUUUACAUUCUGUGCAAGUAUGGUUUCUUACAUGCGCUUCUGAAAUGCUCUUUGUCUUUUACCAGUUCUUUGAAGAACUGUUUUUGCUCACAAAGUUUUUCAAAACAUCUCUUAGUUAUUUGAAAGAUUUUUCCUAAGGAGAUGUUGUCAAGGUUAAGGUUGUGCUCUGUAAGUUGUCGUUGGAUUUCUGGUUGCAAUUCCUCAGGUAAGGAAGCCAGAAACACAUGCUUUAAGGUGUGAUCGUUGAAUCCAUUAAGCUUGUAGACUGGAUUGAUAUUCUUUUGUAAUGGAAAUCAAGAUCUUUAGUAUUUAAAUAACAACACUUCAUGUUGAGAUAGUCUCGUCUUGCUGCUUCAAAAACUGCAAAUGGUUCUCCAAUAAAUUGUUCAUGCAGAAUAGCAAGAGCACUAGAGACGUUUGGCAAUUGCACAAACUGUAAUUGUCUGUAGGGGCCAAGACUGUCAAACCAGUCUCUUAAAGAUCCCGUGAAACAUGUGACAAACUCCUUGAGGACUGAUUCUAUUGUUGCACCUAAUCUUAUCAUCUGGAGAUCUACCCAAGCUGACAUUUCAAACAACUUCUCUCUCCAUUUGACUGUGGGAAAGUGUCCGUUUAACUUUGCAGGGUACACCGGGUACCCUUCUGAGUUAAACCUUGUGAUUAGCAUAUCUUCUUGCGUUGUUUGAACAGCCGUGAUCAUUGAAGAAUAAGUGAAUGAUAACCUUGGAGGCUCUUGAGGAGCACUAGGUACUUAGUGGAGGCCGAAAAGUCAUUCUGACAGUACCAUCUAGCCUUCUUUCAAACAUACUUUCUGAUGUCUGACUGGGGGCUGAAUUGUUAUGGAAUUUCCUAAUAGUUUGAAAUCCAUUCCAGCGGCAUGAGUUUUAUGAGUUCAUGGUGAGGGAUUUGUCUGGGGAUUUGGAUGAUGGUUGGAAUUUGGUCUGAUUCUACUAACACCAUAAGAGCAUCAGAGUGAUUGUCAAGUGUGGGAAGAUCUAAGGCAUGAUUUUGAAGCUUAUAGACCAACUGAUGGUGUAAGGUAGCCAUUUUUACUGAGGAGAUUUGUUCUACUCCUUGAAUUUGAACUUGAACUUUCAAGGCAGUUGACAGAUUGGUAUCUUGGAGAGAUAAAUUGAAAUUGGGGUAGAAAGUGAGAAGAACACUUCCUGCAUGUAAAGUGGUCAGAACAGUACCAACUAUUGCAUCCUGAUACUGUUUGAAUCUGGUGUCGAGCAUAGCAAUUCUGGCUGUAACUGGUAAUCCUUUUCCAGAGAGGGGAAGGAUGAUGGAAUUGAGAAUGAUUUUUUGGACAGAACUCAAGAAGUUUUUGUGAAAUAUGACUGUAUGGAGUUGGGCCAUCAGAAAGUGUAUACAGACGGAGCAUAUCUAUAUAGGGCAAGAACAUCUGUUUGUAACGAAUUCCAGAACUAGUAAUGAAUAGAUUUUUGACCAAAUGAAGGAUAUCAAAACCUAUGUGCAAGUCUUUAUCUAGAAGAGUGGAUGCUACAAUCUUUUUCCAAAUAAUGCAAUUCGGAAAGAACUGAAUACCAAUGGAUUUUUUGGUAAUCAGAGUUGUUUCAAAUGUUUCGCCAUUGACUGCUCUGAAUAAUUUGGAGUAUAACCCUCCCUUUUUCAGUUGGAAAUCAAUUCUGGAGGUAUUUCCAAAGUCUAGAGGACUGGAUGUAUUCUUUUGGAUGAGGUCUUUUAGUAGAGAUAAGGGUUCUUAUACUUCUAGUAAAAGAGUUUCCUCUCUUGUAGAGCUGAUAAGGACUAAGAAGAGGGAAUGAAGAUUCAUUGAUUUGGGCUGACUCAGGGAUAUAUGAGUAUUCAACAAGGUUUUCUAUUUUAUUGGCAAGAUUUGGGUAAGGACAGGGUAGAAGAAGGGGAGAUUGGGGUGAUCGUAGAAGUAGAAGUGUCAUGAGUGAAGAUUUCUCUCUGUUUCUAAAGCCUAGCUAUUUUUCAAAGAAAUAGGGAAGACUCUUAUCAUACCACUUUGGUAAGUUUGAGGCUCUGACACCAUAAUAGGCAGCCGAAGUACGUGGCGUUGUUAGACCAAAGCAAUGACGAAAAGAUCAUCCUUUGGACCAGUAGUCCGCAUGCUUGGGUUUAACAACGCCACGUACUUCAGUUGCCUAUUAUGGUAUCACUAUUGUUAGUGUAAUAAUUGGUCAUUGUUAGGUUGCAUUAGGUAAAAGAUAUCCAACAGGCGACAACUGAGGAUGCAUGAGGGAUUCUGCCUAAUGCUAUAGUAGAUGUUAUAGUAGCGAUACUGUAAUAAAACAAUAGUAAUGNNNNNNNNNNNNNNNNNNNNNNNNNNNNNNNNNNNNNNNNNNNNNNNNNNNNNNNNNNNNNNNNNNNNNNNNNNNNNNNNNNNNNNNNNNNNNNNNNNNNNNNNNNNNNNNNNNNNNNNNNNNNNNNNNNNNNNNNNNNNNNNNNNNNNNNNNNNNNNNNNNNNNNNNNNNNNNNNNNNNNNNNNNNNNNNNNNNNNNNNNNNNNNNNNNNNNNNNNNNNNNNNNNNNNNNNNNNNNNNNNNNNNNNNNNNNNNNNNNNNNNNNNNNNNNNNNNNNNNNNNNNNNNNNNNNNNNNNNNNNNNNNNNNNNNNNNNNNNNNNNNNNNNNNNNNNNNNNNNNNNNNNNNNNNNNNNNNNNNNNNNNNNNNNNNNNNNNNNNNNNNNNNNNNNNNNNNNNNNNNNNNNNNNNNNNNNNNNNNNNNNNNNNNNNNNNNNNNNNNNNNNNNNNNNNNNNNNNNNNNNNNNNNNNNNNNNNNNNNNNNNNNNNNNNNNNNNNNNNNNNNNNNNNNNNNNNNNNNNNNNNNNNNNNNNNNNNNNNNNNNNNNNNNNNNNNNNNNNNNNNNNNNNNNNNNNNNNNNNNNNNNNNNNNNNNNNNNNNNNNNNNNNNNNNNNNNNNNNNNNNNNNNNNNNNNNNNNNNNNNNNNNNNNNNNNNNNNNNNNNNNNNNNNNNNNNNNNNNNNNNNNNNNNNNNNNNNNNNNNNNNNNNNNNNNNNNNNNNNNNNNNNNNNNNNNNNNNNNNNNNNNNNNNNNNNNNNNNNNNNNNNNNNNNNNNNNNNNNNNNNNNNNNNNNNNNNNNNNNNNNNNNNNNNNNNNNNNNNNNNNNNNNNNNNNNNNNNNNNNNNNNNNNNNNNNNNNNNNNNNNNNNNNNNNNNNNNNNNNNNNNNNNNNNNNNNNNNNNNNNNNNNNNNNNNNNNNNNNNNNNNNNNNNNNNNNNNNNNNNNNNNNNNNNNNNNNNNNNNNNNNNNNNNNNNNNNNNNNNNNNNNNNNNNNNNNNNNNNNNNNNNNNNNNNNNNNNNNNNNNNNNNNNNNNNNNNNNNNNNNNNNNNNNNNNNNNNNNNNNNNNNNNNNNNNNNNNNNNNNNNNNNNNNNNNNNNNNNNNNNNNNNNNNNNNNNNNNNNNNNNNNNNNNNNNNNNNNNNNNNNNNNNNNNNNNNNNNNNNNNNNNNNNNNNNNNNNNNNNNNNNNNNNNNNNNNNNNNNNNNNNNNNNNNNNNNNNNNNNNNNNNNNNNNNNNNNNNNNNNNNNNNNNNNNNNNNNNNNNNNNNNNNNNNNNNNNNNNNNNNNNNNNNNNNNNNNNNNNNNNNNNNNNNNNNNNNNNNNNNNNNNNNNNNNNNNNNNNNNNNNNNNNNNNNNNNNNNNNNNNNNNNNNNNNNNNNNNNNNNNNNNNNNNNNNNNNNNNNNNNNNNNNNNNNNNNNNNNNNNNNNNNNNNNNNNNNNNNNNNNNNNNNNNNNNNNNNNNNNNNNNNNNNNNNNNNNNNNNNNNNNNNNNNNNNNNNNNNNNNNNNNNNNNNNNNNNNNNNNNNNNNNNNNNNNNNNNNNNNNNNNNNNNNNNNNNNNNNNNNNNNNNNNNNNNNNNNNNNNNNNNNNNNNNNNNNNNNNNNNNNNNNNNNNNNNNNNNNNNNNNNNNNNNNNNNNNNNNNNNNNNNNNNNNNNNNNNNNNNNNNNNNNNNNNNNNNNNNNNNNNNNNNNNNNNNNNNNNNNNNNNNNNNNNNNNNNNNNNNNNNNNNNNNNNNNNNNNNNNNNNNNNNNNNNNNNNNNNNNNNNNNNNNNNNNNNNNNNNNNNNNNNNNNNNNNNNNNNNNNNNNNNNNNNNNNNNNNNNNNNNNNNNNNNNNNNNNNNNNNNNNNNNNNNNNNNNNNNNNNNNNNNNNNNNNNNNNNNNNNNNNNNNNNNNNNNNNNNNNNNNNNNNNNNNNNNNNNNNNNNNNNNNNNNNNNNNNNNNNNNNNNNNNNNNNNNNNNNNNNNNNNNNNNNNNNNNNNNNNNNNNNNNNNNNNNNNNNNNNNNNNNNNNNNNNNNNNNNNNNNNNNNNNNNNNNNNNNNNNNNNNNNNNNNNNNNNNNNNNNNNNNNNNNNNNNNNNNNNNNNNNNNNNNNNNNNNNNNNNNNNNNNNNNNNNNNNNNNNNNNNNNNNNNNNNNNNNNNNNNNNNNNNNNNNNNNNNNNNNNNNNNNNNNNNNNNNNNNNNNNNNNNNNNNNNNNNNNNNNNNNNNNNNNNNNNNNNNNNNNNNNNNNNNNNNNNNNNNNNNNNNNNNNNNNNNNNNNNNNNNNNNNNNNNNNNNNNNNNNNNNNNNNNNNNNNNNNNNNNNNNNNNNNNNNNNNNNNNNNNNNNNNNNNNNNNNNNNNNNNNNNNNNNNNNNNNNNNNNNNNNNNNNNNNNNNNNNNNNNNNNNNNNNNNNNNNNNNNNNNNNNNNNNNNNNNNNNNNNNNNNNNNNNNNNNNNNNNNNNNNNNNNNNNNNNNNNNNNNNNNNNNNNNNNNNNNNNNNNNNNNNNNNNNNNNNNNNNNNNNNNNNNNNNNNNNNNNNNNNNNNNNNNNNNNNNNNNNNNNNNNNNNNNNNNNNNNNNNNNNNNNNNNNNNNNNNNNNNNNNNNNNNNNNNNNNNNNNNNNNNNNNNNNNNNNNNNNNNNNNNNNNNNNNNNNNNNNNNNNNNNNNNNNNNNNNNNNNNNNNNNNNNNNNNNNNNNNNNNNNNNNNNNNNNNNNNNNNNNNNNNNNNNNNNNNNNNNNNNNNNNNNNNNNNNNNNNNNNNNNNNNNNNNNNNNNNNNNNNNNNNNNNNNNNNNNNNNNNNNNNNNNNNNNNNNNNNNNNNNNNNNNNNNNNNNNNNNNNNNNNNNNNNNNNNNNNNNNNNNNNNNNNNNNNNNNNNNNNNNNNNNNNNNNNNNNNNNNNNNNNNNNNNNNNNNNNNNNNNNNNNNNNNNNNNNNNNNNNNNNNNNNNNNNNNNNNNNNNNNNNNNNNNNNNNNNNNNNNNNNNNNNUAUUUUAAUUUAGAACAAAAUUGCACUGUUAAGAUUGCUAUAGCAAAUAUGAUAACAUCAAUCCCUAUAGAGACGAUCUCAAUACUCAUCAGUAGAUUACUUGUUGUGUACACUUGCACAUUGAUACCUAUAGCAAUAGAAAUCGCCCAACACCUAAUUUUAAUAAAAUGUUUGAAAUUGAAUGUGAUGCAUCAAGUAUUGGUAUAGGCGUAGUCCUAAUGCAAGAGGGAUGACCAAUUGGUUACUUUAGUGAGAAACUAAGUGGGGCAGCCUUAAACUAACCUACUUGCAAUAAGGAGAAUGAUUCCUUAUUCAUAUUUAGUGUCAUAUUUAACUUAUUUAAAGUUGUUUUUUACAUUUUCAAAUUUUCUUCUUUAAAUUAUUUAGUUUAUUUUGCAUAGUGUAUUAAAUCUGAAUCACCCCCAAAUUUUGUUACAUGUUUAUUAGUGUGUCCUUAAUAAAUCUGGAAAAUUUGAGUCAAUUUCAUUAAGUUUUAAUAAGGUUUUAAUUUAAAUUGACAUUUCUGGUCCUUUUGUAUUUUUCAUGUGUUAAGUGGGAAUAAUCCUAAUGAUAAUAACCAUUACAUGCUCUAUACUCAAUAACGGUAAUAUUUAAGGCAAGAUAAGUGAUAUACUUGUAAGUGACAUCAAUUUUAGUGCUAUUGCCAAGGAUUGUUUUCCCUAAGUGAUUGAUUAUUUGUUUUUAGUUUUAGUAUUUGCUUUAAUUAGUAUCUUUUUCAUUGUUUUAGAUCUUUAUUAGGGAAUAUCUAAUCUUACUCUAGAAGGGGAACAUUCAAAGCCUUGAAAGGAUUUUAGAAUUUACCUUUUCUCAUCAUAGUUGAUCAAUUUGUAUCUUUACCACCUAGUCCAGUACUAAAGGAUUCUUGAAACAUUAUACAUAGAGCUGAGUAAGGAGAGAUGGCACUAGCAGAUGAAUGCACACUUAAGUAGGGUGGGCAAAUACGGGUUUGGGUCAACUUGAUUGGAUUUCAGGUUAAUCAGAUUGGGAAAAUGUUACUUGAAUUCAACACAAACAUGUAAUCCAACCCGACCCGAUUUGAAAUAAAUUGGGAUUGGAUCGAGUCGAAUCGAUAGUUUGUGUUUGUUUUUGCUUUUAUUUCUUCAUAUUUUCAGAUUGACCCAAUUCGACCUGAUUAGGUUAGGCUUUUCAUUCGAAUCCAAUCUGAACCUAAAUUUUUUGGAUCAGUUCGGGUCGAGUCAUUUGCCCACCCUUACACUCAAGGAUUUGGGUGCACCAGCUCUAGAUUAACAACUCCUUUAUGUUGAAUACCCUAUAAUUAGGGUUGAUUUUGAGCUUAAAUUUGGAAUGAUACAUCUUCUACCAGCCUUCCGUGGUUUUGUUGGAGAAGAUUCAAACAAGCACCUUAAGGAGUUCAUGUAGUGUGUUCAAAUAUGAAACUAGCUAGGUCUUAGAUGAACAAAUUAAAUUGAACGCUUUUUCUUUCUCUUUAGUAUAUCGCGAAUGAGUGGUUUUAUUAUCUACCAUCUGGUAGCAUUAUCACAUGAAUGAGAUAAGGAAACUUUUUCAUGAAAAGUACUUUCCUUCAUCCAAGGCUACAAACAUUUGAAAAUAGAUCUGUAGAGUAGAAGGAGUUUGUAUGAGUAUUAUGAGAGACUUAACAAGGUAUCUGUAUUUUAUCCUCAUUACCAAGUCAGUGAACAACUUUUGAUUUAAUGCCAAUGGAGAGAAGCAUAAUUGAUAUGACAAGUGGAAGAGCUUUAGUAAACAAGACACCUUUGGUAGUAAAGGCUUUUAUAGCAAACAUAGCCAAUUCACAAAAGUUUAGUAAUAAAUUGGAUUUGUUACUAUAGAAGGUGAAUGAGGUUAAUGUCACUUCUAACACUGAUAGAAACUUGUUAACCUCACUUCGUUAUCUUACCAAUUAGUUAUGAAUAACAUUCAACCAUCGAAAAUGUGUGGAUUAUGCUCUAUGAUAGGUCGUCCAACUGAUACAUGUCCAUCUUUGUAAGAUAAUACUUUAGAGCAAAUGAAUGCCAUAUGUGUGUAUCAAGAGAAAACAUUUGCAACCAAGUCAAAAGUGUGAUAUUUUCUCCAACAUUGCAACUUGUUAAUUGGGAAUAAUCUUGUCGAGAAUGACCCUUGCUUGCUUUUAUACUCAAUAAUGUAAGGUUUUAUGUGACUUUUAAGUGACAUCAUAAACCGAUGUCAUAGGUAAGUAUCAAGGGCAACAAGCGCAACAAAAAAAAGUAUAAUCCUUUCUUUAACAAUUAUGAUCCACAAAAGGAUAUAUCAUCCAAGCUCUAGUUAUUUGGAAAAUCAACAACAAACUAGUCCUAAUGGUAACUUUAAUAAUCCAUCAAGUUUUGCUCAACCAAGGCCACAACAGCCUUAUUAUUUUAGGCCACAACCUAUUUUUUGGAAUCAAGGUACAUCUCUUGAAGAUUUGGUUAAAUCUUUGGCUAUAAGUUCUUUGAAAUUUCAACAAGAAACAACGCAUAAGGAUCUUGAAAACUUCUUCCUAGAUCGUGAUUCACUCAAGAGAGAUUGCUAGUACUGUGACUUUAAGAGUGGGAAACAACUUGAAGAAACACUAAAAAGAGCAAAAUCAGCCAUGGAUUCAAAACAACAAGAUGAUUUAUUUUUUGAGAAAGAUGUAGCCAUAUCUUCUAUUGAGACAACUUCAGCAUUUUAGAUAAUUUUUAAGGUUCUCACUUCUUUUAAUGCUCCUUUUUUGCCUUUUCCUAUUAGGUUUGCAAAAUCUAAGAAACAAGGAGCAUGAAAAAGAGAUUUAAGAACCUUUUAUAAAGUACAAGUUAACGUACCUCUAUUGGAUGCUAUUAAACAAGUACCACGUUAUGCAAAAUUCCUCAAAGAGUUAUGCAUCAACAAAUACAAGCUCGAAGGCAAUGAGGCAAUAAGUGUGGGGAGAUGUAUUUACUAUUUCACAAAGGAAGCUUCCAUCGAAAUGUGAAGAUCUAGGAAGUUUCACUAUACAAUGCAUAAUUGGUAACACCAAGUUUGAAAAAUUUAUGUUCAACUUAGGUUCAUUUCUUAAUAUCAUGCCUUGUCAAUAGAUAUAAUGCUUAUCUAAACUGUGUUUUAGAAGAUGUUUUGGUGAGGUUAAUUCGCUAAUUUCUAUAUUCUUAAUAUGGAGGAUGAUUCAUCUCCUAUGCCAACUCCAUUAUUUUUAGGGAGGCUAUUUAUGAAAACUGCGAGAACUAACAUAGAUAUGUAUAAUAGAAAUUUAACUUUGUAGUUUGAUGGAGAGGUUAUUUGUUUCAAUAUUUUUGAUGCUAUAAGGUAUCUAAGUGAUUUGAAUUCUUUUUUUUUCAGUUGAUAUUAUUGAUUUUUUAACAUAGUAAAUCUUUGAGUUUACAAGCGACGAUGCAUUAGAAAUUGCUAUUAGAAAGAGCUUUAAGUUAGAAGAACUAAAUAUCCAAAAAGGAAUAUCCAAUUUUGUAACAAUAUUGAGGAGACAGUGGCAUAUUUGGAAUCAAUGCCAAAAGUGUCCUUGGUCUUUGUCUAAUGAGACACUUUUGCCUUAUGUGAUUCAAGCACCUGCAUUGGAGCUUAAAUCUUUCCAACAAANNNNNNNNNNNNNNNNNNNNNNNNNNNNNNNNNNNNNNNNNNNNNNNNNNNNNNNNNNNNNNNNNNNNNNNNNNNNNNNNNNNNNNNNNNNNNNNNNNNNGGCCAUAAUUAUUACAAAGAAUCUCAUGCAUUAUAAGAAGAAAAAUUGGUCCAUGUUUAAAAGAAUACAAAGUAACAAAUGGAUGGACAAUAGCUAAUGCAAAAAAGAACUACUUAUCUUAUACGUGUGCACAGAAACUUGCUUGACGAAAGAGCAAAGUCGACUGGGAAGUUGUGAAGUAAGAAAUUCUGUAAUUGCUAAAUGUUGGUGUAAUCUAUCAUAUUUUCUUAUAAAAGUGGGCAAGCCUAAUCCAAGUUGUUUCAAAGAGAUCUAGAAUCACCAAUAGCUAAGAAGGAGGAGAAUAAGCUAGUUUCUACUCAUGCCUAAACUGGGUGGUGAUUUUGCAUUGAGUAUAAAAUGUUCAACUAUACAACUCAUAAAGAUUAUUUUCCCUUGCCAUUCGUUGAUCAAAUGUUAGAAAGAUUAGAUAGUCAUGCUCGCCGUUAUUUUCUUGAUGAUAUUAGGUUAUAAUCAAAUUGUCAUUGCACCAAAAUGUUCAAGAAAAGACAACAUUCACCUGUCUUUUCAGUACGUUUGCUUCAAAAAGCAUCCCUUCCAUAGUACAAAUCCCAAGACAAAGUCGGGCAACCACUACCACCCAAUGGUGAAGCCACUCCUUGGUAAUAUAGGAUGAACUGUGGUUGGUUGGAUCGAUCUCAAAGCCAAACAACUUUCUGAUGCACAAGAUCCUAAAAAGAGGCGAGUGCGGAGCAUACUCGUUAAAAAAGAUUAAAGUGAACUAUUAUGAGAACCUGUUGUCCUUCUUAGGGAAAUAAAGGAAAGAGAGAAUAUUUAGAAAGUCAUGAUAUUUGGAAAACUCAGAUUAUUAUUUCCCAAAAUCUGAGAUGCUUACAACUGAGAAUGAAUUCUCCUUAUAAAGGAAAUUCAAAGGAAAAGGAAAAAACAAGUCCUAUCCUCUUUUACAAAAGCAAAAGACCCCUGUCUUUUUGGACUUUAAGCUAAAGACAAAGCAAAAGGAAGAUGCUCUAAAGUAAAGAUAAAGUAAAGCAAACACUUUGCUUUUACAAAAGCAAAAGCAAUUAUUACAAAGUGCGUUAAAAAUUGUGCGAGGGAGAUAAGUUGUCAACAUCGCUAUCAACUUCAGCAAAUGGCUCUUUCCACCAAGGCAAGUUCUCAUAAUAUUGUCGGGUAGGUGAAUCUGUCGAUAAAUCUGUCAUUGUUGGUGGAACAAUACUUGUAGAGGGUGCAUGUGAUGUUUCAGUGGGAUGCAGAAUUGAGGUGAAUUCUUCCUAUGGGUCUUGUGAAAAGAGGAUGUCUGUGAAAUCAUGUUUUUCUUCUUUGAUCAAAAUUCCAGAGGGAGGAGGUGACCUGGUGGUCGGAAUAAUCAUGAGUUCAUGUUGUGGUCCAAGGGAGGUGUGCUGGAUAUCAAUAGGAGAGGACUGGACAUUGUGACAAGGUUUGGGUCAUGAUCCAGGGGAAAACUAUGAGGAACAAUCUUCCAUUCAUAAGCUUGGUCCUGAGUCCAAGAGAGUUUGGUAACAGGAUGCUGGAAAUAAGGAUGAUAGAUAAUGAAGACUGGGGUGAACUGUUCUCCUUCUUGAUCUGGGAGGAGAUUGAUGUGGUGGUGUUUGAUAAUAAAGUCAAGUUGUUUUCUCCACCAAGAGAGAGGAAAAAAUCAUUCAAAAAGAGUCCAUGUGAGAGAGUGAGCCUGGUUGGGAUUUGUGAGACACCGAAACAUUGGAUGUAUAAGAAAGAUUAGUUUGGUGGCAUAUAAAAUCGUGAGACACAGUAUAUAUACUGCAGUUCAUCUUCUGUGACGUCCCUGAAUGUCUAGAUGAAAGCUUGGAAAUCCGGAUGUCUAGGCGCGAUAUAUAUUCAUGAAAUAUCGAAAAACAAAUUUAUUUGUAAAAUCUUGGAUAUGAUAAGGACUGGAGAAAGUGAGAUUGCAAGGAAAAGACUUUUUUGUCAAGGCUGUGUUGGGAAGAGUAGGAGCCAUGAAGAUAACUAGAACUGAGGAAAAAGAGACUCCUAGGGAUGAAGAUGAAGGUCGGGAAAAGAGAUCAGUGAUGAGGUUCUGGUCUCCUUUUAUAUGUUGGACUGUGAAGUCAUAUUUCAAGAACCAAGUUUUGAGAUGGAAGAGGUGCUUGUUUGGGAGGACCUUAUUUUUGAAUUCAAGGAUUUUUGGAAAGGAGGAAUUGUCUAAUCUGACAAGGAAAUUAUGACCAAUAAGAUGAAAUUCAAAAUUUUAAAUUCCAUAUUUAACGGCUAGGAUUUCUUUGUAGAUCACAUAGUAGUGUUUUUCUGACUCCUUGAAUUGUCCACUAGCAUGGGGAUAGCAAGAUUCCAUACCUGCAGAAUACGUUGACCGUCAGUAGGGAUUCUCAAAGGAGGUGGAUGCUAAGCGAUGUUUUUGAGAUGUUGGAUAGCAGCAGUCUGAGAGGGACCCCAUGGUGGGGCUGAUUUUCUGAGCAUUUUUGAAAGCUGACUGGUAUGAACUACUACAUGUGGAAAGAAUUCCCAAAGGUAAUUGAUAAUACCAAGGAAUUGUUGGAUCUGCUUUUUUGACAAAUGUUCAUCUGGGAAAUGAAUGAGUUCCUAGGCUAUGUGUGGUCCAGGACUAUAGUAUCCAUCUUUUAGAGUCAUGCCAUAUGUAGAUAAGUGUUUUGUCAGACAACAUUAUGCCAUAUGUUUUGGCAUAAUGUUUUGGCCUAACAUUAUGCUAUAUGUUUCCACUAUCUCAAGAAAGUGGGAAAGUAAUUGUUGGUGGGAACAUGAUCUUUGGAGAAUAAUAGCACAUCAUCUAUAUAGAUAAGUGCAUGAUGAAGGAUUGGUUCAAAGAUCUUGAUCAUGGCCUUUUGGAAAAGUGAGGGGGCUACCUUGAGGCUAAAUGACAUUACUUUCCAUUGGUAGUGGGCAUUUGGUAUGCAAAAAGCUGUUUUAAGUCUGUCAUUAGGGUGGAUUCCUAAUUGCCAGAAACUUGCUUUAAGGUCAAAUUUUGAGAAGACCUUAGUAUUUUGGAUAUGAACAAAUAAGGAUUGGAUUUUUGACAAGGGGAACUUAUCAUCUCUAAGAAAAUAGUUGAGAGGGUGGUAAUCAAUAACAAGACGUUUUUUUGCCUCUAACUAUUUUAGACAUUUUUUCCACAUAAAAAGCUUGACAAGCCCAUUCUGUAUUUGUGGGCUCAAUAAGGCCUUGUUUUAGCAACUGAGAGCAUUCUUCUUGGGCUAAUUUCAGGUCGGACGGAAUCAUUCCUGGAUGGGUAGCUUUGGUUGGGUUAAUGUCUUCGUUAAGCUUGAAAGGGAGCUUAAUAAAGAAAUUUUCAUUUUUCCAUAGAGGGGGGCAGGAUGAAGAAAUUGACUAUGACUUUCUGGACAGUGAAGAAGAAAACGAGAUUUGAGAGGAUCAUAUAAAGAAGGAGAGCUUGAGAUAGAGAACAAUUUCAGGGAAUCUGUAUAAGGCUUAAACAUUUGUUUAUAGCAGAUUCCAGAAGCUAUUAUAUGGAGUUUUUUAACCAGGUGAAGGACACCAAACCCGAUUAAAAGAUCUUUGUCAGGAAGAUUGGAUCCAACGAGCUUGGUCCAAAGGACACAUCCUGGAAAGAAUUGAAUGCCAAUGGAUUUUUUGGUAAUCAAAUCUGCAUGAAAUAGUUCUCCAUUAGCAGCUUUGAAAUAUUCCGUAUACUUUUCCCAAAAAUGGGAUGGAAGGAUUGAAGGAUUAAGUAUACUCUUCUGAGCUCCAGUAUCAACAAAAUCGAUGAUGGGGACCAGUUUGUCAAAUCUUCCGGAGAGAAGUUGGAUUUUGAUUAAAGGGAUAGGAAUGGCUGGUUGGACUUUCUGAAUCUGUUGUACAGUUUGAGUUAUAGAAACAUUGUCUGGCUCAGAAUGUUCUGAUGCAAAUCCCAUAAUGAAACUUUGAAACUCACACUUAAAUUGUAGUUUCAACUUUCCAAGAAAGUUCUAAACAGAUUUAUGACAAACAAAACCUUGACCCAAUGCUUAAGAAAAGCAUGAACCAAAGGUAUAGAGAAUGAUAUUGAUGCCACACUCAAGAAAUAAAUGAGAAGGUGAGUGAUAAGUCUAAAUUUGGAACGCCACAAGAAUGCAAAUUCUUGAUAAGUUCACUAGUUCUCAAAAGAACCAAAGCAAGAAUAAUCUUUCAAAUUCAAAUAAUAUUAAUCUCUUAAUUAUCAUACAGAGCAAGGUUCAUGAGUUUAAAUAGGCUAAAAGAAACCCAAGAUCCUAAAAAUACAAAUGGAAACAUUGGAACAACCCUCCAAGUAUAGGUUUGUCAAAGGGUGCUUUAAAAGCCUUCACCAACCCACUAUUAUUAAUGAUAGACUUACCUAACACAUUGAUAAACUUGACACAAAACAAAUAAAUGAAGUUUAAUAAUCAAAGGAGUCGUUUGAAUUCCCAAGCCUGAACAAGCUAUAAUAAAUUGAUCAUAACUCCUUCUAGAGAACUCCAAAUCUAGCUCUGUAAAGUGCAUUGGAAAGCUAACUUAAUUAUCUUUCCAAUGGUAUAUAGCGUGCGCAUUAAUUCUGGCUCAAUCAAUACCAGAUUUAUUCCGGAUUUGCCUUUUCUGCAUUUGAUCCAAAUUGUGUAUUUGGCUGGCCAAUAGCUUGAAUAAUGCCCACAAUGCCUUGUCUUCUCUCCAAGCCCAAUUCAUGAUGUCUUGCAUCUUGAAUUGCAUUUUCAAUCCAUAUUUUCUCAAUUAAUCCAUUUUGAAAUACAAGUAAGCAACCCAAGAGGGGGGGUGAAUUGGGAUUCUAAAAAAUUAUUCAAUAAUAAAGAAAAUCUUAAUGCAAUUAUAACUCAAAUUCAAAGCAAUAAUAAUUAAGAUGAUCACAAUAUAAAAAGGUAAGGGAAGAGAGAUUCAAACACGAGAUUUUUACGUGGUUCGGCCAACCUCGCCUACGUCCACGCCUCCAAGCUUUCCGGGCUUGAGGAUUCCACUAAGCAAGCCUCCAAGGCUUCAAAUGCUUACACUUGACUUCCGAGGUGUCAAUGGACCUUUACAACAAGAGAUUAUCCCCAAUCUCUUAACCCAAGUGUAUCCCAACACUUACAAUCACUCAAAGUAAAAGAUUACAAAUUUGUUUUGCCUCUCACAAUAUACAAGAUAACUCAAUGAUGCUUAAUAUGUGAAUAGAUGAAGCAAGAAUGUGUUCUAAGCUCUAUGAAGAUUGUAUUCUCGAAUAUUAGCUCAAAUGGUUGUGUUGUGAUCAACCUUCUUUGAAUUUGAAUGAGCCUAUUUAUAUCUGGAGCUGAAAAUCUAGCCGUUACAAACUGUCGGGCAGAAAAUGGUUCGCCGUUAACGAUAAACGGUUAACCGUUUCGCUUGUUCAAAGUUACCGUUGGACCAGAAUUCAAAUAAACGGUUUGCCGUUUAGGAUUGCCCUUUCGCCGUUAACUUCCAGAGACCUGCAAGAUGAGCAUUCGUUAUACGUUUACGCUAAACGGUUAAGGACUUGCGUGAGGUAACGUUUCUGGAUAUUAUCGGUUAACCGUUUGAACAAUAAUCGGUUAGCCGUUUGUCUCCAGUAACCUGCAAAAUGAACAUCAGUUAAUCAAUACUAGAGGCGGACAACCCUCAAUUCUGGACGUUAUCGGUUAACCGUUUAAAAAGAAACGGUUCACCGUUAGUUUCCAGUAGCCUUCCUAUCUUGGGUGUUUUCUGUUAAGCGUAAACGGCUAGAGCUUAGGCAAUAUGAUGCUCUCUGGUGAUAAUCGGUUAACCGUUUAAAAAUAAACGGUUCACCGUUAGUUUCCAGUAACCUUCCCAUCUUGGGUGUUUUCCGUUUUCCAUGAACGGUUAGAGGUUAAGGAAAUGUGUUACUCUCUGCCUUUAAUCGGUUAACCGUUUAAAAUAAACGGUUCACCGUUUAUGACCAGUAUUGCAAUUUUAAACAAGUUUUUGCAGAGAAUUUCUUUCUAAUUUGAAAUCCAUCUUUUAUGAAGAAAUAAGGCAAUGAUUAAAAGAGUUUUCGUUUAUUAAGAAAUAACUCCAUUAUUUUUGUCAAAAUACAUUUAAAAUUUGUUAUCAUCAAAAUCAAUAUUAUUAACAUAUUUAUGUUAACAAUCUCCCCCUUUUUGAUGAUGACAAAUUUCAUUCAAAGUUUUAGCUCCCCCUUAAUAUGUGCUCCCCCUACAUGUAUUGCCAAAAUGAGAAAUGUGAAUAAAAGGAUUCUUGCUUUAAAUUUCCCAUUUUAAAUACAAAAAAAAAUAUCUCAUUAAAUCCCAAAAAAAAUCAUCUUCAUCUUAAAAAGCCACAAAAUAUCUCCCCCUUCAUCAUCAAAAAGAAAAGAGGAAAUAAGAAAUACGUAAAUCCGUUUAAAAAUAAUUGUCCGGUUAUGGCGAGUGGAAAUUUCGGCAGAGUUUUCCCUUAAAAAUGAGCAAAACCAGUAAUACAAAGUGAGAGAAAAACACUUCCAAAAAUAGAUUAACAGCAACUGCUUCUUCCAACAAGCCAACAACUCCAUGAACAAACAUAUAUCAACACUCCAAUAUCCACAAAUAAUCUAAUAUGAUAAUAUCCAACAAUCAGUCAAUCACAAAUCAUCAAUCAUGUAAUCAUCAAGAACAUCACAAAUAUAUGCAUCAAAAUCCAUGAGAGAAAUAUAAAAAUGCUAAAAAUCAAAAUGAAGAAUGUAUGUGCGAAAACAGAACUCAGAAACUAUGGAGGUGGAGAAGAUGUGCUCCCCGGAUCAUAUCCGAAAUAGCUGAGGAUAGUGCGCUGUCCAGCGAUAAGCUCAAGCUGCUGAUCAAGGCUCUGCCGCUGGUAGAUCUGAAAGUCUGCACGCAGCUGCUGGUGGUCACGAGAAAGAGUGUCCAACCGAUCAAGAAUCAUCUGCUGGCGCUCCGAAAUCUGCUGAACAUCAGUGAUCAGCUGCUGCACGAUGUCGGAGGCAGGAGGCGGAACUGGAGCUGGAGGUGGCACAGAGGCAGAUGGCGGCUCGGGAACUGCAGAGGGCUCAGGAGCAGGAGGCGGCUCGAAAGAGGAGGGAAUGUCAGCAUCCAUCGCACGCUCCUCAAAGUCUGAGUCAGCUGGAGGCUGAGGAACAAAACGACGACGCGGAGGAUGAGGAUGAGCGCCUAGUCUAAAGUCAGGAAGCUGAUCGGGACGAUAGAUAUCAUUGAGCAUCCGAUCGUCCUUUGGAGCAAUCAAGGUAUCCCGGUUUUUGGCGUUGCUUGUCUUUAUCCACUCUCCAUUCUUCCUAGAGAAACCGAUACUAGUCAUGGCCUCGGGACCAAUCCGUCUAGUCUCCAUGUGACCAGUAUCAAGAAGUGGAACCUCAAAGCGUCGCAGUAUCUUAGUGAUGAUACUGCCAUAAGGAAGCAAGCGGUGGUUGACCACUGGAAUACUCAAGAUAUGUCGCACAAUAAUAUACCCGAGGUUAAUGGGACGGUCUGUAAGAAGGCUAUCCAAUAGGGCAACGUCCAACCUCGUAACCUCAUCUGAUUGACCCUUCCUAGGAGUCACUAUGUGCUGUAAAAUAGAGUGAAGAAUACGAACUUGGAGAGGUAAAAGUUGAGACCGAAAUGGAAGCAUACAAAUCUCAUCCGAUAAGUCUCUACGACGACAUAUAUUACGGACACCAUGAGUAUGAGAAAAAGUAUCAAAGGAGAGGGUUUUCCUAGAGGUAUAAAUGUCAAGCCCCUCACAAGGGAUACCUAGAAAGUCAGCUAAGUCCGCAUCAUCAAAUUCUAUGGGUACACGGCCGACUUGAGUGACUAUCCUAUUUGGGCGAGUAUCAGAGAUUUCCAUGUUCGAAUAAAAGACUCGCACUAAGUUUGGAUAAACUCGGUCAUCAAAAUCAAUGCCAGACUCCCAAGGCUGAAGCAUAUCCCGAAUACUUCUACCACAUACAACCAAAUUACGAAAAUCAUCAAUGUCAACAAAGAAGGAUUCAAGUACCUUUCGACCAUCGAAGCGUUCUUCGAACCGCUUGGCCAAGGAAGGUGUGGGGAAGUGAAUCCUUGAAAAUUCAGAGACCUCCCGAGGUAGUAUAGGAUUCCUUGGAGGCACUGAUUUACGCCUGGGUGUUCUCCGAGAAGGUUCAGCCAUGGAAACCCGAAAUAGAGUAGAGAAAAAGCAAGGGAGAUGUGAUGGGACAAAAACAAACCGAUAAAAAGUUUAAGAAAGAGUAGAGGAUGUGACUAGGAUGUUCAAUUUGGUUGAAGAAAGGUGGAAAUCGGAUCAAGAACGAAGAAACUCGUCCCGCGACUGUUAGGGUUUAGAUUUGGGAUUUUUGAAUUUUGGGCACGAUUUGAAGUUUUGAAUCGGUAGAAAUGUUCUAAAGGUGAUAAGAAAUGAUUUUGAAAGUUUGAUUUGGCAAGAAAAUCAAGAAAAAUGAAGAUUUGAGGACAGAGAAAUCUUCGGCUGCGCAACAAUGGUGGAAACGGUGAGAGGGUAACUGGAGAGGUAGAAGAGAACCUUUGAACAGUAUUUAUACUUCGAGAAAACGGUUAACCGUUUAUUGAAACGGUUAAAGGGUAACUUCCAGAGGCUAAUGAAAAACAAAACGGUGUAGCAAACGGUGAAGGAGUAAACGGACAGACACAGAAUCUCGUUUCUGGAAUUAAACGGUGAUCCGUUUAUAUGAAACGGCUAACCGUUUAUUUUAUCUGUAAUUUCGCACAUUUGAUUUAAUUUUUGGCCAGCAAAUAAUAUAUUCCAAGAUCAUUUAAUUGAUCUGAAAAUAUUUUAUGAGCCAAUUUAAAUGCAUGAUUCAUGAACAUGUUUUCAACCAAUUUAUUCAUACAAUCAAGAGUAAUUAAUGCAAAUUCAUCAUUUGUCUAUCAAGCUCAAGCAUUUCAUAAACAAUAGUCAAUCAAUUUAGUACACUCAAUAGCAUGAAUAGAGAUGUUAAUGCAAGAAUUUCAUCAUCCCAAGUUCAUGCCGAAUUUUUGAAAAUUGUUCUUCGCAAAGCGGUUUUGUGAAAAUAUCGGCAAGUUGUUUUUCCGUGGAAAUAAACUCUAAUGCAAUAGCUCCCUUUUGAACAUGAUCUCUCAAGAAAUGAUGUCUUAUUUCUAUAUGCUUAGUUCGAGAGUGUUGAAUGGGAUUCUUUGAAAGGUUUAUAGCACUAGUAUUAUCACACUUAAUAGGAAUUUGUUCAAGAUUAAUGCCAUAAUCUCUAAGUGUUUGUUUCAUCCAAAGAGCUUGUGCACAACAACUUCCGGCAGCUAUAUAUUCAGCCUCGGUGGUUGACAGUGCGACAGAAUUUUGUUUCUUGCUAAACCAUGAAACAAGAGAGUGUCCUAGAAUAUAGCAAGUUCCACUAGUGCUCUUCCUAUCCACUUUAUAACCAGCAAAAUCCGCAUCCGAAAAACAUGUUAAAUCUAUGUGAGUUCCCCUAGGAUACCAAAGGCCAAUAUCUAUGGUUCCAUUCAAAUAACGAAAAAUUCUUUUAACAGCGAGCAAAUGAGAUUCCUUGGGACAUGACUGAAAUCUUGCACACAAACAUACACUAAACAUGAUAUCGGGUCUACUUGCAGUCAAAUAAAGUAGGGAUCCGAUCAUACCUCGAUACAUUUUGAUGUCCACUUCUUUACCUUUUUCAUCUUUGUCCAGCUUGGUUGUUGUGCUCAUUGGUGUAUUCUUGGUCUUUGAAUCAUCAAUGCCGAAUCGUUUGAGUAGAUCCUUUACGUACUUGGCUUGAUUUAUGAAAAUUCCUUCCUCGUUUUGUUUGAUUUGAAGUCCAAGGAAGUAUUUCAACUCUCCCAUCAUACUCAUCUCAAAUUCGUUGCUCAUACACGAUGAAAAUUCUUUACACAACAACUCAUUAGUAGAACCAAAAAUAAUAUCAUCAACAUAAAUUUGAACAAUAAGUAUGUCUUGAUUCUUAUGCUUAACAAAUAAAGUAGUAUCCGCUUUACCCAUAGAGAAGUCAUUUUCUAGCAAGAAAUUCUUAAGUCUAUCAUACCAUGCUCUAGGUGCUUGUUUUAAUCCAUACAAGGCUUUAAGUAAUUUGUAAACAUGAUUUGGAAACUUUUCAUUUUCAAAACCAGGGGGUUGUUUUACAUACACUUCUUCCAUAAUAUACCCAUUUAGGAAAGCACUUUUCACAUCCAUUUGAAAUAAAAUAAAAUCUUUAUGACAUGCAUAUGCUAACAACAUCCUAAUGGAUUCUAACCUUGCUACAGGAGCAAAGGUUUCAUCAAAAUCAAUUCCUUCUUCUUGGUUGUAGCCUUGAGCCACUAAUCUAGCUUUAUUUCUUACAACCACACCAGAUUCAUCCAUCUUAUUCCUAAACACCCAUUUAGUACCUAUUACAGAUUGAUGUUCAGGUUUAGGAACUAAUUCCCACACAUUGUUUCUUUCAAAUUGAUUUAACUCCUCUUGCAUUGCCAUAAUCCAAGAUUCAUCAUUUUCUGCAUCCUCAAAAGAUUUUGGUUCAAUUUGAGAGAUGAAUGCAUUAUGCUCACAAGUAUUUCUAAGUGAUGAUCUAGUUGUUAUACCUCGUGAGGGAUCUCCUAAAAUUACAUUUUUAGGGUGAGAAGAGACAUACCUCCACUCCUUGGGGAGUGUUUGAGAAGUACCUUCAUUUUGCUCCACAUUUGGUUCUUCAUGAUGUUCGUCUUGAAUUCCAUGUGGUGCAUCCUCUUGUUUGUCAUUUGAUGCUUCUUCUUCUUGUUCUUCUUCUCCUGCAUCAUCAUCAACCACGACUUUCUCCGUAGAGGAGGGGUUAGACUCAUCAAAUGUGACAUGCAUAGAUUCUUCCACAACUAAAGUUCUUUUGUUAUAGACUCUAUAAGCUUUGCUUGAAUUUGAAUAACCAAGAAAAAUUCCAACAUCGGAUUUUGGAUCAAAUUUACCAAGAUUAUCUUUUGUGUUCAAAACAAAACAUUUGCAUCCAAAAACUUUAAAAUAUCCAAUGUUAGGUUUUCUCUCUUUCCAAAGCUCAUAAGGAGUUUUGUUAAGAUUAGGUCUAAUCAACACCCGAUUUAAAACAUAACAAGCGGUGUUGACGGCUUCGGCCCAAAAAUAUUUUGGUAAUGCAUUUUCAUUUAACAUGGUCCUAGCCAUUUCUUGAAUAGACCUAUUCUUUCUCUCAACAACUCCAUUUUGUUGUGGAGUUCUAGGUGAUGAAAAUUGAUGCUCAAUGCCUAGAUUAUUGCAAAAACUCUCAAAUGCAUGAUUUUCAAAUUCUCCUCCAUGAUCACUCCUAAUGCAUACAAUACCAUACCCUUUUUCAUUUUGUAAUUUCUUACAAAGCACUUUAAAAGCAUCAAGAGCAUCAUCCUUAUUGGCUAAGAAUAAUACCCAUGUAUAUCUAGAAUAAUCAUCCACUAUCACAAAUGCAUAAUAUUUGCUAUUUAGACUUGCAUAUCUAGAUGGCCCAAAAAGAUCUAUGUGAAGAAGUUCAAGCGGUUUUGAAGUAGAAAUAUGGUUUUUAUUUUUGAAAGAAGUUUUAAUUUGUUUUCCAAAUUGACAAGCUUCACAAAUCUUAUCCUUUUGAAAACCAAUUUUCGGAAGACCUUUAACUAAAUCAUCUUUCGAUAUUUUUGAAAUCAAAUCCAUACUUGCAUGACCUAACCUUCUAUGCCAUAACCAACAAUCAUCAUGCAAUGCUGAAAAACAUUUAUCAAGAAUGGAUGCACAUUCUAUGUCAAUGAUAUAAACAUUACCACAUCUAUUUCCAACAAAUACGGUUUUGCCAUCACAUGGGUUCUCAAUAACACAACUAAAUUUAUCAAAGAUAACUUUAUAGCCUUUGUCACAUAAUUGACUAAUGCUAAUUAAGUUGUGUUUCAAGUUUUCAACCAAACACACAUUCUCAAUUAGAGUUGAAGAGAUUUUACCAACAUUUCCAAUUCCAAGAAUUUUUCCUUUUGAGUUGUCUCCAAAAGAUACGUCUCCACCAUUUUCAAUUUUGGUGAAGCUUGAGAACCAUGCAUAGUUUCCGGUCAUGUGCCUUGAACAACCGCUGUCCAAGUACCAUUUAUUUUUCUUCUUCUUCAAGCCCUACAAGAAAAAAAAAAUCUCAAGUUUUAGGUACCCAAAGCUUUUUGGGUCCUUGAGGGUUAGCAACGGUUCCUUUUGGAACCCAAAUGCAUUUGACACCAUAAUAUGCAUUUCUUUUCACGGGACAUCUAAAUUUCAUGUGACCAUUUUGAUUACAAUAAUGACAUACAAUCUUAUGAUUAUUUGUGGAGGUAGCUUUAACAAAAUAACUCUUAUAAUACUUUUGCUUCAAGUUAGGCUUAUAUCCAAGUCCUCCUUUAUCAAAAACACAUUUUUGUGAGUUAAGCAUAUUAUCCAACAUCUUUUGCCCAUUUGUAAAUUUCAAAACAAUUUCAUUCAAUUCAUUAUUCUUUUUCUUGAGCAUUUCAUUCUCAUUUUUCAACUCAUCUAUGUGUGAUUCUAAAUGCUCAUGUAAGAUGCUAGGUUUCUCAUUUGAUAAUGCAAUUUCAUCAUGCAAUGUUUUGUUCCCUACUUCUAGGCAUGCAAUUCUAGCAUUUAGAGAUUCAUUUUCAUUUUUAAGCUUUGUCAUUUCCUUUUUAAGACAUACAUUCUUUUUACCAAUCUUCAUCAACUCAUUAUGUAAGUCUUUAAAAGCAUCAUACAAUUCAUCAUAGGUGGGAUCACUUACCUCAUUUAGAUCAUCAUUCUCUCCUAUUGCCAUAAGUGCUAGGUUUGAUACUUCUUGCGAUCCUUCUUCAUCACUUGAUUCUUCCUCACUAUCAUCCCAAGUUGCAACCAUUGCUUUCUUCUUGAGUUUGUUGAUGAGUGGGCACUCCGAUCUUAUAUGUCCAGGCUUUUUGCAUUCAUAGCAUGUGAUUGCCUCCUUCUUUUCCCUGUGGUUCUUGAAGUUUCUGAAAUUUCUUCGCUCUCCGGUUUUCUUGAAGAAUUUUCUGAACCUCCUUGCUAGCAUGGCUAGCUCUUCAUCAUCCGGUUCACUCUCCCCAUCACUCUCAUGUUUUGAAGCUUUGAGAGCAAUGCUUUUCUUCUUCUCUUCAAGUCCUUUUUCUGCAGCUAAAUCCUCUUCAUAUGAAAUAAGAGAACCAAUUAAAUCAUCAAGAGGUAAAGUAUUUAAAUCUUUGGCCUCUUCAAUGGCAGUUCUUUUAGGUCUCCAUUCUUUUGGAAGUGACCUAAUAAUUUUCUUAACUUUCUUACUAUUUGAGAAGGUCUUCCCCAAGGCACCUAGAGUGUUCACUAUGUCCGUGAAUCUAGUAUACAUAGAAUACACAUUCUCAUUUUGUUCCAUUUGGAACAACUCAUAUUGGUGAGUGUAUCUACUGAUUUUAGACUCUUUCACUUGAUUUGUCCCUUCAUAGACAACUUCAAGUUUAUUCCAUAUCUCUUGUGCACUUUCACAACUAGAUACUCUAUGGAAUUCUUUCUUAUCAAGAGCACAAAACAAAGCGUUCAUAGCCUUGGAGUUUAGAGACAUCUUUCUCUUUUCUAACUCACUCCAUUGACUCGAUGGUUUAGGAAUAUCAUCUCCUACUUCAUCUUUGAGCGUAGGCAUGAAUGGACCAUCACAAACAACUUCCCAAAUUUCAUAAUCUAAGGCUUGCAAAUAAAUUCUCAUUCUAGUUUUCCAAUAAGCAUAAUCAUUACCGUCAAAAAAUGGUGGUCUAGUUGUGGAUUGCCCUUCUCUAAAGGUUGAGUCAUUUAGGGUUGCCAUGGAUCUUUUACUCUAGACGAUUAAGUCUUAACAAGAGAACGAGGCUCUGAUACCAAUUGAAAUACAAGUAAGCAACCCAAGAGGGGGGGUGAAUUGGGAUUCUAAAAAAUUAUUCAAUAAUAAAGAAAAUCUUAAUGCAAUUAUAACUCAAAUUCAAAGCAAUAAUAAUUAAGAUGAUCACAAUAUAAAAAGGUAAGGGAAGAGAGAUUCAAACACGAGAUUUUUACGUGGUUCGGCCAACCUCGCCUACGUCCACGCCUCCAAGCUUUCCGGGCUUGAGGAUUCCACUAAGCAAGCCUCCAAGGCUUCAAAUGCUUACACUUGACUUCCGAGGUGUCAAUGGACCUUUACAACAAGAGAUUAUCCCCAAUCUCUUAACCCAAGUGUAUCCCAACACUUACAAUCACUCAAAGUAAAAGAUUACAAAUUUGUUUUGCCUCUCACAAUAUACAAGAUAACUCAAUGAUGCUUAAUAUGUGAAUAGAUGAAGCAAGAAUGUGUUCUAAGCUCUAUGAAGAUUGUAUUCUCGAAUAUUAGCUCAAAUGGUUGUGUUGUGAUCAACCUUCUUUGAAUUUGAAUGAGCCUAUUUAUAUCUGGAGCUGAAAAUCUAGCCGUUACAAACUGUCGGGCAGAAAACGGUUCGCCGUUAACGAUAAACGGUUAACCGUUUCGCUUGUUCAAAGUUACCGUUGGACCAGAAUUCAAAUAAACGGUUUGCCGUUUAGGAUUGCCCUUUCGCCGUUAACUUCCAGAGACCUGCAAGAUGAGCAUUCGUUAUACGUUUACGCUAAACGGUUAAGGACUUGCGUGAGGUAACGUUUCUGGAUAUUAUCGGUUAACCGUUUGAACAAUAAUCGGUUAGCCGUUUGUCUCCAGUAACCUGCAAAAUGAACAUCAGUUAAUCAAUACCAGAGGCGGACAACCCUCAAUUCUGGACGUUAUCGGUUAACCGUUUAAAAAGAAACGGUUCACCGUUAGUUUCCAGUAGCCUUCCUAUCUUGGGUGUUUUUUGUUAAGCGUAAACGGCUAGAGCUUAGGCAAUAUGAUGCUCUCUGGUGAUAAUCAGUUAACCGUUUAAAAAUAAACGGUUCACCGUUAGUUUCCAGUAACCUUCCCAUCUUGGGUGUUUUCCAUUUUCCAUGAACGGUUAGAGGUUAAGGAAAUGUGUUACUCUCUGCCUUUAAUCGGUUAACCGUUUAAAAUAAACGGUUCACAGUUUAUGACCAGUAUUGCAAUUUUAAACAAGUUUUUGCAGAGAAUUUCUUUCUAAUUUGAAAUCCAUCUUUUAUGAAGAAAUAAGGCAAUGAUUAAAAGAGUUUUCGUUUAUUAAGAAAUAACUCCAUUAUUUUUGUCAAAAUACAUUUAAAAUUUGUUAUCAUCAAAAUCAAUAUUAUUAACAUAUUUAUGUUAACACAUUUAAUGCAGCUUGUAUCUUUUUGGCUCUAGCUCUUGUAAUUGGGCCUCCAUGAAUGUGCAAAGGAUCACUUGAAGCUUUAAUGGUAUUCCCUUGAUGGUUCUCAUCAUGUUCUUCUAUUUCAACAAGAACAAAAGUUGUUUGUUCAUCAUAGUCUUCUUGUUCAGAGAAGAAGGAUUCAACAUCAUCACUUUCUGAAAGUAACAUGGAAUCCUGGAGAUGCUCAAUAAGUCUGACUGAUUUCACAAGUCUGUUUGGACAAUUCCUUGCGAAAUGGCCUUUCUUUUUACAAAUAAAACAAUGGCUACUUUUAGAUUUAGAGGACUGGUCAUGGUUCUUUUUUCUAAAAAAUCGAUAAGGUUUUUUGGAUCUGGAAGGUGUUUGGCUUUUCUUUUCUGAAUUCAGGAAUUUUCGGAAGUGGGAUUUCUUUUUGGUUGAGCAAGUGCAAUCCUUCUCACUUUUGCAUUUAAUGGAAAGAUGGGGGUUUUUUACAAGCACUUUUGAAAGGCUGUUUGUUUUCUAUGAGGUCUUUGAAGAAUUCCUUUUAUUCACAAAGUCUUUCUAGACAGUUAAUUGCUAACUGAUAAAUUUUCCCCAAAGAGAGGUUGACUAUGUCCAGCUGGUGGAUUGUGAAUUGUCUCUGAAGUUCUGGUUGGAUCUCCUUCGAAAAAGAUGCUACAAAGACAUGUUUUAAUGAGGGAUCAUUAAAACCAUUGAGCUUGUAAUACAUUGUAGACAUUCUCUUGUAGUGAAAAUCCAGAUCUUUUAUCUGGAGAGAACAACACUUCAUUAGAUGGAACUCUCUUCUUGUUUGUUCGUUAGUAGCUGUAGCUUCUCCAAGGAACUGCUCAUAACUAAUUCCUAGGACCUCUGAAAUCUGGGCUUGAAUUACCUGGAGUUGUCUGUAUGGACCUAGACUUUCAAACCAAUCUCUUAAAGAUCCAGUAAAAUGAGAACUGAACUCCUUAAGGAUGGUUUGAGUUGUUGCUUCAGUUCUGAGCAUUUGAACAUCAAUCCAGGUAGAAAAUUCUUAAAAUCUAGUUGGCCAUUUUCCUGUUGGAAUGUCAUCAAAAGUAAACCAUGGGCCAUUGGAAGGUUUAGAAGAAGAAUUUUCUUGAUGAGGUGUAGGAUUGGUAUCAGAAUAUACUUCCUUAACUAUAUGUGUUUGAGGAGGUAAGAAGGGAGAAGGAUCAUUUGACCCAGUUGAUGGCUGGACCAUCAGAAGCUUAGAGAUAUUAGUGAAGCUUUUUUCAGAGUUGGAGGAGGAAGAAAAUGAUUUUGAAGAAAAAGAUUCUUCAUCAGUUGAGGUUUCUUUUGAUUCUGAAAGGUGAGGCAGGACCUGAGAUGAGUAUUGAUGCAUAGGUUCUUUGUUCUUCUGAGUAGAUUGAGGUUCUGGAGAAGAUUGUGGAUCAGAGGGUUGGUGGUAAAUUGGAGGAGGUUCAGGCUUAGGAGGUCUGGACCGUGGUUUUGGAGGAGCAGUAGUUGGAGUAUGUUUGAGAUGAGACAGGCCAAAGAAUUUGGCAUAGUCUACAGGUUGUCGUGAGGUGGAUGGUGUGUAGAAAGACUGGUAAGGGUAAAGCAAGAGAUUUUGCAAACAAUGAAGGUUGUUGUUUGUCAGCAUCAAUCCUGGCAAGUUCAGCUUUUAACUACCUAAUCUCUGCUUCUUUUUGGUUAAAUUCUGGACCGUAAUAUCUGUUUUGGAUCAUAAACCUUAUAUCUGAAUCAAGUUGGGUGACUCAAUUUUGCAUGUCAAGAUACAUCUGUUCAAGCUGGGCCACCUUUUCAAUUUUUUCGUCAAGAGGAAAGUUGAGUUCUGCGCCCUAUCAUUUUGAGUUUGCCAGUUGAGUACAGCUUUAAAAGGUUUUGGUUCUUCCAGCUGGCCAUUUGGUGUAACAGGAGAGUGGACAAAAGGUUUGGUGGUAACCUUUAUCUGUGGAUCAAUUUUUUUUUCUAAAUGAGGGAACUGCUCUUGGUAAGAGCUUGAUGAGAACAUCAUGCAAGGUUGGACAGGCCUAGUAGGAGAUGAGGACAAGGCAGUCUCUUGUCUGCAUGAUCUUUGUUUAUACUCCUUUUGUAUAAGCCUUAAACCUUUCCUAUAAAUAGGUAAAGGCAUUAGACUGUCUGGAUCAUCUAGGGGUAGAGGAGGCUUUUUGUGACACGGAUCCAGUUUAUGACUUUUCUUUUUACGCCGCUUGGGACGCCUAUUGAAAUCAUCAUCGUUAUCUCUUUCUUCGAGGCAAGGACAAUCUGGAUCACACAUAUGAGAACCUGGAACAUCCCAUAAAAAAUGACCAUUGAUUUUGUCCGGGUAGAUUGGAUAGCCAUCUGAGGCAAAUCUGUGGAUAGGAAGAUUUUCUUGUGCCGUAGAUACGGUUGUUAUCAUGGAAGAGUAUGAAAAAUAGUUUCUGGGUGUUGGUUGUUCGGAGGGUGGAUGAGAAACAAUGGGUGUCUGGGAAGUGGAUGGUGCUUGAAAAGUCAAUUUUACAGUUUCAUUUGCUCCUUUUUCAAAAUGAGCAUCAGUUGUUUGGACCAGCUGAGAGUUUUGAUGGAAUUUUUCAUAAUUGGAAAGUCAUUCAAGAGGCAUGAGCUUAAGAAGCUCUUGCUUUUGAAUUUGUCUUGGGAUUUGUACUAUGGAAGGGAUGCUUUUUGAGGAAUCUACAAGGAUCAGCAGUGCAUCUGAUGUGGUUUGAGGUGUGGGAAGAUCAAGGGCAUGAUUUUGUAGGCGGUACACCAAUUGAUGGUGUAAGGUUGCCAUCUUUAAAGAGACUAUUUGUUCAGCUCCUUGGAUUUGGAUCUAAACCUUCAGAGUAGUUGGUAGGUUUGGAUCAUCCAGUGAGAGGUUGAAAUUUGGGUAGAAGGUCAAGAGAACACUUCCUGUAUGUAAAGUAGUCAGAACUGUUCCUAUAACUGCAUGCUGGUACUCCUUGAAACGGGUAUCUAGUAAAGCCAGUCUGGUUGUGGCAGGUAAGCCUUUUCUCCCAUGAAGGGUGAAAAUCAAACGAACUCCUCCAAGAUGGAGGUGCGUGUAUCCUUCCCUUUUCCACUGGGCAACAAGCUCUGGAGGAAUUUCAAGAGUAACAUAUUGUUCUGCUUGUGAUGUUUGAAGAGCACACUGAUCUAGUCGAGAUGACUGGAUAUAUUCUUUUGGAGCAAGUCUUUUGGUUGAGAUUAGGGUUCUAAUACUUUUGGUUAAGGAAUUUGAUACAGCUUAUAUGGGCUAAUGAGAGGCAUGGAAGAUUCACUAAUUUGGGCUGACUCUAGGACAUACAAAUACUCAACAAGGUUUUCUAUUUUUUAAGCUAGGUGUAUGGUUAGUAUAUCUUUAAAUUAUGUUGAAAACAUCAUUGAAGCAUUUAUGGAUUAUUUAAGUAUCUAUGGUGAUUCUUUUGACAUAUGCUUAGAUAACCUUACAUUUGUUCUUAAACAAUGCAUGGAAAGUAUCCUUGUACUUAAUUAGGAAAAAUAUCACUUUAUGAUAAAUUAGGUAUAGUUUUAGGCCAUAUUAUAUCUGCUAAGUGAAUAGAAGUAGAUAAAUCUAAAGUAGAUUUGUUCUUUUCUUGGACACACAAGUUUUUAUAGAAAUUUUAUUAAGGACUUCUUAAAAAUCACAAGGCCCUUAUAUAGAUUAUUAUUAAAGGAAAUGUAAUUUGAGUUUAAUGAAGAACGUAUGGAGGCAUUUAAGAGGUUUAAAGAGCUACUAACCAUAGCUCAAAUUGUUCAACCACCUGAUUGGAGCCUUUUAUUUGAGCUGAUUUGUAAUGCAAACGAUUAUGCUGUGGGAGUAAUUUUGUAGCAGUGAGUUGGAAAGAUUUCCCAUGCCGUCUAUUAUACUUCCAGACCUUGAAUGGCACUUAACUUAAUUGCUUCACCACUAAAAAGGAGAUAUUGGCUGUUCUUUUUAUCAUGUAGCUCUUAGGUAUUUUCUCACUAAGACUUAUAAGCUAAACUAAGCUAAACUAAGGUUUGAUCAUUAAAGAUAUGAAGGGAAGUGAGAAUGUAGUUGUUAAUCACCUUGGUCUCUUUGUAUAACAACUUUCCAAAUGAGCAAUUAUUUUCUUUAGAAGCUUUAGCCCUUUAGUAUUCUGAUAUUGUGAACCAUUUAGUAACCAAGAAGCUGCCUGAUGAUUUGACUUGUUCUCAAAAGGAUAAUGCCAGGUAUUAUGUGGGGGAUGAUCCAUAUUUAUAGAAGCAUUGUCCAGACCAAAUAAUAAGAAGGUGUGCACCCAAUUAUGAAUGUUUAGAUAUAUUCACUUUCUGUAAUUCUUAUGCACGUGUUGGUUAAUUUAGAGCCAAAAAAACAUCACUCAAAGUACUUGAGUGUGGAUUUUAUUGGCCUACAUUAUCCAAAGAUGCAUUUAUUUUAUGUAAACCACCAUGAAAUCACUAGCUAAAGCAUGGAAAAUUAUGGUGGCUCAAAUACUGAUACUUAUUGUUGGAAUCUUUAAUGUUUUGGUUAUUGAUUUCAUGAGACAUUUUCCUGCUUUAUACAAUAAUCUUUACAUACUAUGUUGAUUAUGUUUCUAAAUAGGCGGAAGCAAAAGCUAUCUAAAUUAAUGAUUCUAAAGUAGUUGUAGAUAUUUAUAAAGACUACAUAUUUGCAAGGUUUGGAACACCAAAAGCUAUAAUCAACAAUAGAGGAAUCCAUUUUUACAACUAUACAUUUUAAGUACGUGGCGUUGUUAUACCAGAGCAAUGAUAACAAAGUUAUCCUUUGGACCAGUAGUCCGCAUGCUCGGGUUUCCAGCCGAUAUACUUAGAAAAUGAGAAUGACGUGGUUGCGAGAUACCAGAUAUUCCGUAUCUUAUGAUGAACUAAGAACCUAGAAAACCCAAAGACACAUACUCUCCUUGGUCACUAAGUCUAGUGUCUCAGAACAAAGAAAGAAUAAGAGCUUGACUAGCUUUCUGAUGCACAGGAUCCUUUUUCAAGGCAAGUGCAGAGCAUACUUGCAGAAGAUAGACAUUGAACAAAGGUUAGAGUUCUAAACCUAAAGAAUCUUAGGAUUAAAGAAUAGAAACGAAGGUUUUAGUUAGCCAUAGGGUGGAAUAUUAAAACUUGAAAGGUUAUCGAAAACCUCUUCUGAUUUUUAUUCAAGAUAAGUCUCCUUAUAUAAGGAUAAGGAGGAGAAAAGACAAACAAGCUGGACCAAGCUCUUUCCAGCUGGCAUACAGGCACACAUAUUUUACAAAAAUAAAGUACAUGAUUACAUAAGGACAAACAACUUUUAAAAAGCUAAAGCAUACACUUAUUACAAAAUGACAAACAACUUUUAAAAAGUUAAAGACAAAAGCUAAAGACACUCAUUAUGACAAAUCUCUUAAAGAGAUAUGGUUCCAUCUUCAGAUGGGGAUGCAGUCUCGUCAGGGUCACGAUCAGGGUCCUUGUCUUUUUUGAGGAUUCGUUUUGGAUGAGAACAUCCUAGAACACAUGGCCAAGGGCAAUAUUGUCCUUUUGGUAGAGGAAUAUCUUGUGGAGAUGAAGGAACUGGUUGAGGAUAAUGUUCAGGCUGAGAGGAAAAUGGUACAUAUGGAGAAGAGGAUGAUCCAAGUUCAUAUGGUGAUGGUGAAGGUACCGGGAUAAAAUCUUCAUAAGGAUCUUAGGAAUCUUGGAAUAAGAAGUCAUGUAAUCUGGCUUUUCUUCUUUUAUGAUGAUUCCACGGUUGGGAGGUUGGGAAUGUAAGGAUAGAGUAGGGAUCAUAAACAUUUCAUGUUUUGGUCCAAGAGAUGUGUGGAGGAUUUCUGGCUGGUCUGGAGGAAUAUGGUUGAGUUCCAUAAGGCAAUUCUUCAAGGAAGUCUUGAUCUAAAAAUCUUGUUCGAGAGAGGCAAUAUAAGGGACAGUCAUCCAUUCAUAACUCUUAUUCUGAGUCCAAAAAUCUCUGGUAUGAGAAUGUUGGAAAUAUGGACGGUGAAGGAUAAAAACAUAAGUGAACUGUUUUCCUUUUGGUCUGGAAGAUCGGGAAGGUAGUGUGUGUUAGCUAUCUGUUGCAGCUUCUUGCCCCACCAUGGUAAUGGUGAAAACCAUUCAAAAAGAGUCCAGGUAAGGGAGGUGGAUAACUCUGGAUUAUUGAGUUGGUUGAGAAGGGGUGAAACAGGGAAAACCAUUUUUGUGGCAUAUAGAACAGUAAGACACCAUGUAUACCAAAGCUCAUCUUCGGUAAUGUCUUUGUGAGGUGUAAGUACUAAUCCUGUGAGGAAAAGAUGAUCAGGAUGAAAACUGGGAAGGAACAGAGGUUCUUUACUCAUCUGAUAGAUGUUCAUAAAAAACCUAAAGAGAAAUUUUCUAGCAAAGUCUUGAAUUACGUGAGGUGACUGAAAAGUCAUGUUGAGUGGGAAGGACUUCUGGGUGAGAGCUGUUUUAGGGAGUGAACUAGCCAUGGCAAUGAUCGGGAAGGAAAUCUGAGAAGUGAGAUAGAAAAAUUGGGGAGGUUUUGAUUUUGGAGGUCUAGAUAGUAAGCUUGGAAUGAGGUUAUUAUUGUACAAAUUUUAUUGAACUCGCAAGUGCACGAAUCUAUUGUAGAAUAGAUUAAUGGUGACAAGUGUCGAUCCCACGAGGAGGUGGAUUUUAAUUAUAUGUAGAUUUAAUUUUGUAUGAGGGUGGUUGGAUUUGUGGUGAAAGUAACUUAGAUUAUUCUAAAAUUGGAAUUGAAAUGGCAAGAAUAAAUUGAAGUGAAAUCUAUAGAAAUGACGUACUUUGGUAUCUGGAUCCGUAUCAACAUGCACCAUGGGCUAAAUAUUCAUUAUUAAUGCCAAUUAAAUCAUGAAGGGGGAAUCCACACCUCAUGAACCACACUCUAGUCAAUAUGGUGCUAAGAGCUUAUCGUGUCAAAUAAUAAUAACCUUGUACUAGAGAGCCGGUGAAACCAAGGCGGUAUCUAGAUAAGAUUAUUAUUAUUUGUCGACGAGAAGUCAAAAUAUCCACAAAAAUUAGAGGGGAAAAAAAAUAAAUUUACCAAAUAAAGCCCAUGACACAUGUUGAGACUUCACCUUCAACCCAAGCUUGAAAGGAAAUUAGCUACUCAUAAUUGAACUAGGGGCAAAAUGAGAAUUUAUUAAAAUACAUGGAAAAUACAAGAUGGAGAGGGAAUUACAAAAAAUGGAAUCCAAAAAUGGAUUUAGAGCUAUCAAAUUAGGGGGUAGAGCCCCCUUUUUAUAGAUACAUUGAGUAAAUCAUGGCCAUCGGAUUAAAAAUGUUUCGGACGCUCAGGAUUACGCCACGUCAUCAGUCAACACUACGCGGUUUGAACAGUAACACAGUUUGACCCAGGUUGAACAGUGACGCGGUUUGCUUGAAAAUAAUCCUGUGUAAUGCAUUUACCGUACGUGAGAUUUUUGGUCCACUGAUAUGUUGCCACGUCAUUGAUCAAUAGUGCAUAAGAAUUUUAGUCCAAUAGGAUCGUGACACCUCAUUAGUCAAUGCCACAUCAUCAGUCAAUGCCACGUCAUCGAUCCAUCUAUGUGACCAGUGUCGUGAACAGUAACAUAGACAGUACCAUACAUGUGAAUAGUACCGUACAUGUGAAUAGUGCCAUUUUUCCUUUUAUGCUCCUCUUAAGGUUUUCGAGCGUCCUGAGUUCAAAAGUAAUGUCCGUUUUGCCGUCUGAUCUCUUGUUCAUUGUGAAAUGACUAUGAUGCCCCUAAAAUACAUAAAAUACUUAAUUAUAAUACAACACACAUAAUUAAAUGACAAGAAGUUUAAAUACAUAAAAGUAAGGGUGUUAGUAAAACUUGAAGUGUAAAAUGACGAUUUUCUCCUUUAUAAAUAUACAUUUUCUAACACUCAAUAGUUAUGAUCUCCUUUUAUAUGCUGGACAUGGUAAUCAUAUCUUGAAAACCAUUCUUUAAGCCGAAGUAGGGUUUUUUCUAGGACAGCUUUCUGCUUAAAGUUCAAGAUAUUGGGAAAAGCUGAUUAAUCUAGUUUGAUCAAGAAUCUAUGACCAAUCAAAUGGAAUUAAAAUUUUUUGAUACCAUUUUUCACGACUAAGAUCUCUUUGUAAACUGUGUGAUAACGCGUUUGUGCAUCAGAAAAUUGUCCACUUGCAUAAGCAAUAAAGUGUUCUUUUCCAUUGCAUUCUUCAAGGAGAAUGGCCCCCCAUGACUCAUCAUUGCCGUCUGUUUGCAGGAUUCGUUUGCCGUCUAUAAUCAGCUUUAAAAUCUUCAAUCCAGAAUUACUCAACUAGAUUCAGAGUUACGAACCAUGCUUGCUCAAAGAUACUAUGGCCCAGAAUUUGACCAAAAAGAAAGGGAAAUCAGACGCUUAAAAGCUGAGCUUGAUCAGAUUGAAUCAGAAAAACAAAGACCUACUCUUUUUACCACAUCCCCUCCUAUCCCUUCCAUAGGUCCAACUUAUCAUCCAUUUGCCUCUAUGCUUUCCCCCAUCAAACAGUAUGACCCUUCCAAGUUAUUUGGCAUGACUCAUACCCUUUUCAGAGACAAUCCCUUACCACCAUCACCUAAACCUAAACCAAAGCCUAAACCUCAACCACGCCCCGUCAAAAUUCAUCAGCCAUCCAUGUCCAUUCCUGGACAACAAUCCCCACCGGCCGCACCUCAAUUCCAACCUCAACCUCAGUCUAAAGACAAAGAACCCAUGCACCAGUAUAGUGCCUACACCGUAGAUCCAUCAUCUACUCCAGAUGAUCAAACUUCUGAUUCAAAUCUAGCCAUUUCCAAUAGCCAUACUGAGUUUGACACAAAAUCUUCAGUAUCCACUAGUGACUCUGAACAGUCUUAUGCUGAUAUCACCAGAAUCUUGAUGGCCCAACCUGAUCAACCUGAUCACGGCCAAACCUCUCACACAGAACCAUAUGUUGAUAUUCCUUCAGAAGUUGACGAAGACAUACAUGAAUUCUCUGCAACACACCAACCCCCUCUAGCCCAAGCCUAGACUGGUCCAACAGGUCAAAAAUCGUCAAAUGGUCCAUGGUUCACAUUUGAUGAUCUUCCAUCUCAUAAAUGGCGUGAGAGACUUACUAAAAUGUCUCCUUGGAUUGACCUCCAAAUGCUACGACCAGGAGCAACGACUCAAUCAGUCCUUAGAGAAUUUGCUACUCGUUUUACGGGUGCUCUAAGAGAUUGGUUUAAUUCUUUAGGCCAAUACAAACAAUUACAGUUUGUUCAAUUACCAGAAGUAUCAAGUGCCCUUGUGGUUAUUCAUGAUCAAUUCCUUGGAGACCCCUCUGCAGUUUUUGAAGCUGCACGACGAGACUACCUCAACAUGAAAUGCUGCUCACUCAAUGCUACGGAUCUUGAUUUUCAUUACAAACGAAUGUCCUUCCUAUUCUAUAAGCUUAAUGGCUUCAAUGAGCCAACCUUAAAGCAUGUCUUCCUGGCUUCCCUUCCAGAAGAGCUCCAACCCGAUAUACAACGACAACUCACUGCCUCUAAUCUCAUCCUUGACAACAUCUCUCUUGGCAAAAUCUUCCAGAUUGCCAAAACAUGCCUUGACAAACUUUGCGAGCAGAAACAAUUUUUCAAAGACCUGUUGAGAGAUAACGAACCAUUCAGGAGUGCCUGCAAAAAGCCCUAUUUGCAAAUCAAAUGUAAAAGGAAAAAGAAUUGUGAUUGCAGUUCUAAGAAGAAAGGCAUUUUCGGAAAUUUAAAAAUUCAGAAUUUUCAUCUAAACCCCGCAGGUCCAGAAAGCCCUACCGAUUCUUCAGGAAAAAAUCAUCUUCCUCCAGAGAAUUCAAACGAAAAUCAUCAAGCAGAUGUUUCAUCAUCAAGAGGAAAGGUCAUUAUGCUAAAGAUUGUCCCAACAAACGAGAGAAAUCCAUCCGGCUAGUCGAACAUCUUUAAGCCACUAUAGAUUACUCUCCCGUGACGGAUGAACUGGAAUUCUAUUUCUCUGAGCAAGAUGAACCCAAUGAUGAAACCGUGUUCGCAUUACAAAAUUCCUUUGAUGACUCAGACAGUGAUGUGUCUCAAGUUAUAUUCCACCAACAAUUACUGUCCCUUGACACUAUUGUUCCUAUACCCUCUAUCAAACUCCAUAUCUUGCCCUCAAAAUUCCAAAGGCCCAUUCCAGCAAUUGAUCUCAUAGAUACUGGCGCCCAACGCAGCAUGUUAAACCCCAAUAUCCUUCCACCUAAAUACUGGACAAAGUACGAAGAAAAUUUCAGGGCCGUUAAUGGCAAAUUUUUCAAUACCUCUUUGAUUACCAACAAACCCAUUGGUAUUCAAAUCUUCCCAAAUUGUGUCAUUUGGACCAAGGUUAUCAGUUCAACCCUUCCUAAUAAGGAUAUCUUGUUAGGAUUUGACAUACUCCACCAAAUCACACACCUCCAAAUCAUUCCCACUAGAAUCCGAGUCAAGUCCAUGUUCAAACCAUUCACAGACAUUCUGAAACUCUACAAUUUGUCUGACACUCCCCAGUCCUACCAGGAUAUUUCAUCCCCUCUUUUGCGUUUCUUUCCAGAGUCCCAUUAUGAGUUCACCCAUCCAACUCCAUUGUGGAAAAACCUAUCUUUCUUCAUUAAGUUACCUUUCAAACUCAAUGAAGACAUUAACCCAACCAAAGGUACUCAUCCAGGAAUGAGUCCUCCUGACUUACUCCUAGCCCAAAAAGAAUGUUCACAACUAUUAGCCCAAGGUCUAAUCGAGCCCACAAGUUCUCAAUGGGCUUGCCAAGCCUUUUAUGUUGAAAAGCAUUCUGAAAUUGUCAGAGGAAAGAAACGCUUAGUCAUUGACUAUCAGCCACUAAAUAUGUUUUUGCAAGAUGACAAAUUUCCUUUGCCCCGACGACAAAGCAUGUUUACUUCUCUUUAAAAUGCCCAGAUCUUUUCCAAAUUUGAUUUAAAAUCAGGUUUUUGGCAAUUAGGCAUUGAACCCUCGGAGCAUUACAAAACUGCCAUUUGUAUCCCAAAUGCCCAUCAUCAAUGGACAGUCCUACCCUUCGGCCUCAAAACUACCCCAUCCAUUUUCAAAAAUCCAUGGUCCAAAUCUUUCACCCUAUCCUGCAUCAUGCAUUAAUUUACAUUGAUGAUAUCUUGCUUUUUUCAGGAUCACAUGAUGAACAUCACCAACUGUUAACUCAAUUCUAUGAUAUUGUCCAAAGUCAUGGAAUCAUGCUGUCUGCCAAGAAAAGCACCAUUGCCAUGGAUAACAUUGAAUUCCUUGGUAUGAUCAUAAAGGACGGCCAUUAUCAGCCAGGAAAGCACAUUGCCCAAGAGUUGCUUCACUUUCCAGAUCAGUAACUUUCCAAAAAGCAAGUUCAACAGUUUCUCAGCAUUAUCAAUUAAAUCAGAGACUUCAUCCCGCAUGUGGACCGCUAUACUCACCACCUCUCGGCUCUAUUGAAAAAGAAGCCCCCAGAGUGGAAUGCUGACCACACAACUGCUGUCACUACCCUCAAGCAAAUUACUCAAAAUCUGCCUCCCUUAAAGUUAAUUACUGAUGGAAAGUGCAUACUGCAGACAGACGCAAGUGAUGAAUCAUGGGGUGCCAUCCUCCUCGAAGAAAUCAACGGCAAAGAAUACUUUAUCGCUUACGGUAGUGGACAAUUUUCUGACGCACAGAAGCAUUACCAUAGCGUGUUCAAAGAAAUCUUAGCGGUAAAGAAUAGCAUCAAAAAAUUUGAGUAUCAUCUUAUUGGACAUCAUUUUCUCAUCCGACUGGACAGUUCAGCCUUCCCCAAUAUUCUCAAUUUCAAAGGUAAAACUGUCCCAGAAAAGAUGUUACUCCGAUUAAAAGAUUGGUUUUCCAAAUACGAUUUUUCGGUUAAGCAUAUAAAGGGGUCCCAGAACCUCAUCCCGGAUAUGCUAUCCAGACUCUCAAAACCAGAAAACCCUCUAACCUUGAUUUCCACAACAUACCAAUUUCUUAUCAUCUCCAUGGCCACAUCACUUCCGCCCGAAGCUCUCACCAAGAAAACUUUCCCCUUGACAAAACUUUCUCUUCUGUCUUUGCUAUCCAAGAGUUUGCAAGGAAAGUUGUUUUCCGCUUCUUCAUAAAAGCCUACCUUUUGGCAGACUCAUUUCCAUUUUCCACCUUCCACCCAGAAAAUCUGUUCCUUACAGGUUUAACCCUCGCUCUGUCCAGCGAAAUCACUGAAGAUGAGUUAUGGUACAUCUGGUGCCUAACUAUUCUUUAUGCAACCAAACUAGUCCUACCAAUCACUCCCACUUUGAACAAUCUCCUUAAUCCAGACAAAGCCACCUCUCUUACCUGGGCAUUACUUGAAUGUUCUCCCCAAUACCAUGGUGGAGAAAGAAGCUACAACAACUGUCAGAGAUUUACAAUCUUGAACGUAUGCUUGCCUCUGAAGCACAAUUGGUUACAUCAGUAUUUAUCAUUCACAGGCCAUACUUCCAACAUCCAGACACAAAUCUCUUUUGGACUCAAGACCAGGUAUAUGAAUGGUUUACCGCACCUCACCCAGCUAUCAUUGACAAUGAAAUCCAAUCCAAUCUGCACAACUACCUUUGUCAAUUGAACCACCAAACUCCACCACACUGGGAUAUCUUUCACACCUCCUUAGGACCACAGCAUGACCUCAUCAUGAUCCCCACUUCAUCCGCCAUAUCCAAACCAAAGUCCUUAGGAAUCAUCAUCAAAGAAGAAAAACCAAACUACACUAACUUCCUUUACCAAGACUCCCAAGACCCAUGGGAAGAAUUCCUUCCUCUAAGCCAACAUCUCCAACAAUUUCCACAACCAACCAUGUAUGAACCAGGAUCAUCAUCCCAACCCUCCAAAGUUGACAAGGCCACUCAGAUGCCAAGCCCCAAGUCCCAGUCAUCACCCCCCAAGCCGGGAUACCGAAGAGAUUGCCCUUAUCCACCUUUCUGUGGUCCCCACUGUAAGCAUCCAAAGCUCUCCAAAACCUUUUUCCCAAAAUACAACCUAUAACAGCAUCUUGGUACUGUUAAAACCGGGUAUCAAGCAUAACAAUUCGAGCUGUGACUGGUAACCCUUUUCUCCCAUGAAGGGUAAGGAUUAAUCUGAUGCCUCCAAGAUGGAGAUGAGUGUAACCUUCUCUUUUCCAAUUGGAAAUUAACUCUGAAGAUAUUUCCAGAGUGACAUAUUGCUCAGCAGAGGUUGCUUGAAGAGCACAUUGAUCUAGGCGAGAAGACUGGAUAUAUUCUUUAGGUUGAGGCCGUCUAGUAGAUAUGAGAGUACGGAUACUUCGGGUAAAGGAAGUGGGGCGUUUGUACAGCUGAUAAGGGCUGAUGAGAGGGUACGAUGACUCACUGAUUUGGGCUGAUUCAGGGAUGUAGGAAUAUUCUACAAGGCUUUCAAUCUUAUGGGUGGUAUGAGAAGUGCAGGAUUUGGGCAAAGAAAGAGUAGAAGAAAGAGUAACAGGAUUGGAAGGAGUUGAAGAUGAAGUGGAAGCCAUGAAUGAGAAAGUCUCUCUGCUCCUGAAGUUCUAGAGAUCAAAACAUAAGAAAGACUUAAAUCAUACCAUUUUGGGCAUGAAAAACUGAAGUUUAGAAAACGAAAUAUUUUCAAGGACGGGUAUGGCUCUGAUACCAAAAUAGGUGCAGUAGUAAAACCUAAAACGUUUCUUUUAAGGUCAUAUAACCCAAAACAGACUUUUCUUAGUCUUUAAAACAGGGUACCAAACCGUUUAAGAAAUCAUCAUAAGUUUUCUGAUGCACAGGAUCUUUACUGGAAGGCAAGUGCAGAGCAUAUUUCCUUAAAGUUUCAAAAUGAACAAAUUUAAUUCUUUAUUCCUUUUCUUUCUCUAGAUCUUCAUUUGCAGAGAGAGAAGAGAGUUUAGAAAUUCAUAGUUUUAUGGAAACACACGAGAGUUUUUUUUUUCUUUCGAAAACCUCUAUAUCUUACAAGCGAAGGGAGAAUUCUUUAUAUAGGAGAAUUCUUGGAGAAGACAGGACAGGACCCCUAUCUUUUACAAAAGCAAAAAUAAAAGACACAUCAUGACAGCUUUAAUGAUUACAAAGGACAAAGUGUGCUUUAAUAAUUAAAGCAUGACUUUGACAAAAGCAAAAGCUUAAAGUAAAAGCAAGCCUUAAUAAUUAUACAGGACAAAAUCAUAAAGUAGAACAUAAUUAUGACAACAAGACAAACUACUAAAACAAGCCUUAAUAAUUAUACAGGACAAAACCAUAAAGUAGAACAUAAUUAUUAUAACAAGACAAACUACUUUAUGGAGAGCGGAGAUUCAUGUAGUCGUCUUCGGAUGAGCUUUCUGUUUCAUCUGGGUCAGUGUCACGGUUGUAUUUUGGGAAAAAAGUUUUGGAGAGCUUUGGAUGCUUACAGUGGGGACCACGGCAAUGUCGAUAAGGGCAAUCUCUUCGGUAUCCCGACUUGGGAGUGAUGACUGGGACUUGGAGCUUGGCAUCUGAGUGGCCUUGUCAACUUUGGAGGGUUGGGAUGAUGAUCUUGGUUCAUAUAUGGUUGGUUGUGGAAACUGUUGGAGAUGUUGGCUUAGAGGAAGGAAUUCUUCCCAUGGGUCUUGGGAGUCUUGGUAAAAGAAGCCAGUGUAGUCUGGUUUUUCUUCUUUGAUGAUGAUUCCUGUGGACUUUGGUUUGGAUAUGGCGGAUGGAGUGGGGAUCAUGAUGAGGUCAUGUUGUGGUCCUAAGGAGGUGUGAAAGAUAUCCCGGUGUGGUGGAGUUUGGUGGUUUAAGUGACAAAGGUAGUUGUGCAGGUUGGAUUGGAUGUCAUUGUCAAUGACAGCAGGGUGGGUGAGGUGCGGUAAACCAUUCAUAUACUUGGUCUUGAGUCCAAAAGAGAUUUGUGUUUGGAUGUUGAAAGUAUGGCCUGUGAAUGAUAAAUACUAAUGUAAACAAUUGUGCUUCAGAGGCAGGCAUACGUUCAAGAUUGUAAAUCUCUGACAGUUGUUGUAGCUUAUUUCUCCACAAUGGUAUUGGGGAGAACCAUUCAAGUAAUGUCUAGGUAAGAGAGGUGGCUUUAUCUAGGUUAAGGAGAUUAUUCAAAGUGGGAGUGAUUGGUAGGACUAGCUUGGUUGCAUAAAGAACAAUUAGGCACCAGAUGUACCAUAACUCAUCUUCAGUGAUUUCGCUGGACGGAGCGAGGGUUAAACCUGUAAGGAACAGAUUGUCUGGGUGGAAGGGGGAAAAUGGAAAUGAGUCUGCCAAAAGGUAGGCUUUCAUGAAGAAGCGGAAAACAACUUUCCUUGCAAACUCUUGGAUAGCAAAGAUAGAUGAGAAAGUUUUGUCAAGGGGAAAAGUUUUCUUGGUGAGAGCUUCUGGUGGAAGUGAUGUGGCCAUGGAGAUGAUCGGAAAUUGUUAUGUUGUGGAAAUCAAGGUUAGAGGGUUUUCUGGUUUUGAAAGUCUAGAUAGCAUAUCAGGGAUAAGGUUCUGGGACCCCUUUAUAUGCUUAACCGAAAAAUCGUAUUUAGAAAACCAAUCUUUUAAUCGGAGUAACAUCUUUUCUGGGACAGUUUUACCUUUGAAAUUGAGAAUAUUGGGGAAGGCCGAACUGUCCAGUCGGAUGAGAAAAUGAUGUCCAAUAAGAUGAUACUCAAAUUUUUUGAUGCCAUUCUUUACCGCUAAGAUUUCUUUGAACACGCUAUGGUAAUGCUUCUGUGUGUCAGAAAAUUGUCCACUACCGUAAGCGAUAAAGUAUUCUUUGCCGUUGAUUUCUUCGAGGAGGAUGGCACCCCAUGAUUCAUCACUUGCGUCUGUCUGUAGUAUGCGCUUUCCAUUAGUAAUUAACUUUAAGGGAGGUGGAUUUUGCACAAUUUGCUUGAGGGUAGUGACAGCAGUUGUGUGGUCAGCAUUCCACUAUGGGGGCUUCUUUUUCAAUAGAGCCGAGAGGUGGUGAGUAUAGCGGUCCACAUGCGGGAUGAAGUCUCUGAUUUAAUUGAUAAUGCUGAGAAACUGUUGAACUUGCUUUUUGGAAAGUUACUGAUCUGGAAAGUGAAGCAACUCUUGGGCAAUGUGCUUUCCUGGCUGAUAAUGGCCGUCCUUUAUGAUCAUACCAAGGAAUUCAAUGUUAUCCAUGGCAAUGGUGCUUUUCUUGGCAGACAGCAUGAUUCCAUGACUUUGGACAAUAUCAUAGAAUUGAGUUAACAAUUGGUGAUGUUCAUCAUGUGAUCCUGAAAAAAGCAAGAUAUCAUCAAUGUAAAUUAAUGCAUGAUGCAGGAUAGGGUGAAAGAUUUGGACCAUGGAUUUUUGAAAAUGGAUGGGGUAGUUUUGAGGCCGAAGGGUAGGACUGUCCAUUGAUGAUGGGCAUUUGGGAUACAAAUGGCAGUUUUGUAACGCUUCGAGGGUUCAAUGCCUAAUGCCAAAAACCUGAUUUUAAAUCAAAUUUGGAAAAGAUUUGGGCAUUUUUGAGAAAGUAAACAUGCUUUGUUGUCGGGGCAAAGGAAAUUUGUCAUCUUGCAAAAACAUAUUUAGUGGCUGAUAGUCAAUGACUAAGCGUUUCUUUCCUCUGACAAUUUCAGAAUGCUUUUCAACAUAAAAGGCUUGGCAAGCCCAUUGAGAACUUGUGGGCUCGAUUAGACCUUGGGCUAACAGUUGUGAACAUUCUUCUUGGGCUAGGAGUAAGUCAGAAGGACUCAUUCCUGGAUGAGUAGCUUUGGUCGAGUAAAUGUCUUCAUUGAGUUUGAAAGGUAACUUAAUGAAGAAAGACGGGUUUUUCCACAAUGGAGUUGGAUGGGUGAACUCAGAAUAGGACUCUGGAUAGAAACGCAAAAGAUGGGAUGAAAUAUCCUGGUAGGACUGGGGAGUGUCAGACAAAUUGUAGAGUUUCAGAAUGUCUGUGAAUGGUUUGAACAUGGACUUGACUCGGAUUCCAGUGGGAAUGAUUUGGAGGCGUGUGAUUUGGUGAAGUAUGUCAAAUCCUAACAAGAUAUCCUUAUUAGGAAGGGUUGAACCGAUAACCUUGGUCCAAAUGACACAAUUUGGGAAGAUUUGAAUACCAAUGGGUUUGUUGGUAAUCAAAGAGGUAGUGAAAAAUUUGCCAUUAACGGCCUUGAAAUUUUCUUCGUACUUUGUCCAGUAUUUAGGUGGAAGGAUAUUGGGGUUUAACAUGCUGCAUUGGGCGCUAGUAUCUAUGAGACCAAGCCGCAACAACUAGUUUUAACUAACUAUUUUAUGGGCUGGAAUUAGAAUUAAGUGAAAUCGGAAAGAGUUGGAAUUCAAAUGGAGUUGGAAUUAAAAUUAAGUGAAAUGAGAAUUAGAAUAAAUUAUUUACUUUAGGAAAAUUUUCUUUGCACCACUUGAUAUACUUUGAACCACCUUUAUUUCUAAACUUGUAUCAAUCAACUACUUUGACACUAAAAAUAGUCAUUUUACCCCUAAAUAAAUUAAAAUUUUAUUUUAUUCUACAAAUUUUAAAAAAUAUAAAAAUUAUAAUUAUAAGAAUACUCCUAAAUUCAAUAAAAGAAUAAAUCUCAAAAUUUAAAAUGAUAAUUUUUAAAUGAAAUUAUAAUUAUAAAAACAUAACAUGUUUUAAUUAUAAUUUGUAGUUACAAAAAUUAACGUGAAGAGAAAAGCACCCUAUAAUUAUUGUAAACUUUCCUAUAAUUAAUAUUAAGAAAAUUUUCAAUACAAAUUAAAUGAGAUUAUUUUUACAAAAAAUUAACGUGAUACUUUUCAAAUGAAAUUAUAUUUAUAAAAAAAUUUAACAGAUUGAAUUCAAUUUUAUUCAGUUUAUUAAAUUAAGGGUAUUCUUAUAAUUAUAAUUUUUUAUUUUCAAAAUUUUGUAGAAUAAAAUGAUUUUUUAAUUCAUUUAGGGAUAAAAUGGUCAUUUUCUAGUGUUAAAGUGGUUGAUUGAUAUAAGUUUAAAAACAAAUGUGGUAUAAAGUACAUGUCAAAAGUUUGUGGUGGUUAGAUAUACAUAUGACAAAAGAAAUAUAGUAUAGAGAUAAUUUCCCUUUACUUUAUCUGUAGGAAUCGAAAUUAUAAUAAAUUGCACUGCCAUGCAUUGAUGAGUUUAUUUUAUCUUGAAAUCAGAAUGGAAUGUAGUAAGUUACUAAAAUAAUCUUAGUUAAUUAUUGUCAAUAUUUAUUAUAGUGGUUGUUAUUAUUAUUAAAAAUAAUUAAUAAUAAUAAUAAAUAUUAUUAUAAUUAUAAUUAUAAUAAUAAUAGUAAUCACUAUUAUUAUUUUGAUAAUAGAUUAACUAUUAUAGUUAUAAUAAUAAUAAUAAGGGUAAAUUUCAUGCUACCCCCUUAUUAAAUUGACAUAUUUCAAUUUAAUCUUCAAAAGUAUGAAAACUUCAACUUACCCCUAAAUACCGUUAUUUUUAACAGUUGACUAACGUUGAUUGAUUAAAAUAAGAGAAUGCCCCUAAUUCUAACUAACUAACAGUUUUGUAGGAUUAAAAAGGAUAAUUUUAUUUCACUUUUAUUUCACCCCUUAAAGUCUUACAUAUUUCAAUUUAGAUGACAAUAAUAGAUUUAUUGAUAACACCUCUAUCAAAAAAAAAAUAGUAAUAGACCUCUAAAAAAAUAAAAUUAAUUUUUACUUAUAUUUUAAUUUAUAAAACAAAUAUAAUAAUCAUGAAUUUUAUUUAUAAUAUCACCACGAUGAAAAUAAAAAAAUUAAUUUUUACCCUUAUUUUGAAUUUAUAUAUUUUAAGAAUAUAAAUCAUUAACCAAUUAGUUGACUUUUAUCAUUCCACCAUAAGUUCAGCGAGAAUACGUGGCAUUGUUAUACCAGAACUAUAACAGUUAAAACUAUUCUUUGGACCAGUAGUCUGUAAGUUCGGGUUUCCAGCCGAUAUACCUCUGAGAUGAAAAAGCUUUAAAACAUUUUCAUCUCGGGUUAUAUAACCCAAAAUAGACUUUCUUUUAGUCUAAAACAGGGUACCAAACCUGAUAAGAAAUGAUCAAAAGUUUUUUGAUGCACAGGAUCCUUUCAAAAGGCAAGUGCAGAGCAUACUUCCUUUAGUUUCAAAAUGAACAGAUGUAAGUUUUCAGUUGAUGUUUAAAAACGUUAGAGCUUCAUUGACAGGGAGAAAAGGAGAAAUUAGAAACUCAUGAUUUUAGAAGGCUAGAGAUUUUAUUAAGUUGCCGUCCCUCCUUCUAAUAAAGAGAAGCUGAGCUUAUAUAAGAGGCAAACCAAGAAAAAGGAUAGGACAGGACCCUAUCACUUUUUGAAAAGCAAACACAUAAUUACAAGCGACAAGCUUUUGAAAAAGGAAAAGCGAUAAGGACAAAUUAAAGCAUGACUCAUGCUUUAAUUAUUACAAACUUUGAAAAGCUAAAGGAAAAGGAUAAAUUAAAGCAUGACUCAUGCUUUAAUUAUUACAAACUUGAAAAGUAAAAGAUGCCAUUUUGCAUGAAUCAUAGAGAUGAGAGAUUCAUGUAGUCUUUGUCAGAUGAGCUGUCGGUCUCGUCUUUAUCUUUUGAGAAGAGGACUUUGAGUGAUAGACGUGGAGUUUCUAGUGGGUGUUGAUGGUCUGGGCGACAGGGUGGAUAAGGGCAAAAUAUCUUGUGCCAAUCAGAAGAUGGGUGGUCAUUGGAUCCGGGUGGUUUACUAGAACUUGCUUUAUUCAUUGGACCAUCUGAGGCAUGUGAUGGUGGAGUUUGUUGGAGGUUCUGGAGAUGUUGGCUUAAUGGCAAGAAUGCUUCCCAUGGGUCUUGUGCAUCUUGGUAUAGAAAAUCUGUGAAGUCUAGUUUUUCUUCCUUGAUGAUAAUGCAUGUGGAUUUAGGCUUUGAAAUUGCUGAAGGGGUGAGGAUCAUGAUGAUAUCAUGCCUUGGACCAAGGGAGGUGUGAGAAAUGUCUUUGUGUGGAGCAGGUUGGUGGUUUAGUUCACAAAGAAAAUUAUAGAGUUCCUUUUGAACAUUAUCGUCUUGCUCAAGGAUGGAUGGAUGAAGUGUGGUAAACCAUUCAAAAACUUGGUCUUGAGUCCAAAAGAAGUGGGUGUCUGGCUGUUGGAAGUAUGGUCUAUGAAUAAUGAACACAUAUGUGAACAUUUUUGCUUCUAAUGCUGGCAUACGUUCCAAAUUAUGAAACUGAGACAAUUGUUGGAGUUUCAUUCUCCAUCAUGGAAUUGGAGAAAACCAUUCAAGGAGCGUCCAGAUGAGGGAGGUUGAUUUGUCAAGAUUAAGCAAAUGUUCUAAAGUGGUGGUUACUGAAACAAUCAGUUUGGUGGCAUAGAGGACAGUUAGGCACCAGAUGUACCAUAAUUCGUCUUCUGAAAUGUCUCUGGAAGGGUCCAGGGUCAAACCUGUAAGAAACAAGUUUCGGGAUGGAAAGUGGAAAAAGCAAAUGAGUCUGAUAAGAGAUAGGCUUUCAUGAAAAACCUAAAUACAGCUUUCUUUGCAAACUCCUGUAUGGCAAAGACGGUGGUGAAAGUUUUCCCAAGGGGAAAGGUUUUUUGGGUAAGGGCUUGUGAGGGGAGAGAAGUGGCCAUAAAGAUGAUAGGAAAAUGAUAGUCUGAGGAUAUGAAGAACAAGGAUUUUUCUAGUUUAGCAAGUCGUGAGAGCAUAUCAGGAAUAAGGUUGUGGUCUCCUUUUAUAUGCUUUACUGAGAAAUCAUAUUUUGAAAACCAGUCUUUGAGCCUAAGCAACAUCUUUUCUGGAACAUUUUUCCCUUUAAAAUUCAUGAUGUUGGAAAAAGCUGAGUUGUCCAGUCUGACAAGAAAGUGGUAGCCGAUAAGUUGAUACUCGAACUUUUGGACACCAUGCUUGACAGCUAAAAUUUCUUUGGACACACUGUGGUAAUGGAUUUGUGUGUUAGAAAAGUUUCCACUGGCAUAGGCAAUAAAGUGUUCUUUGCCAUCUGUUUCUUCAACGAGGAUGGCCCCCCAUGAUUCGUCACUUGCAUCAGUCUGCAAUAUUCGUGUGCCAUCGGUGAUGAGCUUUAAUGGUGGCGGAUUUUGCGCAAUUUGCUUUAAAGUUGUGACAGCAAGUGUGUGGUUGUUGUUCCACGAAGAAGGAUUCUUUUUCAGUAGGGCUGACAACUGGCUGGUGUGGUGAUUAACAUGAGGAAUAAAAUCCCUGACAUAAUUAAUAAUCCCAAGGAACUGCUGGAUUUGCCUUUUAGAAAGAUUCUGAUCUGGAAGUGGAUGAGCUCUUGAGCAAUGUGCUUUCCUGGCUGGUAGUGGCCAUUUUUUAUAGUCAUUCCAAGGAAUUCAAUGUUAUUGGUGGCAAUUGUACUUUUCUUAGCUGAUAACAUGAUUCCAUGAGAUUGAAUAAUAUCAAAUAAUUGAUUUAACAAAUGGCGAUAGUCAUCUUGUGUACCUGAAAACAACAAAAUAUCGUCAAUGUAAAUCAAUGCACUAUGCAAAAUGGGUUGGAAGAUUUGGACCAUGGUUUUUUGAAAAAUAGAUGGGGCUGUUUGAAGACCAAAGGGUAAAACUGUCCAUUGAUAGUGGGCAUUGGGAAUGCAAAAGGCAGUUUUAUAUCGUUCGGAAGGUUUAAUUCCAAGUUGCCAAAAUCCGGAUUUAAGAUCAAAUUUUGAAAAGAUUUGAGCAUUUUUAAGGUAGGUGAACAUGCUCUGUCUUUUUGGCAAAGGGAAUUUGUCAUCUUGUAGAAACAUGUUUAGAGGUUGAUAGUCAAUGACUAAUCGUUUUUUUCCUCUAACAAUCUCAGAAUGUUUUUCAACAUAAAAAGCUUGACAAGCCCAUUGAGAACUAGUGGGUUCGAUAAGACCUUAGGCCAGCAAUUGAGAACAUUCUUUUUGGGCUAGGACUAAGUCAGAAGGACUCAUUCCUGGAUGGGUGGCUUUGGUUGGAUUGACAUCUUCAUUCAACUUGAAAGGUAAUUGAACAAAGAAAUGGGGAUUUUUCCACAGAGGAUUUGGAUGAUGAAAAUCAGCAUGAGACUCUGGACAAUAUUGCAAAAACUUUGUGGAAAUGUCUUAGAAAGGCUGAGAGAUUUCAGACAAACUAUAAAGCUUAAGAACAUUAGUGAAUGAUUUAAACAUAUACUUGACUCGAAUUCCAGUAGGAAUGAUUUGUAGGUGUUUGAUCUGGUGAAUGAUAUCAAACCCUAACAAGAUAUCUUUAUUAGGCAGAUGGGAACCAAUGACUUUUGUCCAGAUAACACAAUUUGAAAAGAUUUGAAUACCAAUGGGUUUUUUGGUAAUCAACUGGGUGGUGAAGAACUUUCCAUUGAUGGCUUUGAAAUUUUCUUCAGAAUGUUGCCAAUAUUGAGAUAGAAGAAUGUCUGGGUUUAACAUACUUCUUUGGGCUCCAGUAUUAAGAAGUCCAAUGGCGGGAAUUGGUCUCUGGAAUUUGGAGGGUAAGAUGUGGAGUUUUAUGGAAGGGAUAGGGAUGGUAGUGUCGAGAGACAAAAGUUGCUGGUGAAAAACCGUUUAGAACUCAUCACUUUCAGAAUCAUCGAAUGAGUUUUGUAGUGCAAACACUGUUUCAUCAGUAGACUCCUCUUGUUCUGAGAAGUAGAACUCAAUUUCAUCUUUGUGAGGAGAAUAAUCAGUGGUGGCCUGUAAAUGCUCAAGAAGUCUGAUUGCCUUAUCUUUUUUGUUGGGGCAAUCUUUAGCAUAAUGACCUUUCUUUUUGCAAAUGAAGCAUCGGCUAGACUUUCUCCUUUUCUGUUCUCUGAAAGAACUAGAUCUUUUCCUGAAAAACUUGUAUGGUUUUCGUCUGGAUUCUAGGAGACGAAUAUGGAUUUUUGAAUUUUUUGAAAUGCUUAUUCUUUUUGGUGCUGCAAUCACAAUCUUUCUUUUUCUUGCAUUUGAUCUGUAAGUAGGGCUUUUUGCAAGCACUUCGGAAAGGCUCUUUGUCUUUUAACAGUUCCUUGAAGAACUGUUUUUGUUCACAUAAUUUUUCCAAACAUCUUUUGGCGAUCUGAAAGAUCUUUCCCAAGGAAAUGUUAUUAAUGGUGAGAUUGAGACUCGUGAGCUGCCUCUGUAUGUCUGGUUGUAAUUCUUCAGGUAGAGUUGGCAACAUUCUGAAGAAAAUUUCAAAGCCGUCGAUGGAAAGUUCUUCACCACCCAGUUGAUUACCAAAAAACCCAUUGGUAUUCAAAUCUUUCCAAAUUGUGUUAUCUGGACAAAAGUCAUUGGUUCCCAUCUGCCUAAUAAAGAUAUCUUGUUAGGGUUUGAUAUCAUUCACCAGAUCAAACACCUCCAAAUCAUUCCUACUGGAAUUCGAGUCAAGUAUAUGUUUAAACCAUUCACCAAUGUUCUUAAACUUUAUAGUUUGUCUGAAACCUCUCAGCCUUUCCAAGACAUUUCCACAAAGUUUUUGCAAUAUUGUCCAGAGUCUCGUGCUGAUUUUCAUCAUCCAAAUCCUCUGUGGAAAAAUCCCCAUUUCUUUGUUCAAUUACCUUUCAAGUUGAAUGAAGAUGUCAAUCCAACCAAAGCCACCCAUCCAGGAAUGAGUCCUUCCGACUUAGUCCUAGCCCAAAAAGAAUGUUCUCAAUUGCUGGCCCAAGGUCUUAACGAACCCACUAGUUCUCAAUGGGCUUGUCAAGCCUUUUAUGUUGAAAAACAUUAUGAGAUUGUUAGAGGAAAAAAACGAUUAGUCAUUGACUAUCAACCUCUAAACAUGUUUCUACAAGAUGACAAAUUCCCUUUGCCAAAAAGACAAAGCAUGUUCACUUAUCUCAAAAAUGCUCAAAUCUUUUCAAAAUUUGAUCUUAAAUCCAGAUUCUGGCAACUUGGCAUUAAACCGUCCGAAUGUUACAAAACUGCUUUUUGCAUUCCCAAUGCCCACUAUCAAUGGACAGUUUUACCCUUUGGUCUUAAAACAGCCCCAUCCAUUUUUCAAAAAACCAUGGUCCAAAUUUUCCAACCCAUUCUGCAUAGUGCAUUGAUUUAUAUUGACGAUAUUUUGUUGUUUUCAGGUACACAAGAUGACCAUCGCCAUUUGUUAAAUCAAUUCUUUGAUAUUAUUCAGUCUCAUGGAAUCAUGUUAUCAGCUAAGAAAAGCACAAUUGCCACCAAUAACAUUGAAUUCCUUGGAAUGACUAUCAAAAAUGGCCACUACCAGCCAGGAAAGCACAUUGCUCAAGAGCUCAUCCACUUCCAGAUCAGAAUCUUUCUAAAAGGCAAAUCCAACAGUUCCUUGGUAUUAUUAAUUAUGUCAGGGAUUUUAUUCCUCAUAUUGAUCACCACACCCGCCAGCUGUCAGCCCUACUGAAAAAGAAUCCUCCUUUGUGGAACAACAACCACACACUUGCUGUCACAACUUUAAAGCAAAUUGCGCAAAAUCCGCCACCAUUAAAGCUCAUCACCGAUGGCACACGAAUAUUGCAGACUGAUGCAAGUGACGAAUCAUGGGGGGCCAUCCUCGUUGAAGAAACAGAUGGCAAAGAACACUUUAUUGCCUAUGCCAGUGGAAACUUUUCUAACACACAAAUCCAUUACCAUAGUGUGUGCAAAGAAAUUUUAGCUGUCAAACAUGGUAUCCAAAAGUUCGAGUAUCAUCUUCUCGGCUACCACUUUCUUGUCAGACUAGACAACUCAGCUUUUCCCAACAUCAUGAAUUUUAAAGGGAAAAAUGUUCCAGAAAAGAUGUUGCUUAGGCUCAAAGACUGGUUUUCAAAAUAUGAUUUCUCAGUAAAGCAUAUAAAAGGAGACCACAACCUUAUUCCUGAUAUGCUCUCACGACUUGCGAAACUAGAAAAAUCCUUGUUCUUCAUAUCCUCAGACUAUCAUUUCCCUAUCAUCUUCAUGGCCGCUUCUCUCCCCUCACAAGCCCUUACCCAAAAAACCUUUCCCCUUGGGAAAACUUUCACCACCGUCUUUGCCAUACAGGAGUUUGCAAAGAAAGCUGUAUUUAGGUUUUUCAUGAAAGCCUAUCUCUUAUCAAACUCAUUUCCUUUUUCCACUUUCCAUCCCGAAAACUUGUUUCUUACAGGUUUGACCCUGGACCCUUCCAGAGACAUUUCAGAAGACGAAUUAUGGUACAUCUGGUGCCUAACUGUCCUCUAUGCCACCAAACUGAUUAUUCCAGUAACCACCACCUUAGAACAUUUGCUCAAUCCUGACAAAUCAACCUCCCUCAUCUGGACGCUCCUUGAAUGGUUUUCUCCAAUUCCAUGGUGGAGAAUGAAACUCCAACAAUUGUCUCAAUUUCAUAAUUUGGAACGUAUGCCAGCAUCAGAAGCAAAAAUGUUCACAUCUGUGUUCAUUAUUCAUAGACCAUACUUCCUACAGCCAGACACCCACUUCUUCUGGACUCAAGACCAAGUUUUUGAAUAGUUUACCACACCUCAUCCAUCCAUCCUUGAGCAAGACGAUAAAGUUCAAAAGAAACUCUAUAAUUUCCUUUGUGAACUAAACCACCAACCUGCUCCACACAAAGACAUUUCUCACACCUCCCUCGGUCCACGGCAUGAUAUCAUCAUGAUCCCCACCCCUUCAGCAAUUUCAAAGCCUAAAUCCACGGGCAUUAUCAUCAAGGAAGAAAAACCAGACUUCACGGAUUUUCUAUACCAGGAUGCACAAGACCCAUGGGAAGCAUUCUUGCCAUUAAGCCAACAUCUCCAGAACCUCCAACAAACUCCACCAUCACAUGCGUCAGAUGAUCCAACGAAUAAAGCCAGUUCUAGUAAACCACCCGGAUCCAAUGACCACCCAUCUUCUGAUUGGCGCAAGAUAUUUUGCCCUUAUCCACCCUGUCGCCCAGACCAUCAAUACCCACCAGAAACUCCACGUCCAUCACUCAAAGUCCUCUUUUCAAAAGAUAAAGACGAGACCGACAGCUCAUCUGACGAAGACUACAUGAAUCUCUCAUCUCCGUGAUUCAUGCAAAAUGGCAUCUUUUACUUUUCAAGUUUGUAAUAAUUAAAGCAUGAGUCAUGCUUUAAUUUGUCCUUUUCCUUUAGCUUUUUCUUUUGCUUUUCAAAGUUUGUAAUAAUUAAAGCAUCAGUCAUGCUUUAAUUUGUCUUUAUCGCUUUUCCUUUUUCAAAAGCUUGUCGCUUGUAAUUACGUGUUUGCUUUUCAAAAAGUGAUAGGGUCCUAUCCUAUCCUUUUUCUUGGUUUGCCUCCUAUAUAAGCUCAACCUCUCUUUGUUAGAAGGAGGGACGGCAGCUUAAUAAAAUCUUUAGCCUUCUAAAAUCAUGAGUUUCUAAUUUCUCUUUUUCUCUCUGUCAAUGAAGCUCUAACGUUUUUAAACAUCAACUGAAAACUUACAUCUGUUCAUUUUGAAACUAAAGAAAGUAUGCUCUGCACUUGCCUUUUGCAAGGAUUCUGUGCAUUAGAAAACUUUUGAUCAUUUCUUAUCAAGUUUGGUACCCUGUUUUAGACUAAAGGAAAGUCUAUUUUGGGUUAUAUAACCCAAGAUGAAAAUGUUUCAAAACUUUUUGAUCUCAGAGGUAUAUCGGCUGGAAACCCGAACUUGCGGACUACUAGUCCAAAGAACAGUUUUAACUGUUAUAGUUCUGGUAUAACAACGCCACAUAUUCUCACUGAACUGAUUAUUAGAGUGCCAUUCUUCUUGAAGAGAUAAAUGUUGUACGUCACUUUUGUGCAUACGCCAGCGGACAAUUCAAAGACUCUGAAAAGAAUUACCAUGUGAUCUACAAAGAGAUUUUGGCGGUCAAGUAUGGCAUCAAAAAGUUUGAAUUUUAUCUAAUCAGCCAUAAAUUCCUUAUCAACAUGGACAACUCCUCUUUUCCUCGGAUCUUUGACUUUAAAAAUAAGUUGCUCCCUGACAAACAGUUGCUCAGCCUCAAAAACUGGUUUGCUAAAUAUGAUUUUACUGUCCAACACAUAAAAGGCAAACAGAACCUCAUCCCAGACUUCCUUACAUGUCCGGCUAUAAAUAAGCCUUCACUUAUUUCCUACAUCCACACCAUCCCAGUUAUAGCCAUGAAUCGUCAACUUCCUUUCAAAGCUCUCAACCAGAGAACCUUUCCCAUGAACAUUUAUUUUCAGUCAACCUACCAGAUGCAAGACUUUAUAAAGAAAUUCCUUUACCGGUAUUUCUUCAAUGUUCAAAGCAAAAAGCUUGAUCGCUUUCCUUCCCUCUGUAUGGAAAACCUGUUUCUCACAGGCCUUACCCUUUCUUCCCUAACCAUCUGCGAAGAUGAUCUAUGGUACAUGUGGUGUCUCACUACCCUAUAUGCUACCAAACUGGUCUUUCCUGUUAAACUAGUCCUCACACACAUCACUACUCCUGAGUUCUCAUCAGACAUUCUCUGAACUCUCCUUGAGUGGUAUUCAUCACUCACGUGGUGGCGAAAAUAACUCAAAAAUCUAUGUACUUUUCAUGGAUUAGACAGAAUGCUAGAACAAGAAGCCAACCUAUUCACUACAGUCUUCAUCAUUCAUAGAUCUUACUUCCAGCACUCAGAAACAAGAGACUUCUCAACACAAGAUAUGGCCUAUGAAUGGAAAACUUGUCCUCACCCUUAUACCCUAAUCCAUGAUACAUUUGUUACCUCUGUUCUCAAGUCAUACCUAAUGGAACUCAACAAUGUUCAGCCACCUACCACAAACAUCCACCACACCUUUGUUGGACCAUCACACAUCUUGGAAAUUGUGCCAAAGAAACAGACUUGUACUCUAGGUUUCAGUUCAAGUCCUUAAGGAAUCCUCCUCAUGGAACAACGUCCUAACUACACUAACGUUCCAUUCCAAGAUGCUCAGGAUCCCAUGGGAAGAUUUUCAGUCUCUUCUCCAUACUGAAAAUCCCAUUACACUGUCACAGACCCUCGUGCUACAUCAGCCCUAAAAGACAUGACUAAUAUUGAUGAAGAAGCAUAUCUACAAGCUUAAGCUUAUCUUGAUCAUAAAUAGAUUCGUCGUGCUAAACGACAAUAUCAAAAAGAAACUGGCAAGGUGUCUCCAUCACACUACCCAUCCACUCCAUUAUUGCAAACACGCAUGGGAAUCUUUAGCUUUUGUUUUUUUUUAAAAAGUUUGCUUUAAUAUUUAGACAAGGGUCCUGUCUUGUCUAAAGUAUGUUUUCUGUUUUUCCUUUUUAAUAAGGGUCUCACCUUAUCCCUCCUUCCUCGAGAUCUCUAUAUAAGGGUCUCUCUAUCCCUUUGUAAAGGAGGAGUUAAUUUGAAGUAAAAUCAGUUUUCUUCACAUCAUGUUUCUCUAAACCUUUUUCUCUCUUCUAGGAAUCAAAGAAAUUAUUUGAGGGUUAUUAAUGAUAUGCUCACCUCCAAUUUUCUAAACUAAGUAUGCUCUGCACUUGCCUUAAGCCUAAGGAUCCUGUGCAUCAGAAAGGUCUUGUUUUAUCCUCCAAAAUUGAUUUUUGUAAAAUGAAAUUGUUUUCUCACAACGUUUCACCCUCUUUGAAGGCCAAUAGUGCAGUAUUUUCGGGUGGUAUCAUGAAAAACUAUUUUCAAAGAAUGAUUUUUGGAUUUGGUAUUUGAUGGAUAAGUGUAUAUCGGCUGGAAACCAAAACUUGCGACUAUUGGUCUUAAGGACAUAUUUUGUUCUGUUUUAGAUCUGGUAUAACAAUGUCACAUACACCAAGUUGGUUUUAGAGGCAAGGCCUGAGGGCGAGGGUAGAGUGAAUGAUAAGCUCUUAUCCCACAUCGCUGGCAAGCCAAACCUCUUGGUCGCUUAUAAACGCUGGGCAGUCCUCACCCUUUGAGAGCUCUUUUGGGGCUGAGUUAGGCCUGGCCCAAGUUGGUAUCAGAGCCAAGGCCCGAGGGCGAGGGUAGAGUGAAUGAUAAGCUCUUAUCCCACAUCACUGGCAAGCCAAAGCUCCUGGUCGCUAAUAAGCGCCGGGUAGUCCUCACCCUUUGAGAGCUCUUUUGGGGCUGAGUUAGGCCCGGCCCAAGUUACCAGAUCUAAAAUAGACCAAAGUCUGUCCUUAGGACCAAUAGCCCGUAAGUUCUGGUUUCCAGCCGAUAUACAUUUAUCCAUCAAAUACUAAAUUUGAAAAUCAUUCUUUGAAAAUAGUUUUUCACGAUACCACCCGAAAAUACGGCACUCUUGACCUUUAAAGAGGGUGAACAUUGUGAGAAAACAAUUUCAUUUUACAAAAAUUGAUUUUGGAGGAUAAAACAGGACCUUUCUGAUGCACAAGAUCCUUAGGCUGAAGGCAAGUGCAGAGCAUACUCAGUUUAGAAAAUUAAAGGUGAGCGUAUCAUUAUUAACCCCAAAUAAUUUCUUUGACUCCUAGAAGAGAUAAAAAUGUUUAGAGAAACAUGAUGUGAAGAAAACUGAUUUUAUUCCAAAUUAACUCCUGCCUUACAAAGGGAUAGAGAGAUCCUUAUAUAGAGAUCUUGAGGAAGCAGAGAUAAGGUGGGACCCUUAUCUUUUACAAAAGUAGAAUAAUUAAAGCACACCAUGCCAAAUUUAAAAAGGAAAAGCAGAAAACAUACUUUAGAUAAGACAUGACCCUUGUCUAAAUAUUAAAGCAAACUUUUUUAAAAAAGCAAAAGCUAAAGAUUCUCGUGCUUGUCUGCAAUCAUGGAGUGGAUGGGUAGUGUGAUGGAGACACAUCGCUAGUUUUUUUUUUGAUAUUGUUGUUUAGCACGGCAGAUCUAUCUGUGAUCAAGAUAAGCUUUACCUUGUAGAUAGGCUUCUUUAUCAGCAUUAGUCAUCUCUUUUGGGGCUGAUGUAGCAGGAGGGUCUGGGUCUGUGAUAGUGUAAUGGGUAUUUUCAGUAUGGAGAAGAGACUGAAAAUCUUCCCAUGAAUCCUCAGCGUCUUGGAAUAGGACGUUAGUGUAGUUACGACGCUGUUCCAUGACAAGGAUUCCUUAAGGACUUGAACUGGAACCUGAAGUACAAGUCUGUUUCUUUGACAAAAUUUCCAAGAUGUGUGAUGGUCCAACAGAGGUGUAGUGGAUGUUUGUGGUAGGUGGCUGAACAUUGUUGAGUUCCAUUAGAUAUGAUUUGAGAACAGAGGUAAUAGAUGUAUCAUGGAUUAGGGUAUAAGGAUGAGGACAAGUUUUUCAUUCAUAGGCCAUAUCUUGUGUCCAGAAGUCUCUUAUUUCUGGGUGCUGGAAGUAAGGUCUAUGAACGAUGAAGACUGCAGUGAAUAGGUUGGCAUCUUGUUCUGGCAUCCUGUCUAAUCCGUGAAAAGUACACAGAUUUUUUAGUUGUUUUCGCCACCACGUGAGUGGUGAAUACCACACAAGGAGAGUCUAGAGAAGAUCUGAUGAGAACUCAGGAGUGGUGAUGUGUGUGAGGACUGGUUUAACAGGAAAGACCAGUUUGGUCGCAUACAGGGUAGUGAGACACCACAUGUACCAUAACUCAUCUUCACAAAUGGUUAGGGAAGACAGGGUAAGACCUGUGAGAAACAGGUUUUCCAUACAGAGGGAAGGAAAAUGAUCAGGCUUUUUGCUUUGAACAUUGAAAAAAUAUCGGUAAAGAAAUUUUUUUGCAAAGUCUUGCAUCUAGUAGGCUGACAGAAAAGGAAUGUUCAUGGGAAAAGUUCUCUAGUUGAGAGCUUUGAAAGGAAGUUGACGAUUCAUGGCUAUAACUGGGAUGGUGUGGAUGGAGGAAAUAAGUGAAGGUUUAUUUAUAGCCGAACGUGUAAGGAAGUCUGGGAUAAGAUGCUGUUUGCCUUUUAUGUGUUAGACAGUAAAAUCAUAUUUAUCAAACCAGUUUUUGAGGCUGAGCAACUAUUUGUCAGGGAGCAACUUAUUUUUAAAGUCAAAAAUCCAAGGAAAAGAGGAGUUGUCCAUGUUGAUAAGGAAUUUAUGGCUGAUUAGAUGAAAUUUAAACUUUUUGAUGCCAUACUUGACCGCCAAAAUCUCUUUGUAGAUCACAUGGUAAUUCUUUUCAGAGUCUUUGAAUUGUCUGUUGGCGUAUGCACCGAAGUGACUUACUCCAUUUAUCUCUUCAAGAAGAAUGGCACUCCAAUAAUCAUCACUGACAUCGGUUUGUAGAAUGCGUUGUCCAGUUGUGGGAAUUCGGAGAGGAGGAGGUGACUGAGCUAUCCACCUUUAGUUGUUUGACAGCUUCUAUUUGUGCUGGUCCCUGAUGAGAACCAUCAAGGGAAUACCAUUAAAACUUCAAGUGAUCCUUUGCACAUUCAUGGAGGCCCAAUUACAAGAGCAAGAGCCAAAAAGAUGCAAGCUGCAAGAGCAAGAGCCAAAAUGAUGCAAGGUGCUUUAAAUUGAUUAAUUGAGAAAAUAUGGAUUGAAAAUGCAAUUCAAGAUGCAAGACAUCAUGAAUUGGGCUUGAAGAGAAGACAAGGCAUUGUGGGCAUUAUUCAAGUUACUGGGCAGCCAAAUACACAAUUUGUAUCAAAUGCAGGAAGGUCAAAUUCGGAAUAAAUAUUGUCUUGAUUGAGCUAGAAGUAAUGUGCAACCUAUAUACCAUUGGAAACAUAAUUAAGUUAGCUUUCCAAUAAAUUUUAUAGAGCUGGAUUUGGAGUUCUCUAGAAGGAGUUAUGACCAAUUUAUUACAGCUUGUUCAGACUUGGGAUUUUCAACAACUCCUUUGUUUUUCAACUUCAUUUGUUUGUUUUAUUUCAAGUUUGUCAAUGUGUAAGGUAAGUAUACCAUCAAUGAUGGUGGACUAACAUUAAGUUUAUCAAUGAUAGCAUUAAUUAUGUAGGCUAGCAUUAAGUUUGUCAAAGAUAGCAUUAAUUAUGGUGGGUUGGUGAAGACUUUUGAAACAUCCUUUGACAAACCUACUUGGAGGGUUGUUCCAAUGUUUCCAUUUGUAUUUUUAGGAUCUUGGGUUUCUUUUAGUCUAUUUAAAUUCAGCAACCUUGCUAUGUAAUAAUAUUAGAGAUUAAUGUUAUUUAAAUUUGAAAGAUUAUUCUUUCUUUGGAAACCCAAGCAUGCGGACUACUGGUCCAAAGGGCGAUCUUUUCGUCAUUGUUUUGGUAUAACAACGCCACGUACUUUAUGGUAUCAGAGUCAUCACCCAAUUUUCUUACCAAAGUGGUAUGAUAGAAGUUUUAUUAGAGCCUUCAAAAACAGAGAGAAUUCUUUCUUUAUGGCAUCAACCUCCUCCAACGACGCUUCUCUUUCUUCUCUUAUCACUCCUGUUUCCCUUUCUUCUACACUCUCUUUACCCAAAUCUUGCUCCAAACACACUACUAGUAAAAUCAAAAAUUUAGUUGAAUAUUCCUAUAUCCCUGAAUCUGCUCAUAUCAAUGAAUCUUCUUUUCCUCUUCUUAGUCCUUAUCAUCUCUAUAAACGUCCACACUCCUUUACUCGUAGUAUCCGCACUCUUAUUUCCACCAAAAGACCCCAUCCAAAAGAAUAUAUCAAGUCAUCUCGAUUGGAUCAAUGUUCCCUUCAGGCUACCACAACUGAACAAUAUGUCACUCUGGAAAUUCCCCCGGACUUGAUUUCCAACUGGAAAAGAGAAGGUUAUACUCAUCUCCAUAUCGGAGGCGUCAGACUCAUCCUAACCUUACAUAGUAGGAAAGGAUUACCAGUCACAGCCCGAAUUGCUAUGCUGGAUACUCGGUUCACACAUUACCAAGAUGCUGUUAUUGGUACUAUCUUAACCACUCUUCAUGCUGGAAGUGUUUUACUCACUUUCUAUCCAAAUUUUAACCUUUCUCUUCAAGACCCUAAUCUCUCCACUGCUCUGCAAGUCCAAGUGCAAAUUCAAGGUGCAGAACAAAUAUCUUCUGCAAAAAUUGCAACUCUUCACCACCAAUUGGUUUAUAGGCUUCAGAACCAUGCCUUAGAUCUUCAUACACCUGAGCACCAUUCUGACGCCCUCAUGGUGUUAGCAGACUCAGAUCAAAUACCAACCAUUAUACAAAUUCCAAGACAGAUCCCCAGACAUGAACUCAUCAAACUCAUGCCUUGGAAUGGAUUUCAAAAUAUGAGAAGUUCCACACUAAUUCUUCUCCUAUCCAGACAACAGAAAGCAUGUUUGAAAGAAGAACUGAUGGAACUGUCCGCAUGACAUUUUGACCUCCACCAACAGCACCAGAAGAGCCUCCACGGCUCUCCUUCACUUAUUCUGCAAUGGUUACCGCUGUUCAGACAGCUCAAGAAAAGCUGCCAAUUACAAGAUUUAAUUCAAAAGGAUAUCAUGUCUAUCCUGCCAAACUUAAUGGCCACUUUCUUUGGGAUUCCCCAGGAUCAAGAAAUUGUGACCCAGAUUGUCCCUGUUGGAAUGAUUGGGACGAAGAUGAUGAUGAACCGCAGUAGAGAAGAAAACCAAAAAAGAAAUUACCUAAAACUUCGUGUUCACACCACCAACAUAAACCACCUCAUAAUCCUCUACCACCACCAGCUCCAUUACCUAUCUACCAAAAGGAACUUAGUUGGAUUGCAAAGAAUUGUAAAACUGACAUCCUAUCCAAUAUUCAGCAUUCCACACCACCCAUACAGUCUAUGGCUUGUAUGAUGUUCUCAUCCACCUCACAGGAUUAUUCCUCCAAUUUCCCUGCUCUAGAAACCCAUACUGAUCCCCAACGAAAAGUCAUAACCAAACCCUUUAUUCCUUCAGCUAUAACUCCCACAGGCCACUUAGAAGACCCCAAACCUUUUGAAGCUAUUCUCAACUGGCAAACACAAAAUGCCAAAGCUCAAAAUGAAACCUUAGUUGAUAUCCAUAAGAAGGUUAAUCAUAUCAGUUUACGAACUGAUCAUCUUGAAUCUAAGAUGGAUUCGAUCACUUCCCAGAUGCAGCAAAUCUACGAAAAUCUUUAAUCCAGAAUCUCUCAACUGGAUUCAGAAUUACGAACCAUGCUGACUCAUAGAUACUUUGGCCUAGAAUUUGAUCAGAAAGAAAAAGAGAUCAGAAAAUUGAAAGCCGAACUUGAACAGAUUGAGUCAGAAAGGCAAAGGCCAACAUUAUUUACCACCUCUCCACCAUUACCUCCCCUCAAUCCAGCAUUCCAUCCCUUUGCACCUAUGCUUUCUCCCAUAAAAUCGCAAGACCCAUCCAAGUUAUUUGGCAUGACACAUACCUUGUUUAGAAAUAAUCCUCUACCAAAACCAUCUAGAUCUAAACCUCAUCCUCGACCAAGACCAGAAAAACAACUCUUUCAACCACCUUUGUCCAUCUCAGAAUAGCACCAGCCUCUCUAUCCCCCACUUCCUCCUCAACCAACACCGACUCAGGCCAAAGAUAAAUCACCCAUGCAACAAUAUAGUGCACAGAUAAUCCCAAACCCAUCUGAUACAGACCAAACUUCUAAUUCAAAUCUAGCCGUUUCAGCCGAUUCAUCUGAAUCUAAAACCAAAUCUUCCCUCGAAUCUUCCAUAUCAUCUAGUGAUUCUGAAAAAUCCUAUGCUGACAUCACUAGAAUCCUUAUGGCCCAACCUGACGAAACCGAACCCGCUCAAUCCUCAACAACUGACCCAUUCUUUGACAUACCCUCAGAUAUUGAGGAAGAUCCACCAGAAGCAACCUCAGCCCCAACCCGGCCUACCCAAAAUGAUCAUAAACCUUCAAAUGGUCCAUGGUUCACUUUGAUGAUAUCCCUGCUGCUAAAUGGAGAGACAGAUUAUAUGAAAUGGCUGCUUGGACAGAUCUCCAAAUGUUAAGAGCAAAUGCUACUACCGCAUCCAUCCUUAGAGAACUUGCUACCCGUUUUACGGGAUCUUUAAGAGAUUGGUUUGAUACUUUAGGAGAGUACAGACAAUUACAGUUUGUGCAACUACCUAAUGUCUCAUCUGCUCUUUUUGUCAUUCAUGAGCAAUUUAUUGGAGAAUCAACCGCAGUCUUUGAAGCUGCAAGACGAGACUACCUCAAUAUGAAGUGCUGCUCCCUCAACUCUAAAGAUCUUGAUUUCCAUUACAAACGAAUGUCAAUCUUAUUUUAUAAGCUCAAUGGGUUCAAUGAUCGGACUCUCAAACAUGUCUUUAUGGCAUCAUUACCUGAAGAAUUGCAACCAGACAUACAGAGGCAGCUUACGAGUCUCAAUCUCACCAUAGACAACAUUUCCUUGGGAAAGAUCUUUCAGAUCGCCAAAGGACGCUUGGAAAAACUAUGUGAACAGAAACAGUUCUUCAAAGAAUUGUUAAAAGAUAAAGAGCCUUUCUGAAGUGCAUGCAAAAAGCCUUAUUUGCAUAUCAAAUGAAAGAAAAAUAAAGAUUGUGAUUGCAGCACCAAAAGGAAGAAACAUUUUCGAAAACUCAAAAAUCCAGAUUCCUUUCCUAGAUCAAAAUCCAGGAGAAAAUCAUACAGGUUUUUCAGGAAAAGAUCUAGUUCUUUCAGAGAACAAAAAAGGCAAAAGUCAAGCUGAUGCUUCAUCUGCAAAAAGAAAGGCCAUUAUGCUAAAGAGUGCCCUAAUAAAAAAGACAAAGCAAUCAGACUUCUUGAGCAUUUACAGGCCACUACUGAUUAUUCUCCCCACAAAGAUGAAAUUGAGUUCUACUUCUCAGAACAAGAGGAGCCUAUUGAUGAAACAAUGUUCGCACUGCAAAACUCAUCCGAUGAUUCUGAAAAUGAUGAGUUUCAGACUGUUUUCCACCAACAACUAUUGUAUCUCGACACUACCAUCCCUAUCCCUUCCAUAAAACUCCACAUCUUACCUUCCAAUUUCCAAAGACUAAUUCCCGGCAUUGGACUUCUUGAUAGCAAAGCCCAAAGAAGUAUGAUAAACCCAGACAUUCUCCCUUCUCACUCUUGGCAACAUUCUGAAGAAAAUUUCAAAGCAGUCAAUGGAAAAUUCUUCACCACCCAGUUGAUUACCCAAAAACCCAUUGGUAUUCAAAUCUUUCCAAAUUGUGUUAUUUCGAUAAAAGUCAUUGGUUCCCACCUGCCUAAUAAGGAUAUCUUGUUAGGAUUUGAUAUCAUUCACCAGAUAAACCACCUCCAAAUCAUUCCUACUGGAAUUCGAGUUAAGUCCAUGUUUAAACUAUUCACCAAUGUUCUUAAACUUUAUGGUUUGUCUGAAACCUCCCAGCUUUUCCUAGAUAUUUCCACAAAGUUUUUAAAGUUUUGUCUUGAGUCUCAUGCUGACUUUCAUCAUCCAAAUCCUUUGUGGAAAAAUCCACAAUUCUUUGUUCAAUUACCUUUCAAGUUGAAUGAAGAUGUCAAUCCAACCAAAGCCAUCCAUCUAGGAAUGAGUCCUUCUGACUUAGUCCUAGCCCAAAAAGAAUGUUCUCAGCUGCUAGCCCAAGGUCUUAUAGAACCCACUAGUUCUCAAUGGGCUUGUCAAGUUUUUUAUGUUGAAAAACAUUCUAAGAUUGUUAGAGAAAAAAACGAUUGGUCAUAGACUAUCAGCCUCUAAACAUGAUUUUACAAGAUGACAAAUUCCCUUUGCCAAAAAGACAGAGCAUGUUCACUUAUCUCAAAAAUGCUCAAAUCUUUUCAAAAUUUGAUCUUAAAUCCAGAUUCUGGCAACUUGGCAUUAAACCGUCCGAAUGUUACAAAACUGCUUUUUGCAUUCCCAAUGCCCACUAUCAAUGGACAGUUUUACCCUUUGAUCUUAAAACAGCCCCAUCCAUUUUUCAAAAAACCAUGGUCCAAAUUUUCCAACCCAUUCUGCAUAGUGCAUUGAUUUAUAUUGACGAUAUUUUUUUGUUUUCAGGUACAUAAGAUGACCAUCGCCAUUUGUUAAAUCAAUUCUUUGAUAUUAUUCAGUCUCAUGGAAUCAUGUUAUCAGCUAAGAAAAGCACAAUUGCCACCAAUAACAUUGAAUUCCUUGGAAUGACUAUCAAAAAUGGCCACUACCAGCCAGGAAAGCACAUUGCUCAAGAGCUCAUCCACUUCCAGAUCAGAAUCUUUCUAAAAGGCAAAUCCAGCAGUUCCUUGGUAUUAUUAAUUAUGUCAGGGAUUUUAUUCCUCAUAUUGAUCACCACACCCGCCAGCUGUCAGCCCUACUGAAAAAGAAUCCUCCUUUGUGGAACAACAACCACACACUUGCUGUCACAACUUUAAAGCAAAUUGCGCAAAAUCCGCCACCAUUAAAGCUCAUCACCGAUGGCAGACGAAUAUUGCAGACUGAUGCAAGUGACGAAUCAUGGGGGGCCAUCCUCGUUGAAGAAACAGAUGGCAAAGAACACUUUAUUGCCUAUGCCAGUGGAAACUUUUCUAACACACAAAUCCAUUACCACAGUGUGUGCAAAGAAAUUUUAGCUAUCAAGCAUGGUAUCCAAAAGUUCGAGUAUCAUCUUAUCGGCUACCCAACAUCAUGAAUUUUAAAGGGAAAAAUGUUCCAGAAAAGAUGUUGCUUAGGCUCAAAGACUGGUUUUCAAAAUAUGAUUUCUCAGUAAAGCAUAUAAAAGGAGACCACAACCUUAUUCCUGAUAUGCUCUCACGACUUGCUAAACUAGAAAAAUCCUUGUUCUUCAUAUCCUCAGACUAUCAUUUUCCUAUCAUCUUCAUGGCCACUUCUCUCCCCUCACAAGCCCUUACCCAAAAAACCUUUCCCCUUGGGAAAACUUUCACCACCGUCUUUGCCAUACAGGAGUUUGCAAAGAAAGUUGUAUUUAGGUUUUUCAUGAAAGCCUAUCUCUUAUCAGACUCAUUUCCUUUUUCCACUUUCCAUCCCGAAAACUUGUUUCUUACAGGUUUGACCCUGGACCCUUCCAGAGACAUUUCAGAAGACGAAUUAUGGUACAUCUUUGUGGAACAACAACCACACACUUGCUGUCACAACUUUAAAGCAAAUUGCGCAAAAUCCGCUACCAUUAAAGCUCAUCACCGAUGGCAGACGAAUAUUGCAGACUGAUGCAAGUGACGAAUUAUGGGGGCCAUCCUCCUUGAUGAAACUGAUGGCAAAGAACACUUUAUUGCCUAUGCCAGUGGACACUUUUCUGACACACAAAUCCAUUACCACAGUGUGUUUAAAGAAAUUUUAGCUAUGAAGCAUGGUAUUCAAAAGUUCGAGUAUCAUCUUAUCGGCUGCCACUUUCUUGUCAGAAUGGACAACUCAGCUUUUCCCAACAUCAUGAAUUUCAAAGGGAAAAAUGUUCCAGAAAAGAUGUUGCUUAGGCUAAAAGACUGGUUUUCAAAAUAUGAUUUCUCUGUGAAGCAUACAAAAGGAGACCACAACCUUAUUCCUGAUAUGCUCUCCAGACUUGCUAAGCCAAAUAAAUCCUUGAUUUUCAUAUCUUCAUAACACCAUUUUCCUGUCAUCUUCAUGGCCACUUCACUCCCCUCACAAGCCCUUACCCAAAAAACCUUUCCCCUUGGGAAAACUUUCACCACCGUCUUUGCCAUACAAGAGUUUGCAAAGAAAGCUGUAUUUACGUUUUUUAUGAAAGCCUAUCUGUUAUCAGACUCAUUUCUAUUUUCUACUUUCCAUCCAGAAAACUUGUUUCUCACAGGAUUAACCCUGGAUCCCUCCAGAGAUAUUUCAGAAGAUGAAUUAUGGUACGUCUGGUGCCUAAUUGUCCUCUAUGCCACCAAACUGAUUGUUCCAGUAACAGCCACCGUAGAACAUUUGUUCAAUCCUGACAAAUCAACCUCCCUCAUCUGGACACUCCUUGAAUAGUUUUCUCCAAUUCCAUGGUGGAGAAUGAAACUCCAACAACUAUCACAAUUCCAUAAUUUGGAAUGUAUGCCCACAUCAGAAGCAAAAAUGUUCACAUUUGUGUUCAUUAUUCAUAGACCAUACUUCCAAUAUCCCGACACACACUUCUUCUGGACUCAAGACCAAGUUUUUGAAUGGUUCACCACACCAUACCCAUCCAUUCUAGAACAAGAUGAUAAAGUUCAAAAGGAACUCCAUAAUUUCCUUUGUGAACUGAACCACCAACCUGCUCCACACAAAGACAUUUCUCACACCUCCCUCGGUCCACAACAUGAUAUCAUCAUGAUCCCCACUCCUUCAGCAAUUUCAAGGCCUAAAUCCACGGGUAUUAUCAUCAAGGAAGAAAAACCAGACUUCACUGAUUUUCUAUACCAAGAUGCACAAGACCUAUGGGAAGCAUUCUUGCCAUUAAGCCAACACCUUCAAAACCUCUAACAAACUCCUCCAUCGCAUGCCCUAGAUGAUCCAACGACUAAAGCCAGUUCUAGCAAACCAUCCGGAUUCAAUGACCACCCCUCUUCUGAUUGGCGUAAGAUAUUUUGCCCUUGGCCACCCUGUUGCCCAGAUCAUCAACAUCCACCAGAAACUCCACAUCCAUCAUUCAAAGUCCUCUUUUCAAGAGAUAAAGAUGCAACUGACAGCUCAUCCGAUGAAGAUUACAUGAAUCUCUCAUCUCNNNNNNNNNNNNNNNNNNNNNNNNNNNNNNNNNNNNNNNNNNNNNNNNNNNNNNNNNNNNNNNNNNNNNNNNNNNNNNNNNNNNNNNNNNNNNNNNNNNNUAUCUAGUAGUCCGCAUGCUUGGGUUUCCAGCCAAUAUACUCAAGUGGAAAACAUAAAACUUUAAAACAUUUUCAUUUCAGGUUAUAUAACCUAAAACAGAUGUUUCUUUAGUCUAAAAUAGGGUACCAAACUAGAUAAGAAAUUAUCAAAAGUUUUCUGAUGCACAGGAUCCUUACUAGAGGCAAGUGUAGAGCAUACUUCCUUUAGUUUCAAAAUGAACAGAUGUAAGUUUUCUUCUUAUUUUUUAAAUCUUUUAGAGCUUCAUUAACAGAGAGAAAAAGAGAAGUUAGAAACUCAUGAUGAUAGAAGGCGAGGAAUUUUAUUAAUAUUGUGCUUCGUUUUUUACAAAGAGAAGCUGAGGUACCUUAUAUACAAAAUCAUUAAGGACAUGACCCCUUGAAUGAUUAUAAUCGACAAAUAGGCACAUGUCUUUUGGAAAGUAAAGCACACCUUUUGAGAAAAUAAAGCACACCAACUAAGACUUUGAAAAAUGCAAGCAUGGCAAGGAUAGGACAGGGCUCCUAUCACUUUACAAACGACAUAAUGAAAAACGAUAAGCCAACGAGAAAAAGCAAAAGAUAAACAUGACAAGCAUGACUCAUGCUUUAAUUAUUACAAGCCAAAUUUGAAAAAAAGCAAAAGAUGCCAAGAUGCGUGAAUUACAGAGAUGAGAGAUUCAUGUAAUCUUCAUCGGAUGAGCUGUCAGUUGCAUCUUUAUCUCUUGAAAAGAGGACUUUGAAUGAUGGACGUGGAGUUUCUGGUGGAUGUUGAUGAUCUGGGCAACAGGGUGGCCAAGGGCAAAAUAUCUUGCGCCAAUCAGAAGAGGGGUGGUCAUUGAAUCCGGAUGAUUUGCUAGAACUGGCUUUAGUCGUUGGAUCAUCAGGGGCAUGCGAUGGAGGAGUUUGUUGGAGGUUUUGGAGGUGUUGGCUUAAUGGCAAGAAUGCUUCCCAUGGGUCUUGUGCAUCUUGGUAUAGAAAAUCAGUGAAGUCUGGUUUUUCUUCCUUGAUGAUAAUACCCGUGGAUUUAGGCUUUGAAAUUGCUGAAGGAGUGGGGAUCAUGAUGAUAUCAUGUUGUGGACCGAGGGAAGUGUGAGAAAUGUCUUUGUGUGGAGCAGGUUGGUGGUUCAAUUCACAAAGGAAAUUAUAGAGUUCCUUUUGAACUUUAUCGUCUUGUUCUAGAAUGGAUGGGUGUGGUGUGGUGAACCAUUCAAAAACUUGGUCUUGAGCCCAGAAGAAGUGUGUGUCGGGAUAUUGGAAGUAUGGUCUAUGAAUAAUGAACACAGAUGUGGGCAUACGUUCCAAAUUAUGGAAUUGUGACAGUUGUUGGAGUUUCAUUCUCCACCAUGGAAUUGGAGAAAACCAUUCAAGGAGUGUCCAGAUGAGGGAGGUUGAUUUGUCAGGAUUGAACAAAUGUUCUAAGGUGGCUGUUACUAGAACAAUCAGUUUGGUGGCAUAGAGGACAGUUAGGCACCAGACGUACCAUAAUUCGUCUUCUGAAAUGUCUCUAGAGGGAUCCAGGGUUAAUCCUGUGAGAAACAAGUUUUCUGGAUGGAAAGUGGAAAAUGGAAAUGAGUCUGGUAAGAGAUAGGCUUUCAUAAAAAAACCUAAAUACAGCUUUCUUUGCAAACUCUUGUAUGGCAAAGACGGUGGUGAAAGUUUUCCCAAGGGGAAAGGUUUUUUGGGUAAGGGCUUGUGAGGUGAGUGAAGUGGCCAUGAAGAUGACAGGAAAAUGGUGUUCUGAAGAUAUGAAAAUCAAGGAUUUAUUUGGCUUAGCAAGUCUGGAGAGCAUUCAGGAAUAUGGUUGUGGUCUCCUUUUAUAUGCUUCACAGAGAAAUCAUAUUUUGAAAACCAAUCUUUUAGCCUAAGCAACAUCUUUUUUGGAACAUUUUUCCCUUUGAAAUUCAUGAUGUUGGGAAAAGCUGAAUUGUCCAUUCUGAUAAGAAAGUGGUAGCCGAUAAGAUGAUACUCGAACUUUUGAAUACCAUGCUUCACAGCUAAAAUUUUUUUGAACACAUUGUGGUAAUGGAUUUUUGUGUCACAAUUUCAUGCUUCCAAACUAUUAAUCAUCUAUUGACCAUCAAUUUUUCAUUAUCUAAGCAUCUUUUUUCACUCAAAAUUCAUAAGUCCCUAAUUUUUUUACACAGCAUAAAAAUUUUAAUAUAAUGCAUAAAUGAUACAUGUCGAAUGAGGGAGUACAAAUAGAGGUUUCAGUAGUCACCAUUAAAAGCAUAAAAGUUAAGAUAAUAUUUUUUACCUUCUCGUUAACUCGAAAAUGAAAGAGAAUGAGAGGAAGAUGUGUUGAUGGAUAGUAACUGGUUGAUGGAUUCAACUAGAUGUUUGCUGUGAGCGAGAUGGUGGCUUUGGUUUUAUGUGAUUAGUGAGCAAAUCUAAGAGAGAAAUUAGGGAUUGCAGAGAGAGAUGAUUUAGCAGAAGAGAAAAAAUUAGGAAUUUGAGGAAGAUAAAGCAACCGGCUUUACAAUUUACCCAUAUUUUUCUAUUUUUUCUUUUAUAUUCAAUCUCAACCAUUUGAUACAUUUUACUUGAAUCAACAGUUAAGAGUUAAAACGCGGCAUGGUGAUGGGGCUUAAAGCUCACCAUGACACCAUUAUAGCAAUAGCCUUUGACUAAUUACGUACAAUUAGCCAGCUCAAACCUCAAAUAAAUAUAUUUUUUACGGAUAAUCACACUAAAUAAAGACUUGUAAGAUGAUCAAUGUAACUUUUAUGUUUCUGGUCAUGGGAACUUAAGAAAUUGCGAACAACCAGAUAUCAUAGUCAUUUCUGAAAGUAAAAUAUUGAUGAUGAUGGAACUCAAAGUUCAUGAGCUAAAGUAAAUUAUUGGUUUUGCAUGAAUCAUUCUGGAGCUUGGAGAACAAACUGCGAUUCCAACAAUAUCUUAUCGCUUUUAUUUGUGGUAAGUUGCUUGCCUGGGGUUUAGCCCCCAGCACAUUUAUUGUUUACUCAACAAGUUGAUUAAAAAAAGCCACUGCACUUAAGAUCAUCUUUGUAGUCUAAUUGUUCAGGAUAUGCUGCUCUCACCCGAACUAUCCAGGUUCCAGUCCAGAAAUGUCCUAGUUUUGUAAUAUGUAUUGUUCGCUAGUUAAUUAGCUCAUGAUAACCGUGGAGUCCAGUCCACAAAGCGUCAAAGCCAACACCAUUUCCGUUUAUAAGAAAAUGAACGAAAUAAAGAUAAGACAGAUAAGCAUUUUGUUUACAAGGCAAUACAUAAAAUAAGGUUACACACGGUAUAAUACUCUACAUGAUAAAGUCAACUUUAUUCAAAUGCAAGGCAGGAUUUAAGUUAACUGUCACUGUAAAUAUGGAUGACAAUUACUUUCUUUAUCCUGACCAUCCUCCUCUUUGAGAACCCCCAGAAGAAUGCACAUUCAGCCUGUCAAGCACUGCAUUAAAAUCAACAGGCUGCCCACUCUCCUCCAUCCUCUGAAUCACGCUUGCAGCAUGAUCUCCCCUGUAACCCAUACUAACCAGAUUCUCAAUCAAUUCACUGUAAGUAUGGUUGCGAAUAAAUUGUGGCUGACUAGGAUUCCGGGCCAAAAGAUUACUGCCUGUGGUAGGUUGUGAAGGGUAUCCACCUUGUGCGAAGUGAGAUUGUUGAGGUGGAUGUGGUGUUCUCCCCGAUUCACUAUCAUACAUCAUAUAACCACUCCCUGGAGGAAGCGUGGGACGAGGGCCAGCAGCUGCAUACCCAUCGCCUGGUUGUGCCCCAUAGUUGCCCUUAAUUGGCUGAGGUUGGAGCGGUGGUGGCUGCUGUGGAACUGGUCUACCAGGUGCACCAUACCCAUAAGGCAUAACAUCAGCACGGGUAGAUACUGGUUGAGGAACUCCUGUAUACUGCACUUGCAUAGGAGCGCUAUUUGGCAACAUCUCUGGAGGAGAUGGGUUUGAUGGUUGGCUAGGAGGGUAUGAUGGGUAAACUGUUGGCGACGGCCUAAUCUGUGGCUGCACAGUGGGUUGUUGUGUUUGCUGUACCUGCUGAGGCCAUUGCUGCUGAUACUGAGGGAGGAAAUGGUGACCAUGAGGGACUGGAUUAGGCUGAGAUUGUUGAGGCUGUGGUGUCACCCUAGAGGAGUCUGGUAGUGGGGGAGGUCUGUACUGAGGAUCAGUAGACAUAUAUUGACUUUGAGGCUGUUGGAUGGGGGCUGGGGCUGGGGCUGGGGCUGGGGCUGGGGGAUUAGGUAACUGGGUUGCAGGCAUAUAAUAGGAUUGCUGAUGAGACACAUUCUGAGGUGGGGUCUGGGGGGUCGGAGCCACAGGCUGUUGUUGGGGGGCGACUUGAUGAGGGAGGGUCUGGGGGAGCGGAGCCACAGGCUGUUGUUGGGGAGCAACUUGAUGAGGGAGAGCAAGAGCUAACUGCUGAUUUUGCAUGUCAGCGGUUGUAUUUUCACCCCUUUUAGGCUCAGAAGCAGCUGGUGAUGCUCUCUCCUCAUUUGAUUGCGAAUGGCUUGAUGAAGAUGAAUCUUUCUGGACAAGCUGAAGCUUAGCUAGUUCCUUUUGAGUUUCUGCAAGUUCUUGCUUGUCUCUCAGAAUCUGGACAGACCUGUGGACCUGAAACAGGAAAUAAAAAAGUCAAUUCUCCAACUUCAGAGGUGUUAACCUACUAAUAGACCACAUCAAGUUUACGAAAGAAACAAAGAAAAACAUGAUUUUAUUGUUUAACAACAUCAAACUGCUUCUGCAUUAAAUACGCACUUCCAGCAAGUGUGGAAGUUCCCAGGCAAGGUCAACUUGAUAACAAGGAGAACUAACUGAACCCAACAAUGGGAAAUGUGCAUCAGUAUAUGCAAAGACUUGGCCAAAUUUUCAAAUCCACGCAUCCCAUAAAGAGAAUUUUACUUUAUUUCAACUUUUUCCUUUUUUGUGUUUUCGUGGUUUAUUUUUUUUUUGGGGAGGGGGAGGGAAUACAGAGUUAUUAUUUACUAAAAGGUUUCAAAACAAUCUCCAACAGGUAGGUAGUGGGGAAAAAAAAGGAAUUGCAUUAUCCACAUAUAAUUUAAGUUAAAAGGAAAAAUGUUGCGCAAGCAAAGUUCAAGGAGACCUGAAGUGGACCUCAGCCAUUUUCCAAAGGCACCACAAUGCAAAUAGAAAGACAGGAAGAAAACAAAGAAAAAGAACAAUUUGUUAUCAUAAGAUAUUUAUAGACAAGCACAAAUAAUAUAAUGUGGGUCUAGAAAAAAGAAGAGAUAUCACAAGAUUACAGCCAAGUCCUAGCCGCUGUAUUAAGCCACAUCAAACACUUCAUAAACACAUAAGGUUUCAUAAGACGAGAAAUUCAAGGCAAUACCUUGAUGUAUGUAACUUAAAGAUCUAACUCACCUCCUGGAGAUGUUUCUCAAGAGAUUUAAGCUUCGUGUCUGCCUCCCCAUGAUCACGAACUAAAUCAGAUCGCAUUUCUACCAUUGAUUUAUCAAGGUUAUAGCAAUACAACUCCAACUGUGACAGACGAGAACUGAUUCCCUCGAGAAAACGCACGACACCAUCAGUAUGCUUUUUCAUGGUUAUUUCAACAGUAGAAACUACAUCUUCGUUUAGACAAUCGUCUGGCUGGCUAUAGGCAUGAAACAUUGAUGGUCUUGGCCUUCUGCCUUUUUGAAAAUCCUGCUGAAAUAAAGACGCAGCAGAAACUUAGCUAUAUAAUAGACAAGCCAAUGACAACCAUUCGCAACAUGUGGCAUUGAAAUAUAACGUGAGCUAGCAUAAAAAAGUGAAAAAGACCAAAAAAAAAGAAAAAAAAAGAAAGUAACUGGCAAAGGCAGAACCACCCUAAUGCCUUCAGUGGCCUGGGCAACCCCCAAUAUUUUGAAAAUUGUUAAAAUAUUAGAUCAAAAAAUAAAAAGUCAGAAGCACACAAAUGACCAGGCAGCCACCCACGAAAAUAUAUUCCUUCUAUUUUGUUGUAUUUAAACAAAAAGUAAACUAUUCAAUUUCUCUCUCCCAUAAAAAAGAACCAUACCUCAAAUCCUCAAAAUUCAAGGCUUUCUUUAUCUUCUAUCUGUUUUGAGUUAUUUCACUAAGUUUUAGGUCUGAAUAUCUCUUUAAAAAUAUUUUGAAUAAUAUCAUUUUAUUUUGUUGUAAUUUUUUUAACUAUUUCAUAAUUUUUAACCUUUAAAUUUUGCAUUAUGAAUUCGCCUCUAACCAAAAAUUUGAACUUGUGAUACAUUUUGGCAACCCUCAAAAUCAAAAUUCUGGUUUCGCCACUGUUAAUUGGAAUUCAUAAAUAUGACAAGCUACCAUUGAAAACAACAAAAACAGAAAAUGAAACUAAACAGUUAACAAUUCUGGUACCACUUUCAAUAAUAAAUCCACCAAACUAGCAUAUUUUGAGCCUUUAACAAACCAAAACUUAAGGAUUCCCCCCUCCCUCAAGUCGCACAAAACAAGCAAAGAAACUCCUGCACAGAGAUACUGCUCUUGAAACAUGAUUAAACUUUCCUAAAUUCACUUUUGAUGCCUCCACCAACAAAUUAUUGUCCUUGAGCCAAGAAUUAAUAACAGUGUAAAAGUCAUCAAAUAGUCAUCAAAUUUACACAUACGCACAAACAUAUGUCAUCAAUCAGAUGAAAUUAACUCGUAUUUGCAUAUAUGACGAUAAAUUAACAAUUCAGCUCGCUCAUAAACCCUAAAAACCCCCCAGCAAGCAAUUAAAACAAAAUCCUAAUUAAUAUGAAGACAAUGAAUAAGAUCUAUUAAUUAAUAUUGAAUUUCAACAUAAUCCGAGAGAUCAUCAUUCUAUACAAAGAUCAAAUAAAUCCCAAAUAUGAAACCCUAAUCACAGCUCCCAAAAGAAACAGAAAAAAUUAAACUUUAAAUACCUUACUGGAACCGGACCCCGUCACAAGAUCCGAAUGGCUUCCAUUCGAAGCAUCUUGGUUAGGGUAAUCCUCAUACGAGCAGAGAAUAUCAUCCGACCCGAAAUCGAACCCCUUGGAGCCCGAAUUUGCCCGGCCCGACGAUCCAGAAGCCAUCGAUUAAGCGAUCGCAAAUGUGGAAAAUGGUUGAGAACGAAAGAAUAAGGGUUUUGAUUUUUAGACAGAAAGAGGAUGACUAAUGAAUGAAUGAUAGAUUGAGAAAGUUAUUUUGCUUGUAUCGUUCAACGCUCAAGGAUUGAAACGGAAGUUUAGCGGGUUUUAUACGGUGCCGUAUUGGAACUUGUCGAAUGUAAUUGGGAUUAAUUAAAGAAAAUUUUAAAUAAUAAAUGAAACGUUUUUUAAAUGAGAAAUUAUUUGUGUUGGGUUUGGAAAGAUAGAUAAGGAUUAAGUUGAGAGGCUUGACUAUGCUCGCCGACCAAGUCCUUUCCUUCAUUUGUUUAUUUAUUUAUAUUUAAUUUAUUGAUCAAUAAAGAAGAUUAAUUAAUAGUAGUUGCAGUUGUAGCGGGCAGUGUGGUUUCCUUUUUUUAUUCGACUGUGGUUUUAUAAAUCUAAAUUAGGUAAUUAGAUGGGUAGAAACUUUUUUACUCUCUCAUGGGAUGGCAAAUAUCUAAUUAUGGAUGGAUAAUAUCCAUCCAAACACAAAUUCAUAAUUAUCUAUAAUGGAUAUAUUCAUAUCUAUAUCCAGUAUUUAAUAUUGGACAUGGAUAUGGAUUUUAUCCAUAUAGUUAUGGAGAUCCAUGGAUAUCUAUAGAUAUUUUAUUUUUAUUAUAUAAAAAUAAUAAUAUAAAAUAGUUAAAAUUCUAAUAUCAAAUUUGGCUAUUAAACUAUUUAUAUUAGUAAUAAUAUAUAUAUAUAUAUAUAUAAUAAAAUGGCGAUCUGGUGGUCGGUGGCGGCGGUCCGGCAAUUUUCUGACAAAGUCCGGCGGUGGUCCGGUGGAGACCUAUUUAUAAUAUUAAAUCAAUAAAAUAAAAUAAUAAUUAUUAAUAAUAUUAAAUAAGUUAAAAAAUUAAAGGGUAAUUUUGAAAACUUUAGUUUUUAAUAUAAGAGGAAUUUAAAUUUUUCACUAGUUAAUAUAAGAGAAAAUUAGAUUUUGUUGUUUUUUUUUAUUUUAGUUUAACAAUAUAAAUUUUUUUAACUUUAAAUGGAUAAAUUAAUUGGAUUUUGGAUAUCCAUUAAAUAUUCAUACCCAUCAAAUAUCUAAUUGGAUAUUUUUAAAAAUAUUCAUAUCCAUAUCUAAGAAGAUUUUAGAUAGAUAUUAUCCAAUCCAAUUGGAUUGAAUAUAUGGAUAUCCAAUUUGGAUAGACCAAUUUGCCAUCCCUUAAGUCAUGACUCAUGACUCAUAAGAUUUAAUUUGUGAAAUUGUUUCUCAUUUUGUUUAUAAAGAAAAAUUUACAGUAAAUGAGACUUGAGGCUUAAGUGCUUAAGUUAUCUUAAGUAUUGUAUUUGAGGUGACUCUAAUAUAGUUUUUUCAUUUGCAAAAUGAAAUAUUAUUGCCUAUUUUGAGCUUUUACAAAAAGAAAUAUUAUUGCCUAUUUUAAGCUUUCACAAAACGUUUUUACUUCCCUCUUAAAAAAAAUUAUUUAAUAAUUCAGCCAUUUGGAGAUGGAACACCUUAGUGGGUUUUUUUUUUCCUUUUUGAUACAACAAUUAAUUGGUGAUUGAUUGGGAUAAAUUUACACAUAAAAAACAAAUUGAUAAAAUUAGUUAUAAAUCACAUUAAUAAUAUCUUAGUAUUAAGAAAAGACUCUUCUAAUGAGAUUUUACUUCUCAUUCGAGGAGCAAUAUCAGUGAUAAAGGCUACUAAAAGACUUUUUAAAUGAAAUUAUCCUUCUCUCUCUUCAAUAUUUAAGAGUAACUUCUCUUUCUUAAAAUAAUAUUAUACUAUUCUUUAUAUUAUAAUUGUAGAAGAGAGAAAAUUAAUAUAACUACUUUAUUAAAAAAAGAUAGAGACAAGAUUUAUAAAUAUUUUAUUAAAAAAAAUAGAGAGUAGUUAAAUUUGGGGAGGGAAUAAUUUGAUUAAAAUUAUAGAAACUUGUUUCUAUUUGAAGAAUAUUUUUAGAGAAAACUUAUAUUUUUAUUCUUCUAUUUAUCAUCUAGAUAAAUAAAUAAAUAUUUGAAAAGUAAAAUUAGAUGAAUAUUUUGGUGAUGCUCUAAGAAAAAAUUGUUUAAAUAAGCAAUGGACAAUUUGUUGGCUAGUUACAAUUAUUAGGCAGCACAACAACAUCACACUAUCAUAGUAAUCCAAAUUUUUAUUUCAUCGUUUUAAAAUAUAAAUAUCGGCUUUUUAAUUUCUUCUAUUCUUUUCUUCUAUUUUAUUUUAAUUUUUAAAAAAAGUUUUUGGAAAUUACAAAAUGGUUUAUAUAAUCGUUUUUAAAUGUAAAUAUGUAUUCUUUUAUUUAUUUGAGAUGGUUAGUUUGGCUUUAAUUUAAUAUAUGUUUUUGUUAAUUGAAAUUUAGAUUUCAUUAAUAAUGCUAAAUAAUAUAAUAUUUAUAUUUAAUUGAUGAUUUAUAAUGUUAAUGUAUUAAUUUGUUAAUUUUCAUGCAGUUGGUAAGAUAAGAAUAAUUUUUUGAUAAGAAAAUAAUGGAAGCAGACAUAAUAAUUAAGAUUAAUAAUUUGAUGAUUUAAAACAUGGACUUCAUGAUGUUGGCUCCUACAAAUUGAAGAUCCAGAUGUCGUUACCACAAAUAACAUUUAGGGCUAAUUACCACAAGAAAUCUUAAUCAAUGCUGUCAGUUUUCAUUUUUUCCUGUUUUGUAAUGAUCUUGAGAUGUUAUGGAUUAAACAAAUAAAAGUCCACAAUCACAUACUCUUAUCAUUCAGGAAGCAUCAUAAAAAGAAGAAAUAAAAUUCUCAAACUAUGUGACCAAAAAGACUUGAAAUAAUGAGACCCAUCAAAUCUUUUGAACAAGUAAGACUUUCAACACCACUGUAUGGAUUGAAUAGAGAAGCAUCAGCAAAUAGAUAAUCAGUCCAAUAAAGCCAGUAGCUAAUGCUUCUGUAAUUUAGUCAUAGUACUUGGGGACUUAGUGGCACAUUGAUAGCCAACCUGUUGACGAAUUCUCUUUCUUGCCCACUUGAGCAAUUGUCAAGGCUGCUGAUAUGCUUGAUGUGAGCAACAUUGUGAAAAGCUAGUGACCCACAGCAUUGAAAAAAGCUAGUAAGGCUUGUACAAUCCCAAUUUUGAUUUACUAAUAAUCUUAGUAGCUAUAUGCUCUGCUAAAGGCUCUUACCACGUCAAAGCAACAACCAAUCGCUUGAUCAUCUAAAGGAAGAAACAAAACCAGAAAGCCAUAGAUGCUAACAAUUGCAUUUGCUAUUACAAAGAACCUACAAAAGAAGCAAAUUAAAACCUAAUGAUAAUUUAUAAAGCAUGCAUACCAUUGAAUUUAUUUAUAUAACUCACUUGAAUGCUGGCAUGGCACUGUACUUAGCUUCAAAUGACACUGCAAAGAAGGUAGCUAUCUCGUGGCUUGUAAGUUGUAGCCAUGACAAUUGUUCCAUAGAGUGUUGCCCCAAAGGCCAUUAGCCUUAGCAGAAGAGUGUAUAGCCUCGCGAUUUUGGGGAUGGACGUCGAAUAGUACAAUUACUUACAGCAACAAAUUUGGCGAGUUAAGAUGAGGUUUAUAUAAAUUAAACAAAAAAGUUUAUGGUUUAAAUUUAAACAACUAGCAAAUGGAAAACACAAGAUGACAUAAGGAGUUAGGAAGGCAGAUAAAUAUAUAAGUAGCGAUACUCUGUUAGCUGAGUGCUCAAUUAUCAUCAUCGCCAUUCACUACAUGUUUUUAAAAUUUUUCAACUGUAUGUAUAGACUUUUGAUUGCCUAAUGUGUGCAAGCAUUUUUUAUUUUGUUUUUAUUUUUUUGGCCAACUCUAUCAUUCAUUUGAUAUGAUAUAAAAGGGAAAAAAUUGAAUCAAUAGAAUGGAAGAAUAAAAUCAAAUCCUAUAAAUGAUAAAGAUCAUUAAUGACCUAUUGAGAGUUGUUGAAUUAAUAUUAUUAAUGGAUCAUGUGGAUUAAUCUUUAUCUCAAUCUCUUCAUUCAUACAAGCUGACUUAACAAAGUGUAAAUAAUUGAGUUUUAUUUUCUUCAAUAAUUCCUUUGUAAUUUACUGAGAAACUCCUAUACACAAACCUCCUACCUCCCUAUGAAACCAAAUGAAGAGUAAUGUAAACUUGUAGAGGGUCUUUUGAUGUGAACCUUAUAAAGAUAAGUGCGACCCUGCACGUGACGAGGUUCUUUUGCAAAGGAUCGCUCUGAUUUAUAUUCAAAUAGUUAUAAAAUAAAGACCUUGACCUUAGAGGUGGCCAAUGGGCUGGACGGCACGUGGCACGGCACGGGCAUGACACAUAUCCGUACAACAUGGCAUGAUACGAGCACGUUUCGGUAGGGCACGCAGCACGGCACGACACACACGUAGGCCGUACCUGGUUUAGAAUUUUAGGCACGUGGGCCUUAAAGGUGCGGCAUUAUUAUAGAUGGGCUAAGCACGACACAAUAAAAAAGCCCGCAAUAAGCACGUUUUAUUUUUUAAUGAAAGUAAACUCAAAAUUUUAUAAUUUUACAAAUAACUUGAAAUUGAAUUUUUGAAAUUCAUUUAAUUCUGAGUUUAAAAAAAAUACUAUAAUUGAUAUCAUGAUUUUAAUCAAUAAAAUUAUAAAUAUUAUGAUUUUAUAAAUAUGCAUUAAUAUUGUUAUGAACUGUGAUUUAUAACUCUAUGUAAAUCCAAGUUAACAAUUAAGUUAACCCUCAAGAAAAAUUUAUUAUUAUUGUUGUUGUUAAGUAUUAAAAAAAUUAUAAUACCAUAAGGUCCAACUUAGUAAUUAAUAUUAUAUUUUCUCACUCUUAUUAGUUUAUUAUUAUUAAAUAUGGACUUGAGUUUUGAAUUUUCAAUUUUAUUAAAUUUGAAUAAAGGUAUAGACUUAAGAAAAGUACAUAAACUUGAAAAAAGUACGCCAACAGCUUAACAUGCGCAUUUAAAAAAUUAGAAAAAAAGCUUAUUGGGCUUUUUUUCUCAGGCACAACAUGGCACGUGUGCCAGGCCGAGCCUAAGUAAAAAACUUUAGGCACGGCACGACACGAAACAUAUAGUGGCCACAACAUGGCACGGGCACGAACAUGCAUGGGCCUUGCUGGCCCGCCCCAUUGGGCAUCUCUACUUGAUUUAUAAAGAUAAGAACAAAUGGUAUAAGAACUCUGGGGUUAACGCCACACUUAAGAAAGAAAAGAAGAUUGUGGGUGAUAAGUCAAGAAAGAACGCCACAAGAUGAAAUUUUGAUAAAUUUUGAAAGUUAUUUGAAGAGCUAAUAGAAAAGCUAUCACUAUUCUUAUAAACUUUGAUAUGAAAUUCUCAAUAGGGUUACAUGUGUUUAUAUAGUUGAAUUUUACUGAUGGAAUAAAGUUUUCCUUAUAACCUAAAAUAAAAAGAAAAUAAAAUAUCUUAAAGGAAAUAAAAGAUCUUGCCUAAACUAAGAAGAAAAUAAAAGAUUUUGUUUAUCCUCAAGUAAAAAAGAAAUAAAAGAUAUUGCUGAUCCUAAAGUAAAAUGGAAAUAAAAGAUUUUUUUUUCCUAAAAUAGAUUAGGAAACAAGAUUUUAUCUGAUUCCUCUUCCUAAUUUGUUAAGGCCUUCUUCAUGCAAGUCACUCCAAAUCAAGUUUAAAAGCUUGAAUAAUAUUGAUAAAGCAUUGUGAUAUGAGCACCACCAAAGAACCGACACGACCUUAACCAAUUUAGUCUCCAAGAUCGAAUUCUAAACCAAGAAUUGAAUGGAACAUGACCCGAUGCUCAAUGAAGGUACGAACCUUGGAAUAUGAGGAUGCCGCAAUUAGCUAUAAAUGGUCUGAUUUAUAACUAGAGUAAUAAGUUUAAAAAAUUAGUUUAAGAACCAAAGAGAAUUAAACUCUCAAGCCAAUUGCAUAAAAAUUUAUCUAUCUUUUCUUAUUAUAUUUGAGUACAUUAUACAGGGCCGGUUACAAGAAUUUACAUCCCAUAAUUGCCGUUAGAAUUUCAAAAAUAAAUGCCAAACCAAAGUCAAAUAAUAAUUAAUGCCCAAAGAAAAUCCCUAAACUAAAGCAAAUAAGGAAAGUCUCCCAAAUGGCUUAAAUGCCUUCACUACAAGAAAAAUGAUCUACUAUGACAAUCCUAUGUGUGACAGAUAGAUGGAUGAUAGAUUAUUUUUUCUAUCAUGCAUUUAUGACAUACUUGUGAUAGAAAUUUCAUCUAUCAAACACCUAUGAUAGACUGGUGAUAAAUUAUUUGGCUAUCAGGAAGUAAUGACAAGUUUGUAAUAUACUUUUAGUUGCCAAGCAACUUUUUUAUUUUGACUUUAUUUUACAAGGUUGACUAACAAUUUUAAAAUAAAUAAAAAAGUAAAUAAAGAAUAAACGGUAUUGUUUGGAUUAAAAGUUUCUCUUUAAACAAGAAAUGACACCGUUUAGAUUGAAACUAAAUAAAAAUAAAACUCUCUUUAGUUUUCACUCAUCGUAUUUUUUUUUCUUAAGUGUUGACACUCUCAUUCUCGUCUCUUGCUCAGUCACUCUCGUCAAUCUCACACUCACAAAGCCCUUUUUGCUUGAAAUCCUUGCAUGGGCACUGAACCAUUGCCGACAUUCUCUUGUAUUUCACUAUCGAUUUUGGCCCUCACUGAGAACUAUAUGGAAUACCUACCAAACGCUUGUGCUUCUACUAUUGAAUUUCAAUACCCUAACUGAGAACCCUAGUGAUGAGAUUAAUGAUAAAACUAUCACAAAUACAUGGGAUGAGGCAUAUUCAAAUCCUAUUCAAGUUCCCGUCGGACCCGUUACAAGAGCUCAAGUAAAGAAAUUCAAAGAAGCGCUCAAUGGAUAGAUUCAAGCAACUUGGGCUCAAUCAAAUUCGUGGAGGCCCGUUGAAGGAAUCACACAUGAUAAAUGCAUGAUUCAGGCUCUUGAAGUUUCCAAAUAAUCACUUCCAUGAAAUACGGAGUUCGUCUGCACAGUGUGGCAGGAAAAUAUAUUAUUUUCCUUUUUCAGAUACUUUUCUGUUUUUUGAGGAGGCUAUUAGGGAAACAAAUCAGUUAUUUCUAUUUUAAUCGCCUAAUUUCUAUUUUAAUCGCCUAGUUUCCAUUUAAUUUCUGUAAGGCAUUUAAGCCAAUUAGGAUCCUGAUUUAAUUCAGAUUCUUUCCUAUUUAUUUAGAUUAUGAUUAAGGUUUGGUUUAAAUUCUUUCCUAUUUACUUAGAUUAGGAUUCUGAUUUGAUUUAAAUUCUUUCCUAUUAGGGAAGAUUCAGAUUCUAAUUUGAUUUUUUGGGUUAGGAUUUAUUUCCAAAAAUUCUUGUAACCAACCCUAUAUAAAGUACUCGUAUCCAAUAAACAUGGAAGAAUUUUUUUUUUAUGUAAUUGGUGAGAGAGUUAAUUCUGUUUGGUUCUUUACGAACUCUUUGAACUUAUUAGAUUUCUGUGGCGUUCAAACUCUUGACUUAUCAAUUAGACCAUCCAUAGCUGAUUAUGGCGUCCUCGCAUACCAAGGUUCGUGCUUUUAAUAAGCAUUGGGUCGAGGUUCCAUUCCAUUCCUGGUUUAGAUUUGAUCUUGGGAACUAAAUUGAUUAGGGUCGCGUCAAUUCUUGACAGGGUUCGUAUCACCUCACUUACCCACUGUCACAACCAUUCGAUCAAUACAGGUAAAUAAUGUUUCUAGUGUUGUUGUCAAACUUGAACCCUAGAUAUGUAAAUCUUAAAAUCCCUAAAUGUGUUCUUGUCAAAUUCAAACCCUAUACACCUAAAUCUUGAAAAUUCUAGAUGUGUUCUUGUCAAAUUUGAACCCUAUACAUGUAUCAUUUGGUAUCAAAGCCUAGACUCCAAGGUCAGAUCCGUCUAUCUUUUUUGUUUUCCAUUCUUGUUUGAAUUUUUCAUCCUUGUUCUAGUAUCUAUAAAAAAAAAAAAAAAGUGUCGUGAACAGUAUUUGCAUGAACAGUGCCACGUGAACAACAUUUGCGUGAACAGUGUCACGUGAACAGUAUUUUUAGGGUUUCCUUUUGUUGUGCAAAUUUUAUUGAACUCACAAGCGGACGAAUCUAUUGUAGAAUAGACUAAUGGUGACGAGUGUCGAUCCCACGAGGAGGUGGAUUUUAAUUGUGUGUAGAAUUAAUUUUGUAAAUGGGUGGUUGGAUUUGUGGUGAAAAUAAUUUGGAUUAUCCUAAAAUUGGAAUUGAAAUGAUGAGAAUAAAUUCUAAAAUUGGAAUUGAAAUAGCGAGAAUAAAUUGAAGAGAAAUCUAUUGAGAUGACGUACUUGGGUAUCUGGAUCCGUAUCAACAUGCAUCAUGGGCUAAAUAAUCCUUAUUAAUGCCAAUUAAAUCAUGAGGGGGGAAUCCACACCUCAUGAACCACGCUCUAAUCAAUAUGGUGCUAAGGGCUUAUCGUGCCAAAUAAUAAUAACCUUGUACUAGGGGGCCGGUGAAACCAAGGCGGUACUAGACAAGAUUAGUAUUAUUUGUCGACGAGAAGUCAAAACAUCCAUAAAAAUUAGAGGGGAAGAGCAAGUAAAUUUACCAAAUAAAGCCCAUGACACAUGUUGAGACUUCACCUUCAACCCAAGCUUGAAAGAAAAUUAGCCACUCAUAAUUGAACUAUGGGCAAAAUGGGAAUUUAUUAAAAUACGUAGAAAAUAUAAAAUGGAGAAGGAAUUACAGAAAAUGGAUCCCAAAAAUGGAUUCAGAGCUAUCAAAUUAGGGGGGGAGGCCCCCUUUUUAUAGAUACAUUGAGUAAAUCAUGGUCAUCGGAUUAAAAAUAGUUUGGACGCUCAGGAUUGUGCCACAUCAUUAGUCAACAGUACGCGGCUUGACCACGUGGAUGAACAGUAACACGGUUUGACCCGGCUUUGAACAGUAACGCAGUUUGGUUGAAAAUAAUCCUAUGUAAUGCAUGUACCGUACGCGUAAGUUUUGGUCCACUAAUAUGCUGCCACGUCACCAUCAACAAUUCAUAAGAAUUUUAGACCAACAGGAUCAUGACACCUCAUCAAUCAAUGCCACAUCAUCGGUCAAUGUCACGUCAUCGAUCCGUCUAUGUGAACAGUAUCGUGAACAGUAAUGUAGACAGUACCGUACAUGUGAAUAGUACCGUACAUGUGAAUAGUGCCAUUUUUCCUUUUAUGCUCCUCCUAAGGUUUUCGACCGUCCUGAGUUCAAAAGUGAUGUCCGUUUUGCCGUUUGAUCUCUCGUUUAUUAUGAAAUGACUAUGAUGCCCCUAAAAUACAUAAAAUACUUAAUUAAAAUAAAACACACAUAAUUAAAUUACAAGAACCUUAAAUACAUAAAAGUAAGGGUUGUUAGUAAGACUUGAAAUAUAAAAUGACGAUAUUUUCCUUUAUAAAUAUACAUUUUCUAAUACUCAACACACCCCCCAACCAGCUUAUUGAUAGUCCCUAGCAAAUAAAGCGAAAACAAAAUUCAAACACAAUUUUUUUUGUUUUUUUUAAACAAUCUUGUUUAUUCAAUCAGACUAAUGAUAGAAAUCAAAUAAAAGUAUAAGCAUUAUCUCCAGUCUAAAGCAACAUCACACCCACAUCAACCAUCCACAUGAAUCAGCCUAGUAGAUUGUCAUAGCUACUUUCAAGAAUGACAUGUCAAACCCCAAAAUCUCACUGGAAAUAGUGACACUCUCACAAAGAAAUUAAACCCAAUAAAAAUAGUCACUCUAAUGAAUGGUACUUGAGAGAGAAAAUAAUAAAGAAGUGAGAUCACAUGCUCUCACCAAGAUGAAAGAAAUAUGCCUUCAGCUUAGAAAUAAUACAAUCUCAAGUCAAACAAAAAUACUAGUCAACCCACUUUAUUUAUCUUUUUUUUUCUUUUUUUUUUAUUAUGCAUCACUACAUCUUUUUAGCCCAUAUAACUAGCUUCUACUUCAGACUAUAGUUUCCUAAAAUCAAAAAGGACUUUUAUUAGGAAGUAACAUAGGCUAGGGACAUGGUUAACAAAGAAGGGAAAUAAGGAAAAUAAAGUGUAUGUUUGAGAAAAAUGCAGAGGAUUUUUUUUUUUGGAAGUUGCAAGGUGGAUUUCACCUAUUAUUGUUAUUUUUUUCUUAUUUUUUUUAAACAAUUUUUUUUUUGCUUUUGCUUGGCACAACGUCACUGAACAAAAUAAUUAUUUACAUUUUUCUCAAACAUAAAUAGGUGAUGAAACUUAUAAGAUAUCGGGUAAUACUCUAAAUUGGAGUGGGUCAAGAUGAUAAGUUUAACAAAUAAAAGGCUUUUUUUUUAAAAGGCUCAAAAUGGUUAACUAUGGAUAUUUCACAAAAGGGAUGGCUAGAAAGGUUCAAACGGAUCAAAAAUGGCAUUUCCAUCGUCUUUUAGGGCUCUAAAUAACUAUCCAUAUCUACUAGUUAGAUGGGCCUCCAAAUGUGGCAACACAUUUUUUUUUUUAAUUUUACAAUUUUUUUUAAGGGUUAACUCGAAAGAAAUCUAGAGAUCGUGUAUACAAUAAUAAACCUCUAAGUUGUAUAAAGAAUGAACAAAAGGGUUACUCUCCAAGAAAAAUGAUAGGCUCAAAAACUCACUUGGUACUUAUUAUGACAUGUUCAUUCCUUCAAGCAACUCAUAUUUGUCUCCGACAUCAACAUGUAGAGUAGCAAACAUGGGGUAACAUCACUUAAGACCAAAGAUAAUACAAAUACUAAAAUUUGAAAUUAAUCAUGUCAUCCAAUGUUAAAACAAAUAACACAAUUUUUUUUAACAACAUUCUACCCCCCAACCUAUUCUAAACAUGAAAGGAAAAUAUGCAUGCAGAAAUGUGAAAAUGAUGCAGAAAAAUUAAUUAGAAAAAGAAAUUUUUUUUUAACUAAGAAGAUGCGUUUCUAGAGGCACUACACUCCAUAUUCAGCCAUCUUCGACUCAAAUAUUUGAAUAUAUUUAUAAAGGAGAAAUUAAAAAGAAGAAGAAAAAUGAACAUAAAAACUUAAUAAAGAAAAAGAAAAUGUCUGAAUUUUUUUUGAAUUUUUUUUUUGAAUUUUUUUUCAAAUGAUGAAGAUGCGUUUCUAGAGACACUACACUCCAUAUUCGGCCAUCUUCAACACAAAAAGUUAGCAGCAGUUAGUUUCUACAACAAAAAAUUAGUAAAAACUUAACCAAGAUUCCACAAUUGUUGACUAUUCCCUCCCUCCAACCAGAACGAAACAUUGUUCUCAAUGUUUUAAAGGAAAGAAGUAGAGUUUAGAAGACAUCACCUGGGUGGUGCAACACAGAAGAAAAUAUUUACAGGCGGAGAGUUAAAUCUAAUUUGUACCUCUUACUACGGCUACUGUUACCAUCAUUAUUUGGAUGCUCCAACACAAAGGUCCAGGGGUCUGGCUCCGGUUUAUAAGCUUGUAAUAGAUCAAGUAGCUCAUUAGCAGUGUGAGCACAAAUAAAGAGUUUUUUCACAUUAGAGGGAAUGCAAUAGGUUUUUAUUGCAAGGUUAAGAAAUGCGAUAAAGCCAUCAUAAAAGUUAUUGACAUUUAACAAACCGAUGGGUUUCUGGUGGAUGUGCAGAUGGGCCCAAGAUGCUAGUGUGAUAAGUGCCUCUAGAGUUGCAAGAUCUCCUGGAAGGAAAAUAAAAGCAUCAGUAUGAUUAAGCAUUUCAGUUAUUCUUUCUUGCAUACCUGAGGCGACUAACUCUUCUCCAGUUGAUGAGUCAGACGAACUGCCCAAUGGUUUUAGGACUCUUGGGAUGAUGCCUAACACUUGACUUCCUCUGACAUAAGCUGCUUUUGAGACCAUUUUUGAUAACCCUCGGUUACCUCCUCCAUACACCAAGUGUAAUUUUCUUUCUGCUAUACUUCGACCAAGAUCAAUGGCUGCCUCAACGAACUCUUUAUGUUUGCCAUAGUUAAAUCCAGAAAGCACACAAAUGUUCUUGAAUUGUCUAUUGGGAGUAGCUGCCAUUGGAAUACUUCUCAAAAACAAUUUGUGAGUGCUUGACAAAAAAAUCACAUUUAAGAGUCUUGGUGACAAUGGGUCACAGUUGUAUAUGAGGUAACAUGUCAGUGUCAAAUAACGUGUAAAGCACAUGGCUCGCGAGUCAAAAAGGAAACAGUAAAAAGGAAAAAGCAAACAGUAAUAAAAUUAUUAAAGACAAUAAUGCAAACAAUAAAACAAUAGUGAAAUAAAAUAACAGUAAAGUAAAAGGAUAUUUACAGGUAGUUGCGACUGUGGCUCACAUCUUCCUCUGGUUUUACGUCCAAAAACGGCUUGAACGCCCUCUAUGGGUCGAGGAUGGGCUUCCUAUCCAGUUUUCUUAUAAACUGGCAAACAGGGUCGUUUAUAGUCAGAUUCCUGAGACUAUAUCGUGCAUGCUCUUUCUGGAAUAAUGGCCAUAACUGGAGAAUCGCUCUUUGCACAUAUCCACUGGGAUGCAUUUCAAGAGACAAAAGGAUAUCAUCCAAUGACUCCUUAUUCAAGCCAUCCCUAAUGAACUGAAUCUUAUCUUCCCUGUUAUGAGACACCAUUCCUAAAGAACAUGGGUUUUUAUUGCAACUCAUUCUGGCACACGUAUGACAAGCAACAAAAAUUCUUCGAGCUCGUCGUUUUCUUGCAUAAUUUCCUUUACCACAACCAGGCAUGUAUGCAAUAAAUUUUGGAGGUAACUCACCUGUCAAUCGUACUUUUGGCUCGAUUAACCAAUGGAUGUCAGCAGGUAUGUUAUUCCUCAUGAGCAAUCGCAUGUGUUCGGACCGAGCUUUAUAGAUCGUAAGGAGGGCAUUCUGAGGAAGUGAAGGGAAUCGCUUGUGAAGCUUCGCUAGAGUCUCGUUUCUGUCCAUACCUUUGCCUCAGAAUAUCAGUUAUUAUGGGAAACUGAAGUAACUGACUUGAUUGUCACGGAGUACCGUUAUCUGCCACUUCACCGAGGUAACAAACUAAAGCACACAAACAGAAAAACAAAUUAAAACACACAAAGAAAAUUAAAAUCGUCCUCUUAUUGAAUUUACCUCAAGCUCCAACUGGAUGUCGUAAACACUUCUCUCAAUGUCUCUGAGUUGGCUUUCUAAACUCUCAACAUAGGCUACUAACUCUGGUGGUUGUAGAGCCCAAAUACGAUGUGUUUUACAAAAUUGAAUCUGCCUUAUGAGAUGAGUUUUGACACGUUGAAGUGGUUAAGAAUGUUCAGGAGGAACGGUCUAAGUAUGGUACUCAUGAUUAAAAAUGAUAAGAGAAAACUUAAUAGUUAAACAAACACACUUAUGCAAAAAUAAUUUCAAUUAGCAAAAGAAUAAUAUAAAGAAAGAAAAAAAAUAUCAAAUCAUCGAAAAGAAAAGAAAAAAAAAUCAAUUCAAAUCUGGUGGGUCACUCAAAUUUAUUUUGGUGUCUUCUCCAUGUGAUUGGUACUCUAGAUAUGGCUUUAAUCUUUGACCAUUAACUUUAAACGUGACACCGCUCUUUGGGUCCUUAAUUUCAAUUGCCCCAUGUGGAAAAACAAUAUGUACAAUAAAUGGGCCAGACCAACGAGAGCGUAACUUACCUGGGAAUAGGUGCAAGCGAGAAUUGAAUAAAAGCACUUUCUGACCUGGAGUGAAAGAUUUUCUCAUAAUUUGCUUAUCGUGGAAGACUUUCAUUCGUUGCUUGUAAAUCUUGGCAUUUUCGUAUGUAUCAUUGCAAAUUUCUUCAAGUUCUGCCAGUUGUAAUCUUCUUUCUGAGCUGGCUUGCUGCAUGUCAAAGUUGAAUUUCUUGAUGGCCCAAUACGCACGAUGCUCGAGUUCCACAGGUAGGUGAUAAGCUUUUCCAUACACUAAUCUGUAGGGUGACAUCCCAAUCGGGGUCUUGAAAGCCGUUCUAUAUGCCCAUAAUGCAUCAUCAAGUCUUAAUGACCAAUCUUUUCUGUCUGGCCUUACCGUCUUUUCUAAUAUGUGCUUUAUUUCUCGAUUAGAGAUCUCAACUUGGCCACUGGUUUACGGAUGAUAUGGGGUUGCCACUUUGUGAGUGAUUGAAUACUUUGUCAAAAGAGCUUUAAAUGCUUUGUUACAAAAGUGGGCACCACCAUCACUAGGGGUGGGCAAAAUAUCCGAUCCGACCUGACCCGACCCGACCCGAUCCGAUCCGAAAAAUAUCUGGUUCAGAUCGGAUCGGAUUGUUGAUAUAACCCGAUCAGAUGUAUUCUUGCUAACCCGAUCGGAUCAUGAUCGGAUCGGAUGAAACCCGAUCCGAUCCGAAAAACCGAUCAGGUUGCCAAAGAAAAAAAAGAAAUUAAAGGUAAAAAAAGGAAACCUAAACCCAAAGACUAAAGAGCACAUGCACGUGAAGAACACUCAACACUCUUUAAUAGCUAAAGACAAAAUCACAUUUUAGCCAAGCCAAUAACAUUCUUCAGUCGCAUCAAAACGGAAAAAAAAAAAGAAAAAAAACAGAGAACACUCUUCCUCCCUUCCUCAACUUCUCAAUCUCAUCUCAAGAACACUCUUCACAAUUUCAUGCACACAACCACGCACACAUAUCGGAAAAGCAAGGGGCAGCCGGAUCGAUUUUUCCCACAGUCACCACCAACGCUCACUGCUCCGCGAGGACCGUAAAUGGAUCUGCUGCUACCGGAUCUGUUGCUACCGGAUCUGUUGCUACCAGAUCUGCUGCUACCAGAUCUGCUGCUCCACGCCGCCAGUCCUCCACCAUCACCUGAUCUGAUCCAAGAUCCAUUCAACCUAGUAAUUGCAAGGCUACAACCCGAGUUUCCUUUUCCUCUUUUGAAGCUCUGUUGGUAUAAUAGUACUAUACCAAAUUGUUCACCAUUUAGCAGUAAUAUAUCAUAUAUUAUUAUAUUACAUGUGAAAUUGUUAAUUUGUAAUUAUGUAUUGUUAAAUGUUAAUAAAAAAAUAAGAAAAUUGUAAAUCCGAACCCGAUCCGAACCGAAUUUAACCCGAUUUAUUGACCCGAUCCGAAUAUCUAUCGGAUCAGAUUGGAUCGGGUUAUAAGUUCGGGUUGUGUUCGGAUGAAUUUGUGUUCAACCCGAUCAAUCCGAAAUCCAAUCGGGUUGAUCCGAAUCCGACCUGAACCCGUAUUUGCCCACCCCUAACCAUCACUGAUUAUUGCUCGAGGGAGUCCAAAGCGUGAAACAAUGUUGCUUUUCAAAAAUCCUAUCACCACCUUGUGAUCAUUGGUUCUACAUGGAAUUGCUUCUACCCAUUUCGAUACGUAGUCAACAGCAACCAAUAUGUAUUGAUGCCCAAAAAAAGGGGGAAAGGGUCCCAUGAAGUCGAUACUCCAUACAUAAAAAAUCUCAACCACUAAAAUUGGAUUUAGUGGCAUCAUGUUCCUUCGUGUAAUGCUCCCCAUUCGUUGACACGUAUCACAUGAAGAACAGAAAGUGUAAGCGUCUCGAAAUAUAGUUGGCCAAUAGAAACCACAUUGUAAAACUUUAGUUGCUGUUUUCUUAGCACUGAAAUGGCCUCCACAAGCUUGUUCAUGGCAAAAUGAAAGAAUAUUUUGAAUUUCAUUUUCUGGGACACAUCGUCUAACAAUUUGAUCUGCACAAUACUUGAACAAAUAUUGGUCAUCCCAAAAGAAAUUCUUUAUUUCUGCAAAGAAUUUAGCCUAGUCUUGCUUGGUCCAAUGCUCUGGAAGUUGACCUGUAACAAGAUUAUUCACGACGUCAGCAUACCAUGGUAAUACUUCCAUACUCAUCAAUUGUUCAUCUGGAAAUGACUCAUUAAAUGGUAAUAUUUCCAUAAUUGUGUCAAAAUGGAGACGAGAGAGAUGGUCAGCCACAACAUUCUCUGUGUCUUUCUUAUCUUUAAAUUCCAAGUCGAACUCCUGCAAAAGUAACACCCAACGAAUUAGUCUAGCUUUUGCAUCUUUCUUUGUGAGAAGAUAUUUAAGAGCAGCAUGAUCUGUGAAUAUAAUUAUUUUACAACCAAUGUGAUAAGAUCGAAAUUGCUCUAAUGCAAACACUACUGCUAGCAUUUCUUUUUCAGUAGUUGAAUAGUUCAACUGUGCAUCAUUCAAUGUCAUACUAGCAUAGUAAAUAAUAUGGGGAAUUCGAUCAACUCUUUGUCCUAAUACUGCUCCUACUGCAUAAUCAUAUGCAUCACACAUGAGCUCAAAUGGUAAGCUCCAGUUUGGGGGCUGAAUGAUGGGUGAUGAUGUCAACAACUGCUUUAGUUUUUCAAAUGCCACAAGACAUGAAUCAUUAAAGAUAAAAGGUACAUCCUUAGCAAGUAAAUUGCAUAAGGGUCUAGAAACUUUGCUAAAAUCUUUAAUGAAACGUCUAUAGAAACCAGCAUGCCCAAGGAAAGAUCUUACUUCUCUGACUGUUUUGGGUGGAGGAAGAUUAGAAAUGAGAUCCAUCUUGGCUUUGUCAACCUUAAUACCUUUGCUCGAAAUGAUAUGACCGAGAAAAAUACCUUGUUUUACCAUAAAAUGGCACUUCUCCCAAUUUAAGACUAAAUUCUUCUUGACACAUCUCUGCAGAACUAGUGUUAGAUGAUGUAAACAUUAAUCAAAGGAGUCACCAAAGACAGAAAAAUCAUCUAUAAAGACUUCAAGGAAUCGUUCAACCAUAUCAGAAAAAAUGCUCAACAUGCAUCGUUGAAAUGUAGCAGGUACAUUACAUAAUCCAAAUGGCAUCCUCCUAUAUGCAAAAGUGCCAAAAGGGCAAGUGAAAGUGGUUUUCUCUUGAUCUUUUGGUGCUAUGGGAAUCUGAUUAUAUCCUGAGUAGCCAUCUAGAAAGCAAUAAAAUUCAUGGCCUGCUAAUCUAUCUAGCAUUUGAUCAAUAAAUGGUAAAGAAAAAUGGUCUUUACGUGUGACAGAAUUCAAUUUUCUAUAAUCAAUGCAUACACGCCAUCAUGUAGUCACUCUAGUGGGUAUCAAUUCAUUAUCAGCAUUCGUAAUUACUGUGACUCCUGACUUUUUGGGGACAACUUGUACAGGACUGACCCAUGAACUAUCAGAAAUUGGGUAAAUGAUACCUGCAUCUAAUAGCUUAAGGACUUCAGUUCUAACAACUUCUUUCAUGUUAGGAUUUAAUCGACCUUGUAUUUCCCUAGUAGGUUUAGCAUUUUCAUCAAGGUGAAUGUAAUGCAUGCAAUUGACUGGGUUAAUACCUUUAAUGUCUGCUAUGGUCCAUCCUAAUGCUCCUUUGUGCUCUUUUAAAACAUCCAACAACUUACCUUUUUGUUCGUCAUUUAGGGAUGAUGAGAUGAUUACCGGCAGAGUACUUUCUUCUCCCAAAAAUGCAUAUUCCAAUGUGUUGGGCAAUGGCUUGAGAUCGAGUUUUGGUGGUGAUUCUGAUGAUGGGAUGAGUUUCUUCUCUGAUGGUGCUAGUUGUUCAACUCUUGACUUCCAUUUAUAGUCCAUGGAUGGUGCUGAGUCAAGUAGGGCGUUGACCUCAUCGACCGAUCUGUCAAUAUCAAAAUCCAAACCAAAGUGAGUUAAACAUGUUUGUAAAGGAUCAUCACUAAGGUUUGAAAGAAAAGUAUUAUCAACUAUUGUUUCUAUUAAAUUCACAUCAACAAUUCCAUCAUCUACACUGUGAGGUUAUUUGGCAAUGUUGAAAAUGUUUAGCUCCAUAGUCAUGUUGCCGAAGGACAACUGCAUAUUUCCAAUUCUGCAUUGAAUGUGAGCAUCCGCAGUUGCCAAGAAAGGUCGGCCUAGAAUAAUGGGGAUGUGCUUCCUUGAAUCUUGUAUUGGUUGAGUGUCAAUUACAAUGAAAUCAACAGGAAAAUAAAACUUGUCUACCUAGAUAAGUACGUCCUCCACAAUACCACGAGGUAUUUUCGUGGACCGAUCUGCAAGCUGUAACACCACUGGAGUUGGGUGUAAUUCUCCAAGUCCAAGUUUCAAAAAUACUGAGUAAGGCAACAUAUUUACACUAGCUCCUAAAUCCAACAAAGCAUUUUCAAUUGUGUGGUUCCCUAUGCUACAUGAGAUAGUGGGGGAGCUUGGGUCUUUGCAUUUUAGAGGAAUUUUAUGUUAGAGUAUAGAACUAACGUUUUCUGUUAAAAAUGCCUUCUUUUGAACAUGAAUGUUUCUCUUUUUAGUGCAAAGGUCUUUAAGAAACUUGGCAUAAGAUGGAACUUGUUUAAUAGCAUCAAGCAAAGGGAUGUUAACACUUACCUGUUUGAAGAUUUCAAGAAUCUCACCUGUGGAUUUUCCCUUCUUGCCUUUAGCUAACCUCUAGGGGAAUGAAGCUUUGGGAAUGUAUUCUUGUGGGUUGGUUUCUUUUUUCUCCUCCGGUGGUGAGUCUUCAACAUUCACAGGUACAAUUUGAUUUUCUUUUGUCACUGGCAUCUCCACUUUGUUGUCGACUUCUUUUCCUUUUCGCAAGGUCAUGACUGCUUUGACCUCUCUAUGCUGUUGUGGUGAACUGAUACUUGCUUCAUGUACUCCUUUAGGAUUAGACAUUGGUUGACUUGGAAAUUUAUCUUUCUCAACAGUUAUUGCCAAGGUCUGAACUGAAGAAGCAAGCUGUUCUACCAUCUUCUCAAGGCUUGAAACUGAUUGGGCUUGUGAAUUGAAACCUGCUCUCAACUCAUUUCGUAGUCCAUCAAUGGUGUGGUUCUGUUGCUCAAUCGUGGAGUGAGUAAGAUUCUUAAGAUUCUGGAAUGAAUCCUCCCAUGGUCUGGGCUGAGUGUAGUUCUGGUUCUGAUUGUAUGGUCUAAAUGGGGGCUGAGAGGCUUGAGGAGCUAGAGGAAUUGGUUGCAUUGGUGGAACUGGAGCUGCUGGUCCAUUCUGUUGGAAUCCUUGAGACCAUGAAAAAUUGGGGUGGUCUCUCCAUCCAGGGUUAUAUGUGUUGGAGUAUGGGUUGUAAUUUGAUGGCUUUCUCAUUACACCUAUGGCAUUGGCUUGAUCUGAGUAUGAGUCAUGGUCAUGUGGCUCUGUUGAUUUAGCAGUCGAUAACGAUGCUAUUUGUCGAGAGAGACCUUCAAUUAUCGUUUUGACUUCUUUAAUUUCUGAACUUGACUUGCCAAUGUGAACCUCAUUUACUCCCUUAAUUCUUCUAGUAUUCUUGAGUGAUCGACUCUGUUGUUGGGAAUUAUCCGCUUGUCGCUAGAAGAAUUCCCAAAUCUCUGAUGCACUUUUUGACAUUAGCUCUCCUCCACUUGUUGCCAUUAGUCAUUCUUGCACAUUCGGCAAUAAUCCCUCCAAAAAGUAUUGGCAUUGGUGUCAUUUCUCGUACCCAUGAUGUGGACACUUCAAGAGUAGCCCAUUGAAUCACUCCCAUGUUUCGAAAAACUUCUCGUCAUCUCUCUGGGUAAACUCUGAUAUUUCCCUGUGAAUAGCAUUGGUUUUAUGCAUUGGGAAACAUUUAUUCAAAAAUUUAGUUACCAUUUGUUCCCAUGAUGUAAUGCUAUUAGCAGGCAAAGUAUUUAACCAUGAACGAGCUCUAUCCUUUAAAGAAAAUGGGAAUAAUCUGAGUUUAAGAUCAUCGUCUGAAAAAUUCUCAUAUUUAAAUGUUUGACAAAUAGCAUGAAAAUCAUUCAGAUGAUUAUAUGGGUCCUCAUUUUCUAAGCCAUAGAAUGUGGGGAGACAAUUUAGCACACUAGGUUUUAGUUCAAAGCUCCUAACAGCUACAUUUGGGUAUCUUAUACAUGAUGAUCAAAUUAGAUAAGGGACUAAAAUAGUCCUUAAAUGGCCUUUCAUGUGGUGCUUGUAAAUCCAUUUCAAAUUUAUUUUUAACGUGCUUGUGUGUGCGAAGUAUUUUUUCUAGUUCAAGGUCUAUAGGUUCAAGAUUAGGUAAUAAUGACCUACGACCAUACAUGCAAAAUAAAUAAAAUAAAAAUAAAGAUGGGAACAAAACAAAUAAAAAUAAAGAAAAAAGAGAAAUUAUGAUACUAACCUUAUUACGCUGUUACAACCUUUCUAUAAAAACACACUAAAACAAAUUCGUGAAAUUAACUAAAAAUGAAAUUAAUAAGAUAAAAAAAAUUACAAAGACAAAUAAAUUGAAAAUUAAAUUACAGAAUUUUAAAGAAGAGAGAGAAUAAAUAAAAAAAAUUCUUAGCUCAAAAUGUAAAUCACUCUUUUUUUUCUUUCUUUUUUAAUAAUAAAAAAAUAUUACAAGAAAACAAUUAAAAGAAAUUAUUUACAAAAAUUAAUUUUACGAAUUAAAAUUACUUAGCUCCCCGGCAACGGCGCUAAAAACUUGUUGUGCAAAUUUUAUUGAACUCGCAAGCGCACGAAUCUAUUGUAGAAUAAACUAAUGGUGACGAAUGUCGAUCCCACGAGGAUGUGGAUUUUAAUUGUGUGUAGAAUUCAUUUUGUAAAUGGGUGGUUGGAUUUGUGGUGAAAAUGAUUUGGAUUAUCCUAAAAUUGGAAUUGAAAUGGCGAGAAUAAAUUCUAAAAUUGGAAUUGAAAUAGCGAGAAUAAAUUGAAGAGAAAUCUAUUGAGAUGACGUACUUGGGUAUCUGGAUCCGUAUCAACAUGCAUCAUGGGCUAAAUAAUCCUUAUUAAUGCCAAUUAAAUCAUGAGGGGGGAAUCCACACCUCAUGAACCACGCUCUAAUUAAUAUGGUGCUAAGGGCUUAUCGUGCCAAAUAAUAAUAACCUUGUACUAGGGGGCCGGUGAAACCAAAGCGGUACUAGACAAGAUUAGUAUUAUUUGUCGACGAGAAGUCAAAACAUCCACAAAAAUUAGAGGGGAAGAGAAAGUAAAUUUACCAAAUAAAGCUCAUGACACAUGUUGAGACUUCACCUUCAACCCAAGCUUGAAAGAAAAUUAGCCACUCAUAAUUGAACUAGGGACAAAAUGGGAAUUUAUUAAAAUACGUAGAAAAUACAAAAUGGAGAAGGAAUUACAGAAAAUGGAUCCCAAAAAUGAAUUCAGAGCUAUCAAAUUAGGGGGGGAGGCCCCCUUUUUAUAGGUACAUUGAGUAAAUCAUGGCCAUCGGAUUAAAAAUAGUUUGGACGCUUAGGAUUGUGCCACGUCAUCAGUCAACAGUACGCGGUUUGACCACGUGGAUGAACAGUAACACAGUUUGACCCGGCUUUGAACAGUAACGCGGUUUGGUUGAAAAUAAUCCUAUGUAAUGCAUGUACCGUACGCGCAAGUUUUGGGCCACUAAUAUGCUGUCACGUCACCAUCAACAAUUCAUAAGAAUUUUAGACCAACAGGAUCAUGACACCUCAUCAGUCAUGCUACAUCAUCGGUCAAUGCCACAUCAUCGAUCCGUCUAUGUGAACAGUGUUGUGAACAGUAACGUAGACAGUGCCGUACAUGUGAAUAGUACCGCACAUGUGAACAAUGCCAUUUGUCCUUUUAUGCUCCUCCUAAGGUUUUCGACCGUCCUGAGUUCAAAAGUGAUGUCCGUUUUGCCGUUUGAUCUCUCGUUUAUUGUGAAAUGACUAUGAUGCCCCUAAAAUACACAAAAUACUUAAUUAAAAUAAAACACACAUAAUUAAAUUACAAGAACCUUAAAUACAUAAAAGUAAGGGUUGUUAGUAAGACUUCAAAUGUAAAAUGACGAUUUUUUCAUUAUAAAUAUACAUUUUCUAACACUCAACACCUUUUUAAAUCAAUUUUGCAUCUUAGUGGUUAAUUCUCCUUAAAUGCACAAGUUUUUACCUAUUCCUUUUCCUAAAAAAAAAAAAAAAACUCCAACCUCCUCUUAAAAUCUUUCAUUUUUUUUUCAUUAUUUGUGUCUUAGAAGUCUAAAACAAGUUUUACCCAUCGGUGAAAAUUUUGCCCAAAAUCAAAACUCAACUUUCGUACACAUUGCCUUCUUACUCUGGAAAUUAAAUUCUCCUUAAUUGUCAUCUUUGUGAAUUGUUGCUUAAAUCCUGAUAUUGGUUUGAUUAGUUUGAUAAGAACCGAGUGAGGAUUACCAAGAGUGGAAAAAGACAAGAGAGUGUGAGCGUAUUAGAGGGUAAAAGCGAAUUAAUUUGAGUGAAACGCGAGUGGAAUUGAGUGUCAUUUUCUUGAGUGAAACACGUAAGGGAGUUAGGUGAGGUCCUUUCCACAUUAUUUCUAACUUUCUUUUGUAGAUGUUAGCUGUCUCACAACCUAGAACAAAAUACAAAUAAAGAGGAUCAAUCCGCAGUUACUCAGAAUUUACAAAUUCAAGCAUUGAUGGGAGAGAUGAAGAGGAUGAUGAGGGCUGAAUUAGAGCUCAUACACAUGCACGGCAGCCACAACCCGUUCCCCAAGCACGUAGGAGAGGAAGAGCUCCAACUAGAGGAGAGAUUGAUGACUAUUAUAAGGAUGAGUAUGAUGAAAGGGAGGACUCAGUCGGUAGCUAUAGGAGAGAUGGACAAGGUAGGAGAGCUAGGAAUAGAGAUGAUGGAUUAAGUGGCAUAAAGAUGAAGAUUCCAUCUUUUCAAAGAAAAUCCGACCUAGAAGUAUACCUUGAAUGGAAGAAGAAAAUGGAGUUCAUAUUUGACUGCCACAAUUUUUCAAAGGCAAAAAAGGUAAAAUUAGUUGUGAUUGAGUUUUCUGACUAUGCUAUUACCUGGUGGAAAUAGCUUGUUAUAAGUAGGAAGCGAAAUCGGGAACGUCCAAUUGAGACAUGGGAUGAAAUGAAAUCAUUGAUGAGAAGGCGUUUUGUACCUAACCACUGUUAUCGAGACUUGUACAAAAAAUUACAAUGGGUAGCCGAAGCGUUGGGGAUUAUUAUAAAGAAAUAGAGAUUGCCAUGAUUAGAGCAAAUGUGGAGGAGGAUAGAGAAGCUACCAUGACACAAUUUUUAAAUGGACUUAAUCGGGAGAUUUGAUGCGAAUCCCACAAUAAAACUUUCAAACCCACACUUAAUUUGUAGUUUCAACUUCCUAAAAAAGUUCUACACAGAUUUAAGACAAACAAAACCUUGACCCAAUGCUUAAGAAAACAUGAACCAAAAGUAUAGAGAUUAAUAUUGACACCACACUCAAGAAAUAGAUGAGAAGGGGAGUGAUAAGUCUAAAUUUGGAACGCCACAAGAAUACAAAUUCUUGAUAACUUCACUAGUUCUUAAAAGAACCAAAGAAAGAAUAAUCUUUCAAACUCAAAUAACAUUCAUCUCUAAUUUUUUAUUACAUAGCAAGGUUGCUGAGUUUAAAUAGGCUAAAAGAAACCCAAGAUCCUUAAAAUACAAAUGGAAACAUUGGAACAACCCUCCAAGUAGGUUUGUCAAAGGAUGCUUCAAAAGUCUUCACCAACCCACCAUAAUUAAUGCUAUAUUUGACAAACUUAAUGCUAACCUACUGUAAUUAAUGCUAUCAUUGACAAACUUAAUGUUAGCCCACCAUCAUUGAUCGUAAACUUACCUUACACAUUGAAAAACUUGAAACAAAACGAACAAAUGAAGUUGAAAAACAACGGAGUCGUUGAAAAUCCCAAGUCUAAACAAGCUGUAAUGAAUUGAUCAUAACUUCUUCUAGAGAACUCCAAAUCCAACUCUAUAAACUUUAUUGUAAAGCUAACUUAAUUAUCUUUUCAACGGUAUAUAGUUUGCACAUUAAUUCUGGCUCAAUCAAUACAAUUUUUAUUCCGCAUUUACCUUCUGCAUUUGAUACAAAUUAUGUAUUUGGUUGCCCAAUAACUUGAAUAAUGCCCACAAUGCCUUGUCUUCUCUCAAGCCCAAUUCAUGAUAUCUUGCAUCUUGAAUUGCAUUUUCAAUCCAUAUUUUCUCAAUUAAUCCAUUUAAAGCAACUUGCAUCUUUUUGGCUCUAGCUCUUGUAAUUGGGCCUCCAUGAAUGUGCAAAGGAUCACUUGAAGUUUUAAUGGUAUUCCCUUGAUGGUUCUCCUCAAAAGGAUUCAUUCUUGAAUCUUCACCUACAUCGAAAGGAGAAAGAUUAGAAACAUUAAAAGUAGCACUCACAUUAUACUCACCAAGAAGAUCUAAUUUGUAGGCAUUGUCAUUAAUCCGUGCAACCACUUGAAAUAGACCAUCUCCCCUUGGAAGCAACUUGGAACGCUUUUGUGCUAGGAACCUCUCCUUUCUCAUAUGCACCCAAACUCAAUCUCCAGGCUGAAAAACCACUUGCUUACGUCCUUUGUUGGCUUGAGUAGCGUAUUGUUCAGUUCUCUUUUCUAUGUGUUGUCAUGUUCUCUCAUGCAAUUGCUUGAAAAAUUCACCUUUCUUUUUACCAUCCAUACUAGCACGCUCAUCAAUAGGUAAAAGUAAUAAAUCCAAAGGAGUUAAUGGAUUAAAACCAUAUACAAUCUCAAAUGGUGAAAAUUUAGUAGUUGAAUGGACAGUUCUAUUGUAAGCAAAUUCAACAUGUGGCAAACAUUCUUCCCAAGUUUUCAAGUUCUUUUGAAUAAUGGCAUGCAACAAAGUAGACAAAGUUUUAUUUACAACCUCAGUUUGUCCAUCACCAAUUCUAAUUUACAAAGGAAGAGAUCAUCCUUUAUUAGGGAGUUUUGAACUAAUGAUUUUUGUCCAGAUAACAAUUUGGGAAAAUUUGAAUACCAAUGGGUUUUUUGGUAAUCAAUUCUUUGGCUCAAGAACUUAGCAUCUCAAUCUGAAACUAUGCUCCUUGGUACUCCAUGCAACCUGACUAUUUCCUUGAAAAACAAACUAGCUAUGUUUGUUGUAUCAUCAGUUUUGUGACAUGGAAUGAAAUGUGUCAUCUUUGAAAACCUAUCAACAACAACAAAAAUAGAAUCAUUUCCCCUUUUUGACCUAGGUAAACCCAAAACAAAGUCCAUAGAAAUAACAACUCAAGGUUCACUAUGUAUGGGCAGAGGAUUAUACAAUUCAUGGGGUAAAACUCUAGACUUAGUAUGUUUACAAGUGAUACACUUCUCACAUAUUCUUUCAACAUCACGUUUCAUAUGUGGCCAAAAAAAGUGAUUGGCAAAAUGGUAUCAGAACCAUACCCGUCCUUGAAAAUUUCUAUGUUUUCUCAAUAUCAGUUUUUCAUGUUCAAAAUGGUAUACUUUAAUUCUUUGUUCUCCUUUGAUUUCUAGUACUUCAGGAGCAGAGAGAUUUUCUUAUUCAUGGCUUCCACUUCCUCUUCAACUUCUUCUAAUCCUGUUACUCUUUCUUUGCCCAAAUCUUGUACUUCUCAUACCACCAAUAAGAUCGGAAACCUUGUAGAAUAUUCCUACAUCCCUGAAUCAGCCCAAACCAGUGAGUCCUCCUACCCUCUCAUCAGCCCUUACCAGCUAUAUAAACGCCCCAGUUCUAUUACCCGUAGUCUUCGCACCCUGAUCUAUACUAGAAGGUCACACCCUAAAGAAUAUAUCCAGUCUUCUCGCAUGGAUCAAUGUGCUCUCCAAACAACCUCUGCUGAGCAAUAUGUUACUUUGGAAAUACCCUCCGAAUUGCUUUCUAAUUGGAAAAGAGAAGGCUAUACCCAUCUCCAUCUUGGAGGCAUCCGACUAAUCCUUACCCUUCUUGGGAGAAAAGGGUUACCGAUCACAGCUCGCAUUGCUAUGCUUGAUACCCUGUUUAAACAAUACCAAGAUGCUGUUAUAGGCACUAUCCUUACAACUCUCCAUGCAGGAAGUGUUUUACUCACCUUUUAUCCAAACUUCAACCUUUCUUUUCAAGAUCCCAACUUGCCUACAACCUUGAAAGUUCAAGUCCAAAUUCAAGGUGUAGAACAAAUUUCCUUAGCCAAAAUUGCUACUCUCCAUUAUCAAUUGGUCUAUAGGCUUCAAAAUCAUGCCUUAGAUCUACCCACUCCAGAACAUCACUCUGACACCCUCAUGGUGUUAGCAGAAUCUGACCAAAUUCCCACAAUCAUCCAGAUCCCAAGACAAAUUCCCCGUCAUGAACUCAUCAAACUUAUGCCUCUUGAAUGGAUCUCCAACUAUGAACAGCUCCAUAAUAAUACAGCUCCAAUUCAGACAUCUGAAAGUAUGUUUGAAAGAAGACAAGAUGGCACAGUCAGAAUGACUUUUAAACCACCUCUAAGUGCUCCACAAAAGCCUCCUCGGCUCUCCUUUACAUAUUCUUCAAUGAUCACAGUUGUUCAGACAGCCCAGGAAGAUCUGCCCAUUACAGGGUUCAAUUCUGAAGGUUACCCAUUUUAUCCAGCCAAGCAAAAUGGCCAUUUCUUAUGGGAUGCCCCUGGCUCCGGCAUGUGUGACCCUAAUUGUCCCUGCUGGGAUGAUUGGGACGAAGACGAUGAUUAUGCAACCACAAGGAAAAAGAAACCCAAAAGGAAAAAACCUCUAGCCUCAUGCCAACCCUAUGAACCCAAAUCUCCAAAAGAUCCUCCACCUCCACCAGCCCUAUUACCCAUCUACAAAGCAGAACUCCGAUGGAUUGCAAAGCAUUACAAACCUGAGGUUCCAUCUCCUAUCCCAAAUUCACCGCCUCUUGUACAACCACUGGCUUGUAUGAUGUUUUCCUCUACUUCUUCAAAUUAUUCUUCUUCCUUUCCUCCUUUAGACACUCACAUAGAUUCACAACGAAACGUUAUCUAAACCCUUUAUCCCUUCAGCCAUAACCUCGACCGGUCAUCUUGAACCACCUAAUCCUUUUGAAUCAGUCCUCGAUUGGCAAACUCAAAAUGCCAGAGUACAGAAUGAUACUUUGUUAAAUAUCAAUUCAAAAAUUGAGAAAAUUAGUUUACGAACUGAACAACUUGAGACGAAAUUUGAUUCCAUCACUGCACAAAUGCAGCAGAUCCACCAAAAUCUCUUGUCCAAAAUUACUCAACUUGAUUCCGAGUUGCGAACCAUGCUGGCCCAGCGCUAUUCUGGCCUAGAAUUUGAUAAAAAAGAAAGGGAAAUCAGACGCUUAAAAGCUGAGCUUGCUCAGAUUGAAUCUGACAAACAAAGACCUACCCUUUUUACCACAUCACCUCCUAUCUCUUCCAUCGAUCCAACUUAUCAUACAUUUGCCUCUAUCCUUUCCCUUAUCCGACAGUAUGAUCCUUCCAAGUUAUUUGGUAUGACUCAUACUCUUUUUUGGGAUAUUCCAUUGCCACCACCACCUAAACCUAAACCAAAGCCUAAACCACAACCGCGACCCGUCACAAUUCAUCAGUCAUCCAUUUCCAUCAUCCCUGGCCAACAAUCUCCUGGUUAUACGCCGGCAUCACUGCCCGCACCUCCAUCACCAUCUUAUCCCAACCUCCUAUCCAAUCCAAGGAUAAAGAACCUAUGUACCAGUUUAGUGCCCAAGUCGACCACUCAUCUUCCCUAGAUGACCAAACUUCUGAUUCAAAUCUAGCUGUUUCUGAUAGCCAUACCAAAACUGACACAGAAUCUUCAGGAUCCACCAGUGACUCUGAAAAGCCCUAUGCUGAUAUCACCAGAAUCUUGAUGGCUCAACCUGAUCAACCUGCCCAAGGCCAAACCUCUCAUACAGAACCCUAUGUUGAUAUUCCCUCAGAAGUUGAAAAAGACAUGCCUGAAUCUUCUGCCACAAACCAAUCCCCUCCAGCCCAGGCCCAGCCUAAUCCACCCAGUCAGAAAUCGUCAAAUGGUCCAUGGUUCACAUUUGAUGACCUUCAAUCUCAUAAAUGGCGAGACCGACUUAAUGAAAUGUUUGCCUAGAUUGACCUCCAAAUGCUAAAGCCAGGAGCCACAACUGAAUCCAUCCUUAGAGAAUAUGCUACUCGUUUUACAGGUGCUCUAAGAGAUUGGUUUGAUUCUUUAGGCAACUACAGACAAUUACAGUUUGUUCAAUUACCAGAAGUCUAAAGUGCCCUUGCGGUUAUCCAUGAUCAAUUCCUUGGAGAUCCUUCUGCAGUUUUUGAAGCUGCACGCCGAGACUCUCUCAACAUGAAAUGCUGUUCACUCAAUGCUAAGGAUCUUGACUUCCAUUAUAAACGAAUGUCCCUGCUGUUCUAUAAGCUUAAUGGAUUCAAUGAGUCGACAUUAAAGCAUGUCUUUCUAGCUUCCCUUUCAGACGAACUCCAACCAGACAUAUAGAGACAACUCACCGCAUCCAAUCUUGCUCUUGACAACAUCUCCCUUGGCAAAAUCUUCUAGCUUGCCAAAACUUGUCUUGACAAACUUUGUGAGCAGAAACAGUUUUUCAAAGAACUAUUGAAAGAUAAAGAACCAUUCCGGAGUGCUUGGAAAAAAUCUUAUUUGCAGAUCAAAUGUCAGAAGAAAAAGGAUUGUGAUUGCAGUUCUAAGAAGAAAAGGCAUUUUAGGAAAUUCAAAAAUCCAGAAUUUUCAUCCAGACCUCACAGAUCCAGAAAGCCUUACAGAUUCUUCAUAAAGAAGUCAUCUUCUUCCAGAGACUUUAAACGGAGAAAAUCAAGCAGAUGUUUCAUCUACAAGAGAAAAGGGCAUUACGCCAAAGAUUGUCCCAACAAACGGGAAAAAUCUAUUCGACUAGUUGAGCAUCUUCAGGCCACUACAGACUACUCUCCCGAAAAAGAUGAACUAGAAUUCUAUUUCUCUAAACGAGAUAAACCCAACGAUGAAACUGUGUUCGCACUGCAAAAUUCCUCUGAUGAUUCAGACAGUGAUCAAUCCCAAGUGAUUUUCCACCAACAGCUAUUGUCCCUCAACACUACUAUUCCUAUACCUUUCAUCAAACUCCAGAUCUUGCCCUCAAAAUUCCAAAGGCCCGUCCCAGCCAUUGGUCUCAUCGACACUGGCGCCCAACGUAGCAUGCUCAACCCACAUAUCCUUCCAUCACAAUACUGGACAGAGUCUGAAGAACAUUUCAAAGCCGUCAAUGGAAAACUAUUCACCACCUCUUUGAUUACCAAAAACCCUAUUGGUAUUCAAAUCUUCCCCAAUUGUGUCAUUUGGAUUAAGAUUAUCGGUUCAAUCCUUCCUAAUAAGGAUUUCUUGUUAGGUUUUGACAUUCUUCACCAGAUCAAACACCUUCAAAUCAUUCCCACUGGAAUUCGAGUCAAGUCCAUGCUCAAACCAUUCACAAACAUUCUGAAACUCUACAAUCUGUCUAAAUCCUCCCAGUCCUACCAGGAUAUUUUGACUAAACUUUUGAAAUUCUGUCCAGAAUCCCAUUCUGAGUUCACCCAUCCAACUCCAUUAUGGAAAAACCCGUCUUUCUUCAUUAAGUUACCUUUCAAACUCAAUGAAGACAUUAACCCAACCAAAGCUACUCAUCCAGGAAUGAGUUCCUCUGACUUACUCCUAGCCCAAAAAGAAUGUUCACAACUGUUAGCCCAAGGUCUAAUCGAGCCCACAAAUUCUCAAUGGGCUUGCCAAGCCUUUUAUGUUGAAAAGCAUUCUGAAAUUAUCCGAGGAAAGAAACGCCUAGUCAUUGACUAUCAGCCAUUACACAUGUUUUUGGAUGUCGAUACUUUACAGUGAUUUUAUUAAUUGCACGACAGUCAAUGCACAUCCUCCAUGUUCUAUCCUUUUUGGGCACUAGUAAAACUGGUACUACACAUGGACUCAUGCCCUCCCUCACAUAUCCUUUUGCCAAGAGUUCUUCAACUUGCCUUUAAAGCUCCUUUAUCUCCUCAGGAUUACUUCUAUAUGCAGGUCUAUUAGGAAUGGUAGCUCCAGGGACGAAGUCUAUUUGAUGCUCAAUUCCCCUAAUAGGUGGCAAACGGUUAGGGACUUCAUUUGGAAACACAUCAUCAAAGUCCUGCAAAAGAGUCACAAUAGCACUAGGCAAAGAAAAGUUAAGUUCAUUAGUGUGUAAACAAGCCUCUUUGCACAAAAGUACCACGAUAGGCUAUUUUGAAAAGAAAGCCCUCUUAACCUCGCUCUCUUUUAUAAACAAGUUCACUUGCUGCCUCUCUUUUCUCUCAACAAUUUUUUUUCUAUCUUUUCACUUGCUUUUCUCUCAAUCUCUCUUUCUUUUGUACUCUCAUUUUCUUUUUUUGUAUCCCUCUCUUUUUGUAUUGACAUUUGAUCCUCAUACACUUUCCUAUGUGUUAAUGGUACAAGAGUGAUUUGCCUUUUAUUCAUUACAAAAGAAUAUCUAUUUAAGUAACCAUCAUGAGUCACACGCCUAUCAUAAAGCCAAAGUCGACCCAAAAGAAUAUGUCCAGCAUGCAUGGGUACUACAUCACAUAGAACCUCAUCCUUGUAUCUCCCAAUAGAGAAUGAAACUAGCACUUGUUUAUUUACUUUAACUUCCCCCACAAUCAUUCAGCCAUUGUAGCUUAUAUGGCCUCGGAUGUUUCAAAGUUUUCAAAUUUAAUUUUUCAACUAAGCUAGUGCUAGUUACAUUAGUAGAACUUCCACCAUCAAUUAUCAUACUACAUACCUUAGCUUUGAUGUGGCAUCUAGUAUGAAAGAUGUUAUCACGUUGUACCUCCGCAUCCUCUUUUACUUGCAUGUUGAGAGCACGCCUAGCAACCAUCAAUUUACCAUCAAUAGGAUAUUCUACACCAUCAUUAACAUCCUCCAAAAGUGGCAUAGGAUCAUCAUCUGAUUCACUCUCAAUUUCAACAUCACCAUAAUCCCUCAAGAUCAUUACUCUCUUAUUUGGGCAUUGAGAUGCCAUAUGACCUGUCCCCAAACAUUUAAAACACUUAAUAUCUCUAUUUCUAGAGUGUUGGGAAUCAGAUUUACCUUUGCUUUGGUUGCCUCCCUCUUUAUGAUCCUUGAUUGGCUCAAUCUUCGGCUUUGAAAUAACCUUUUCAUCUUUGCUCCAUUUUGACUUCCAUGAGGAAGAUGAACCCAAAUUGGUUCUAGUGGAACCUUUCUUUUGCAAUUGUCGUUCCACUUUCAUGGCCAUGUGAACCAUGUCUUCCAACUCAACAUAGUGCUGCAAGUCAACCACAUUAGCAAUAUCUUGAUUUAAACCAUGUAAAAAUCUUGCCAUAGUAGCCUCUCGUUCUUCUUCAAUGUUGGCUCGAAUCAUGAUUAUUUCCAUCUCCUUGUGGUAAUCUUCCACACUUCUAGAACCUUGUGUAAGACUUUAAAGCCUUUGGUGGAGCUCCCUAUAAUAAUGACUAGGAACAAAUCUCCUCCUCAUGAUGGCCUUCAUCUCCUCCCAAGUGUUUAUAGGCCUUUCACGAUUUCGUCUCCUACUCAAAACAAGUUGAUCCCACCAAAUAAUAGCAUAAUCAAUAAAUUCAACAGCAGCUAAUUUUACUUUUUUCUCGUCAAAGUAGUUUUGGCAAUCAAAUACUAGCUCCACCUUUUUUUCCCACUCCAAAUAAGCUUCCGAGUCAUUUUUUCAGUUUGAUACUCCCCAAAUCACAAUCUAUAUGUCUUGCCCUUCUAUUAUCUCUUCCAUGCAUGUCAAUGGUGUCCUGGUCAUCAAAAUCAUCUAUGUCAUCGCCAUCUUCUUCCCAAACACAAAUCUCACCAAGAAGCAAAUUCAACAAUUCCUAAGGAUUGUUAAUUAUGUUCGAACGUUAUGAGAAAACAAUUUUGUUUGACAAAAAUCGAUUUUGGAGGAUAAAAACAGGACCUUUAUGAUGCACAGGAUCCUUAGGCUUAAGGCAAGUGCAGAGCAUGCUCAGUAUUGAAAUUAGAGAUGAACGUAUCCUUAGUAUUCCCAAUAAUUUUCUUGACUCCUAGAAAAUCUCUUUGUAGAUCACAUGGUAGUGCUUUUCAGAGUCUUUGAAUUGUUCGCUUGCAUAGGCACAGAAAUGGGAUCCUUAGACUUAAGGCAAGUGCAGAGCAUACUCAGUAUUGAUACAGUAAUCAUUGCAGUGUAGGAAAGCCUUGGAGUGGAAUUGUAUCGGUGUCAGCAAGGAUCAUCAGAGCAUCUGAUGUAGUAUGGGGUGUAGGUAGUGCAUGAUUUUGUAAUCGAUACACUAUUUGGUGAUGGAGGGUUGCAAUCUUGCAACUUUAGGAAUGAAAUCUCAAACAUAAUUAACAAUCCCGAAGAAUUGUUGAAUUGGCUUCUUGGUGAGAUUUGUGUCUGGGAACUUUAAUAAUUCGGUUGCAAUGUGUGGGCCAGGUUGGUAGUGGCCAUUUGUGAUCACCAUGCCAAGAAAGUCAAUAGAUUCUUUCGCUAUGCUACUUUUCUUUUCAGAAAGCAUGAUUCCAUGAACCUGCAAAAUAUGAAAGAAAUCCAAAAGGAGUUGUUGAUGGCUAUUAUGAUCAGAGGAGAAUAACAAAAUAUCAUCGAUGUAGACCAAAGCAUGAUGGAGGAUGGGACUAAAAAUUUUUGUCAUGGCCUUUCAAAAUAAGGACGGAGCAACUUUAAGACCAAAGGGCAGAACAGUCCAUUGAUAGUGAGCAUCAGGAAUGCAAAAAGCAGUUUUUGGAUGAUCAACUGGUGAAAUACCAAUUUGCCAAAAACCAGCUUUUAAAUCAAAUUUAGAGAAGAUACGUGCCCCUUGAAGAUGGACAAACGGGGUCUGGAUUUUUGGAAGGGGGAACUUAUUAUCUUUAAGGAAAGAAUUGAGUGGCUAGUAAUCAAUGACUAACAGCUUUUUACCACGAACUAAUUCAAAUCCGCAGAUGAAGACAAAUAUCUGCAAGCUGAAGCUUAUCUUGACCAAAGAUGGAUGUACCGAGCCCAGCGUCAUUAUGAAAAAGAGACGGAUGAUGUGUCUCCAUCCAGAUGUCCCUCCACUCCGUAAUCACUGAUAAGCACGUGAUGCUUUAACUUUUACUUUAUUAAAGUUUGCUUUAAUAAUCAGAGCCUCUUCAACACGCAAAAUGAUUUUGGUAUAAUUCCUUUUGAAAAAUUCCUUAUUCUGAUUUAAGUUUGCUUCAUCUCCAGAGAACUUAAGAGCUUUAUAAUCAUGGCAUCUUCUUCACAAACUCCAGUUCAAUUAUCUUCUUCCAUGUCCCUUCCAAAAACUGUUACUAAACAUACUACAUCUAAACUAGAGAGUCUUGUUGAGUAUUCCUAUAUCCCAGAUUCUGUCCACGUAAAUGAGUCUUCUCUUCCUCUUGUUAAUCCUUACCAGUUGUAUCAACGUCCUUCUCGUUUCACUCGUUCUAUCCGUUCUCUUAUUAGUACUUCCCGUUCUACUCCUAAAGAGUACAUCCAGUCUUCGUCUCUUGAUCAAUGUUCCCUCCAAUCUACUUCUGCUGAGCAGUAUGUCACUUUAGAAAUUUCCCCUGAGCUCAUUUCCCACUGGAAACAGCAACGAUAUACUCACUUUCAUCUCGGUGGUGUCCGCCUUAUUCUCACCCUCCAUGGGCGAAAAGGUCUUCCUGUCACAGCCCGUAUUGCACUCCUUGACACCCGCUUCAAACAAUAUGAGCAGGCUACCAUUGGUACUGUCCUCACCANNNNNNNNNNNNNNNNNNNNNNNNNNNNNNNNNNNNNNNNNNNNNNNNNNNNNNNNNNNNNNNNNNNNNNNNNNNNNNNNNNNNNNNNNNNNNNNNNNNNUUCCCUUGAUGACCCCAACCUUUCCACUUUCUUAAAAAUCCAAGUUCAGAUUCAAGGAGCUGAACAAGUCUCCAGUGCAAAGAUUGCUACCGUCCACCAUCAGUUGGUUUACAGACUUCAGAACCACUCCCUUAUCCUUCCCACACCUCCCGAUCUCAGUUCAGAUACACUCAUGAUCCUUGCUGAAUCUCCAGACAUCCCCACCAUUAUCCAGAUCCCACGACAGAUCCCUCGUGCUGAUCUUCUCAAGAUCAUGCCUCUCGAGUGGAUAACCAACUAUGAGCAUUUCCAUCAAAACACCACUCCUGUUCAAACCUCUGAACCUAUGUAUGAGAAACGGUCUGAUGGUUCUGUUCGCCUUCAGUUCAAACCUCCUCCUUCUGCCCCUGCAGAACCUCCCCGAUUAUCCUUUACCUGCUCCAUGGUCCAACCUGUUGACAUCAUUCCAAAAGUCCUUCCUUCUGGCAAACCAUUACCCAUUAUGUCCUUCACCUCCCAAGGUACUCCUGUUUACCCAGACAAAAUUGAUGGCCAUUUCUUAUGGGAUGUUCCCAGCUCUGGCCGAUGUGAUCCCGGCUGUCCAUGUAAUGAUGAUGAGGAUGAUUAUUCUUCCAGAUCGAAAAGGAAGAAAAUUAUCUAUCCUGCCUGCAAAUUAUAUUUGCCCGAAGAUGAUGAUGAUGAACCCGAUUAUCCACCUCCUUUGCCACUUUACGACAAAGGACUUCAGUGGAUCCAGAAACAUCAGCCCAGAUCAUGCAAACCAGUCCGGUCCUCGGCUGGUCUUCUGCCUACACCUCCUAUGGUGUCCUGCAUGAUGUUCUCAUCUGCCUCUGCCUCAGAUUAUAGUUCUGAGUACCCGCCUCUUGAGAAACGCUCAGACCAAAAGCACCAGGUUUGGAGCAAACCAUUUGUCACCUCUCCUAUUUCCUCCAGUGGACAUCUUGAAGAACCCAAGCCUUCUCUUACUUCCUUACACUCUAAAGUUGAUCAGAUCGCUCACAGAUCCUCUGCUGUUGAAACAAGGGUUACUUCCCUCUCAGACCAGUUGACCAAUUUGUAUAAUAGUCUUCAUACUAAGGUUGCACAGCUUGACCGUGACCUUCGAGCCAUGAUUGCCCGCGGUGAUAAUUCUCAUGAGUUCACUCGAAAAGAGCAAGAAAUCAGACAGCUUCAAGCUGAAAUUGCCAGAAUUGAUGCUGACAACCAACGGCGUCAAGCAGUUCAUACUGCUCCCCUAUCCUAUUUUCCCACAGAACCAUAUCACCCUCUCAGGUCCUUUUUCCCUACUACUCCAAGGGAUUAUACUCCUGAGAAAGUCUUUCCCAUGACCUACCACUUGAACCCUCAACCUGCAAAACCUAAACCUCGACCUCCUCGACGCCCUGUUCCACCUCCUACAGUGUCUAUCCCUCCUCCAGUUCGUCCUAUGUAUUCAAACGCUAUCCAAAAACCCCUUCAGAUACAUGAACCAGUAUUCCCUGACCUUCCAUCUACCUCAGCCUUACCUCCAUUUCUGAAAUCUCCUUCUAAAGCCGAACAAAAGAAGCCUACUGAGACUUACCUUAUCACUGCACCAGACCUUGACCAGCUUCACCGAUCCUCAGAAGAAUCCAGUCCCUCUGAUUCAGUCGACACCUUUGAUUCUAUCACUGAGACUUUUGAGCCCCAUAGUUUCAGUUCCGAUGAAUCCCAACAGCACUUGACUGAUAUUUCUCGUCUUCUUAUGGCGGAUCAUGCUGAGUCUACCACUACUGAUCCCCCUCCUCGGGAACCUGGCCAACCCUAUGUUGACAUUCCUUCCGAUGUUGAAGGAGAAAAUGAAGGAGACAACUCUAAUCCUCCUCCACGAAUUCGAACUAAAGUUGCCCCUGGCGCUGGACCAUGGUUUACCUUUGAUGAUCUUCCACCGGCUCGGUGGCGUGAACGUCUCCAGGAACUCUCUGCCUGGUUAGAUCUACAGAUGGUUAAACCUGAUGCAGAAAUCUCUACAGUUCUUAAAGAAUUUGUCUCCCGAUUUACUGGCUCUCUCCGUGAUUGGUUUGACAGUCUCGGACAAUACAGACAAUUACUAUAUCUCCAGCACCCUACUGUCUAUGCUGCUCUCAUGGACAUUCAUUCCCAGUUUCUUGGAGAACCUGCAGCUAUCUUUGCCACUGCUCGUAAAGAAUAUCUCCAAAUGAGAUGUUGCUCGAUGCAGAGAUCUGACCUGCAUUAUCAUUUCAAACGCAUGUCUGCCCUGUUCCAUAAAAUUGGUGGUAUCAAUGACCACACCCUCAAGCAUGUCUUCUUGUCUUCUUUGCCUGAAGAAUUACAACCUGAAAUCCGUCGCCAGAUUGCUAAUGCCCAGCUCGACAUCAAUAAUCUUUCUCUUGGCCGUCUCUUCCAGCUGGCUUUAGUGUCUCUUGAUUACCUCUGUGAUCAGAAGAAAUUCUUCCGAAACCUCAUGAAAGACAAAGAAGGAUUCCAAACCGCCUGCAAGAAACCCUACUUGGAAAUCAAGUGCAAAGACUCUAAGCAUUGUACUUGUCCCUCCACGAAGACACACCACAAAGUCAGGUUUCACAGAAAAUCUUCCAGAACUCCACAGUCACGCCCAUUCCCUAGGCGUCCCAAAAAGAUUCGGUACUUCAGAAGACGACAACCUUCUGAGAUCCUUGACCGACGAAGAACAAAGAGCAGAUGCUUCAUUUGCAAAAAGCUCGGACAUUUUGCUAAAGAAUGCCCUAAGAACCCUAAGCGGUCUCAACGCUUAGUUCAACAGCUUCAAUCCUUACAUCAGUUCUCUCCUGAUACUGACCAAAUUGAGUUUUUAUACUCUGAACAAGAAAGUCCUGAUCCGGAUACAGUUUUUGCCCUUGGCACUUCUGAUUCAGAUUCAGAUUCAACUUCAUCUACUGAACCAGAAGACUAUUCCCCUGUCUUCCACAUCCAGUCAGUACCUUCAUCCUCCACUCAAUUGUCAGUUCAACCCAUUCCUUCCGUCAAAAUCCAAAUCCUGUUAUCCAAAUACAGUCGGCCCAUUCCUGCUAUUGCCUUCAUAGACACUGGCGCUCAGCGCAGUAUUUUAAACCCUGCUAUUUUGCCGCCUGAAACCUGGAUUUCAAAUGAAAAUCAUUUCCGUGCUGCUAGUGGAAAAUUGUUUUCUACAAAGCUCCGCACCAAGUCUAGAAUUGGAAUUCAGCUAUUCCCAAAGCUCACAGUUUGGACCCAUGUAAUCGGGUCUAGCCUACCUGACAAAGAUCUUCUUCUUGGGUUUGAUAUCCUAUUCCAAGCCCAAAAGAUUCAAGUCCUUCCUACUGGUCUCAGAUUCCAGUCCAUGUUCCAACCAUACACAGACCAGCUCAAACUCUAUCAUUUGGCCCAGUCCCCUCCUGAUUAUCAGUCUAUUUCGGCCCAGUUACUAAGGUUUUGUCCUCCAAAUCAUUUGGCCUUUGCCCAUCCACAUCCUCUGUGGAAAAAUCCAGCCCAUUUCGUUAAGCUCCCUUUUAAGCUUAAUGAAGACCUUAAUCCUACCAAAGCAACCCAUCCGGGUAUGCCUCCUUCUGAGCUUCAGUUAGCCCAAACAGAAUGUGCAGAAUUACUCGCCCAAGGCCUCAUUGAGCCCACAACUUCUCCGUGGGCCUGCCAAGCCUUUUAUGUUAAUAAACGUGCCGAAACAUUACGGGGUAAAAAACGUCUUGUUAUUGAUUAUCAGCCUUUAAACCAGUUUUUACAGGAUGAUAAAUUUCCUUUACCUCGAAAAAAUUCCAUCUUUACCUACCUCCAAAAUGCCAGAAUAUUUUCUAAGUUUGACUUAAAGUCUGGGUUUUGGCAGCUGGGUAUUGACCCUGCUGAACGUUAUAAAACUGCAUUCUGUAUUCCCAAUGCCCAUUACCAAUGGACCGUUCUUCCCUUUGGUCUCAAAACUGCACCAUCCAUUUUCCAAAAAGCCAUGACCCAAAUCUUCCAGCCCCUCCUUCACCAUACCCUUGUUUAUAUUGACGAUUUACUUCUGUUUUCAGGUACUCCAGAAGAGCAUCAAGUUUUACUCCAACAAUUCCAUGAUAUCAUAGCUCACUACGGUAUUAUGCUUUCCGACAAAAAGAGUACAAUUGCCACAGAUACCGUAGAAUAUCUCGGUAUGCAGAUAAAGAAUGGAUUCUAUCAGCCUGGACCCCACAUUGCACAAGAAUUACUCCACUUUCCAGAUAAGGAUUUCACAAAGAAACAAGUCCAACAGUUCCUUGGCAUCAUCAACUACAUCCGCGAUUUCCUGCCUCAUGUGGACCAGCAGACAAGUAUACUUUCUGCUUUACUAAAAAAGAAUCCUAUCUCUUGGGAUUCCCGUCACACUACAGCUAUCCAGCGGCUAAAGCAGAUAGCCCAGAAUCCACCACAACUCAAGAUCAUGACAGAUGGCAAACGUAUCCUACAGACUGAUGCUUCAGACACAUCAUGGGGAGCCCUGUUGCUUGAACAGAUCGACAAAAAGGAAUAUCUAAUCGGACAUGCUAGUGGACAUUUUAGUCCAGCCCAGCAGCACUAUCACACGAUCUACAAGGAGAUUCUUGCCGUAAAAAAUGGCAUCAAAAAGUUCGAAUACCACCUCCUUGGCCAUAGAUUCCUGAUCAGAUUGGAUAAUUCCUCUUUCCCUAAAGUCCUCCAGUUUAAAGGUAAAACGAUUCCCAACAGCCAGUUACUUCGGUUGCAGGAAUGGUUUUCCCGAUAUGAAUUUGAUGUUGCACAUAUAAAAGGACAAAAGAACCUCAUUCCAGAUUUCCUAUCUCGCAUUCAGACACCUGCCUCUCCAAUCUUCUACACUUCCCCAGUCUUCCCGAUCUUCAUGGCUACUAGAUCUACUGCUACCUCUCUGCCUUCUAAGGCUCUUACCCAAAAGACCUUCCCACGGCCUGUACAAACUUUUCCUUCCCUCUACCGCCUUCAGGAGUUUGCUAAACAAUUUCUUUUCCGCUACUACAUGAAAGCUUUCUUCCUUGAAGAAAACCCUCACAAUCAGUUCCUCACUUUUCAUCCCGAGAAUCUCUUCCUCACCGGAUUCUUCAUCCCCUCUGUCCGGGAUAUCAGUGACGAUGAACUCUGGUAUUUCUGGUGCUUAACUGCACUCCAUGCAACUCAGUUAAUCAUCCCCUUAGCCUACACAGUCAACACCCUCAAUAAUCCUUCCAAGGCUACUUCUCUGUUAUGGACUCUGUUAGAAUGGUUCUCUCCUAUUCCUCAAUGGAGAUCCCAACUCCAGCAGCUUAGUCACAACCAUCAUCUUUCCACCAUCCCUUCUCAUGAAGCUGAAAAAUUCACAUCCGUGUUCAUAGUUCACCGACCAUAUUUCCGUCACCCAGAGACAGCCGCCUUCUUUGCUCAACCACAAAUCAGCCACUACCACACAACCCCUCAUCCCAGCACACUGGAUCAAGACCCCAUGUUCAAAAAGGCUCUCAUGAAUCAUCUCCUGUCCUUAAAUCAUGUUCCUCCACCACCACAAGACAUCAUCUCCAGUUCCAUUGGACCUCGUCAUGACAUGUUCAUGGUACCUAAUCCUUCUGGUUCUAGCAAAGGUAUUAUUAUCAAAGAAGAACGUCCAGAUACUCCUCCACAGAUUUACUACCAGGAUUCUCAGGAUCCUGAAGAUGACUUUUUACCGCUCAGUCAACUCCUCCAAGAGUUUCAGACUCCACCAGAACAAGGCUAGUCAUCACGAGUCAUUUCACAAUCUGAGCCCAUCAUCACUCAUCCACCAUCACAAUGCAGAUCUCUCUGCAUUCCCGGGAUUGUCCAUGCUAAAGGAUGUCCUCAGUAUGAUGGCCCUACUUAUCUAGAACAGUGCACCUUAUUCUGUGAACCUCAUGGAGCCAAUUGCCACAAAAGCUGCGUCAACUACCGCAGAUUUGAAUCCAGCUCCAGCUCAGAUGAUUACGGGAUGAAUCUAUCCUCUCCGUAAUCUCCGCCGCAUGUCUUGUCUUUUAUGUAAAAGAUAAAGUUAGGGGGUCCUGUCCCUACUUUACUUUAUUAAAGUAGCUUUUAUGUCUUGUCUUUUUAUGUAAAAGAUAAAGUUAGGGGUCCCUAUCCCUACUUUACUUUAUUAAAGUAGCUUUUAUGUCUUGUCUUUUUAUGUAAAAGAUAAAGUUAGGGGUCCCUAUCCCUACUUUACUUUAUUAAAGUUGUUUGCUUUAUGAAAAGAUGAGGGUCCUGUCUCACUUUUCGAAAUUUGGCUUUCUCCCGUUGUAAUCCCUAUAUAAGGGAGCCUCCUCUUAGUUUUUCACUAAGUAAGAGGUGAGCCUUACAGUAAUAUAUUGAGUGUUCUAUUAUCCAUGUCUCUCUAAACUCCUCUUUCUUAAGUUCUAUGGAGCUCUGAAAUAGAUAAGAAAAAGAAUAAGGAAAAUUUUAAAAACGAGUUUGUUCAAAACCAAGUUAGUAUGCUCUACACUUGCCUUUGUAUGAAGGAUCCUGUGUAUCAGAACACUUGAGACGGUCUUUAGCUGUUUUCUUAUCUGGUUUGGUACCCGUUUUAAGCUAAGGAAAGCUGUUUUAGGGUUGUAUAACCUAGCAAAGAAAACUGGUUUGAAAAGUCUCAAGUUAAACGGAGUGGUAUCAGAGUUUGCUUUUUCUUUUCUAGUUUGGCGUGGUGUGCUUUAGUGCUUUCUUGCUUUCAUAAUUAUGUUUCUCCUUUUGUAAAAGAAUUUAACACACAAAUUGCCUUUUACCACACUUAAUUCUCUCUUUCAGUUCUUUAUUGAACUAAAUAAACAAAAUCAAGAAAAAAAAAUUUAGUUUUCUUACAUCAUGUUUCCCUAAAACCUUUUUUAUCUUCUAAGAGUCAAGAAAAUUAUUGGGAAUACUAAGGAUACGUUCAUCUCUAAUUUCAAUACUGAGUAUGCUCUGCACUUGCCUUAAGCCUAAGGAUCCUGUGCAUCAGAAAGGUCCUGUUUUUAUCCUCCAAAAUCGAUUUUUGUAAAACAAAAUUGUUUUCUCACAACGUUCACCCUCUUUGAGGCCGUGAGUGUCGUGUUUUCGGGUGGUAUCGUGAAAAACUAUUUUCACUAUGAUUUUGGAAUUGGAGCUGUCUGUAUUCUCCCAAGCUUUCUAACCAAUCUCGUAAAGAACCCGUUAAACGGGCCAUAAAUUCACGAAGAACAUUUUCUGGAUGGCCAGUAGCUCGCAAGUUCUGGUUUCCAGCCGAUAUAUUUUGUUAUUCUCCUCUGAUCAUAAUAGUCAUCAACAACUCCUUUUGGAUUUCUUUCAUAUUGUGCAGGUUCAUGGAAUCAUGCUUUCUGAAAAGAAAAACAGCAUAGCGAAAGAAUCUAUUGACUUUCUUGGCAUGGUGAUCACAAAUGGCCACUACCAACCUGACCUGCACAUUGCCACUUGUGUAGUUGUACGUGGCGUUGUUACACCAGAUCUAUGACAGAUCAAAGUCUGCCCUUAGGACCAGUAGCCCGCAAGUUCUGGUUUCUAGUCGAUAUACACUUAUCCAUCAAGUACCAAAUCUGAAAAUCAUAGUGAAAACAAUUUUUUCACGAUACCACCCGAAAACACGGCACUCACGACCUCAAAGAGGGUGAACGUUGUGAGAAAACAAUUUUGUUUUACAACAAUCGAUUUUGGAGGAUAAAAACAGGACCUUUCUGAUGCACAGGAUCCUUAGGCUUAAGGCAAGUGCAGAGCAUACUCAGUAUUAAAAUUAGAGAUGAACGUAUCCUUAGUAUUCCCAAUAAUUUUCUGGAUGGGCAUUGGGUUUGGUUCCUUGGAGAUCAAUCCAUACAGCAAAUUCUCGAAGACGAGAAGGCCAUUUGUGACGUGGAAUGUCAUGAAAUGUAAACCAAGAUGCUGAGGAAGGUUUGGUAGAAUGGUCAGUAACCGGUGCAGGCAUUUGUGGAACCGGUUUUGUUGGAGCUUGUGUUUGAUCAUCAGAAGAACUGUCUUCUACAAUAGGUGUUGUAGUUGAGGCACUUGGGUCUUCAGUUUUGGUUGCCAUCAGUAUGCUUGUAAGAUCAGUAUAUUCAGAUUCAGAAUCAGUGGAAGUAUGGGCUGUGUUUAGGGAUGAGGAAGAGGAAGAUGAAGAGGAGUCUGAAUGAUUAGAGUCAUAUAAUGGUAAGGAUUCAUAUGCAGAGGAAAAGGAGUCUUGGGCUUGAACUGUAUGGUAAUGAUAUUGAUCCAUUGGACCUUUGUCCUUUUUAGGAGGUUCUGGAGUGGCUUUUGGCGAACCUUCAGGAGGUAUUGGAGAAGAAGGAGAAGCCUUUGAUUGUGGCUCUGUGAUUUUGACCUUGGAUUUUGAUUUUUUGGGUGAAGAUGGUUUAGGUUGAGGGGUUGGUUGGAGAUGUGAGAAUCCAAAGAACUGGUUGUAAACAGGCGGUUGAGGUCUGGAUGGUGUGUAGAAAGGUGCAUAAGUGUCAAAUAUUGGAGUGGGCAUUGGUGUGGACGCUGUGUGGGUGAAAAGUGAUGGCUGGGUUUUUUCAGUAUCAAUUUUGGCUAGCUCAGCUUUGAGUCUUCUUAUCUCUGCUUCUUUUUUGUUGAAUUCUGGACCCCAUAGGUGAUUGUUGAUCAUUCGGCUGAGAUCUGUGUCGAGCUCAGAGAUUCUAUCCUGAAGAUGUAUGUACAUCUAAUCAAGACGAUUGUUGAUCGAAUCCACCUUGUUUUCAAUCUGGGAGACUUGACUGGCUACUUGGUCAAUUUUCAUUCCAAGUUGGUGGAGGGUUUGAUUCUGAGCACUGGCCUUUUUGGUUUGCCAGUUGAGAAUAGCUUCAUACUGUUUGGGCUCUUUAGGUUGGCCAGAGGCAGUAACAGGAGAUUGGACAUAAGGUUUUGAGAUGACUCUGGUUUGUGUAUCUGCCUAUCUUUCAAGCAGAGAAAAAGAUUCUUCAUAAGAUUGCCUUGAAAACAUUAGGCAUGAUCUGAUUGGUUGCACAGGAGGUUUUGGGUCUGGUGGAGGUUGUUGAGGGAAAGGUUUACAAGAUGUCUUGGGAAAAGAAUCUUUUUUCUUUUUCUUUUUUCUUCAUCGUAUUUCCUCAAGUUCAUCAUCAAUAUCCAUAUCAUCCAAACAAGGACAAUCCGGAUUGCACAUAUGGGCUUCAGGAACAUCCCAUAGAAAGUGACCAUUGAGUUUGUCAGGGUGCACAUCAUACCCUUCAGAAGAAAAACCAUGGAUUGGAAGGUUCUUUUCCUCACCAGUUUGAACUGCAGUAAUCAUUGUAGUGUAGGAAAGCCUUGGAGUUUCUGAAACUUGAUUGGGAGUUUGAAAAGAUAGUUUGACUUGGCCAUUGUGUCGUCUUUCAAAUGUGGCUUCUGUUGUUUGAACUGGUUCAGAGUUUUGAUGGAAAUGCUCAUAAUUGGUCAGCCAUUCAAGAGGCAUGAGUGUGAGCAAUUCUUGUUUCUAAAUCUGUUUAAGAAUCUGGAUGAUGGUUGGAAUUGUAUCGGUGUCAGCAAGGAUCAUCAUGGCAUCUGAUAUAGUAUGGGGUGUAGGUAGGUCUAGUGCAUGAUUUUGUAAUCGAUACACUAUUUGGUGAUGGAGGGUUGCAAUCUUGGAUGUGGGUGUUUGUUCUACUCCUUGGAGCUGGAUCUGGACCUUAAUGGUUAUAGGCAAGUUUGGAUCCUCAAGAGAGAGGUUGAAGUUUGGGUAAAAGGUUAACAAAACACUACCAGCAUGGAGUGUUGUCAGGACGGCUCCUAUAACAAUGUGUUGAUACUGUUUGAACCUAGUAUCUAGGAGAGAAAUUAUGGCUGUGACUGGCAAGCCUUUUAUGCCAUGGAGGGUAAGAAUCAAUCUAACACCACCAAGAUGGAGAUGCGCAUACCCUUCGCGUUUCCAAUUUGCUACAAGAUAUGGAGGGAUUUCUAAAGUGACAUAUUGUUCACUUUGAGAGGCUUGUAACGCACACUGAUCUAAUUUAGAAGACUGGAUGUAUUCUUUUGGAAGUGGUCUUUUGGUAGAGAUGAGGGUAUGGAUACUUCUGGUGAAAGAAGUUUUCUGUUUGUAGAGGUUGUAGGGACUCAUGACGGGAAACUGAGAUUCAUUGAUUUGAGCAGAUUCAAGGAUAUAGGAAUAUUCAAUAAGAUUUUCUAUUUUAGAGGUACCUUGCUUUUGACAAGAUUUGGGGAGUGAUAGAGUAGAGGAAAGAGAAAUAUGAGAUGAGGAAGAAGAAGGAGUUCAGGAAGAAGUUGAAGUCAUUUCCAUAUUUUGAAAUCUUCUUCUAGGAAAUCAAAGAAAGAUUAUUCAGAAAUUCUAAUGAUACCACCUCUGCGUGGGACAUUUGGCUCUGAUACCACUUGGGUAGUUGUACGUGGUGUUGUUACACUAAAUCUAUGAUAGAUCAAAGUCUACCCUUAGGGCCAGUAGCCCGCAAGUUCUGAUUUUCAGCCGAUAUACACUUAUCCAUCAAGCACCAAAUUCGAAAAUUAUAGUGAAAAUAGUUUUUCACUAUACCACCUGAAAACACGGCACUCACAGCCUCAAAGAGGGUGAACGUUGUGAGAAAACAAUUUUGUUUUACAACAAUCAAUUUUGGAGGAUAAAAACAGGACCUUUCUGAUGCAUAGGAUCCUUAGGUUUAAGGCAAGUGCAGAGCAUACUCAGUAUUGAAAUUAGAGAUGAACGUAUACUUAGUAUUCCCAAUAAUUUUCUUGACUCCUAGAAGAUAGAAAAGGUUUUAGAGAAACAUGAUGUAAGAAAACUGAAUUUUAUUCCUGAUUAACUCUUGUCUUACAAAAGAGAAGAGAGAUCCUUAUGUAGAGAUUUCGAUGAGGAAAGAGAAAAGGUGGGACCCUUUUCUUUUACAAAAGGAGAAACAUAAUUAUGAAAGAAAGAAAGCACUAAAGCACACCACGCCAAACUAGAAAAGCAAAAGCAAACUUUAAUAAAGUAAAAGCUAAAGCAUCACGUGCUUAUCAGUGAUUACAGAGUAGAGGGACAUCUGGAUGGAGACACAUCACCGGUCUCUUUUUUAUAAUGACGCUGGGCUCGGUACAUCCGUCUUUGGUCAAGAUAAGCUUUAGCUUGCAGAUAUUUGUCUUCAUCUACGUUGGUCAUUUUUUAUGUGGAAGGACCAGGAGAGUAUGGAUUGGUGACAGUGUAGGGGGUAUUUUCAGUGUGGAGAAGAGACUGAAGACAAGAAUCCCAUGUGGACUUGAACUUGAACCUGGAGUACAGGCCUAUGUCUUUGGAACUAUUUCCAAGCUGUGUGACAGUCCGACAGAGGUGUGGUGGAUGUUUGUGGCAGGUGGUUGAAGUUCUGAAGGAAGUGAAGCGAUGAUGACAUGCUUGAGGGACGGUUCAUUGAAGCCGUUCAGCUUGUAAAUAGAAUACUCAUUAGUUUGUAAUGAGAUUCUAAAAGACGCCUUUUGAGAGAAUAGCAUUUCAUCUGGUGAUAUUCUUUUCGAUCUGCUUCUUUGGAAGCUGUCUGUUCACCUAUGAACUGUUCAUGGAUGAUGUUGAGAGUUGUGCCAAUGGUGGAUUGCAUGAAUUGGAGCUGUCUGUAUUCUCCCAAGCUUUCUAACCAAUCUUGUAAAGUACCCGUUGAACAGGCCAUAAAUUCAUGAAGAACAUUUUCUGGACAGAACUCAAGAAGUUUUUGUGAAAUAUGACUGUAUGGAGUUGGGACAUCAGUAAGUGUAUACAGAUGAAGCAUAUCUGUAUAAGGCAAGAACAUCUGUUUGUAGCAAAUUCCAGAACUAGUAAUGAAUAGAUUUUUGACCAAAUGAAGGAUAUCAAAACCUAUGAGCAAGUCUUUAUCUGGAAGAGUGGAUGCUACAAUCUUUUUCUAAAUAAUGCAAUUCGGAAUGAACUGAUUACCAAUGGGUUUUUUGGUAAUCAGAGUUGUUUCAAAUGUCCCGCAAUUAAUGGCUAUGAAUAAUUUGGAAUGGUUUUCCCAACAGUCUGAGGGAAGGACAAAAGGAUCAAUCAUAUUGGUAUCUGCACCAGUGUCUAUAACCCGAUGACAAGAACAAGUUUAUGAAACUUUGAAGGAAGGAUUGACAUUUUGAGAGAAGGUCUGAGAAUGGUUGAAACCUGGUUGACAUUUUGAACUGUAGAAAUGACUGAAAUAUCAUCAGAAUCGGAAGAUUCUGCAAGGAUGAAAGCAGUCUGAUCAUUUUGUUCUGACUGUUCUGAGAAGUUGGAUUCAACAUCUUCGUUUUCAGAUAACAAUGAAGAAUGUUGGAGAUGUUGUAUGAGAUGAACAGUUUUGGUAGAUUUAUAAGGACAGAUUCAAGCAAAGUGACCGCGUUUUUUACAGAUGAAACAACGGUUAUGCUUCUUUUUUCUAUACUGAGAAACAUCUUUUUUCUUGAAAUACCGGAAAGGCUUUUUGGAGGAUGAUUUUUUGUGGAAGUGUUUCUGAAAGUGUUUUUUCUUCUUGGUCGGACAAAAACAUUUCUUCUCAUCUUUGCAUUCAAUUUGGAGAUAGGGUUUUUUGCAAGCUUCAGAAAAGGGUUUUUUAUCUGCCAUGAGAUCUUUGAAGAACUCUUUCUGUCCACAAAUUUUGUCAAGGCAUAACAUUGCUGUUUGAAAAAUCUUUCCAAGAGAAAUGUCAGCUAUGCUGAGAUUUGUGGCAUUAGGAGCCAUUGGUUGUUUCCCCUUUUGUAGAUUGGCUAUGGCAGUGUCUUGCCUCUCCAAUUUGUCACAGAUCUCUCCAAACAUCAUAUUCAUGUGCUCAAAUUGUUGUUGCAUGAUUGAUUGGUCUAUAACUUCUUGAUAUUUUGACAUAUUUGUGAUCUGAAAAGAAUGUUAGCAAAAAGACCUCACAACACUCCCUCACGUGUUUCGCUCAAUUUGAUGUCACUUAACUCUCGUGUUUAACACACAAAUUGGCUUUUACCCUCUAAUGAUCUCACAAACUUUUUUUUUAUUUACCACACUUAAUUCUCUCUUUCAGUUCUUUAUUGAACUAAAUAAACAAAAUCAAGAAAAACCCAAGUGGCACCCCAAAUAUGACAAACCAAGACACCAAACAAAGAAAAGGAAUUAAGAGGACACAAAGAACCACAAAGGAAAUUGAUGAAAAGAAAGCAAGAAAGCAAAGGAACACAAUUGAUAUUGUGUGUAAACAAUGUCAAGGAAAAUGAAUAGCAAUCUGUUUUUUUUUGUACGUUUUUUUUCUUUUUUUUUUAUAAUCAAAAUAAAUAAGACAUUCAAACCUGAUUAGAAACUAGCUCUGAUACCAAAUAAUGCGAAUCCCACAAUGAAACUUUCAAACCCACACUUAAUUUGUAGUUUCAACUUCCCAAGAAAGUUCUAAACAUAUUCAAGACAAACAAAACAUUGACCCAAUGCUUAAGAAAACAUGAACCAAAGGUAUAGAGAAUGAUAUUGACGCCACACUCAAGAAAUAUAUGAGAAGGUGAGUGCAUCCAACUUCCUUUUCUAAAACAAAGUCUCGGAAAUGGAAGAAAUCAUACAGAUUCUUUAGAAAAAGAUGUUUCUCUUCCAAAGAAUAGGGCAGAAAAAAAUCUAGCAGAUGCUUUAUUUGCAGGAAAAAAGGCCACUAUGCAAAAGAUCAUCCAAACAAAAAAGAAAAGGCAAUCAGAUUGGUAAAGUAUUUACAAGCUGUUACUGAGUAUUCUACUGAAAAGGAAGAAGUAGAAUCUUACUUCUGAGAACAAAAAGACCCUAUUGAUGAGACAGUGUUUGAACUGGAAAACUCAUCUGAUGAUUCAGAAAACGAUGAGUUUCAAUCCAUUUUUCAUCAACAAUCAUUGUCCCUAGGCACUACCAUUCCAAUUCCCUCCAUUUUUCAAAAAGCCAUGCUCAAAAUCUUUCAACCCAUCCUGCAUCAUGCAUUGAUUUAUAUUGAUGAUAUUUUGUUGUUUUUAGGCACACAUGAAGAACAAAUAUUAAAUCAAUUUUUUAAUAUCAUCCACAUUUACAGAAUUAUGUUAUCAGCUAAGAAAAGCAUCAUUGCAACAAAUAAUAUUGAAUUCCUUGACAUGAUUAUCAAAGACAGACACUACCAACCAGGAAAACACAUUGCCCAAGAAUUACUCCCCUUUCCAGAUCAACAACUCACCAGGAAACAAAUACAGCAAUUCCUUGGCAUCAUCAAUUACAUCAGAGACUUUAUUCCUCAUGUCGAUCACCAUACCAAUAAGCUUUCAGUUUUUUUUUUUUUUAAAAAGCCACCAGAAUGGAAUGAUAACCACACACUUGCUGUCACCACUUUAAAAAUGAUUGCUAAAAAUCCGCCACCAUUAAAGCUCAUCACAGAUGGCAAACAGAUACUCCAGACAGAUGCAAGUAACGAAUCAUGGGGUGCUAUUCUUCUCGAAGAAAUAAAAGGCAAAGAAAGCUUUAUUGCGUAUGCUAGCGGACAUUUCUCUGACACACAACAGCACUACCACAGUGUGUACAAAGAAAUCUUAACUAUAAAGAAUAGUAUCAAGAAAUUUGAAUACCAUCUUAUCGGCUAUCAUUUUCUUAUCUGAAUGGACAGCUCAACAUUUCCCAACAUCAUGAAUUUCAAGGGGAAAACAGUUCCAGAAAAGAUGUUGCUCAGGCUCAAAAACUGGUUCUCAAAAUAUGACUUCUCUGUGAAGCAUAUAAAAGGAACCCAUAACCUCAUUCCAGACCUACUCUCAAGACUUGCAAAACCAAUAUCACCUUUGCAUUACAUAUCCACAGGAUAUCACUUUCCCAUCACUUUCAUGGCUACCUCUCUACCAAACCAAGCCUUAACCCACAAGACUUUCCCUCUCGGAAAAACCUUUUCCAUAGUUUUUUACAUCCAAGAAUUUGCAAAAAGAUAUGUUUUUAGGUUUUUCAUGAAAGCCUACAUGUUAGCAGAUUCAUUUCCUUUCUCAACUUUCCACCCUGAAAACUUGUUUCUCACAGGUCUAAACAUUGACCCUUCCAGAGAUGUGACUGAAGAUGAGUUUGGUACAUCUGGUGCCUAACUGUUCUUUACACCACAAAGUUAAUUCUCCCUGUUAGACCUACCCUGAAUCAUCUCAUGAAUCAUGACAAAUCAACCUCAUUGACCUGGACCCUUCUUGAGUGGUUCUCUCCACUUCCCUGGUGGAGAAGAAAGUUACAACAACUAUCAACGGUCUACAAUCUUAAUCCAAUGCCUGAAUCAAAAUCAAAUAUGUUCACCUCAGUGUUCACUAUCCACAGCCCAUAUUUCCAGCAUUCAAACACCAACUCUUUUUGGACUCAAGACCAAGUGUUCGAAUGGUUCACAACACCACACCCAGCGAUCCUUAAACAAGACAAUAGCUUCUAGAAAAACAUUCAAAAUUUCCUUUGCCACCUCAAUCAUCAACCUGAACCAUAUAAAGACAUAUUCCAUAUGUCUUUAGGUCUAAAACAUGACAUCAUUAUGAUUCUAACUCCUUCGUCCAUUUCAAAACCAAAACCCACAGGUAUCAUCAUCAAAGAAGAAAAAUUGAAUUUUACAGAUUUCUUAUUCCAAGACGCUCAAGACCCUUGGACUGACUUCCUACCCUUAAGCCAACAUCUCCAACAGCUCCAAGAUCCAUCGCUACUGGAAGAACUUUCAUUAUCCAGAGCUAGUGCCAGCAUUUGUCCACCUAACGUUCAGCCACCCAAUCAAAUGGUGAUAUUCCCCUCAGAUUGUCCAAAAGCACAACAUUGCCCAUGGCCACCAUGUGGUCCCACCUGCAAGCAUCCAAAGAAAAAGUUAGCAAAAGACGACACAGAUAGCUCCUCUGACGAAGAUUACAUGACUCUUUCGUCCCCAUAGCUAUUGAUACGAAUUUCCCAUAAUGAAACUUUGAAACUCACACUUAAAUUGUAGUUUCAACUUUCCAAGAAAGUUCUAAACAGAUUUAUGAGAAACAAAAUCUUGACCCAAUGCUUAAGAAAAGCAUGAAUCAAAGGUAUAGAGAAUGAUAUUGAUGCCACACUCAAGAAAUAGAUGAGAGGGUGAGUGAUAAGUCUAAAUUUGGAACGCCACAAGAAUGCAAAUUCUUGAUAAGUUCACUAGUUCUCAAAAGAACCAAAGCAAGAAUAAUCUUUCUAAUUCAAAUAAUAUUAAUCUCUUAAUUAUCAUACAUAGCAAGGUUCCUGAGUUUAAAUAGACUAAAAGAAACCCAAGAUCCUAAAAAUACAAAUGGAAACAUUGGAACAACCCUCCAAGUAUAGGUUUGUCAAAGGGUGCUUUAAAAGCCUUCACCAACCCACUAUUAUUAAUGAUAGACUUACCUAACACAUUGAUAAACUUGACACAAAACAAAUAAAUGAAGUUGAAUAAUCAAAGGAGUCGUUUGAAUUCCCAAGCCUGAACAAGCUAUAAUAAAUUGAUCAUAACGCCUUCUAGAGAACUCCAAAUCCAGUUCUGUAAAAUGCAUUGGAAAGCUAACUUAAUUAUCUUUCCAAUGGUAUAUAGCUUGCACAUUAAUUAUGGCUCAAUCAAUACCAGAUUUAUUCCGAAUUUGCCCUUUCUGCAUUGGAUCCAAAUUGUGUAUUUGGCUGCCCAAUAGCUUGAAUAAUGCCCACAAUGCCUUGUCUUCUCUCCAAGCCCAAUUCAUGAUGUCUUGCAUCUUGAAUUACAUUUUCAAUCCAUAUUUUCUCAAUUAAUCCAUUUUAUGCAACUUGUAUCUUUUUGGCUCUAGCUCUUGUAAUUGGGCCUCCAUGAAUGUGCAAAGGAUCACUUGAAGCUUUAAUGGUAUUCCCUUGAUGGUUCUCAUCAUUCUCCCCCCCCCCCUCUCUUCAAAAGGAUUCGUCCUCGAAUCUUCACCUACAUCGAAAGGAGAAAGAUCAGAAACAUUAAAAGUAGCACUUACAUUAUACUCACUAGGAAGAUCCAAUUUGUAGGCAUUGUCAUUGAUCCAUGCAACCACUUGAAAUGGACCAUCUCCCCUUGGAAUCAACUGGGAACGCCUUUGUGCUGGGAACCUCUCCUUUCUCAUAUGCAACCAAACCCAAUCUCCAGGCUGAAAAACCACUUGCUUACAUCCUUUGUUGGCUUGAGUAGCAUAUUGUUCAGUUCUCUUUUCUAUGUGUUGUCGCGUUCUCUCAUGCAAUUGCUUGACAAAUUUAGCUUUCUUUUUACCAUCCAUACUAGCAUGCUCAUCAAUAGGUAAAGGUAAUAAAUCCAAGGGAGUUAAUGGAUUAAAACCAUAUACAAUCUCAAAUGGUGAAAAUUUAGUAGCUGAAUGGACAGUUCUAUUGUAAGCAAAUUCAACAUGUGGCAAACAUUCUUCCCAAGUUUUUAAGUUCUUUUGAAUAAUGGCUUGCAACAAAAUAGACAGAGUUCUAUUUACAACCUCAGUUUGUCCAUUAGUUUGUGGACGACAAGUAGUAGAAAACAAAAGUUUAGUACCAACUUACCCCACAAAGUUUUCCAAAAGUGGCUCAAGAACUUAGCAUCUCGAUCUGAAACUAUGCUCCUUGGUACUCCAUGCAAUCUGACUAUUUCCUUGAAAAAUAAAUUAGCUAUGUUUGUUGCAUCAUUAGUUUUGUGACAUGGAAUGAAAUGUGCCAUCUUUGAAAAUCUAUUAACAACAACAAAAACAGAAUCCUUUCCCCUUUUUGACCUAGGUAAACCUAAAACAAAGUCCAUAGAAAUAUCAACCCAAGGUUCACUAGGUAUGGGCAGAGGGUUAUACAAUCUAUGGGGUAAAACUUUAGACUUAGCAUGUUUACAAGUGAUACACUUCUCACAUAUUCUUUCAACAUCACGUUUCAUAUGUGGUCAAAAGAAGUGUUCUUUUAAAACAUCUAAAGUUUUUGCAAUGCCAAAAUGUCCUAUUAAACCUCCCCCAUGAGCUUCACGCACAAGCAAUUCAUGCAAAGAACUAUUAGGCGCACACAAUUUAUUUUCUCUAAAUAAGAACCCAUCAUGCCUAUAGAACUUACCGAAUGAAACUUUCUCACAAGCAUUAAACACAUUAGCAAAAUCAGGAUCAUUAACAUAUAAUUCUUUAAUGUACUCAAAUCCUAACAACUUUGCAUUUAAUGUAGAGAUAAGUGCAUAUCUUCUAGAUAAUGCAUCAGCCACCACAUUCUCCUUACCUUGUUUGUAUUUGAUCACAUAGGGAAAUGGCUCAAUAAAUUCAACCCAUUUGGCAUGUCUCUUAUGCAACUUACCUUGCCCUUUCAAAUGCUUCAAGGACUCAUGAUCAGUGUGUAUAACAAACUCUUUAGGUAGAAGAUAGUGUUGCCAAGUUUCUAAUGCUCUCACCAAUGCAUAUAUCUCCUUGUCAUAUGUAGGAUAGUUUAGGGCUGCUCCACUCAAUUUCUCACUAAAAUAAGCAAUUGGACGCCCUUCUUGCAUCAAAACAGCUCCAAUACCUAUACUUGAAGCAUCACACUCAAUUUCAAAAGUUUUAGCAAAAUCGGGUAAAGCGAGUAAUGGUGCAGAAACCAAUUUCUCCUUAAUUAGAUUAAAUGUCCUUUCUUGUUCACUACCCCACUUAAAUCCCACAUGUUUCUUCAGAAUUUCAGUCAAUGGUGCAGCAAGGGUGCUAAAAUCUUUCACAAAUCUUCUAUAAAAACUAGCCAAACCGUGAAAACUUCUUACCUCACUUACACUUUUAGGUGUAGGCCACUCUUUAAUAGCCUUUACCUUCUCUUCAUUAACCUUAAUUCCUUUAGCACUUACAACAUAACCAAGAAAAACAAUCUGAUUUGUACAAAAGGAACACUUCUUCAAAUUAGCAUAUAACUUUUCCUUCCUUAAAACAGUCAAUAUAGUUUGCAAAUGUUCAAUGUGUUCAUCUAAGCCUUUACUUCGAAUUUACCAAUAAAAGCACGCAAAACAUGGUUCAUUAACCUCAUAAAAGUGCUAAGUUCCUUAGAUAACCCAAAUGGCAUCACUAACCACUCAUAUAAACCAUAUUUUGUUUUAAAGGCAGUUUUCCACUCAUCUCCCUCUCUAAUCCUAACUUGAUGAUAUCCACUUUUAAGAUCAAUUUUACUAAACACACAAGAACCAUGCAGUUCAUCAAGCAUGUCAUCAAGUCUAGGAAUAGGAUGUCGAUACUUUACAGUGAUUUUAUUAAUUGCACGACAGUCAACGCACAUCCUCCAUGUGCCAUCCUUUUUGGGCACUAGUAAAACUGGUACCGCACAUGGACUCAUACUCUCCCUCACAUAUCCCUUUGCCAAGAGUUCUUCAACUUGCUUUUGAAGCUCCUUUGUCUCCUCAGGGUUACUUCUAUAUGUGGGUCUAUUAGGAAUGGUAGCUCUAGGGACUUAAGUCUAUUUGAUACUCAAUUCCCCUAAUAGGUGGCAAACCAUUAGGAACUUCAUUUGGAAACACAUCAUCAAAGUCCUGCAAAAGAGUCACAAUAGCACUUGGCAAAGAAAAGUUAAGCUCAUUUGUAUGUGAACAAGCCUCUUUGCACAAAAGUAUAACGAUAGGCUGUUUUGAAAAGAAAGCCCUCUUAACCUCGCUCUCUUUUGCAAACAAGUUCACUUGCUGCCUCUUUUUUCUCUCAACAAUAUUUUUUUCUAUCUUUUCACUUGUUUUUCUCUCAAUCUCUCUUUCUUUUGUACUCUCAUUUUCAUUUUUUGUAUCACUCUCUUUUUGUAUUGACAUUUGAUCCUCAUACACUUGCCUAGGUGUUAAUGGUGCAAGAGUGAUUUGCCUUUUAUUCAUUACAAAAGAAUAUCUAUUUAAGUAACCAUCAUGUGUCACACGCCUAUCAUAUUGACAAGGUCUCCCCAAAAGAAUGUGUCCAGCAUGCAUGGGUACUACAUCACAUAGAACUUCAUCCUUGUAUCUCCCAAUAGAUAAUGAAACCAGCACUUGUUUAUUUACUUUGACUUCCCCACAAUCAUUCAGCCAUUGUAGCUUAUAUGGCCUAGGAUGUUUCAAAGUUUCAAAUUCAAUUUUUCAACUAAACUAGUGCUAGCCACAUUAGUACAACUUCCACUAUCAAUUGUCAUACUACAUAUCUUAUCUUUGAUGUGGCAUUUAGUAUGAAAGAUGUUAUCACGUUGUACCUCUGCAUCUUCUUUUACUUGCACGUUGAGGGCACGCCUAACAACCAUCAAUUUACCAUCAACAGGAUACUCUACAAAGGUGGCAUUAGCAUCCUCCAAAGGUGGCAUAGGUUCAUCAUCUGAUUCACUCUCGGUUUCAACAUUCCAUCAUCCUUCAAGAUCAUUACUCUCUUAUUUGGGCAUUGAGAUGCAAUAUGACCUAUCCCCAAACAUUUAAAACACUUAAUAUCUCUAUUUCUAGAGUGUUGGGAAUCAGAUUUACCUUUAUGAUCCUUGAAUGGCUCAAUCUUAGGCUUUGAAAUAACCUUUUCAUCUUUGCUCCAUUUUGACUUCCAUGAGGAAGAUGAACCCAAAUUGGUUCUAGUGGAACCUUUCUUUUUCAGUUGUCGUUCCACUUUCAUGGCCAUGUGAACCAUUUCUUCCAACUCAACAUAGUGCUGCAAGUCAACCACAUUAGCAAUAUCUUGAUUUAAACCAUGUAAAAAUCUUGCCAUAGUGGCCUCUCGUUCUUUUUCAAUGUUGGCUCGAAUCAUGAUUAUUUCCAUCUCCUUGUGGUAAUCUUCCACACUUCUGGAACCUUGUGUAAGGCUUUGAAGCCUUUGGUGCAGCUCCCUAUAAUAAUGACUAGGACUAUUCUUCCUCUUGUAUGAUGUUUUCAUCUACUUCUUCAGACUAUUCUUCCUCUUUUCCUCCUUUAGAAACUCACACCGACUUCCAACGCAAUGUUGUGUCCAAACCUUUUAUUCCCUCAGCCAUUACCUCUACCGGCCACUUAGAACCUCCCAAACCUUUUGAAUCAGUCUCAACUAGCAAACCCAAAAUGCCAGAGCACAGAAUGAUACUUUGUUGAAUAUCAAUUCAACAGUUGAGAAAAUCAGUUUGCGCACUGAACAACUUGAGACAAAAGUCGACUCCAUCACUGCACAGAUGCAGCAGAUCCACCAAAAUCUCCAGUCCAGAAUUACUCAACUCGAUUCUGAGUUACGAACCAUGCUUGCCCAGCGCUACUAUGGCCCAGAAUUUGACCAAAAGGAAAGAGAAAUCAGAUGCUUAAAAGCUGAGCUUGAUCAAAUUGAAUUUGAAAAACAAAGACCUACCCUUUUUACCACAUCACCUCCUAUCCCUUCCAUAGGUCCAACAUAUCAUCCAUUUGCCUCUAUGCUUUCCCCCAUCAAAUAGUAUGAUCCUUCCAAGUUAUUUGGCAUGACUCAUACUCUUUUUAUAGACAAUCCCCUACCACCACCACCUAAACCUAAACCAAAGCCUAAACCUCAAUCACGACCCGUCACAAUUCAUCAGUCAUCCAUUUCCAUCCCCGGCCAACACUCUCUUGAUUCACUCUCGGUUUCAACAUUCCAUCAUCCUUCAAGAUCAUUACUCUCUUAUUUGGGCAUUGAGAUGCAAUAUGACCUAUCCCCAAACAUUUAAAACACUUAAUAUCUCUAUUUCUAGAGUGUUGGGAAUCAGAUUUACCUUUAUGAUCCUUGAAUGACUCAAUCUUCGGCUUUGAAAUAACCUUUUCAUCUUUGCUCCAUUUUGACUUCCAUGAGGAAGAUGAACCCAAAUUGGUUCUAGUGGAACCUUUCUUUUUCAGUUGUCGUUCCACUUUCAUGGCCAUGUGAACCAUUUCUUCCAACUCAACAUAGUGCUGCAAGUCAACCACAUUAGCAAUAUCUUGAUUUAAACCAUGUAAAAAUCUUGCCAUAGUAGCCUCUCGUUCUUCUUCAAUGUUGGCUCGAAUCAUGAUUAUUUCCAUCUCCUUGUGGUAAUCUUCCACACUUCUAGAACCUUGUGUAAGACUUUAAAGCCUUUGGUGGAGCUCCCUAUAAUAAUGACUAGGAACAAAUCUCCUCCUCAUGAUGGCCUUCAUCUCCUCCCAAGUGUUUAUAGGCCUUUCACGAUUUCGUCUCCUACUCAUAACAAGUUGAUCCCACCAAAUAAUAGCAUAAUCAAUAAAUUCAAGAGAAAAGGUCAUUUUGCCAAAGAUUGUCCCCACAAGCGAGAAAAAUCUAUUCGGUUAGUUAAGCAUCUUCAAGCCACUACAGAUUACUCUCCAGAAAAGGAUGAACUGGAAUUCUAUUUCUCUGAACAUGAUGAAGCUAAUGAUGAAACAGUGUUCGCACUGCAUAACUCAUCUGAUGACUCCGACAGUGAUCAGUCUCAAGUCAUUUUCCACCAACAGUUACUGUCCCUUGACACUACUGUUCCUAUACCUUCCAUCAAACUUCAGAUCUUGCCCUCAAAAUUCCAAAGGCCCGUUCCAGCAAUUGGUCUCAUAGACAUUGGCGCCCAACGCAGCAUGUUAAACCCACAUAUUCUUCCACCAGAAUACUGGAUAGAAUAUGAAGAACAUUUCAAAGCUGUCAAUGGCAAACUGUUCACCACCUCUCUGAUUACCAAAAAACCCAUUGGUAUUCAAAUUUUCCCCAAUUGUGUCAUUUGGACUAAGAUUAUCGGUUCAACCCUUCCUAAUAAGGAUAUCUUGUUAGGCUUUGACAUCCUUCAUCAAAUCAAACACCUCCAAAUCAUUCCCACUGGAAUUCGAGUCAAAUCCAUGUUCAAACCUUUCACAGACAUUCUGAAACUCUACAAUCUGUCUGAAUCCCCCCAGUCCUACCAGGAUAUUUCAAUCAAACUUUUGAGUUUCUGUCCAGAGUCCCAUUCUGAGUUCACCCAUCCAAACCCAUUGUGGAAAAAUAAGUCUUUCUUCAUUAAGUUACCUUUCAAACUUAAUGAAGACAUUAACCUAACCAAAGCUACUCACCCAAGAAUGAGUCAUUCUGACUUACUCCUAGCCCAACAGGAAUGUUCCCAAUUGUUAGCACAAGGUCUAAUUAAGCCCACGAAUUCUCAAUGGGCUUGCCAAGCCUUUUAUGUUGAAAAGCAUUAUGAAAUUGUUCGAGGAAAGAAACACCUAGUCAUUGAUUACCAGCCAUUAAACAUGUUUUUGCAAGAUGACAAAUUUCCUUUGCCCCGUCGACAAAGCAUGUUUACUUUUCGAAAAAAUGCCCAGAUCUUUUCAAAAUUCGAUUUAAAAUCAAGUUUCUGGCAAUUAGGCAUUGAACCUUUUGAGCGCUACAAAACUGCCUUUUGUAUCCCAAAUGCCCAUUUCCAAUGGACAGUCCUUCCCUUCGGCCUCAAAACUGCCCCAUCCAUUUUUCAAAUAUCCAUGGUCCAAAUCUUCCAGCCUAUCCUGCAUCAUGCAUUGAUUUAUAUUGAUGAUAUCUUACUUUUUUCAGGAUCACAUGAGGAACAUCGCCAGCUGUUAACUCAAUUCUAUGAUAUUGUCCAAAGUCAUGGAAUCAUGUUAUCAGUCAAGAAAAGCACCAUUGCUACAGAUAAUAUUGAAUUCCUUGGUAUGAUCAUAAAAUAUGGCCAUUAUCAGCCAGGAAAACACAUUGCCCAAUAAUUGCUUCACUUUCCCAAUUAGCAACUUUCCAAAAAGCAAGUUCAACAGUUUCUCGGCAUCAUCAAUUACAUCAGAGACUUCAUCCCACAUGUGGAUCAUUACACUCAUCACCUUUCGGCUUUAUUGAAAAAGAAGCCCCCAGAAUGGAAUGCUGACCACACAACUGCUGUCACUACCCUCAAGCAAAUUACGCAAAAUCCGCCUCCUUUAAAGUUGAUUACUGAUGGAAAGCGCAUAUUGCAGACAGCCGCAAGUGAUGAAUCAUGGGGUGCCAUCCUUCUCGAAGAAAUCAAUAGAAAAGAACACUUUAUCGCUUACCCUAGCGGACAAUUUUCUGACACACAGAAGCAUUACCAUAGCGUGUUUAAAGAAAUCUUAGUAGUAAAGAAUGGUAUCAAAAAGUUUAAGUAUCAUUUGAUUGGACACCAUUUUCUCAUCCGAAUGGACAAUUCAGCCUUCCCCAAUAUCCUCAAUUUCAAAGGUAAAACUGUUCCCGAAAAGAUGUUACUCAAAUUAAAAGAUUGGUUUUCCAAAUAUGAUUUUUCGGUUAAGCAUAUAAAAGGGUCCCAGAACCUCAUCCCUAAUAUGCUCUCCAAACUCUCAAAACCAGAAAAACCUCUCACCCUGUUUUCCACAACAUACCACUUUCUGAUCAUCUCCAUAGCUACAUCACUACCUCCAGAAGCCCUCACCAAGAAAACUUUUCCCUUUGCCAAAAACUUUUCUUCUGUUUUUUCCAUCCAAGAGUUUGCAAGGAAAGUUGUUUUUUGCUUCUUCAUGAAAGCGUACCUUGUCACAGACUCCUUUCCAUUUUCCACCUUCCACCUAGAAAAUCUGUUUCUUACAGGUUUAACCCUUGAUCCAUCCAGAGAAACCACUGAAGAUGUGUUUUGGUACAUCUGGUGCCUAACCGUCCUUUAUGCAACCAAGUUAGUCCUACCAAUUACUCCUACUUUGGAACAUCUUCUUAAUCCUGACAAAGCCACCUCUCUUACCUGGACAUUACUUGAAUGGUUUUCCCCCAUCCCAUGGUGGAGAAAGAAGCUACAGCAACUGUCAGAGACUUACAAUCUUGAACGUAUGCUUGCCUCUGAAGCACAACUGUUCACAUCAGUAUUUAUCAUUCACAGGCCAUACUUCCAACAUCUAGACACAAAUCUCUUUUGGACUCAAGACCAGGUCUAUGAAUGGUUUACUGCCCCUCACCCAGCUGUCAUUGACAAUGAAAUCCAAUCCAACCUGCACAACUAUCUGUGUCAAUUAGACCACCAAACUCCACCACACAAAGAUAUCUUCCACACCUCUUUAGGUCCACAACAUGACCUCAUCAUGAUCCCUACUCCAUCCGCCAUAUCCAAACCAAAGUCCAUAGGAAUCAUCAUCAAAGAAGAAAAACCAGACUACACCGAUUUCCUUUACCAAGACUCACAAGACCCGUGGGAAGAAUUCCUUCCCCUCAGCCAACAUCUCCAACAGUUUCCACAACCAACCAUGUAUGACCCAGGAUCAUCAUCUCAACCUUCCAAAGUUGACAAGGCCACUCAAAUGCCAAGUCCUAAGUCCCAAUCAUCACCCUCCAAACCAGGAUGCCGAAAAGAUUACCCUUAUCCACCUUGUCGUGGUCCCCACUGUAAGUAUCCAAAGCUCUCCAAAACCUUUUUUCCACCAACCUCUCGUGACACUGAUCCCGAUGAAACCGACAACUCAUCUGAAGACGACUACAUGAAUCUCCCCUCUCCAUAAAGUAGUUUGUCUUGUUGUAAUAAUUAUGUUUCACUUUAUAUUUUUGUCGUGUAUAAUUAUUAAAGUUUGCUUUUACUUUAAGCUUUACUUUUGUCAAAGUCAUGCUUUACUUUAAUCAUUAAAGCCCACUUUGUCACUUUGUAAUAAUUAAAGUCGUGUCAUGAUGUACCUUUUACUUUUGCUUUUGUAAAAGAUAGGGGUCAUGUUUUAUCUCCCCGAGAAUUCUCCUAUAUAAAGGAUUCUCCCCUCAUUUGUAAGAUAGAGAAGUUUUCCAAGAAAUAAACUCUCGUGUGUUUUCAUAAAACCAUGAAUUUCUAAACUCUCUUCUCUCUUUCUGCAAAUGAAGAUCUAAAGAAAGAAAAAGAAUAAAGAAUUGAAUUUGUUCAUUUUGAAAACUUAAGGAAGUAUGCUUUGCACUUGCCUUCCAGUAAGGAUCCUGUGCAUCAGAAAACUUAUGAUGAUUUCUUGAACGGUUUGGUACCCUGUUUUAAGACUAAGGAAAGUCUAUUUUGGGUUAUAUAACCUCUAAAGAAGCGUUUUAGGUUUUGCUGCACCUAUAUGUAUAUCGGCUGGAAACCAGAACUUGCGGGCUACUGGCCCUAAGGAUAAACUUGUGCUGUCGUAGAUUUGGUAGAACAACGCCACGUACAUUUAUGGUAUUAGAGCCAUUCCAGUCCUUGAAACUUUUAUGUUUUCAAAACUUUUAUUUUUCUACUCAAAAUAGUAUGAUUUAAGUCUUUUUCUGUUUUGAUCUUUCGUCUUUAGGCGCAGAGAGAGAACUUCUCAUUCAUGGCUUCCACUUCCUCUUAAACUCCUGUUACUCUUUCUUCCACUCUUUCUUUACCCAAAUCUUGCACAUCUCAUACCGCCAAUAAGAUCAAAAACCUUGUUGAAUAUUCCCACAUCCCUGAAUCUGCCCAAAUUAGUGAGUCAUCCUACCCUCUCAUCAGCCCUUAUCAGUUGUACAAACGACCCAGCUCCUUUACCCGCAGUAUACGCACCCUCAUCUCUACCCGACGACCUCAACCUAAGGAAUAUAUCCAGUCUUCUCGCUUGGAUCAGUGUGCUCUUCAAGCCACCUCUACUGAGCAAUAUGUCACUCUGGAGAUUCCCUCCGAGUUGCUUUCCAAUUGGAAACGAGAAGGUUAUAUUCAUCUUCAUCUUGGAGGCAUCAGAUUAAUCCUUACUCUUCAUGGAAGAAAAGGAUUACCCGUUACAGCUCGCCUUGCUAUACUUGACACCCGGUUUAAACAGUACCAAGAUGCUGUUAUUGGCACCGUCCUCACAACUCUUCAUGCAGGAAGUGUUUUACUCACCUUUUAUCCAAACUUUAACCUUUUUCUCCAAGACCCCAAUUUGCCCACAACCUUGAAAGUCCAAGUUCAGAUCCAAGGUGCUGAACAAAUUUCUUCUGCCAAAAUUGCCACCUUACACCACCAAUUGGUCUAUAGGCUUCAAAAUCAUGCCGUAGAUCUCCCCACUCCAGAACACCAUUCUGAUACCUUCAUGGUAUUAGUCGAAUCUGACCAGAUCCCAACAAUAAUCCAAAUCCUGAGAUAAAUUCCUCGUCAUGAGCUCAUCAAGCUUAUGCUUCUUGAAUGGAUCUCCAACUAUGAACAUUUCCAUAACAAUACAGCUCCCAUUUAGACAUCUGAAAGCAUGUUUGAAAGACGUCAAGAUGGAACAGUCCGAAUGACUUUUAAACCACCUCCAAGUGCUUCACAAAAGCCUCAUCGGCUCUCCUUUACCUAUUCUUCAAUGAUCACAGCUGUUCAGACAGCCCAAGAAGACCUGCCCAUUACAGGGUUCAAUUCUGAAGGCUACCCUGUUUAUCCAGCAAAGCAAAAUGGACAUUUCCUAUGGGAUGUCCCAGGCUCAGGCAUGUGUGACCCAAAUUGUCCCUAUUGGGAUGAUUGGGAAGAGGACGAUGAUACUUACGCCACCUCAUCUCCUCCCAAGUGUUUAUAGGCCUUUCACGAUUUCUUCUCCUACUCAAAACAAGUUUAUCACACCAAAUAAUAGCAUAAUCAGUAAAUUCAACAGCAGCUAGUUUUACCUUUUUCUCCUCAGAGUAAUUGUGGCAAUCAAAUACUAGCUCCACCAUUUUUUCCCACUCCAAAUAAACUUCCGGAUCAUUUUUACCUUGAAAAGAAGGAAUUUUUAGUUUGAUACUCCCCAAAUCAUGAUCUAUACGUCUUGCCCUUUUAUCAUCUCUUCCACGCAUGUCAGAUGUCAACAGUGGCCUGGUCAUCAAAAUUAUCUAAGUCAUCACCAUCUUCUUCUCCCAUGGCAGCACGCCCUUGAUUACCUCAUACAUCAGGAGCUAUUGGUUGUUGUCCCCUUUGUAGAUUGGCUAUGACAGUGUCUUGCCUCUCCAAUUUGUCAUGGAUCUCUCCAAACAUCAGAUUCAUGCGCUCAAAUUGUUGUUGCAUGGCCUUGAGCAUAAUUGAUUGGCCUAUAGCUUCUUGAUCUUUUGACAUAUUUGUGAUCUGAAAAGAAUGUUAGCAAAAAGGCCUCACAACACUCCCUCGCAUGUUUCACUCAAUUUGAUGUCACUUAACUCUCGUGUUUAACACACAAAUUGGCAAACUAAAAAUGCUAAUGCUUAGAUUCAAACUCUCAAACAACUCAGAAAAAGAAUUGAUUGAGUUGCCAGUCAAGUCUCCCAGACUGAAACUAAAGUUGAUUCAAUUAGCCAUCGUCUUGAUCAGAUGUACAUACAUCUACAAGACCGUAUCUCUGAGUUAGAUGCCGAUCUCAGACGAAUGAUCAAUAAUCAUAUCUAGGGUCCCGAGUUUAACAAGAAAGAAGCAGAGAUCAGAAAGCUCAAAGCUGAAUUGGCAAGAAUUGAUGCUGAAAAGACUCGACCAACACUUUUCACCCAUACACAAUCCACACCUGUGCCUCCUCCUGUGUUUGAAACCUAUUCACCUUUCAUCCAAAUUUCAACCUUUCUCUUAAAGAUCCCAACCUUCUUACAACCAUCAAAGUCCAUAUCCAGCCAGACCCCCACAUCAAAGCUUGCCACUCUUCAUCACCAAAUAGUGUAUCGAUUACAAAAUCAUGCACUAGAUCUUCCUAUACCUUACACCACCAGCUGAUGCCUUAAUGAUCCUUGCUGACACAGACACAAUUCCAACCAUCAUCCAAAUUCCCAAAAAAAUCCAGAAACAAGAAUUGCUCAAACUCAUGCCUCUUGAAUGGCUGACCAAUUAUGAGCACUUCCACCAAAACUUUGAACCAGUUCAAGCAACAGACGCCACGUUUGAAAGACGACAAAAUGGUCAAGUCAAACUAUCUUUUCAAACACCCGAGCCUCAACCUGUUUCAGUAACUCCAAGGCUUUCUGGCACUGCUAUGAUUACAGCAGUCCAAACUGGUCAAGAAAAGAAACUUGCAAUUCAUGGUUUCUCAUCCAAAGGGUAUCUUGUAUAUCCUGAUAAAAUCAAUGGUCAUUUUCUAUAGGAUGUUCCUGAUGCCCAUAUUUGUAAUCCAGAUUGUCCUUGCUUAGAUGAUAUGAAUAUUGAAGAUGAACUCGAAGUCAUGCGAAGAAAGAAAAAGAAAAAGAAAAAACCUUCUCAUUCAAAAACAUCUUGCAAAUCUUUUCCUCCACUAUCUCCACCAGAUCCCAAACCUCCUGUUCAACCAAUAAGAUCAUUCCUAAUGAUUUCAAAUCAAUCUUAUGAAGAGUCCUUCCCUCUACUUGAAAAGCAGAAUAUGCUAACAUUACGAGCAUAUUGAUGGCAACUAAAACUGAAGAUCCCAAUGCUUCAACUUCUACACCAAUUGUUGAAGACCAUUCUUCUGAUGAUGAGCAUAAAGCAUCUCACACAGAACCAGUGCCACCUAUGCCACCACCAGCUCAUGAUCACUCCACAAAACCAUCUUCAGCAUCUUGGUUCACAUUUGAUGACAUUCCCCGUCACAGAUGACCUGCUAGACUUCAAGAAUUUGCUGCAUGGAUUGAUCUCUAAGGAAUAAGGCCAACUGCUCAAUCUCAAGCUGUCCUUCGCGAAUUAAUGGCCCGAUCUACGAGUUCUUUGAGAGAUUGGUUAGAAAGCUUGGGAGAAUAUAGACAACUCCAAUUCAUGCAAUCACCUGUUGGCACCGCACUCAACAUCAUCCAUGAACAAUUCAUUGGUGAAAAAACAGCAUCUACCGAUGCAGACAGAAAAGAGUAUCAUCAAAUGAAGUGAUGUUCUCUCAAAAGACAUCUUUUGGAAUCUCAUUACAAAAGAAUGAGUAUUCUAUUUUAAAAGCUGAAUGGGUUUGAUUAGGAAUUCCAAAUAAUCUUAUUUGAUCUCCUAGAAGAAGAUUACCUAAACAUGGAAACAACUUUAUCUUCAGCCUCAACACCUUCAUCAUCUUCAUCCCAUAUUUCUCUUUCCUCCAGUUUCUCUCUUCCAAGAUCAUGUCAAAAACAUGUAGCCUCUAAAAUUGAAAACCUUGUCGAAUAUUCUUAUAUUCUCAAAUCUGCCCAAAUCAAUGAAUCACAGUUUCCUAUCAUGAGUCCCUACAACCUCUACAAACAAAAAAGCUUCUCUCACCAGAAGUAUUAGAAACCUCAUCUCCACAAAAAGACCACUCCCGAAAGAGUAUAUCCAGUCUUCUAGACUCGAUCAGUGUGCUUUACAAGCCUCUCCAAGUGAACAGUAUGUCACUUUAGAAAUACCCUCAGAUCUUGUAGCAAACUGGAAACGAGAAGGGUAUACCCAUUGUUGUGCAAAUUUUAUUGAACUCGCAAGUGCAGGAAUCUAUUGUAGUAUAGAUCAAUGAUGACGAGUGUCGAUCCCACGAGGAGGUGGAUUUUAAUUGUGUGUAGAAUUAAUUUUUCUAAAUGGGUGGUUGGCUUUGUGGUGAAAAUAAUUUGGAUUAUCUUAAAAUUGGAAUUUAAAUGGCAAGAAUAAAUUGAAUAGAAAUCUAUUAAAAUGGCGUACUUGGGUAUCUGGAUCCAUAUUAACAUGCAUCAUGGGCUAAAUAUUCCUUAUUAAUACCAAUUAAAUCAUAGGGGGGGGGAAUCCACACCUCAUGAACCACACUCUAAUCAAUAUGGUGCUAAGGGCUUGUCGUGCCAAAUAAUAAUAACCUUGUACUAGAGAGUCGGUGUAACCAAUGCGCUAUCUAGACAAGAUUAUUAUUAUUUGUAGACGAGAAGUCAAAACAUCUACAAAAACUAGAGGGGAAGAGAAAAUAAAUUUACCAAAUAAAGCCCAUGACACAUGUUGAGACUUCACCUUCAACCCAAGCUUGAAAGAAAAUUAGCUACUCAUAAUUGAACUAGGGACAAAAUGAGAAUUUAUUAAAAUACGUAGAAAAUACAAGAUGGAGAAGGAAUUACAGAAAAUGGAUCUAAAAAAUAGAUUCAGAGCUAUCAAAUUAGGGCGGGAAGACCCCCUUUUUAUAGAUACAUGGAGUAAAUCAUGGCCAUCGAAUUAAAAAUAGUUUGGACGCUCAGGAUUGCGCCACGUCAUCAGUCAACAGUACGCGGUUUGACCACGUGGAUGAACAGUAACACGGUUUGACCCGGCUUGAACAGUGACGCGGUUUGGUUGAAAAUAAUCUGUAUGAUGCAUCUGUCGUACGCGAGAUUUUUAGUCCACUGAUAUGCUGCCACGUCACCAUCAAUAGUACAUAAGAAUUUUAGCCCAACAGGAUCGUGACACCUUAUCAGUCAAUGCCACAUCAUCGGUCAAUGCCACAUCAUCGAUCCGUCUAUGUGAACAGUGUCAUGAACAGUAACAUAGACAAUACCGUACACGUGAAUAGUACCGUACAUGUGAAUAGUAUCAUUUUUCCUUUUAUGCUUCUUCUAAGGUUUUCGAACGUCCUGAGUUCAAAAGUGAUGUCCGUUUUUCCAUCUGAUCUCUCGUUUAUUGUGAAAUGACCAUGAUGCCCCUAAAAUACAUAAAAUACUUAAUUAAAAUCAAACACACAUAAUUAAAUUGCAAGAAGCUAAAAUACAUAAAAGUAAGGGUUGUUAGUAAAACUUGAAAUGUAAAAUGAUGAUUUUCUCCUUUAUAAAUAUACAUUUUCUAACACUCAACACACCCCCCAACCAGCUUAUUGCUAGUCCCUAGCAAAUAAAGUGAAAACAAAAUUCACAUCCAAAAUGAUUUUUUUUUUUUAAACACUCUUGUUUAUUCAAUCAGACUAAUGAUAACAAUCAAAUAAAAGUAUAAGCAUUAUCUCAAGUCUAAUGAAAUAUUACACCAACAUCAACCAUCUACAUGAAUCAGCCCAGUAGACUUUGUCAUAGCUACCUUCAAGAAUGACAUGUCAAACCCCAAAAUCUCACUGGAAGUAGUGACACUCUCACAAAGAAAUUAAACCCAAUAAAAAUAGUCACUCCAAUGAAUGGUAAUUGAGAGAAAAUAAUCAAGAAGUGAUAUCACAUGCUCUUACCAAGAUUAAAUAAAUAUGCCCUCAACUUAGAAAUAAUACGAUCUCAAGUCAAACAAAAAUGCUAGUCAACCCAAUUUAUUUAUCUUUUUUUUCUUUUAUAUAUAUAUAUAUAUAUAUGCACUACUACAUCUUUUUAGCCCAUAUAACUAACUUCUAAUUCAGACUAUAGUUCCCUAAAAUCAAGGACUUUUAUUAGGAUGUAACGUAGGCUAGGGACAUGGUUAACAAAGAAGAGAAAUAAGGAAAACAAAGUGUAUGUUUGAGAAAAAUGCAGAGGAAUUUUUUUUUUUUAGGGAGUUGCAAGGUGGAUUUCACCUAUUAUUGUUAUUUUUAUUCUUUUGAAACAACAAUUUUUUUCUUUUUUUUUUUUAGCAACAACAAUUUUUUUUUUUGAACUAGGCAUAACUUCACUGUACAAAAUGUUUAUUUACAUUUUUCUCAAACAUAAAUAGGUGAUGUAAUUUGUAAGAUAUUGGGUAAUACUCCAAAUCGGAGUGGGUCAAGAUGAUAAGUUUAACAAAGAAAAGUUUUUUUUUUUUAAAGGUUCAAAAGGGUUAACUAUGGAUACUUGAUAAAAAGGAUAGCUAGAAAGGCUCAAACGGAUCAAAGAUGUCCUUUCCAUUGUCUUUUAGGGCUCUAAAUAAUCAUCUAUAUCUACUAGUUAGAUGGGCCUCCCACUGUAGCAACACACAUUUUUUUUUCUUUUUCUUUUUUUUUUAUUUUACAAUUUUUUUUAAGGGUUAACUCAAAAGAAAUCUAGAGAUCGUGUAUAAAAUAAUAAACUGCUAAGCUGUAUAGAGAAUGGGCAAAAGGGUUACUCUCCAAGAAAAUGAUAGGCUCAAAAACUCACUUGACACUUAUUUAUGACACGUUCAUUCCUUCAAGCAACUCAUAUUUGUCUUCGACAUCAACAUGUAAAGUAGCAAACAUAGCAUAACAUCACUUAAGACCAAAGAUAAUACAAAUACUAAAAUUUGAAAUUAAUCAUGUCAUCCAAUGUUAAAAAAAUCACACAAUUUUUUUUUUAAACAACAUUCUACCCCAAUUUUUUUUUUUAAACAACAUUCUACCCCCCAACCUAUUCUAAGCAUGAAAGGAAAAUAUGCAUGCAGAAAUGUGAAAAUGAUGCAGAAAAACUAAUUAGAAAAGUUACACUUAAAAUGAUAGAAAAUGAUUUUUUUUUAAAGGCUCAAAAGUUUGAAAAUGUAUAUUUAUAGAGGAGAAAGAAGAAGAAAAAUGAACAUAAAAACUUAAUAAGGAAAAAGAAAAUGUCUGAAUUUUUUUUGUUUUUUUUUUACUUUUUAUUAUUAUUAUUAUUAUUUUUUUCAAACAAUGAAGAUGCGUUUCUAGAGUCACUACACUCCAUAUUCAGCCAUCUUCAACACAAAACGUUAGCAACAGUUAGUUUCUACAACAAAAAAUCAGUAAAAACUUAACCAAGAUUCCACAAUUGUCGACUAUUCCCUCCCCCCAACCAGAACGAAACAUUGUCCUCAAUAUUUUAAAGGAAAGAAGUAGAGUUUAGAAGACAUCACCUGGGUGGUGCAACACAGAAGAAAAUAUUUACAGGCUGAGAGUUAAAUUUAAUUUGUACUUCUUACUGCGGCUACUAUUACCAUCAUUAUUUAGAUGCUCCAAUAAAAAGGUCCAGGGGUCUGGCUCCGGUCUAUAAGCUUGUAACAGAUCAAGUAGCUCAUUAGCAGUGUGAGCACAAAUAAAGAGUUUUUUCGCAUUAGAGGGAAUGAAAUAGUUUUUUAUUGCAUGGUUAAGAAAUGCGAUAAAGCCAUCAUAAAAGUUAUUGACAUUUAACAAACCGAUGGGUUUCUGGUGGAUGUGCAUAUGGGCCCAAGAUGCUAGUGUGAUAAGUGCCUCUAGUGUUGCAAGAUCUCCUAGAAGGAAAAUAAAAGCAUCAACAUGAUUAAGCAUUUCAGUUAUUCGUUCUUGCAUACCUGAGACGACUAACUCUUCUCCAGUCGAUGAGUUAGUCAAACUGCCCAAAGGUUUUAGGGCUCUUGGGAUGAUGCCUAACACUUGGCUACCUCUGAUAAAAGCUGCUUCUGAGACCAUUUUUGAUAACCCUCGAUUACCUCCUCCAUACACCAAGUGUAAUUUUCUCGCUGCUAUGCUUCGACCAAGAUCUAUGGCUGCCUCAACGAACUCUUUAUGUUUGCCAUAGUUAAAUCCAGAAAGCACACGAAUGUUCUUGAAUUGUCUAUUGGGAGUAGUUACCAUUGGAAUACUUCUCAAAAAUAAUUUGUGAGUGCUUGGCAAAAAAAUCACAUUUAAGAGUCUUGGUGACAGUGGGUCACAGUUGUGUAUGAGGUAACAUGUCAGUGUCAAAUAACGUAUAAAGCACAUGGCUCCCGAGUCAAAAAGGAAACAGUAAAAAGGAAAAAAGCAAAUAGUAAUAAAAUUAUUAAAGACAAUAAUGCAAACAAUAAAACAAUAGUGAAAUAAAAUAACAGUAAAGUAAAAGGAUAUUUACAGGUAGUAGCGACUGUGGCUCACAUCUUCGUCUGGUUUUACAUCCAGUAACGGCUUGAACACCCUCUAUGGGUCGAGGAUAGGCUUCCCAUCCAGUUUUCUUAUAAACUGGCAAACAGGGUCGUUUAUAGUCAGAUUCCUGAGACUAUAUCGUGCAUGCUCUUUCUGGAAUAAUGGCCAUAACUGGAGAAUCGCUCCUUGCACAUAUCCACUAGGAUGCGUUUCAAGAGACAGAAGGAUAUCAUCCAAUGACUCCUUAUUCAAGCCAUCCUUAAUGAAUUGAAUCUUAUCUUCCCUGUUAUCAGACACCAUUCCUAAAGAACAUGGGUUUUUAUCACAACUCAUUCUGGCACACUUAUGACAAGCAACAGAAAUUCUUCGAGCUCGUCAUUUUCUUGCAUAAUUUCCUUUACCACAACCAGGCAUGUAUGUAAUAAAUUUUGGAGGUAAUUCAUCUGCCAAUCGUACUUUUGCCUCGAUUAACCAACGGAUGUCAGCAGGUAUGUUAUUCCUCAUGAGCAAUCGCAUGCGUUCGGACCGAGCUUUAUAGAUCGUAAGGAGGGCAUUCUGAGGAAGUGAAGGGAAUCGCUUGGGAAGCUUUGCUAGAAUCUCGUUUCUGUCCAUACUUUCGCCUCAGAAUAUUAGUUAUUAUGGGAAACUGAAGUAACCCACUUGAUUGUCACGGAGUACCGUUAUCCGCCACUUCACCGGGGUAACAAACUAAGGCACACAAACAGAAAAAUAAAUUAAAACACACAAAGAAAAUUAAAAUCGUCCUCUUAUAUUUACCUCAAGCUCCAACUGGAUGUCGUAAACACUUCUCUCAAUGUCUCUGAGUUGGCUUUCUAAACCCUGAACAUAGGUUACUAACUCUGGUGGUUGUAGAUCCCAAAUACGAUGUGUUUUACAAAAUUGAAUCUGCCUUAUGAGAUGAGUUUUGACACGUUGAAGUGGUUUAAGAAUGUUCAGGAGGAACGGUCUAAGUAUGGUACUCAUGAUUAAAAAUGAUAAGAGAAAACUUAAUAGUUAAACAAAUACACUUAUGCAAAAAUAAUUUCAAUUAGCAAAAGAAUAAUAUAAAGAAAGAAAAAAAAUAUCAAAUCACCGAAAAGAAAAGAAAAAAAAAUCAAUUCAAAUCUGGUGGGUCACUAAAUUUAUUUCGGUGUCUUCUCCAUGUGGUUGGUACUCUAGAUAUGGCUUUAAUCUUUGACCAUUAACUUUAAAUGUGACACCGUUCUUUGGGUCCUUAAUUUCAAUUGUCCUGUGUGGAGAAACAGUAUGUACAAUAAAUGGGCCAGACCAACGAGAGCGUAACUUACCUAGGAAUAGGUGCAAGCGACAAUUGAAUAAAAGCACUUUCUGACUUGGAGUGAAAGAUUUUCUCAUAAUUUACUUGUCGUGGAAGACUUUCAUUCGUUGCUUGUAAAUCUUGGCAUUUUCGUAUGCAUCAUUGCAAAUUUCUUCAAGUUUUGCCAGUUGUAAUCUUCUUUCUGAGCUGGCUUGCUGCAUGUCAAAGUUGAAUUUCUUGAUGGCCCAAUACGCACGAUGCUCGAGUUCCACAGUAGGUGGCAAGCUUUUCUAUACACUAGCUUGUAGGGUGACAUCCCAAUCGGGGUCUUGAAAGCCGUUCUAUAUGCCCAUAAUGCAUCAUCAAGUCUUAAUGACCAAUCUUUUCUGUUUGGCCUCACCGUCUUUUCUAAUGUGUGCUUUAUUUCUCGAUUGGAGAUCUCAACUUGGCCACUGAUUUGCGAAUGAUAUGGGGUCGCCACUUUCUAAGUGAUUGAAUACUUUGUCAAAAGAGCUUUGAAUGCUUUGUUACAAAAGUGGGCACCACCAUCAAUGAUUAUUGCUCGAGGGAAUCCAAAGCGUGAAACAAUGUUGCUUUUCAAAAAUCCUAGUUCGACAUGGAAUUGCUUCUACCCAUUUCGAUACGUAGUCAACAGCAACCAAUAUGAAUUGAUGGCCAAAAGAAGGGGGAAAGGGACCCAUGAAGUCGAUACCCCAAACAUCAAAAAUCUCAACCACUAAAAUUGGAUUUAGUGGCAUCAUGUUCCUUCAUGUAAUGUUCCCCAUUCAUUGACACCUAUCACAUGAAGAACAGAAAGUGUAAGCAUCUCGAAAUAUAGUUGGCCAAUAGAAACCACAUUGUAAAACUUUAGUUGUUGUUUUCUUAGCACUAAAAUGGUCUCCACAAGCUUGUUCAUGGCAGAAUGAAAGAAUAUUCUGAAUUUCAUUUUCUAGGACACAUCAUCUAACAAUUUGAUCUGCACAAUACUUGAACAAAUACGGGUCAUCCCAAAAGAAAUUCUUUAUUUCUGCAAAGAAUUUAGCCUUGUCUUACUUGGUCCAAUUCACGAUGUCAGCAUACCAUGGUAAUACUUCCACACUCAUUAAUUGUUCAUCUGGAAAUGACUCAUUCAAUAUUAAUGGCUCUGUAAUUGUGUCAAAAUGGAGACGAGAGAGGUGGUCCGCCACAACAUUUUUUGUGCCUUUCUUAUCUUUGAAUUCCAAGUCGAACUCCUGCAAAAGUAACACCUAACGAAUUAGUCUAGCUUUUGUAUCUUUUUUUGUGAGAAGAUAUUUAAGAGCAGCAUGAUCUGUGAAUAUAAUUAUUUUACAACCAAUGAGAUAAGAUCGAAAUUUCUCUAAUGCAAACACUACUGCUAGCAUUUCUUUUUCAGUAGUUAAAUAGUUCAAUUGUGCAUCAUUCAAUGUCAUACUAGCAUAGUAAAUAACAUGGGGAAUUCGAUCAACUCUUUGUCCUAAUACUGCUCCUACUGCAUAAUCAGAUGCAUCACACAUGAGCUCAAAUGGUAAGCUCCAGUUUGGGGGCUGAAUAAUGGGUGAUGAUGUCAACAACUGCUUUAGUUUUUCAAAUGCCACAAGACAUGAAUCAUCAAAGAUAAAGGGUACAUCCUUAGCAAGUAAAUUGCAUAAGGGUCUAGAAACUUUGCUAAAAUCUUUAAUGAAACGUCUAUAGAAACCAGCAUGCCCAAGGAAAGAUCUUACUUCUCUGAUUGUUUUAGGUGGAGGAAGAUUAGAAAUGAGAUCUACCUUAGCUUUGUCAUCCUCAAUACCUUUGCUCGAAAUGAUGUGACCGAGAACAAUACCUUGUUUUACCAUAAAAUGACAUUUCUCCCAAUUUAAGACUAAGUUCUUCUCGAUACAUCUCUGCAGAACUAGCGUUAGAUGAUGUAAACAUUGAUCAAACGAGUCACCAAAGACAGAAAAGUCAUCCAUAAAGACUUCAAGGAAUCGUUCAACCAUAUCAGAAAAAAUGCUCAACAUGCGUCGUUGAAAUGUAGCAGGUGCAUUACAUAAUCCAAAUGGCAUUCUCCUAUAUGAAAAUGUGUCAAAAGGGCAAGUGAAAGUAGUUUUCUCUUGAUCUUUUGGUGCUAUGGGAAUCUGAUUAUAUCUUGAGUAGCCAUCUAAAAAGCAAUAAAAUUUAUGGCCUGCUAAUCUAUCAAGCAUUUGAUCGAUAAAUGGUAAAGAAAAAUGGUCUUUACGUGUGACAGAAUUCAACUUUCUAUAAUCAAUGCAUACACGCCAUCCUGUAGUUACUCUAGUUGGUAUCAAUUCAUUAUUAGCAUUGGUAACUACUGUGACUCCUGACUUUUUAGGGACAAUUUGUACAAGACUGACCCAUGAACUAUCAGAAAUUAGGUAAAUGAUACCUGCGUCUAAUAGCUUAAGGACUUCAGUUCUAACAACUUCUUUUAUAUUAUGAUUUAACCGACGUUGCAUUUCCCUAGUAGAUUUAGCAUUUUCAUCAAGAUGAAUGUAAUGCAUGCAGUCUACUGGAUUUAUACCUUUUAUGUCUGCUAUGGUCCAUCCUAAUGCUCAUCUGUGCUCUUUUAAAACAUCCAACAACUUACCUUUUUGUUCGUCAUUGAGGGAUGAUGAGAUGAUUACCGGCAGAGUACUUUCCUCUCCCAAAAAUGCAUAUUCCAAAGUGUUGGGCAAUGGUUUGAGCUCGCGUUUUGGUGGUGAUUCUGAUGAUGGGAUGAGUUUCUUUUCUAAUGGUGCUAGUUGUUCAACUCUUAACUUCCAUUUAUUAUUGUCCAUGGAUGGUGCUGAGUCAAGUAAGGCGUUGACCUCAUCGACCGAUCUGUCAAUAUCAAAAUCCAAACCAAAGUGAGUUAAACAUGUUUGUAAAGAAUCAUCACUAAGGUUUGAAAGAAAAGUAUUAUCAACUAUUAUUUCUAUUAAAUCCACAUCAACAAUUUCAUCAUCUGCACUGUGAGGUUGUUUGGCAAUGUUGAAAAUGUUUAGCUCUAUAGUCAUGUUGCCGAAGGACUGCAUAUUUCCAGUUCUGCAUUGAAUGUGAGCAUCCGCAGUUGCUAAGAAAGGUCGGCAUAAAAUAAUGGGGAUGUGCUUCCUUGAAUCCUGUAUUAGUUGAGUGUCAAUUACAAUGAAAUCAACAGGAAAAUAAAACUUGUCUACCUGGAUAAGCACGUCCUCCACAAUGCCAUGAGGUAUUUUUGUGGACCGAUCUACAAGCUGUAACACCACUGGAGUUGGGUGUAAUUCUCCAAGUCCAAGUUUCAAAAAUACCGAGUAAGGCAACAAAUUUACACUAGCUCCUAAAUCCAACAAAGCAUUCUCAAUUGUGUGGUUCCCUAUGCUACAUGAAAUAGUGGGGGAGCCUGGGUCUUUGCAUUUUAGAGGAAUUUUGUGUUGGAGUAUAGAACUAAUGUUUUCUGUUAAAAAUGCCUUCUUUUGAACAUGAAUAUUUCUCUUUUUAGUACAAAGGUCUUUAAGAAACUUGGCAUAAGAUGGAACUUGUUUUAUAGCAUCAAGUAAAGGGAUGUUAACACUUACCUAUUUGAAGAUUUCGAGAAUCUCACCUAUGGAUUUUCCCUUCUUUCCUUUCGCUAACUUCUGAGGAAAUCGAGCUUUAGGAACAUAUUCUCGUGGGUUGGUUUCUUCUUUUUCCUCCGGUGGUGAGUCCUCAACAUUCACAGGCACAAUUUGAUUUUCUUUUGUCACCGACAUCUCCACUUUGUUGUCGAUUUCUUUUCCUUUUUGCAAGGUCAUGACUGCUUUGACCUCUCCAUGCUGCUGUGGUGAACUAGUACUUGCUUUAUGCACUCCUUUGGGAUUAGGCACUGGUUGACUUGGAAACUUGCCUUUCUCAACAGUCAUUACCAAGGUCUAAACUAAAAAAGCAAGCUGUCCCACCAUCUUCUCGAGGCUUGAAACUGAUUGGGCUUUUGAAUUGAAGCCUGCUCUCAACUCAUUUUGUAGUCCAUCAAUGGUGCGAUUCUCUUGCUCAAUCGUGGAGUGAGUAAGAUUCUUAAGAUUCUGAAAUGAAUCCUCCCAUGGUCUGGGUUGAGUGUAGUUAUGGUUCUGAUUGUAUGGUCUAAAUGAGGGCUGAGAGGCUUAAGAAAUUUGAGAAAUUUGUUGCAUUGGUGGAACUGGAGUUGCUGGUGCAUUCUAUUAGAAUCCUUGAGACCAUGAAAAAUUGGGGUGGUCUCUCCAUCCAGGGUUAUCUGUGUUGGAGUAUGGGUUGUAAUUUGAUGGCUUUCUCAUUACACCUAUGGCAUUGGCUUUAUCUGAGUAUGAGUCAUGGUCAUGUGGUUCUGUUGAUUUAGCAGUCGAUAACGAUGCUAUUUGUCGAGCAAGACCUUCAACCAUCUUCUUGACUUCUUUAAUUUCUGAACUGGAUUCGCCAAUGUGAACCUCAUUUACUCCCUUAAUUCUUCUAGUAUUCCUGAGUGACCGAUUCCGUUGUUGGGAAUUAUCCGCUUGUCACUGGAAGAAUUCCCAAAUCUCUGAUGUACUUUUUGACAUUAGCUCUCCUCCACUUGUUGCCAUUAGCCAUUCUUGCACAUUCGACAAUAAUCCCUCCAAAAAGUAUUGGCAUUGAUGCCAUUUCUCAUACCCAUGAUGUGGACACUUCAAGAGUAGCCCAUUGAAUCCCUCCGAUGUUUCAAAAAACUGUUCGUCCUCUCUCUGGGUAAACUCCGAGAUUUCCCUACGAAUAGCAUUGGUUUUAUGCACUGGGAAAUAUUUAUUCAAAAAUUUUGUUACCAUUUGUUCCCAUGAUGCAAUGCUAUUAGCAGGCAAUGUAUUAAGCCAUGAACGAGCUCUAUAUUUUAAAGAAAAUGGGAAUAAUCUGAGUUUAACAUCAUCGUCUAAAAAAUUCUCGUAUUUAAAAGUUUGAAAAAUAGCAUGAAAAUCAUUCAGAUGAUUAUAUGGGUCCUCAUUUUCUAGGCCAUAAAAUAUUGGGAGACAAUUUAGCACACUAGGUUUUAGUUCAAAACUCCUAGCAGCUACAUUUGGGUAUCAUAUACAUGAUGUGCUCAAGUUAGCUAAAGGACUAAAAUAGUCCUUAAAUGGCCUCUCCUGUGGUGCUUGUAAAUCCAUUCCAAAUUUAUUUUUAAUGUGCUUGUGUGUGCGAAGUGUCUUUUCUAGUUCAAGGUCUAUAGGUUCAAGAUUAGGUAAUAAUGACCUACGGCCACAUGAAAAGAACACAAAAAUAAAUGGGAACAAAAUUAAUAAAAAUAAACAAGAAGGAGAAAUUACGGUACUAACCUUAUUGCGCUGUUACAACCUUACUAUAAAAAUACAAAAAAACAAAUACAUGAAAUAAAUUAACUAAAAAUAAAUUAAUAAGAUAAACAAAAAAAAAUUAGAAAGAAAAAUAAAUUGAAAAUUAAAUUAUAGAAUUUUAAAGAAGAGAAAAAGAAAAGAAAUACUAACCUUUAAAUGUAGAUUCACUUUUUUUUCUUUUUUUUAAAUAAAAAAAUUACAAGAAAACAAUUAAAAGAAAUUAUUGAACUCGCAAGUGCACGAAUUUAUUGUAGAAUAGAUUAAUGGAGACGAGUGUCGAUCCCACGAGGAGGUGGCUUUUAAUUAUAUGUAGAAUUAAUUUUGUAUGAGUGUGGUUGGAUUUGUGGUGAAAGUGACUUAGAUUAUCUUAAAAUUGGAAUUGAAAUGGCAAGAAUAAAUUCUAAAAUUGGAAUUGAAAUGGCGAGAAUAAAUUGAAGAGAAAUCUAUUGAGAUGACGUACUUGAGUAUCUGGAUCCGUAUCAACAUGCAUCAUGGGCUAAAUAAUCCUUAUUAAUGCCAAUUAAAUCAUGAGGGGGGAAUCCACACCUCAUGAACCACUCUCUAAUCAAUAUGGUGCUAAGGGCUUAUCGUGCCAAAUAAUAAUAACUUUGUACUAGGGGGCUGGUGAAACCAAGGCGGUAUUAGACAAGAUUAAUAUUAUUUGUAACGAGAAGUCAAAACAUCCACAAAAAUUAGAGGGGAAGAGAAAGUAAAUUUACCAAAUAAAGCCCAUGACACAUGUUGAGACUUCACCUUCAACCCAAGCUUGAAAGAAAACUAGCCACUCAUAAUUGAACUAAGGGUAAAAUGGAAAUUUAUUAAAAUACUUAGAAAAUACAAGAUAGAGAAGGAAUUACGGAAAAUGGAUUCCAAAAAUGGAUUCAGAGAUAUCAAAUUAGGGGGGAGAGGGCCCCUUUUUAUAGAUACAUGGAGUAAAUCAUGGCCAUCGGAUUAAAAAUAGUUUAGACGCUCAGGAUUGCGCCACAUCAUCAGUCACCAGUACGCGGUUUGACCACGUGGAUGAACAGUAACACGGUUUGACCUGGGUUGAACAGUGAUGCGGUUUGGUUGAAAAUAAUCCUGUGUGAUGCAUGUACCGUACGCGAGAUUUUUCGUCCACUGAUAUGCUGCCACGUCACCAUCAACAGUACAUAAGAAUUUUAGCCCAACAGGAUCGUGACACCUCAUCAGUCAAUGCCACAUCAUCCAUCAAUGCCACGUCAUCGAUCCGUCUAUGUGAACAGUGUCAUGAACAGUAAUAUAGACAGUACCGUACACGUGAAUAGUACCGUACAUGUGAAUAGUACCGUACAUGUGAAUAGUACCGUACAUGUGAAUAGUGCUAUUUUUCCUUUUAUGCUUCUCCUAAGGUUUUCGACCGUCUUGAGUUCAAAAGUGAUUUCCGUUUUGCCGUCUGAUCUCUCGUUUAUUAUGAAAUGACCAUGAUGCCCCUAAAAUACAUAAAAUACUUAAUUAAAAUCAAACACACAUAAUUAAAUUGCAAGAAGCUUAAAUCCAUAAAAGUAAGGGUUGUUAGUAAAACUUGAAAUGUAAAAUGAUGAUUUUCUCCUUUAUAAAUAUACAUUUUCUGACACUCAACACAACUCAUAUUUGUCUCCGACAUCAACAUGUAGAGUAGCAAACAUAGGGUAACAUCACUUAAGAUCAAAGAUAAUACAAAUACUAAAAUUUGAAAUUAAUCAUGUCAUCCAAUGUUAAAACAAAUCAGAAAUUUUUUUUUUUAAACAACAUUCUACCCCUCAACCUAUUCUAAACAUGAAAGGAAAAUAUGCAUGCAGAAAUGUGAAAAUGAUUCAGAAAAAUUAAUUAGAAAAAGAAAUGUUAUUUUUUAACUAAGAAGAUGCGUUUCUAGAGACACUACACUCCAUAUUCAGCCAUCUUCGACUCAAAUAUUUGAAAAUGUAUAUUUAUAAAGGAGAAGUUAAAAAGAAGAAGAAAAAUGGACAUCAAAACUUAAUAAAGAAAAAGAAAAUGUCGAAUUUUUUUUUUGAAUUUUUUUGUUGUUUUUUUUCCAAACGAUGAAGAUGCGUUUCUUCAUUACACCUAUGCCAUUGGCUUAAUCUGAGUAUGAGUCAUGGUCAUGUGGCUCUGUUGAUUUAGCAGUCGAUAACGAUGUUAUUUGUCGAGCGAGACCUUCAACCAUCUCCUUGACUUCUUUGAUUCCUGAAGUUGACUCGCCAAUGUGAACCUCAUUCACUCCCUUAAUUCUUCUAGUAUUCCUGAGUGAUCGACUCCGUUGUUGGGAAUUAUCCGCUUGUCGCUGGAAGAAUUCCCAAAUCUCUGAUGUACUUUUUGACAUUAUCUCUCCUCCAAUUGUUGCCAUUAGUCAUUCUUGCACAUUCGGCAAUAAUCCCUCCAAAAAGUAUUGGCAUUGGUGCCAUUUCUCGUACCCAUGAUGUGGACACUUCAAGAGUAGCCCAUUAAAUCGCUCCCAUAUUUCGAAAAACUGCUCGUCUUCUCUUUGGGUAAACUCUGAAAUUUCCCUGCGAAUAGCAUUGGUUUUAUGCACUGGGAAAUAUUUAUUCAAAAAUUUUGUUACCAUUUGUUCCCAUGAUGCGAUGCUAUUAGCAGGCAAUGUAUUAAGCCAUGAACGAGCUCUAUCCUUUAAAGAAAAUGGGAAUAGUCUAAGUUUAACAUCAUCGUUUGAAAAAUUCUCAUAUUUAAAUGUUUGACAAAUAGCGUGAAAUCAUUCAGAUGAUUAUAUGGGUCCUCAUUUUCUAAGCCAUAGAAUGUGGGGAGACAAUUUAGCAGACUAGGUUUUAGUUCAAAACUCCUAGCAGCUACAUUUGGGUAUCUUAUACAGGAUGUGCUCAAAUUAGCUAAGGGACUAAAAUAGUCCUUAAAUGGCCUCUCCUGUAGUGCUUGUAAAUCCAUUCCAAAUUUAUUUUUAACGUGCUUGUGUGUGCAAAGUGUUUUCUCAAGUUCAAGGUCUAUAGGUUCAAGAUUAGGUAAUAAUGACCUUCGACCAUGCAUGCAAAACAAAUAAAAUAAAAAUAAAGAUGGGAACAAAACAAAUAAAAAUAAAGAAGAAUGAGAAAUUACAAUACUAACCUUAUUGCGCUAUUACAACCUUACUAUAAAAACACACUAAAAAAAAUACGUGAAAAUAAAUUAAAUAAAAAUAAAUUUAAAAAAACUACAAAGAAAAAUAAAUUGAAAAUUAAAUUGCAGAAUUGUAAAGAAUAGAGAAAGAAAAGAAAUUAUUACCUCUAAAUGCAGAUUCCCUUUUUUCUUUUUUUUUUAAUAAGAAAAAAAAUAAAAGAAAACAAAUAAAGAAAUUAUUCAAAAAAGUUAAUUUUACAAAUUAAAAUAACUUACCUCCCCGGCAACGGCGCCAAAAACUUGAACUCGUAAGUGCACGAAUCUAUUGUAGUAUAGAUCAAUGGUGACGAGUGUCGAUCCCACGAGGAGGUAGAUUUUAAUUGUGUGUAGAAUUAAUUUUUCUAAAUGGGUGGCUGGAUUUGUGGUGAAAAUGAUUUGGAUUAUCUUAAAAUUAGAAUUUAAAUGGCGAGAAUAAAUUAAAUAGAAAUCUAUUAAAAUGGCGUACUUGGGUAUUUGGAUAUGUAUCAACAUGCAUCAUGGGCUAAAUAUUCCUUAUUAAUACCAAUUAAAUCAUGAGAGGGGAAUCCACACCUCAUGAACCACACUCUAAUCAAUAUGGUGCUAAGGGCUUGUCGUGCCAAAUAAUAAUAACCUUGUACUAGAGAGCCGGUGUAACCAAGGCGAUAUCUAGACAAGAUUAUUAUUAUUUGUCGACGAGAAGUCAAAACAUCCACAAAAACUAAAGGGGAAGAGAAAAUAAAUUUACCAAAUAAAGCCCAUGACACAUGUUGAGACUUCACCUUCAACCCAAGCUUGAAAGAAAAUUAGCUACUCAUAAUUGAACUAGGGGCAAAAUGAAAAUUUAUUAAAAUACGUAGAAAAUACAAGAUGGAGAAGGAAUUACAGAAAAUGGAUUCAGAGCUAUCAAAUUAGGACAGAACACGGAAUUAGGACAAAACAACUCUCUAAGAGGAUAUUUUCGAAGAAAUAAACUCUCGUGUGUUUCCAUAAAACUAUGAAUUUCUAAACUCUCUUCUCUCUCUGCAAAUGAAGAAUCUAGAGAAAGAAACAGAAUAAAGAGUUAAAUUUGUUCAUUUUGAAACCUUAAGGAAGUAUGCUGUGCACUUGCCUUUCCGUAAGGAUCCUGUGCAUUAGAAAACUUAUGAUGAUUUCUUGAAUGGUUUGGUACCCUGUUUUAAGACUAAAGAAAGUCUGUUUUGGGUUAUAUGACCUUAAAGGAAACAUUUUAAGUUUUACUGAUACAAGGCCCCCUUUUUAUAGAUACAUGGAGUAAAUCAUGGCCAUCGGAUUAAAAAUAGUUUGGACGCUCAGGAUUGCACCACGUCAUCAGUCAAUAGUACGCGGUUUGACCACGUGGAUGAACAGUAACACGGUUUGACCCGAGUUGAACAGUGACACGGUUUGGUUGAAAAUAACCUGUGUGAUGCAUGUGUCGUACGCGAGAUUUUUGGUCCACUGAUAUGCUGCCACGUCACCAUCAACAGUACAUAAGAAUUUUAGCACAACAGGAUCGUGACACCUCAUCAGUCAAUGCCACAUCAUCGGUCAAUGCCAUGUCAUCGAUCCGUCUAUGUGAACAGUGUCGUGAACAGUAACAUAGACAAUACCGUACACGUGAAUAGUACCGUACAUGUGAAUAGUGUCAUUUUUCCUUUUAUGCUCCUCUUAAGGUUUUCGACCGUCUUGAGUUCAAAAGUGAUGUCUGUUUUGCCUUCUGAUCUCUCGUUUAUUGUGAAAUGACUAUGAUGCCUCUAAAAUACAUAAAAUACUUAAUUAAAAUAAAACACACAUAAUUAAAUUACAAGAAGCUUAAAUACAUAAAAGUAAGGGUUGUUAGUAAGACGUGAAAUGUAAAAUGAUGAUUUUCUCCUUUAUAAAUAUACAUUUUCUAACACUCAACACCCAUCUUCAUCUUGGUGGUAUUAGAUUGAUUCUGACUCUCCAUGGCCGAAAAUGCUUACCUAUUACAGCCAGAAUUGCUCUCUUGGACACAGGUUCAAAUAGUACCAACAUGCUGUUAUAGGCACCGUUCUGACCACACUCUAUGCUGGUAGUGUCCUCUUAACCUUUUAUCCAAAUUUCAACUUUUCUCUUGAGGAUCCCAACCUUCCUACAACCAUCAAAGUCCAGAUCCAGCUCCAAGGAGUAGACCAGACCCCCACAUCAAAGCUUGCCACUCUUCAUCACCAAAUAGUGCAUCGAUUACAAAAUCAUGCACUAGAUGUUCCUACACCUUACACCACAUCUGAUGCCUUAAUGAUCCUUGCUGACACAAACACAAUUCCAACCAUAAUCCAAAUUCCCAAACAAAUCCAGCAACAAGAAUUGCUCCAACUCAUGCCUCUUGAAUGGCUGACCAAUUAUGAGCACUUCCACUAAAACUCUGAACCAGUUCAAGCGACAAACGCCAGGUUUGAAAGACGACAAAAUGGUCAAGUCAAACUAUCUUUUCAAACACCCGAGCCUCAACCUGUUUCAGUAACUCCAAGGCUUUCUGACACUGCUAUGAUUACAGCAGACCAAACUAGUCAAGAAAAGAAACUUGCAAUUCAUGGUUUCUCAUCCAAAGGGUAUCAUAUAUAUCCUGAUAAAAUCAAUGGUCAUUUUCUAUGGGAUGUUCCUGAUGCCCAUAUGUGUAAUCCAGAUUGUCCUUGCUUGGAUGAUACGGAUAUUGAAGAUGAACUCGAAGUCAUGCGAAGAAAGAAAAAGAAAAAGAAAAAACCUUCUCAUGCAAAAACAUCUUGCAAAUCUUUUCCUCCAUUAUCUCCACCAGAUCCCAAACCUCCUGUUCAACCAAUAAGAUCAUGCCUAAUGUUUUUAGGUCAAUCUUAUGAAGAGUCCCUCCCUCCACUUGAAAAGCAGACAGACACUCAAACCAGAGUUGUCUCUAAACCCUUUGUCCAGUCCCCAGUUACAGCCUCUGAGCAACCUGAAGAGCCAAAAUAGUAUGAAGUUGUUUGAAAUUGGUAAACUAAAAAUGCCAAUGCUUAUAAUCAAACCCUCAAACAACUCGGAAAAAGAAUUAAUCGAGUUACCAGUCAAGUCUCCCAGACUGAAACUAAAGUUGAUUCAAUUAGCCAUCGUCUUGAUCAGAUGUACAUACAUCUACAAGACCGUAUCUCUGAGUUAGAUACCGAUCUCAGAUGAAUGAUCAAUAAUCAUAUCUAGGGUCUCGAGUUUAACAAGAAAGAAGCAGAGAUCAGAAAGCUCAAAGCUGAAUUGGCAAGAAUUGAUGCUGAAAAGACUUGUCCAACACUUUUCACCCAGACACAAUCCACACCUAUGCCUCCUCCUAUGUUUGAAACCUAUUCACCUUUUUAUACACCUCCCAGACCUCACCAGCCUGUUUACAACUAAUUUUUUGGUUUCUCACAUCUCCAACCAACUCCUCAACCAAAACCCUCUUCACCUAAAAAAUCAAAGUCCAAAGUAAAAAUUUCAGAACCAAAAACAAAGCCAACUUCAUCCUCAUCUACUCCUCCGGUACCUCCCGAAGAUUCACCACAAGCAACUCCUGACCCUCCUAAAAACGAUGAAGGACCAAUGGAUAAGUAUCAUUAUCAAAUUGUCCACGACUCAUCUCCUGAAUCCUCUGAACCAGAAAUAGUACGUGAGUCCUAUCCGUCAGAGUCACACUCAUCCUCCUCAUCCACAAACUCAACCAGUACCUCUACUGACUAUAAAUCAGAAUAUGAUGACAUUACGAGCAUAUUGAUGGCAACUAAAACUGAAGAUCCCAGUGCUUCAACUUCUACACCAAUUGUUGAAGACAGUUCUUCUGAUGAUGAGCAUAAAGCAUCUCACACAGAACCAUUGCCACUUAUGCCACCACCAGCUCAUGAUCACUCCACAAAACCAUCUUCAGCAUCUUGGUUCACAUUUGAUGACAUUCCCCGUCACAGAUGGCCUGCUAGACUUCAAGAAUUUGCUGCAUGGAUUGAUCUUCAAGGAACAAGGCCAAUUGCUCAAUCUCAAGAUGUCCUUCAUGAAUUUAUGGCCCGAUCUAUGGGUUCUUUGAGAGAUUAGUUAGAAAGCUUGGGAGAAUAUAGACAACUCCAAUUCAUGCAAUCACCUGUUGGCACCGCACUCAACAUUAUCCAUGAACAAUUCAUUGGUGACAAAAAGCACCUACCGAUGCAGACAGAAAAGAGUAUCAUCAAAUGAAGUGCUAUUGUCUCAAAAGGCAUCUUUUGGAAUCUCAUUACAAAAGAAUGAGUAUUCUAUUUUACAAACUGAAUGGGUUCAACGAACCUUCUCUUAAACAUGUCUUCAUAGCCUCUCUUCCUUCUGAGUUACAACCUGAUCUUUAAAGAAAACUCACAGCCACUAAUCUCAGCAUUGCUGACAUCUCUUUGGGAAAGAUUUUCCAAAUGGCAAUGUUAGGCGUGGAUAAAAUCUGUGAGUAGAAGGAAUUCUUCAAAGAUCUCAUGGCAGACAUAAAACCCUUCUUUGAAGCUUGUAAAAACCCUUAUCUCAAGAUGGAGUGCAAAGAUGAAAAGAAGUGUGUUUGUUCGCCCAAAAAGAAAAAAACAUUUUCAAAAACACUUCCACAAAAAAUCAUCCUCCAAAAAACCUUUCCGAUAUUUCAGAAAAAAAGAUGUCUCCCAGUACAGAAAGAAAAAGCAUAACCAUUGUUUCAUCUGUAAAAAAUGCGGUCACUUUGCUCAAAACUAUCCCCAUAAGUCUGUUAAAGCUGUUCGUCUCAUACAGCACCUUCAACAUUCUUCCAUGUUAUCUGAGAACGAAGAUGUUGAAUCAAACUUUUCUGAGCAAUCAGAACAAGAUGACCAAACUGCUUUCAUCAUCACAGAAUCUUCAGAUUCUGAGGAUAUUUCAGUCAUCUCUACAGUUCAAAAUGUCAACCAUGUUUCCACCAUUCCCAGACCUUCACUCAAAAUGUCAAUCCUUCCUUCCAAGUUUCAUAAACCUGUUCCUGUCAUCGGAUUUAUUGACACUGGUGCAGAUACCAGUAUAAUUGACCCUUAUGUUCUUCCCUUAGACUAUUAGGAACCUCAUUCCAUGACAAAAAUCUUUAGUCCUAUCCUCCACCAUGCUCUGGUCUACAUUGAUGAUAUUUUGUUAUUUUCCUCUGACCAUGAGAGCCAACAGAAGCUCCUUAUGGAUUUCUUUCAUCUUGUGCAGGCACAUGGAAUCAUGCUUUCUGAAAAGGAAAGCAGCAUAGGCAAGGAAUCCAUUGACUUUCUUGGCAUGGUGAUUAAAGAUGGCCACUACCAACCUGGUCCACACAUUGCAACUGAAUUAUUAAAGUUCCCGGACACAAAUUUCACCAAAAAGCAGAUACAACAAUUCCUCGAGAUUGUUAAUUAUGUCUGUGAUUUCAUCCCAAAAGUUGCAAUCCACACAAGCCAGUUGUUGCACAUGCUAAAAAAAUAGUGCCCUCCAUGGGGCCCUACAUAGACAGAAGCUGUUAAGCAGCUAAAGGUGAUAGCCCAAUCACCUCCUCAACUCUGAAUUCCCACAUCUGGCCAACUCAUCCUCCAGACUGAUGCCAACGAUGAUUACUGGAGUGCCAUUCUUCUCGAAGAAAUCAAUGGCGUGCAUCAUUUCUGUGCACAUGCAAGCAGAUAAUUCAAAGACGCUGAAAAGAACUACCAUAUGAUCUACAAAGAGAUUUUGGCAAUCAAGUAUGGAAUUAAAAAAUUCGAAUUUCAUCUCAUCAGCCACAAAUUUCUUAUCAACAUGGAUAACUCUUCUUUUCCCCGAAUCUUUGACUUCAAAAACAAGUUGCUCCCUGACAAGCAACUGCUCAGUCUUAAAACCUGGUUUGCUAAAUAUGAUUUCACUGUUCAACAUAUCAAAGGCAACCAAAAUCUCAUUCCAGACUUCCUUACACGUCCAGCUAUAAAUAAACCCUCACUCAUUUCCUCAAUCCAAACCAUUCUAGUAAUAGCCAUGCAUCGCCAACUUCCUUUCAAAGCUCUCAACUAGAGAAACUUCCCAAUGAACAUCUCUUUCCAAUCGGCUUACCAGCUGCAAGAGUUUGCAAAGAAGUUCCUUUACAGGUAUUUCUUUAAUGUUCAGACCAAAAAACCUGACUGUUUUCCUAACCUUUGCAUUGAACACCUAUUCCUCACCGGCCUCACUCUCUCAUCUCUGUCCAUCUGUGAAGAUGAGCAUUGGUACAUGUGGUGUCUCACCACCUUGUAUGCUACGAAGCUAGUUUUCCCCAUCAAACCAGGGUAGUUGUACAUGGCGUUGUUACACCAGAUCUAUAAUAGAACAAAGUAUGUCCUUAGGGCCAGUAGCCCGCAAGUUCUGGUUUCCAGCCGAUAUACACUUAUCCAUCAAAUACCAACCGAAAAUCUUAUUUGAAAAAUAGUUUUUCACGAUAUCACCCGAACACACAGCACUCAUGGCCUCAAAGAGGAUGAACGUUGUGAGAAAACACUUUCAUUUUAUAAAAAUUGAUUUUGGAGGAUAAAACAGGACCUUUUUUAUGCACAGGAUCCUUAGGCUUAAGGCAAGUGCAGAGCAUACUCAGUAUAGAAAAUGAGAGGUGAGCGUAUCAAUAUUAACCUAAAUAAUUUCUUUGAGCCCUAGAAGAGAGAAAAGAUUUAGAGAAACAUGAUGUAAGGAAACUUAAAUAUUUAUUUUUGAUUAACUCGUGCCUACAACGGAAGCAUAAGGUGCCUUAUAUAGAAAAUCAUCAAGAACAGGACCCCUUGAAUGAUUAUAAUCGACAAAGAGGCACAUGCUGUUAGAAAAGUAAAGCACUCCUUUUUAGAAAGUAAAGCACACCGACUAAGACUUUUACAUAAGACAAAGGAAAACAGAAAGUAAAGCACACCGACUAAGACUUUUUAUAUAAACAUUCAAAGCAAAUGGGGGACACAUGGGCUUAUUGCAUUAAAAGCAAUGUGAUGGUGACAAGAUGUCAUUAUGGAGUGGAUGGAUAGCGCGAUGAUAACACAUCUCCUGUCACUUUCUCAUAUUGGCGCUUGUGCCGACGUAUCUGUCUCUAGUCGAGAUACGCCUCAACUUGCUGAUAUUUGUCUUCAUUAGCGUCAGUAUGCGCGGUGAUGUAGUGCAGCAGGAGAGUCUAGGUUGGUGAUGGUAUAAUGGGGAUUUUCAGUAAGGAGAAGGGACUGAAAAUCUUCCCAUGGGUCCUAAGCAGCUUGGAAUAAGACGUUGGUGUAAUCAGGGCAUUGUUCCAUGACAAGGAUUCCUUGAGGACUUGAACUUGAACCCGGAGUACAGCCUUGUGUUUUUGGAAUUAUUUCAAGGGUGUGUGAUGAUCUAAUAGAGGUGUGGUGAAUGUUUGUGGCAGGUGGAGUAACAUUGUUAAGUUCCAUGAGGUAGGCUUUGAGAACGGAGGUGACCGAUGUAUCAUGGAUGAGGGUAUAAAGAUGAGGGUAAGUUCUCCAUUCAUAUGACAUGUCUUGUGUCCAGUAGUCUCUUGUUUGUGGGUGCUGGAAGUAGGGCCUGUGGAUGAUGAAAACUGUAGUCCACAUGUUAGCUUACUGUUUUGGCAUUCUGUCUAAUCCGUGAAAGGUACACAUAUUCUGGAGUUGUUUACGCCACCAUGUGAGUGGGGAAUACCAUUCGAGGAGAGUCCAUAGAAGGUCUGGUGAGAACUCAGGAGUGGUAAGGUGAGUUAGGACUGGUUUGAUGGGGAAAACUAGCUUCGUAGCAUACAAGGUGGUGAGACACCACAUGUACCAAAGCUCAUCUUCACAGAUGGAUAGAGAGGCGAGAGUGAGGCCGGUGAGGAAUAGGUAUUCCAUGCAAAGGUUAGGAAAAUGGUCAGGUUUUUUGGUCUGAACAUUAAAGAAAUACCUGUAAAGGAACUUCUUUGCAAAAUCUUGCAGCUGGUAAGCCGAUUGGAAAGAGAUGUUCAUGGGGAAGUUUCUCUGGUUGAGAGCUUUGAAAGGAAGUUGGCGAUGUAUGGCUAUUACUGGAUUGGUUGAAUUGAGGAAAUGAGUGAGGGUUUAUUUAAAGCUGGACGUGUGAGGAAGUCUGGAAUGAGGUUUUGGUUUCCUUUGAUAUUUUGAAUAGUGAAAUCAUAUUUAGCAAACCAGGUUUUGAGACCGAGCAGUUGCUUGUCAGGGCGCAACUUGUUUUUGAAGUCAAAGAUUCGGGGAAAAGAAGAGUUAUCCAUGUUGAUAAGAAAUUUGUGGCUGAUAAGAUGAAAUUCAAAUUUUUUAAUUCCAUACUUGAUUGCCAAAAUCUCUUUGUAGAUCACAUGGUAGUUCUUUUCAGCGUCUUUGAAUUGUUCGCUUGCAUGUGCAUAGAAAUGACGCACGCCAUUGAUUUCUUCGAGAAGAAUGGCGCUCCAGUAAUCAUCGCUGGCAUCAGUCUGGAGGAUGCGUUGGCCAGAUGUGGGAAUUCGGAGUGGAGGAGGUGAUUGGGGCCCAUGGAGGGCACUGUUUUUUGAGCAUGCGCGACAGUUGGCUUGUGUGGAUUGUAACUUUUGCGAUGAAAUCACGGACAUAAGUAACAAUCCCGAGGAAUUGUUGUAUCUGCUUUUUGGUCAAAUUUGUGUCCGGGAACUUUAAUAAUUCAGUUGCAAUGUGUGGACCAGGUUGGUAGUGGCCAUCUUUAAUCACCAUGCCAAGAAAGUCAAUGGAUUCCUUGCCUAUGCUGCUUUUCUUUUUGGAAAGCAUGAUUCCAUGUGCCUGCACAAGAUGAAAGAAAUCCAAAAGGAGCUUCUGGUGGCUCUCAUGGUCAGAGGAAAAUAACAAAAUAUCAUCAAUGUAGACUAGAGCAUUGUGGAGGAUAGAACUAAAGAUUUUUGUCAUGGCCAUUUGAAAUAAUGAAGGAGCAACUUUAAGAGCAAAGGGCAGAACGGUCCAUUGAUAAUGGGCAUCGGGAAUACAAAAGGCAGUUUUGUGACGGUCAACUGGUGAAAUACCAAGUUGCCAAAAACUAGCUUUUAAAUCAAACUUAGAGAAGAUACGAGCCCCUUGAAGGUGGACAAACAGGGUCUGGAUUUUUGGAAGGGGAAUCUUAUCAUCUUUAAGAAAAUAAUUAAGUGGCUGGUAAUCAAUAACUAAUCUCUUUUUACCACAAACUAAUUCAGAUCGUUUUUCAACAUAGAAGGCUCGACAAGCCCAAUCUGAAUUAGUAGGUUCAAUUAGACCUUGUUGGAGUAACUGAGAGCAUUCUUGCUUGGCAAGCAAGAAAUCUGAAGGAGACAUACUCGGGUGAGAAGCUUUUGUGGGAUUUAUGUCCUCAUUGAGUUUGAAAGGAAGAUGGAUAAAAAAUUGUUCAUUUUUCUAAAGGGGUGAAAGAUGGUGAAACUGUGAAUGAUUUUCUGGAUAAAACUCUAAGAACUUAUAGGAGAGAUGACUGUAUGGAGAUGGUGUUUCUGAAAGUGCAUACAGACGGAGAGUAUCGGUAGAGGGUAAGAACAUUUGUUUGUAGCGAACUCCAGAACUGGUGAGGAAUAUGUUUUUAACCAAAUGAAGAAUGUCAAAACCUAUGAGGAGAUCUUUAUCGGGGAAUUUGGAGGCUACAAUCUUUUUCCAAAUUAUACAAUUCGGAAAGAAUUGAAUACCAAUGGGUUUUUUGGUAAUCAAAGUGAUCUCAAAAGUUUCUCCAUUAACAGCUCUGAAAAGCUUUGAAUGAGGUUCCCAAUAGUCUGAGGGAAGAACAGAAGGGUCAAUCAUACUGGUAUCAGCACUAGUGUCAAUAAACCCGAUGACAAGAACAGGUUUAUGAAACUUGGAAGGAAGGAUUGACAUUUUAAGUGAAGGUCUGGGAAUAUUGGAAACAUGGUUGCAUUUUGAACUGUAGUGAUGACUGAAAUAUCCUCAGAAUCAGAAGAUUCUGCGAUGAUGAAAGCAGUUUGGUCAUCUUGUUCUGAUUGUUCAGAAAAGUUUGAUUCAACAUCUUCGUUCUCAUAUAACAGGGAAGAAUGUUGAAGGUGCUGUAUGAGACUAGCUUUGGCAGACUUAUGAGGACAGUUUCGAGCAAAGUGACCACGUUUUUUACAGAUGAAACAAUGGUUAUGCUUUUUCUUUCUGUACUGGGAGACAUCCUUUUUUCUGAAAUACCGGAAAGGUUUUUUGGAGGAUGAUUUUUUGUGGAAGUGUUUUUUAAAAUGUUUUUUUCUUUUUGGGCGAACAAACACACUUCUUUUCAUCUUUGCACUCCAUCUUGAGAUAAGGUUUUUCACAAGCUUCAGAGAAGGGUUUUGUGUUUGCCAUGAGAUCUUUGAAGAAUUCCUUCUACUCACAGAUUUUAUCGAGGCCUAACAUUGCCAUUUGAAAAAUCUUUCCCAAAGAGAUGUCAGCAAUGCUGAGAUUAAUGGCUGUGGGUUUUCUUUGAAGAUCAGAUUGUAACUCAGAAGGAAGAAAGGCUAUGAAGACAUGUUUAAGAGAAGGUUCGUUGAACCCAUUCAACUUGUAAAAUAGAAUACUCAUUCUUUUGUAAUGAGAUUCCAAAAGAUGUCUUUCGAGAGAACAACACUUCAUUUGAUGAUACUCUUUUCUGUCUGCAUCAGUAGAUGCUGUUUUGUCACUAAUGAAUGAUUCAUGGAUGAUGUUGAGUGCAGUGCCAACAGGUGAUUGCAUGAAUUGAAGUUGUCUAUAUUCUCCCAAGCUUUCUAACCAAUCUCUCAAAGAACCCGUAGAUCGGGCCAUGAAUUCGCGAAGGACAGCUUAAGAUUGAGCAGUUGGCCUUGUUCCUUGGAGAUCAAUCCAUGCAGCAAAUUCUUGAAGUCUAGUAGGCCAUCUAUGACGGGGAAUGUCAUCAAAUGUGAAACAAGAUGCUGAAGAUGGUUUUGUGGAGUGAUCAUGAGCUGGUGGUGGCACAGGUGGCACUGGUUUUGUGUGAGAUGCUUUAUGCUCAUCAUCAGAAGAACUGUCUUCAACAAUUGGUGUAGAAGUUGAAGCACUGGGAUCUUCAAUUUUAGUUGCCAUUAAUAUGCUCGUAAUGUCAGCAUAUUCUGCUUUUCAAGUAGAGGGAAGGACUCUUCAUAAGAUUGACCUGAAAACAUUAGGCAUGAUCUUAUUGGUUUGAACAGGAGGUUUGGGAUCUGGUGGAGAUAGUGCAGGAAAAGAUUUGCAAGAUGUUUUUGAAUGAGAAGGUUUUUUCUUUUUCUUUUUCUUUCUUCGCAUGACUUUGAGUUCAUCUUCAAUAUCCGUAUCAUCCAAGCAAGGACAAUCUGGAUUACACAUAUGGGCUUCAGGAACAUCCCAUAGAAAAUGACCAUUGAUUUUAUCAAGAUAUACAGGAUACCCUUUGGAUGAGAAACCAUGAAUUGGAAGUUUCUUUUCUUGACCAGUUUGGACUACUGUAAUCAUAGCAGUGUAAGAAAGCCUUGGAGUUACUGAAAUGGGUUGAGGCUCGGGUGUUUGAAAAGAUAGUUUGACUUGACCAUUUGUAUUCUUUCAAACGUGGCGUCUGUUGCUUGAACUGGUUCAGCGUUUUGGUGGAAGUGCUCAUAAUUGGUCAGCCAUUCAAGAGGCAUGAGUUUGAGCAAUUCUUGUUUCUGGAUUUUUUUUUUGGGAAUUUGGAUGAUGGUUGGAAUUGUGUUUGUGUCAGCAAGGAUAAUUAAGGCAUCAGAUGUGGUGUAAGGUGUAGCAAGAUCUAGUUCAUGAUUUUGUAAUCGAUACACUAUUUGGUGAUGAAGAGUGGCAAGCUUUGAUGUGGGGGUCUGGUCUGCUCCUUGGAGCUAGAUCUGGACUUUGAUGGUUGUAGGAAGGUUGGGAUCCUCAAAAGAAAGGUUGAAAUUUGGAUAAAAGGUUAAGAGGACACUACUAGCAUGGAGUAUGGUCAGAAUGGUUCCUCUAAUAGCAUGUUGGUAUUGUUUGAACCUGGUGUCCAGGAGAGCAAUUUUGGCUGUAACAAGUAAGCCUUUUUAGAACCAAAAACAAAGCCAACUUCAUCCUCAUCUACUCCUCCGGUACCUCUCGAAGAUUCACCAUAAGCAACUCCUGACCCUCCACUCACAGCCACUAAUCUCAGCAUUGUUGACAUCUCUUUAGGAAAGAUUUUCCAAAUGGCAAUGUUAGGCCUCGAUAAAAUUUGUGAGCAGAAGGAAUUCUUCAAAGAUCUCAUGGCAGACACAAAACCCUUCUCUGAAGCUUGUAAAAAACCUUAUCUCAAGAUGGAGUGCAAAGAUGAAAAGAAGUGUGUUUGUUCGCCCAAAAAGAAAAAAACAUUUUAAAAAACACUUCCACAAAAAAUCAUCCUCCAAAAGACCUUUCCGGUAUUUCAGAAAAAAGGAUGUCUCCCAGUACAGAAAGAAAAAACAUAACCGUUGUUUCAUCUGUAAAAAACGCGGUCACUUUGCUCGAAACUAUCCCCAUAAGUCUGCCAAAGUUGUUCGUCUGAUACAGCACCUUCAACAUUCUUCCCUGUUAUAUGAGAACGAAGAUGUUGUAUCAAACUUUUCUGAACAAUCAGAACAAGAUGACCAAACUGCUUUCAUCAUCGCAGAAUCUUCAGAUUCUGAGGAUAUUUCAGUCAUCUCUACAGUUCAAAAUGUCAACCAUGUUUCCACCAUUCCCAGACCUUCACUCAAAAUGUCAAUCAUUCCUUCCAAGUUUCAUAAACCUGUUCCUGUCAUCAGGUUUAUUGACACUGGUGCAGAUACCAGUAUGAUUGACCCUUCUGUUCUUCCCUCAGACUAUUGGGAACCUCAUUCAAAGCUUUUCAGAGCUGUUAAUGGAGAAACUUUUGAGACCACUUUGAUUACUAAAAAACCCAUUGGUAUUCAAUUUUUUCCGAAUUGUAUAAUUUGGAAAAAGAUUGUAGCCUCCAAUUCCCCGAUAAAGAUCUCCUCAUAGGUUUUGGCAUUCUUCAUUUGGUUAAAAACCUAUUCCUCACCAAUUCUGGAGUUCGCUACAAACAAAUGUUCUUAUCCUAUACCAAUACUCUCCCUCUGUAUGCACUUUCAGAAACACCAUCUCCAUACAAUCAUCUCUCCCAUAAGUUCUUAGAGUUUUGUCCAGAAAAUCAUUCACAGUUUCACUAUCCUUCACUCCUUUGGAAGAAUGAAUAAUUUUUUAUCCAUCUUCCUUUCAAACUCAAUGAAGACAUAAAUCCCAAAAAUGCUUCUCACCCGGGUAUGUCUCCUUCAGAUUUCUUGCAACACUUCACGCAUAAGUGGUAUCAUUAGUAAUUCCAAAUAAUCUUAUUUGAUCUCCUAGAAGAAGAUUACCUAAACAUGGAAACAACUUCAUCUUCAGCCUCAACACCUUCAUCGUCUUCAUCCCAUAUUUCUCUUUCCUCCAGUCUCUCUCUUCCAAGAUCAUGUCAAAAACAUGUAGCCUCUAAAAUUAAAAACCUUGUCGAAUAUUCUUAUAUUCCCGAAUAUGCCCAAAUCAAUGAAUCAUAGUUUCCUAUCAUGAGUCCCUACAACCUCUACAAACAAAAAACUUCUCUCACCAGAAGUAUCAUAACCCUCAUCUCCAUAAAAAGACCACUCCCAAAAGAGUAUAUCCAGUCUUCUAAACUCGAUCAGUGUGCUUUACAAGCCUCUACAAGUGAACAGUAUGUCACUUUAGAAAUACCCUCAGAUCUCGUAGCAAACUGGAAACGAGAAGGGUAUACCCAUCUUCAUCUUGGUGGUAUUAGAUUGAUUUUGACUCUCCAUGGUCGAAAAGGCUUACCUGUUACAGCCAGAAUUGCUCUCCUGGACACCAGGUUCAAACAGUAACAACAUGCUGUUAUAGGAACCGUACUGACCACACUCCAUGCUGGUAGUGUCCUCUUAACCUUUUAUCCAAAUUUCAACCUUUCUCUUGAGGAUCCCAACUUUCCCACAACUAUCAAAGUCCAAAUCCAGCUCCAAGGAGCAGACCAGACCCCCACAUCAAAGCUUGCCACUCUUCAUCACCAAAUAGUGUAUCGAUUACAAAAUCAUGCACUAGAUCUUCCUACACCUUACACCACGUCUGAUGCCUUAAUGAUCCUUACUGACACAGACACAAUUCCAACCAUCAUCCAAAUUCCUAAACGAAUCCAGAAACGAGAAUUGCUCAAACUCAUGCCUCUUGAAUGGCUGACCAAUUAUGAGCACUUCCACUAAAACUCUGACCCAGUUCAAGCAACAGAAGCCACGUUUGAAAGAUGACAAAAUGGUAAAGUCAAACUAUCUUUUCAAACACCCGAGCCUCAACCUGUUUCAGUAACUCCAAGGCUUUCUUACACUGCUAUGAUUACAGCAGUCCAAACCGGUCAAGAAAAGAAACUUCCAAUUCAUGGUUUCUCAUCCGAAGGGUAUCCUGUAUAUCCUGAUAAAAUCAAUGGUCAUUUUCUAUGGGAUGUUCCUGAAGCCCAUAUGUGUAAUCCAGAUUGUCCUUGCUUGGAUGAUACGGAUAUUGAAGAUGAACUCGAAGUCAUGCGAAGAAAGAAAAAGAAAAAGAAAAAACCUUCUCAUUCAAAAACAUCUUGCAAAUCUUUUCCUCCACUAUCUCCACCAGAUCCCAAACCUCAUGUUCAACCAAUAAGAUCAUGCCUAAUAUUUUCAGGUCAAUCUUAUGAAGAGUCCUUCCCUGCACUUGAAAAGCAGACAGACACUCAAACCAGAGUUGUCUCUAAACCCUUUGUCCAGUCCCCAGUUACAGCCUUUGGGCAACCUGAAGAGCCAAAAUAGUAUGAAGCUAUUUUAAAUUGGCAAACCAAAAAUACCAAUGCUCAGAAUCAAACCCUCAACCAACUCAGAAAAAGAAUUGAUCGAGUUGCCAGUCAAGUCUCCCAGACUGAAAUUAAAGUUUAUUCAAUCAGCCAUCGUCUUUAAAGAAAACUCACAGCCACUAAUCUCAGCAUUGCUGACAUCUCUUUAGGAAAGAUUUUCCAAAUGGCAAUGUUAUGCCUGGAUAAAAUCUAUGAGUAGAAGGAAUUCUUCAAAGAUCUAAUGGCAGACACAAAAUCCUUCUCUGAAGCUUGUAAAAAACUUUAUCUCAAGAUGGAGUGCAAAGAUGAAAAGAAGUGUGUUUGUUCGCCCAAAAAGAAAAAAACAUUUUAAAAAACACUUCCACAAAAAAUCAUCCUCCAAAAAACCUUUCUGGUAUUUUGAGACAAAUGGAUGUCUCCCAGUACAAAAAGAAAAAGCAUAACCAUUGUUUCAUCUGCCAGAAACGUGGUCACUUUGCUCGAAACUGUCCCCAUAAGUCCGCCAAAGCUAUUCGUCUCAUACAGCACCUUCAACAUUCUUCCCUGUUAUCUGAGAACGAAGAUGUUGAAUCAAACUUUUCUGAACAAUCAGAACAAGAUGACCAAACUGCUUUCAUCAUCGCAGAAUCUUCAGAUUCUGAGGAUAUUUCAGUCAUCUCUACAGUUCAAAAUGUCAACCAUGUUUCCACAAUUCCCAGACUUUCACUUAGAAUGUCAAUCCUUCAUUCCAAAUUUCAUAAACUUGUUCCUGUUAUUGGGUUUAUUGACACUGGUGCAGAUACCAGUAUGAUUGACCCUUCUAUUCUUCCCUCAGACUAUUGGGAACCUCAUUCAAAGCUUUUUAGAUUUGUUAAUGGAGAAACUUUUGAGACCACUUUGAUUACCAAAAAACCCAUUGGUAUUCAAUUCUUUUCGAAUUGUAUAAUUUGGAAAAAGAUUGUAGCCUCCAAACUCCCUGAUAAAGAUCUCCUCAUAGGUUUUGACAUUCUUCAUUUGGUUAAAAACCUAUUUCUCACCAGUUCUGGUAUCAGAGCCUACCCAUCCUUGAAAAUUUGUAUGUUUUCUCAAUAUCAGUUUUUUAUGCUCAAAAUGGUAUGCUUUAAUUCUUUGUUCUCCUUUGAUUUCUAGUACUUCAGGCGUAGAGAGAUUUUCUUAUUCAUGGCUUCCACUUCCCCUUCCACUUCUUCCAAUCCUGUUACUCUUUCUUCUCCUCUUUCUUUGCCCCAAUCUUGUACUUUUCAUACCACCAAUAAGAUCGAAAACCUUGUAGAAUAGUCCUACAUCCCUGAAUCAGCCCAACUCAGUGAGUCCUCCUACCCUCUCAUCAGCCCUUACCAGCUAUAUAAACGCCCCAGUUCCAUUACCCGUAGUAUUCGCACCCUGAUCUCUACCAGAAGGCCACACCCUAAAGAAUAUAUCCAAUCUUCUCGCCUGGAUCAAUGUGCUCUCCAAGCAACCUCUGCUGAGCAAUAUGUCACUUUGGAAAUACCCUCCGAAUUGCUUUCUAAUUGGAAAAGAGACGGCUAUACCCAUCUCCAUCUUGGAGGCAUCCGCCUAAUCCUUACCCNNNNNNNNNNNNNNNNNNNNNNNNNNNNNNNNNNNNNNNNNNNNNNNNNNNNNNNNNNNNNNNNNNNNNNNNNNNNNNNNNNNNNNNNNNNNNNNNNNNNNNNNNNNNNNGGAAGUGUUUUACUCACCUUUUAUCCAAACUUCAACCUUUCUCUUCAAGAUCCCAACUUGCCCACAACCUUGAAAGUCCAAGUUCAGAUUCAAGGUGCUGAACAAAUUUCUUUUGCCAAAAUUGCCACCUUGCACCACCAACUGGUCUAUAGGCUUCAAAAUCAUGCUUUAGAUCUACCCACUCCAGAACACCAUUCUGAUACCCUCAUGGUAUUAGCCGAAUCUGACCAAAUUCCCACCAUCAUUUAGAUCCCAAGACAAAUUCCUCGUCAUGAGCUCAUCAAGCUUAUGCCUCUUAAAUGGAUCUCCAACUAUGAAUAGUUUCAUAACCAUACGGCUCCAAUUCAGACAUCUAAAAGUAUGUUUGAAAGACGACAAGAUGGCACAGUCAGAAUGACUUUUAAACCACUUCUAAGUGCUCCACAAGAGCCUCCUCGGCUCUCCUUUACCUAUUCUUCAAUGAUCACAGUUGUUCAGACAGCCCAAGAAGAUUUGCCCAUUACGGGGUUCAAUUCUGAAGGCUACCCUGUUUAUCCAGCAAAGCACAACAGCCAUUUCCUAUGGGAUGUCCCUGGCUCAGGCAUGUGUGACCCAAAUUGUCCCUGCUGGGAUGAUUAGGACGAAGAUGAUGAUUAUGCAACCACAAGGAAAAAGAAACCCAAAAGGAAAAAACCUCCAGCAUCAUGCCAACCCUAUGAACCCAAAUCUCCAAAAGAUCCUCCACCUCCACCAGCCCCAUUACCCAUCUACACAGCAUAACUCCGAUGGAUUGCAAAGCAUUGCAAACCUGAGGUUCCAUCUCCUAUCCCAAAUUCACUACCUCUUGUACAACCACUGGCUUGUAUGAUGUUUUCCUCUACUUCUUCAAAUUAUUCUUCUUCCUUUCCUCCUUUAGACACUCACACAGAUUCACAACGAAACGUUGUAUCCAAACCCUUUAUCCCUUCAGCCAUAACCUCGACCGGUCAUCUUGAACCACCUAAACCUUUUGAAUCAGUCCUCAACUGGUAAACUCAAAAUGCCAGAGCACAGAAUGAUACUUUGUUAAAUAUCAAUUCAAAAGUUGAGAAAAUUAGUUUACGAACUGAACAACUUGAGACAAAAGUUGAUUCCAUCACUGCAUAAAUGCAGCAGAUCCACCAAAAUCUCUUGUCCAAAAUUACUCAACUUGAUUCCGAGUUACGAACCAUGCUGGCCCAGCGCUAUUCUAGCCCAGAAUUUGAUCAAAAAGAAAGGGAAAUCAGACGUGUAAAAGUUGAGCUUGCUCAGAUUGAAUCUGACAAACAAAGACCUACCCUUUUUACCACAUCACCUCCUAUCCCUUCCAUCGGUCCAACUUAUUAUCCAUUUGCCUCUGUGCUUUCCCCUAUCCGACAGUAUGAUCCUUCCAAGUUAUUUGGUAUGACUCAUACUCUUUUUUGGGAUAAUCCAUUGCCACCACCACCUAAACCUAAACCAAAGCCUAAACCACAACUGGGACCCGUCACAAUUCAUCAGUCAUCCAUUUCCAUCCCUGGCCAACAAUCUCCUAGUUAUACGCCGGCAUCACCGCCCGCACCUCCAUCACCAUCUUUAUCCCAACCUCCUAUCCAAUCCAAGGAUAAAGAACCUAUGCACCAGUUUAGUGCCCAAGUCGACCACUCAUCUUCUCUAGAUGACCAAACUUCUGAUUCAAAUCUAGUUGUUUCUGAUAGCCAUACCGAAACUGACACAAAAUCUUCAGCAUCCACCAGUGACUCUGAAAAGUCCUAUGCUGAUAUCACCAGAAUCUUGAUGGCUCAACCUGCCCAAGGCCAAACCUCUCAUACAGAACCCUAUGUUGAUAUUCCCUCAGAAGUUGAAGAAGAAAUGCCUGAAUCUUCUGCCACAAACCAAUCCCCUCCAGCCCAGGCCCAGCCCAAUCCACCCAGUCAGAAAUUAUCAAAUGGUCCAUGGUUCACAUUUGAUGAUCUUCCAUCUCAUAAAUGGCGUGACCGCCUUAAUGAAAUGUCUGCCUGGAUUGACCUCCAAAUGCUAAGGCCAGGAGCCAUAACUGAAUCCGUCCUUAGAGAAUAUGCUACUCGUUUUACAGGUGCUCUAAGAGAUUGGUUUGAUUCUUUAGGCAACUACAGACAAUUACAGUUUGUUCAAUUACCAGAAGUCUCAAGUGCCCUUGCGGUUAUCCAUGAUCAAUUCCUUGGAGACCCUUCUGCAGUUUUUGAAGCUGGACGCCGAGACUAUCUCAACAUGAAAUACUGUUCACUCAAUGCUAAGGAUCUUGACUUCCAUUAUAAACGAAUGUCCCUGCUGUUCUAUAAGCUUAAUGGAUUCAAUGAGUCGACAUUAAAGCAUGUCUUUCUAGCUUCCCUUCCAGACGAACUCCAACCAGACAUACAAAGACAACUCACUGCAUCCAAUCUUGCUCUUGACAACAUCUCCCUUGGCAAAAUCUUCCAGCUUGCCAAAACUUGUCUUGACAAACUUUGUGAGCAGAAACAGUUUUUCAAAGAACUGUUGAAAGAUAAAGAACCAUUCCGGAGUGCUUGCAAAAAGCCUUAUUUGCAGAUCAAAUGUCAGAAGAAAAAGGAUUGUGAUUGCAGUUCUGAGAAGAAAAGACAUUUAAGGAAAUUCAAAAAUCCAGAAUUUUCAUCCAGACCUCGCAGAUCCAGAAAGCCUUACAGAUUCUUCAGAAAGAAGUCAUCUUCUUCCAGAGACUUUAAACGAAGAAAAUCAAGCAGAUGUUUCAUCUGCAAGAGAAAAGGCCAUUACGCCAAAGAUUGUCCCAACAAACAGAAAAAAUAUAUUCAGCUAGUUGAGCAUCUUCAAGCCACUACAGAUUACUCUCCCGAAAAAGAUGAACUAGAAUUCUAUUUCUCUGAACAAGAUAAACCCAAUGAUGAAACUGUGUUCGCACUGUAAAAUUCCUCUGAUGAUUCAGACAGUGAUCAGUCCCAAGUGAUUUUCCACCAACAGCUACUGUCCCUCGACACUACUGUUCCUAUACCUUCCAUCAAACUCCAGAUCUUGCCCUCAAAAUUCCAAAGGCCCGUCCUAAGCAUUGGUCUCAUCGACACUGGCGCCCAACGUAGCAUGCUAAACCCACAUAUCCUUCCAUGACAAUACUGGACAGAGUCUGAAGAACAUUUCAAAGCCGUCAAUGGCAAACUAUUCACCACCUCUUUGAUUACCAAAAAACCUAUUGGUAUUCAAAUCUUCCCCAAUUGUGUCAUUUGGACUAAGGUCAUCGGUUCAACCCUUCCUAAUAAGGAUUUCUUGUUAGGUUUUGACAUCUUUCACCAGAUCAAACACCUUCAAAUCAUUCCCACUGGAAUUCGAGUCAAGUCUAUGUUCAAACCAUUCACAAACAUUCUGAAACUCUACAAUCUGUCUGAAUCUCCCCAGGAUAUUUCGACUAAACUUUUGAAUUUCUAUCCAGAAUCCCAUUCUGAGUUCACCCAUCCAACAUAGAGGAUCCUUGAGAUCAUGACUUCUCAAGUGAUUAUGACCUGUAGCACACCUUUUUAGAAAGCCAAGCCCAUCGAUCAAGACUUGGACAAAUGGACAAAAGAUAAAGCAUGCUUACUAAGACUUUUACAACUGGCAAAAGCCAAAGCGUAAGGUAAGCCAAGACAAAACCAUAAAGUAAAACAUAAUUAUUACAACAAGACAAACUACUUUAUUGAAAGCAACAAGACAAACAACUUUAUGGAGAGCGGAGAUUCAUGUAAUUGUCUUCGAAUGAGCUUUCGGUUUCAUCGGGGUCAGUGUCACGGUUGGAUUUUGGCAAAAAGGUCUUGGAGAGCUUUGGAUGCUUACAGUGGGGACCACGGCAAGGGGGAUAAGGACAAUCUCUUCGGUAUCCUGGCCUUGGUGAUGUUUGAGUGGCUUUGUUAACUUUGGAGGGUUUAGUGGUCGAGUCAGCAUUGGGAGAUUGGGAUGAGGAUCCUGGUUCAUUCAUGGAUGGUUGCGGAAACUGUUGGAGAUGUUGGCUGAGGGGAAGGAAAUCUUCCCAUGGGUCUUGGGAGUCUUGGUAUAGAAAGUCGGUGUAGUCGGGUCGUUCUUCUUUAAUGAUGAUACCUGUGGAUUUAGGUUUAGAUAUGGCGAAUUGAGUAGGGAUCAUGAGGAGGUCAUGUUGUGGGCCUAAGGAGGUGUGGAAGAUGUCUUUAAGUGGCGGAGGUUGGUGGUUUAAUUGGCAAAGGUAGUUGUGAAGGACAUCUUGGAUUUCAUUUUCAAUGACAACUAGAUGUGGGGCAGUGAACCAUUCAUAUACCUGGUCUUGAGUCCAAAAGAGUUUUGUGUCUGGAUGCUGAAAGUAUGGCCUGUGAAUGAUAAAGACUGAGGUAAACAUUUGUGCUUCCGAGGCAGGCAUACGUUUAAAGUUGUAAAUUUCUGACAGUUGUUGGAGCUUCUUUCUCCAACAUGGUAUGGGGGAGAACCAUUCAAGUAAUGUCCAGGUAAGAGAGGUGGCUUUGUCUGGGUCAAGGAGAUGUUCCAAAGUGGGAGUAAUUGGUAGGACUAACUUAGUGGCAUAAAGGACUGUUAGGCACCAGAUGUACCAUAAUACAUCUUCAGUGGUGUCUCUGGAUGGAUCAAGGGUUAAACCUGUAAGGAACAGAUUUUCUGGGUGGAAGGAGGAAAAAGGAAAAGGUUAUGUGACAAGGUAGGCUUUCAUGAAGAAGCGAAAGAGAGCUUUCUUUGCAAAUUCUUAGAUGGCAAAGAUAGAAGAGAAGUUUUUGUUAAAGGGAAAAGUUUUCUUAGUGAGAGCUUCUGGGGGUAGUGAUGUAGCCAUGGAGAUAAUUGGAAAGUGGUAUGUAGUGGAAAACAGGGUGAGAGGUUUUUCUGGUUUUGAGAGUCUGGUGAGCAUAUCAGGGAUGAGGUUCUGGGAUCCCUUUAUAUGCUUGACCGAAAAGUCAUAUUUGGAAAACCAAUCUUUUAAUCUGAGUAACAUUUUUUCAGGAACAGUUUUACCUUUGAAAUUGAGAAUAUUGGGGAAGGCUGAACUAUCCAUACGGAUGAGAAAGUGGUGUCCAAUCAGAUGAUACUUAAACUUUUUGAUGCCAUUCUUUACCGCUAAGAUUUCUUUGAACACGCUAUGGUAAUGCUUCUGUGUGUCAGAAAAUUGUCCACUAGCGUAAGUGAUAAAGUGUUCUUUUCCAUUGAAUUCUUCAAGGAGGAUGGCACCCAUGAGUCAUCACUUGCGUCUGUCUGUAAUAUGCGCUUUCCAUCAGUAAUCAACUUUAAAGGAGGCGGAUUUUGCGCAAUCUGCUUGAGAGUAGUGACAACAUUUGUGUGGUCAGCAUUCCAUGCUGGGGGCUUCUUUUUCAAUAAAGCUGAAAGGUGAUGAGUGUAGUGAUCCACAUGUGGGAUGAAGUCUCUGAUGUAAUUGAUGAUGCCGAGAAACUGUUGAACUUGCUUUUUGGAAAGUUGCUGAUCUGGAAAGUGAAGCAACUCUUGGGCAAUGUGUUUUCCUGGUUGAUAAUGGCCAUCUUUUAUGAUCGUGCCAAGGAAUUCAAUGUUCUCCGUGGCAAUGGUGCUUUUCUUGGCAGACAGCAUAAUUCCAUGAUUUUGGAUAAUAUCAUAGAAUUGAGUUAACAGCUGGCGAUGUUCAUCAUGUGAUCCUAAAAAAAGCAAGAUAUCGUAAAUGUAAAUCAAUACAUGAUGCAGGAUGGGCUGAAAAAUAUGGACCAUGAAUUUUUGAAAAAUGGAUGGGGCAGUUUUGAGGCCAAAAGGUAGGACGGUCCAUUGGAAAUGGGCAUUUGGAAUACAAAAAGCAGUUUUGUAACGCUCAGAGGGUUCAAUGCCUAAUUGCCAAAAGCCUGAUUUUAAAUCAAAUUUUGAAAAGAUCUGGGCAUUUUUGAGAAAAGUAAACAUGCUUUGUCUACGGGGCAAGGGAAACUUGUCAUCUUGCAAAAACAUGUUUAAUGGCUGGUAGUCAAUGACUAGGCAUUUCUUUCCUCGGAUAAUUUCAGAAUGCUUUUCAACAUAAAAGGCUUGGCAAUUUUAUAUCAAUGGCUACCUCUAAAACCUCUUCCUCAAUAUAUGUCAAACUAUCAAUAUCGUCAUCUGUUCUGAUUAAAAAAAAAAAUCACAAGUUAUAUCUCAAGUAUAUGAUAAUUGAUCCAAAAAAAUAAAAUAAAAUGAAUAUACAAAUACAAAUAAAUAAAUAAAAACAUUAGAAAGUUCAACUCACAACAAUAAAAUGAAGUUCAACAAAUACAUUUCAGCAAAAAAAAAAAAACAUAAAGUUCGACAAAUAAAAGUUCUACAAAGUUCAAACCAUAAAAUAAACAAGCACAUAGUUCACAGCCAACAACAUCCAAGUUAAACAUAUUACAUAUUAAAGAACAAACUAUAAACUAGUUAACCAAUAAUUUUUCCUAUGCUCAGAAAAGCUUUCCUCCACUCAAUACUGGGCACUAGCUUAGCCAUCAAUUUGUUGUAUGUAUCUCCAUAGACCACUUUUCAACACAUUGAGAAGUUGACUCUGCACUUUUGCAUUUAACCAUCUCCAUUCUAGCUUCAUCACUGAACUAGUCAUUUUAAAGUAACUAUCAAACUCACUCUUUUUUUUUUACCAUGCUUAGUUGAAGUUGCAACUGGCCAACGAGGCCUUUUUUCUGUCCUAGUCUAGGAAAGAGGUUCUAUUGAAUCAUCAUCCUCAAUAUUAACAUGAACUCCAUGACCAAGAUAAUCCUCUUCCAAUUCACGAUCCUCAUCCGAGGACAAUGGAACUUGGUUAGAGGAAAAACACAAAUGGCCAGAAGCUAUGGUGGUGUUGAAUAUCUCCCCUAAGGUUUAGUAGUGCUCGAAUCCUUUUUUACGAUAUGGCUUCACUCCAGACACUCUCUAUGUAAAAACAUAAGUGUAUAAAAUCAAAAAAUAAUAUUUUAAUUUUAUAUGAAACUAUUUAACAUAUUGUGAAUAUAGUUUUACCUUAAUAUAUUCAGCCCAAACAGCUUCUGAUGCUGUGACAGUAUUUGAAACAAGAUCCCAACCAAACCCGGUAUGGGCUAUUAAGUUAGAAAACUCUCGAUGUUUUUUGCACAACCUAUUAAACUUGGACUUAAGUUGCCCUACAUUGAAUCUUUUUUAGGAUUGUUCAAAUAACUCAUCACUUAUAUUGGUCCAAAUUUUCUUAGUGAAAGUUGAUGUUUGUAAAUCACCCUUUUUAACAUGGUCAUGUACUAUACAAAUAAAAAUGGUUUUGGUCCGGCUAGACCAAUCAGCCUUAUCCUCAACAUCAACAUCAUGUGGAUCCAUAUCUUGAAAAAUUAGGAAAAAAACACAUAUAAAAUAUUAAUCAAAUUCAAUAAAGCAUGAAAGCCAUUUCAGCAACAUGUCAGACAUUAAAAACUGAAUGUUACUCGAAAAAUUUAAAAAAAAAAAACAUAUAUCAUAUAUUAAUCAACUAAAAACACUGCUCUUACAUAUACAUAGAUUAUAAAUUACAUAAGCCAAUUUAAAUUAAGGCCGAGCUCUCAUCAAAAGUUUUUUAGGGUACAAUAAAAAAAUGGGUUUCUAUUUUUUGUUCUCACUUCUACAAGUUGCAGAUUGGAGUGAAUUCUAUCCAGGCAAUACUUUUGGCAUGACAGGCAAUAAAUUCAAUUGUGAAUUCCAUCUAAAGCAAUAAAUUGAAAUUACAGAUUGUUUGACUGAAUUCUAUCCAGGGCAAAGCUUAAAAAAUCUCUAUUUCUCUCUAAUAACAAAAGUCCAAUUUGCCUAAAUCAUUUUCUCUGUAAAAAUAAAAUUGGAGUAACAGGUAAUAAAUUCAACUUGUGCAUCAUCAACAAAAUGGAAUUUGUAGUAAAAUCAAUAUUAUAGCAAUGACAAUCGUGAACAAUACCAUCUUUACAUGCUAUUAAAAACAAUUAAAAUCACUUAAAUAAUUUCUGAAAAUUUUAACUCAAAGAAAACAAAUACCGGCAAGUGACAGAUCUAGGAGAGCAACAACGGCUAGGCAAAGAUGGAGCAACAAUAGCUGAACAGAGACGAAGCAGCAAUGGCUGAGCAGAGACGAAGCAGUAGUAGCUAUGGCAGAAACAAAGCAGCGGCAGUGGUGAGACACGAUAGCAGUUGGAUAAAGAGGAGAGAGUAGAUCGGGAGAAAUAAAGAGAGAGAAAGAUGUUGGAUGAAGAUAAGGGGAGGGAGAGAGUGUAGAUUUGCUGCAACUGGAUCAAGAAAGCUGCGGGGGAAGAGAGAGAGGCAGUGAAGAGAUAAGGAGGAGAGAGUAGAUCGGGAGAAAUAAAGAGAGAGAAAGAUGUUGAUCAAGAUAAAGGGAGGGAGAGAAUGCAGGUUUACUGCAACUAGAUGAAGAAAGCUGCGGGGAAGAGAGAGCAGCAGUGAAGAGAUAAGGAGGAAGAAGGUCAUGAUUUUGCUUUUGUUUUUCAAUUCAUUUUUAGGUUUAGUUUGUAAAAUUUGGAGAACAUGUUUAACAUGUUUUCAGUUUGGUAGUUAUAAUAAUGAAUCCAGAUUUUAUGUUUUGUAAUUUGUUUUAUGUGUGUAUUAUAAAAAUGAAAAUGAAAACAUUGCUUGGAAAAGGGUACCGAACUGGCCCUUAUCAUCUCUGCAAAUCUGUUGCAGCAGCAUUCCAUCUUUAAAACUUAAGUUUUUCGGUCACCUACAAUUAUACACAUAAUCUAAGUAGUAUAGGAAAGCUUUGGACUGUCUAGAUGGUGUGUAGAAAGGUGUAUAGGUUUCAAAGAACGGAGGAGAUACUGGUGUUGGUUGUGGUUGAGUAAAAAGGGAAGGUCGAGUCUUUUCAGCUGAACAGUGAAGUCAUACUUAGCAAACCAGGUUUUCAGAUUGAGCAGUUGCUUGUCAGGGAGCAACUUGUUUUUGCCCAGAGGCUGUAACGGGAGAUUGGACAAAGGGUUUGGAGAUAACUCGGGUUUGUGUGUCUGUCUGUUUUUCAAGUGGAGGAAAAGAUUCUUCAUAGGAGUGGCUUGAAAACAUAAGGCAUGAUCUGAUUGGAUGGACAGGAGGUUUGGGAUCUGGUACUAAAAUGGAUGCUCAUAUCAAAUGUAACUAUAAUGCAAUAAAAACACAUAAUUUACUCUCUAAGUAAUAUUGAUUUAAGGCUAAAAGUGUCAUGAUAACUGUCAUUUCAUAGCAUUAUCAUUAGGCAAGUACAAUAUGGGAACAUUAGUUAGCUUUUGCUUGAUCAUUUGAAACAUAUUCUCUUGUUCUUCUCCACACAUGAAUCCAACAUCUUUUUUUAUUACUUCGGUAAGUGGUGUGGCCAAUGUGCUAAAGUCUUUCACAAACGGCUGGCAGAAGCCAGCGAGCUGGUGAAAGCUUCUUACAUUACUUACGCCUAUGGGACUUGGCCACUCUUGGAUUGCAUAUGCCUCCUUAUCAAUCUGAAUACCCUGUGCACUCACAAUAAAUCGUAGAAACACAAGUUUAUCGGUGCAAAAGGUACACUUCUUCAGAUUAGCAAAUAACUUUUCAUUCCUAAGCACAUCUAAAAUAGAUUUCAAAAGUACUACAUGUCUGUCCUAGUUUUUGCUAUAUAUGAGGAUAUCAUCAAAAUAAACAACAAAGAACUUGCCAAUAAAAGCUUACAAAACAUGAUUCAUACGUCUCAUAAAAGCACUCUAAGCAUUAGUCAGACCAAAAGGCAUGACUAACCAUAUUUUGUUUUAAAGGCAAUUUUUCAUUCAUCACCUUCUUUCAUUCUAACCUGAUAAUCACCACUUAAUUAACCAUUCAUAUGAUGUUCCUAAUUAAAGUUAGGCCUUUGAUAAAUGUCGUGCCUAUAUUAAUUACAUAUUUACCCUUAAGUCACUAUUUGUUCAAACAAUCACUUUUAAUAUAUCUAUAUUUGUAAAUAAAUUUUGCAAAUAAAUAUUAUUAUUCAAUUAACAAUUUAUUAAAGGUUGUUUAUAGUGAAGUAUAACAUGAAAGAAAAGUAGGGCUUAUGGAGAAUAGAGAGUUUUCUAAGAAAAGAAUAAGGAAAAGCUUCUUUGAGAGUUUUUGAAGAAAAGAACAAGCAGCCUCUCAAGAAAUCAAAUCUAGAAAAAUCACAUAGGGUUGGUCGGAGCAAAAGGAGAGAGAUAAAACUAGAGAUCCCUUUCAAAAUUGAACAUGUAGAGCUUAUAUAGGCGUGUUCAUGAAGGUAUUUUGGUGAUUUUGCAAAGCUCGUGAAUUUUCAUUGGUGUUUCCUUCUUGUCCUUUAAUGGUGACCUCCAACCACCAUUUUGUCUUAACAGCUGGGCACAUGGCAAACUCUUAGCCUUGUGGUCUUAUUAUUUUUCUAGGAAUAUUAGCUGAGUUGGUCCCUCCUGUUUUCACUCAUUUUAACCAAAAAUAAUAUAUUUUAUUCUUUCUCAUGAUAGCACGUACUGUUCAUGUGUUGGCUCUAACCAACAAAUUGUGGAGUCUGAUAAUACCCUUUGAUGCUGGGCAUAUUAACCGAAAUUGUUCUUUUCCUUAGGGAGCUUAUCUUCUGACCUUUGAGAGCUUUACUGCAUUCGGUUAAAUGAGCUGACUUCAUUUGCCACUUGUCAUCCAUCAUUAGUCUAUAUCAGCAUCUAACCAAAUUUCCUCCUAAACAAAAGCAUUAAAAUUAAGAAAGAUAUAAGAUGAAUCAAGAAAUAAACACAUAAGAUCUAUUUAUUAAUCACUAAUUAUAUUUCACAUUCAAUCAAAUGAAAAUAUCUAAUAAUCUUAGUCACAAUUUACCCUUUAGGUUUAGCUCUUUGAAAAUCACAGAUCAAAAACUCUAAAAUAACAAUCAUAACCCCAUCAAAUUCAUAUAUUUGGCCACCUAACAAGAUAGCAAUUAUUGAACACUAAAAUUAGUGAAACAUAAAAUUUUCUUGAGAAAGAUGAAGAAAUUCUUAUUCAAAAACUUUAUUAAUAAAAGUCUAUGUCUAUGGUUUUGAAAACAACCUUAACCAAUAAAAAGAUUACUCACACACUUCUGGAUUAUUCAAUAAAAAAAUGCAUUAAACAAAACUAAAAAAAGACAAGAGAAAGAAAGGUUUAUUGAUUAAAUUAUAGCUAUGGCAGCCAAGCCUUCUCUUCAGUUUGCCUACCCAUUACUACAAAAAUAACCCUUAUUGACAUUUGGUUUACCAAAACUUUGUAAAAUGUGUCAAUAAUCGAGUAUAUAUGCCCCAUUUUUGGCUUUUAACAAAUAAGUAUCUAAUAUGAACCCCGCCAAGAAUUGAUGCAACCCUAACCGAUUUAGUCCCUAAGAUCGAAUUCUAGAAUUGGAGUUGUAUGGAACUGCAACCCGAUACUCAAUGAAGGCAUAAAUCUUAGUAUGUAAGGACACCACAAUCAGGUAUGGAUAGGGUGAUUGAUAUGUCAAGGGCAAGAACCAAAAAGAAUUAACUUUCAAGCAAAUUGCAUCAAAACUUAUCUAUCUUUCUUAUUGGAUGCGAGUACAUUAUAUAUGGUUGGUUAUAAGAAUUUCCAUCCCAUAAUUGCUCUUGGAAUUUUUAAAAAUAAAUCCAAACAAAAAUCAAAUCAGAAUUAAUUACCUAAGGAAAACAUCUAAUCUAAAGCAAAUAAGGAAAGUUUCUUAAAUUAAAAUGGAAACUAAACAAUUGAAAGAGAAAUAUAUUAUUUGUCUCGCCACUUGUCUCCUUAAGAAAUGGGGAAUUAUCAAAAAAGGAAAGAAGUAUACUUUCCGACCAUAAUAUGCAAGAUAACUCGUUGAUGUCAUAGUAGUGAUUACUCUGAAAAUUCAAGAGCUUGAGUCAGGCAUUUGGUGGUCUGACUAUCAUGUGCAAUUCCUUCAAUAGGCCUCCACGAAUUUGAUUGAGUCCAAGAUGCUUGAAUCAGCCCAUUAAGCGCAUUCUUUGAAUUUUUUUUUGCACGAGCUCUUAUGACGGGUCUGAUGGAAACUUGAAUAUGAACUAAAUAUGCUUUAUCCCAUGUGCCUGUGACAGAUUUGUCCUCAAUCUCAUCAUUCUCCUCCUCUUGAAGAGGAUUUAUGCUGAAAUCAUCAUCUGCAUCAAAAGAACUCAAAUCAAAAACAUUAAAAUAAGCACUUACAUUGUACUCGCUAGGCAAAACUAGCUUGUAUGCAUGGUUGUUGAUCUAUUCUAAGACUUGAAAAAUACCAUCCACUCGAGGUAAUAACUUGGGUUUCCUUUGUUUCGGAAAUCAUUCCUUGCGAAUGUGUAACUACAUCCAAUCGUCCGGUUCAAAGACUAGCUUGUGUCACCCUUCAUUGGCUUGUUUAGCAUAUUUCUCAGUUCUCCCCUAAUGUUGAACCAUCUAAGUUACCAUGCUCAGAAACAGGUAAUGGGGUUAAAUCUAAUAGGGCUAAAGGAUUAAAACCAUAAAUAAUUUUAAAUGGUGAACACUUCAUAGCAGAAUUAACAGAAUGAUUAUAAGCAAACUCAACAUGUGGCAAACAAUCUUCAGAAGUUUUUAUGUUCUUUUUAUUGAUAGCCCGCAACUGAGUAGAUAAAGUUCUAUUCACAACUUCUAUUUGACCAUUAGUUUGAGAGUGACAAAUAGUUGAAAACAGCAACUUAAUUUCUAACUUAGCCCACAAUAUUUUUCAGAAGUAGCUUAAAAAUUGUCCUAAGUAUACCAUACAACCUCAUAAUCUCCCCCAAAGAAUAGAUCAGUGAUAUUAGAAGAAUCAUACAAGUUAUGUUUUGUUUUAAAAGUAGUUUUUCCAUUCAUUUCCUUCUUCAUUCUACUCUGAUGAUAUCUAUUUUUCAGAUCAGUUUUAGAAAAAAACACAAGAUCUAUGCAAUUCAUCAAGCAUAUCAUCUAGCAUAGGAAUGAAAUGUCGAUACUUUAUUAUUAUGUUGUUAAUAUAAAGACGAUUAUAGAAAGAUACUACGAUUAUACUCAAACAAUAGCCUUGAAAAUAAAGGUGAUACGCUAUAAUAAUUAUAGUGACCAGAACAGGGCCUAGGCCCCUGAUGCAAUGGUUUUCUUAAGCAUUCCUUGCCAAGGGCAGCUGCUCAACCAAGCAACAAAUUACCACCCUAAAAUGUAGCCACUCGCCUGGGAUAAAUUUAUGCUCAGAUCUCAAUCCUAUAGUUUUUCCCUUCCACGCCGUCCUUAGGCAAGCUCGGUUGUUAAGGGAAAGGCUCCUGAAUUACAAGCCAUGAUCUAAAAAGUGAUUGCCUCUUAACCCUUUGACAGUUCCCGAAGUAGAUGGAGCUGCUUAAGUACUUCCAUCUCUCUAACCCGUAGGAGUUCCAGUAAAAGGUGAGGACCCAAAUAGGGACCUAUGGCAAUAGUUUAAGUUGGUUUAAGUGGCGAAGAUAGCAGUAGUAAAACCUUUUUUUUAGAGAUAGUGAAAUUCUGGACCGAAGAGAUUCAUCCGUAGUAGAUAAGGGGCCAAGACAAGAGAAGCCAAUAAAAGACAUUAAUCUUACCACUUGGCUAUAAUACUAGUAUAGCAAACCAAAGACAAGAUGCGCAAGUCGGUCUAUUCGAAUGAGAUACUAAUACAAAUAUUGUCGGGGUAAGCCAAUGGGAUACUAAGGGGAUAAAUCAAUCCGAUAAAGAGAUGUUGUUGUUCUUUUGUGCUCUAAGUAGAGCUCUUGUUACUUGAGUCACAAAACCCGAGGGAAAGAACUCAUCGGCAUGCAAGUUGAUAAAACCUAAAGAUAAGAAACGAAGAUACAAGCUUGAAGUGUCCAUGAAGCAUAUAAGGGUAGCGAGCUCUUAUUAGUAUUAGUAAUAGUAAAGUAAAGCUCCAAAAAAUGAGAGAUUAAUCUGCAGUGCUGAUCUGACUCGUCUAAAGACUCCAAAAGAUCACAUAGAAAGAAGAGUGUUUGAUAUACUAAUAGCAUCAUAAGAACAGCAACUAUACUGGUAUUGCUUCAGCCUAAGCAAAAUAAAUUUUUAAGAAAUAGUGAUCCAUACUCUCUAUCAGGGGGCUUGGGCUUGGCAACCCAUGCUCUGUCCACCAAACCAAUAUCAAAUAUCUUUGUGGGGACUUAGGCUUAUGGAACCCCUAUAUCUUAAAGGUUGUCCUUAAUAAAUAUCUCUUUCUUUCUUCUCAAGCAUAGUAGAUUAAGGCACAAUGUCUUUGAUAAAUCGUUAUCUCUGUCUCUGUCUCAUCUCAGGUUCUGUGGGUUAGUCACUUUGGUAUAGUGUAUUAGAAAAUUUAUCUUUUUGAGACAUAAAAAUUAAACUCGGCCUUAAUAUAUGAGCAAGGUCAAAUCAUAAAACCAAAGCAAUCUUUUUCAACCCAGUCCUCGAGCUUUUUUAAAACCUUGUGACUCCCAUCCCAUCAAGUACGGAACCAAACACUGAAACUAGUUCAGGUUAAGUAGAGAUCAAGGGAUGAGCGAAGCUUAAUCCUUUCUGCUGAGGUUCAAGAAUCAUACAUCAUUUAUCUGUGAGCCGAGAAAGAUUUCCAUUGUUGAGGAACUUGACGCAGAAAGAUAAAUUCAAAAAGAAAGAAAACCCCUCAAUAGAUAGAGUGAGACUAUACCCUUAUCUAUGAAAAAUUAGUUUAGAGGGUUCCAAACCUUUCUUCAAUAUAAGGGACAUUGAACCCUAGAUUUCCCUAUCUACUUUCCCAUUACUUCUUACCAAGAAAAGGCAUGCCAAAGAUUUAGGCGCACGAUCAAACGCCUUAUGUGAUAGAGGCUUCGAGAUUCAGAGCUUUAAGAACAAUAAGAACCUAUGCUUACUAAAAUAGUUUGUCGAUUAACCACUUUUUAACUUUCUUAACUUAUUUCACUUAUCGCUACUCUCCUAAGUGCCUAGAACAAGAGAUUCUCAUUGUGUCGCACCCUAAAUUCCUUCACUUUAACUAGCGUUAUUAGAAAAAAAAAAAGUAGUUUUCUAUUUAUCUAACUCGUUGUGUCGUGCUCUAAACUCACAAGGCUAGGUCUUACACCUAAAAAGAGUGUUUCAAUUUACCUAUUUCAACUUAUCUAAACAGGCUAUCAUUGCUAAUAGAAAAAAAAAAUACUUGCUUGGCCUGGCUUACCAUUCUAAAAUGAAAGUCUCAUCUUGUUCACAUUAUAGGCAGUAGAAGAGUCAUAUUGAGUCUAUUCUAGUCUUAGUUUCACUCAGUGGUUAAGCAAGCAGUGGAUGUGCAAAGAUUAACAGAGAUCUCAUAAGUUAAGGCUAAGAGAAAGAAAAGAAAAGAAAAGAUGGUGCACGGCGCAUCAGGAUAAGUUUUUGAAUUCAUAGAUAUGUCCGCUUCACUCUCAAACUGUCCAUCAGGUGCAUGUUUAGUACCAACAAAGUAAAGUUAAAGCUCUGGAUCGGCUUUGCCAACAGAUUUAAUGCUGGGGCAUAAGAACAUUAUCUUUGGAAGAGAGAUAAUACAUAAAAUUCACUCACCGAUAUUUUGAUUUUGAUUGAGAAACUAAUCAAUGAAAGCCCUUUACUAGUGUCCGGAACUUAUAUCAUCACCUACCUGGAAUUGGAAUUCUUCGCGACCUAUCUAAAAAGGCUCAAGAGGACUUUGCUUUGCUUGGCGAGAAGAGUCUUAUAUCCAUUGGUCGAGGAAAUAAAAUAAUCUUUCCACACGAGAUGAACUGUUUUUACUACUUUGAUCCCCACCACGAGGCAAGUAGGUUUCCUUGGUCAUUCAAGAAGCUCUUCUUCCUUUUCAGUAUGAGACGAAGAUUGAGGCGUCAUCGUGACAUAAAAAAUGAAGUUUUUUUGAAUUGAGAGAAGCAUUGAUCGGCCAAAGUUUGCCUUUCCACUGACUAACUCAUCGGAUUGCCUUUUCUGACCCUACUAUUUGACUUAUUCACCCUUUUUUUUUUAAAGAAUGAAAGGACAUGCACGAAUGGAUUUAUUGGGAGUAAAGGAUAUCCUCUAAAGGAGAAUUCUAAAUUGAAAAAAAAUUAUCUAACGAAGCAAUCUACUGCGCCAAAGUCGCAUUAAGACCCAUAUCAAAAGCCUGAAAGAUGUAUUUUGAUUGUGCCUUAAAAAUAGAUAAGAAAGGACAACUAAAAUCAGGGGUCAAAAUCGUCUUUAUUACUCCCAAAGGCAUCAUGAUCAUGUAUUCUUUCACUUUGUCAGAGUCAUGUUCCAACAACGUGUUAAAAUACACGAUGUUGAUUUUAGGAAUGGAACUAGCUUGUGACAUCAAAGUACAUCAAAUGGAAGUUUGAAGUAACCAAAAUUUAGUAAUUAACCAAAUGAACAGCGUCUAUGAAGUUAGAAAACCAUAUCCUUUACCCUAUCAUACAGUAGCGAGCGAAUUAGCACGCACAUUUGCAUAUUUCAACAUUAAACAUGUGCCAAGGAGACAAAACACAAAGGCAAACGUCUUAACCAGUCUCGCAGCUUCUCUGUCUUUACCAGAAGGAGAAUCCAUGAUGGCCUAUAAGCAAAGAAACCUGCCACCACUCAACACCUGUGAAAUAAGCAAAACAACUAACAAAGCAAGCAUUGAAGGGCACUCACUAAGUCUUCUAUCAAAGGAAGCUCUCGCUGAGGGCUCUUCAUAUGUCCAUCCUCUACUCAUCCAUUUCAGGUUAAGAAAAAGCCUCCUACAAGGAAUAGAAAGACUAUGCAAUAGCAUAAGGAUAACAAAGAAAACUCUUACACACAUCCUUCAUGUUCCCUUCUUAGGAACUAGCAAAACUGAAACUACACAUGAACUCAUGCUUUUUCUCACGUAUCCUUUUUCCAUUAAUUUACUUACCACUUUUGAAGUUUCUUUGUCUCCUCCGAUUUACUCCUAUAGCCUGGCCGGUUUAUAAUGGUUGCACUGAGCAUAAAAUCAAUCUAAUGCUCAAUCCCCCACAUCAGAGGUAAACCAUAUAGUAUUUUCUCAAGAAAGACAUCCUCAUAAUCCUGCAAAAGAGAAGUAAUAGAACUAGACAAGGUAGGGUCAAGUUCGUUAAUGUUUAAAUAUGCCUCUUUGCAUAAAAAUAAAAUCAUUGGCUAAUACAAAAGCAUUGCUUUUUUUAUCACUCACUCUUGCAUAGAAAUUCUUUUGUUUUCCUUCUGAUUUUCUCUCAAUGGCUACUGCAUUCUUCUUUUCAUUUUCUUUCUCAUUUUUUCUCGGCCUCUCUCUGAUUUUUACUCUCUUUUUCUUUUUUUCUUUUGUUCACUCUUUUUCUUUUAAUCACUCUCUUUAUAGGCUCGCUUGAUCUCCAUAUACAUGUUUUGGUGUCAAUAGAACAAAAGUUAUAUUGCGUUGAUUAAACACAAAUGAAUACUUAUUGGUGAGCCAUCAUACUUCACACGUCUGUCGAAUUACCAAAGCCACCCGAGUAACAAGUGUCCAACUUGCAUUAGCACUACAUCACAUAGCACCUUAUUUUCAUACUUACUAAUCCAAAAAGUCUUUAAUACCUACUUGUUCACUCGCACCUCACCACUAUAAUUUGUAUGGUCGUGGAUGUUCCUAACUUCUCCACCAUGAUAGUACUAGCAAUAUUAAUACAACAUUUUCCAUCAAUAAUCAUACUACACACUUUAUCUUGAAUAUAGCAGCUAGUAUGAAAAAUAUUUUGCCGUUGCACUACUUUGUCUUCUUUUACUUGCAUACUCAAAACUCUCCUACCUUUUAAAGUCAAUUCCCCCGAGGCUUUAUACUCUUCAUCUUCAAUGUCCUCCAAUGGUGCAUCUCAUUAUCCUCUGUUUCAUCUUUAGUUACAAUCUCUCCAUUAUCUGCAACACCAUAACUUAUUUAGACAUUCACUUGCUAUGUGUCUCCUGCCUUUACAUUUAAAACAUUUAAUAUCACAAUUCCUAGUAAUGGAAGUCAUGAUGUUAUGUGGUGAAUUAUGUUUGGAUGUGAGGUACAAUUUUCUGACUUAAAUAAAAUAGAAUUUACUUUAAGCUAAUAAGCAAUGACAUAAGUGAUGAUGUAAGAAACGUUUGUAAAGAUAGUUAAAAAUUCUAGAAUUUAGUAAGAUAUUUAUGAAGGAUAAUCUCAACCAUUGAUCAAAAGUUAUGGUGGCAAAAUCCUAGCCAUCAAUUAGCCUUAAGAAAUCCUAUAAAAUACCCCCUACCCCUUUCAUUUUUAAUCCAACCUAGAAAUUUCACCCUCUUCUAUUCUAAGUCAUAACAUCAAGAGUAGAGAAAUCCUCAAUUUAAAAUGGUCUAGAAAAGUCAAGGACAAGAGGUAAGUAACACUUAAACGGCAAUGUAGGGACAUAAUUCUUUUUAUACUUAACUUCAACUUUAAUUAAUUCUUAAUCUUGUGAUGACUAUUAUGAUGUGAUUGGUUAUGAUCUAAAGUUUUACAUGGAUGGCUAUGCCGCCUAUAUUAUAGUAAUUUCUUACUUAUCAUUAUAUAGUCGGCUAUGUCGUCUAAUCUAUGAUACUUAAUUAUGUUAUGGUCGGCUAUACCACCUAAUCUACGAUACUUAAUUAUGUUAUGGUGGGCUCUGCCGCCUAUACUAUAAUUCCAUUUUGUUUAAUCUCUGUAUGGAUGACAUUGCCGCCUAUAUUAAAGAUUGUUGUCCUUAAAUAGUGUUGUGUGUUGAUUCUAUUGUGCAUCUAAGAACUUCAAAUGUUAUGACAUAAGUUGCAUUGGACACAUGCAUUUCAUGGAUUACUUUAUGAAGAAGACAUUUCAGAAAAUGAAUUUAUGAAAAAUGGGUGGUUGUACUACCAGGUGGCAAAGUUUCCAAAGAGGGCAAGCCCUCCAAGCAUAGUAAAAGGUAAAUCUUUUAGGGACGGCAAUACAUAAUGCCCAAAAGAUCAACUAAUUAGGCCCAAGGGCAUGAUAUUUUAAAGAAUAAGAAUGUUAGCCUUAUGGUACAACAUACCUAGGGCCCUAACAAAGUUGUUUUGUAUUUUCUAAGCUUCAUUUAAAAAACUUAAUAUGGUCAUUUAUAUGCAUAAUAAUUUAUACAUGCAUCAAAGUGUUAUCUUAUUGGACAUUAACUCAAAAAGUCCUUACAUUGCAGCUAACGAUGAGUAAGGCAAGCUGACGUCAAGUUCCAACCGAGGCCAGGUGCAUAUAGGCAUAUCAAACCUUGGGUUUUAUGAUGGACUCAAUUUUGUUUCAAUAAAAAUAAAUAAAUAUCUUAGCUUUAGUAUUAAUAAAAUUUUGAGUAAUAUAUUAAGGAAUCUCUGUAUGUCUCCUACCUUUUGUAAGGAAGUUUUGCUUGCUAUGUAAAUUUUUUUUUUUAGAAUUCGUAUCUAUAUUAAAAGUAACAAUGUUUUAAACAUUUAAAAAAAAAAUUAAGUGGAGUGUUACAUUGGAGGACUUAGAUCUUGGCUUAGGUGCAGUAAAUACUUUUCGUCUCUUAUCUUGCUUUACAUAGCUCAGCUUCCAAGGAGUGGAACUUGAGCUUGGGCUUGCACGAGUUUACCCCUUCUCUUGAGUUGCUACUCAAUCUUGAUGGUUUUGUGGACCAUCUCCUUAAUCUCCACAUAAUGUUGUAACUCAACAAUAUUUGCAAUCUCCCUAAUUAAGGCCAAUCAAGAAUCGUGUCAUGGUAGUGUUUCUAUCCUCCUCCAUGUUCGCUCUAAUCAUGGCAAUCUUUAUUUCUUUGUAAUAAUCCUCUAUGCUUCGGCUACCCUGUGUAAGACUUUGUAAAUUUUUGUAUAAGUCUUAGUAGUAGUGGUUAGGUACAAAACUUCUUCUUAUUAACGUUUUCAUUUUAUCCCACGUCUCAACUAGACGUUCCCUAUUUCACCUCUUGUUUAUAACAAGCUGACCUCAUCAAGUAAUAACAUAGUAAAAAAACUCAAUCAUAAUUAAUUUUACCUUUUUUUGCCUCAGAAUAGUUGUGGCAAUCAAACACAAACUUCAUUUUCUUUUCCCAUUCAAGGUAUGCUUCAAAGUUAGAUUUACCUUGGAAAGAUAGGAUCUUCAUAUUUAUGCCACUCGAAUCAUUAUCUUGGUUCCUAGCUCUCCAACCCUGUCCAUCUCUCUUAUAAUUUCCCACAGAAUCCUCAUCUUCAUCAUACUCAUCUUUAUAGUGGUUAUCAAUCUCUUUUCUAGCCAGAACUCUCUUCCUUCUACGUGCUUGGGGAAUAGGUUGUGGCUACCCCGCACAUGCAUUCUCUACUUGAUCUAAAUGCUCAUGUAGUGCUCUAAUUCAGCCCUCAUCAUCCAUCUCAUCUCCUUUAUCAGGGCUUGAAUUUGUAUAUUUUAGACGGCUUGUUAUUGAGCCAUUUCUUCUGCAUUUCAUUCAUGUUAUGAGACAUGGUUAAAAUCUAUAAAAAGAUGUUAGAAAUUAUGUUAAAGGGACCUCACUACACUCCUUUACGUAUUUCACUAAAGAAACUGAUUCACUCAAUUCAACUAGUGCUUCACUCAAAUUAGAUGGCUUCUACCCUCUAAUAUGCUCACACUUUCUUGCCUUUUUCCACUCGUAGUAAUUCUAACUCGGUUCUUAUCAAACGAAUCAAACCAAUAUUAAGAUUUCAACAGCAAUUUAUAAGGAUUAUACCAAGGAGAUUCAGAUUUCAAAAGCAAGAAUUCAAUGAACAUGUAUGAUCAAGUUUCGGAAGCACAAAUUAUCGAACUUUUGAGCAAAAGAAAAAUUUCAUACUAUAGGUUAAAACCAAUUUCGGGCUCUCUAAGACACUAAUAAUGGAAAACAAACAAAAACUUUUAAGCGGAGUUUGUGGACUUUUUUUUUUUAACUCUCACUAUCCUCUUGUUUCUUUCUUCUCUUGUUUCUUUGUUUCCUUUUUUCUUUUGGAAUCCUGCUUUUGUUUUUUUGUACGAAUCGAUACAAAAGUCUAACGAAACUGAAAAAUUAAAGCAAGAAUCAUAACUCAAUAAAUUAAAACAAAGAUAAAUAAAAAUACUGGAAAAGGUGUAAAGUUCGACCAAAAAGGUUUUAUGGAUUAAGGGAAUUAAGACUUGCGAUUAACAUGAAUCAAAAAUUAAAGAAGUGGAUAAGCAAAACCUGGUCAGAAUGUCUCUCUGUUACCAAAUAAUAUGAAUCCUACCAAGAAUUAAUGCAACCCUAACCAAUUUAGUCUCUAAGAUUGAAUUCUAAAAUUGGAGUUGUAUGGAACUGCGACUCGAUGCUCAAUAAAGGCAUGAACCUUGGUAUGUGAAGAUGCCACAAUCAGAUAUAGAUGGGUAAGUUAGAGGUUUGAACGCCACGAAAUCCAAUAAGUUCAACAAGUUAGUUUAAGAACCAAAGAGAAUUAACUAUCAAACUAAAUGCAUCAAAACUAGUCUAUUUUUCUUAUUGGAUGAGAGUACAUUAUACAUAGCUAGUUUGAAGAAUUUUCAUCCCAUAAUUGUCCUUGGAAUUUUCAUAAAUAAAUCCCAAACAAAAAUCUAAUUAAAAUUAAGGGUUAUUAUUAUUUCACUACUUCAAAAAUUACCAAAUACCAAAUGACUACAACAAGUAUUGUCUCCUAUCAUUUUUCUACUAUAUCUUUAUAAAAAUAUCAUUUUACUACUUAGUUGACCAGUUAGUUGACUAACAAAUGUUAUAACUGUUAGUUGACCAGUUAGUUGACUAACAAAAUACCAAUUUCACCCUUCAUGAUUAAAAAAAAAUACUUGAAACUUAUUUACAAAAUAAAUUUGUAAUAUAUUUAUUAAAAUGGAUAUAUAAUACCAACAUAAUUCUUUUACUGGAAUUAUGAUAUAUGGAUUACAAAUUUGGUAUUUUGUUACUCAACUAACUGGUCAACUAACGGGUCAACUAACGGGUCAACUAACGAUUCUAACCGAAAAGCAGUAAAAUGAUAUUUGUUGUAACGGAAAAGUAGUAAAAUGAUAUUUUUAUAAAGAUAUAGUAGGAAAAUGAUAGGAGACAAUAUUUAUUGUAGUCAUUUGAUAUUUGAUAAUUUUUGAAGUAAUAAAAUGAUAAUAACCCUAAAAUUAAUUACCUAAAGAAAAUGCCUAAUCUAAAGCAAAUAAGGAAAACCUCUUAAAUGGCUUUAAUGCCUUACAUCAAUCAACAUGGAAAAUAGGCAAUUAAAAGAGAAAUAGCUUAUUUGUCUCGCCACUUGCCUCUUCAAGAAACGGGAAAGUAUUCGAAAAGAAAAGUAGCAUAUUUUCCAACAAUAAUAUGCAAGCUAACUUGCUGGUGUCAUGGUAAUGAUUAUUCGGAAACUUCAAGAGCCUGAAUCGCGCAUUUGGUGAUCUGAAUAUCAUGUGCAAUUCCUUCAAUAGGCUUCGAUGAAUUUGAUUGAGCCCAAAUUGCUUGAAUCAACCCAUUAAGUGCUUCUUUGAAUUUCUUUGCACGAGCUCUUAUGACGGGUUUGAUCGGAACUCGAAUAGGGUCUAAAUAUGUCUCAUCCCACAUGCUUAUGACAACUUUGUCCUCAAUCCCAUCAAUACAUUUGAGAAUCCAUCUCUUUACAAGAGCAUUAUUGGAUCACUUCAAUAUGUCACUUUAACAAAGCCUAAAAUAGUAUCUACUAUCAACAAACUCAAUCAAUUUUUGGCAGCUCCUACUAUUCAAAAUUGGCAAGUUUAUAGGAGGGCGCUCAGAUAUCUAAAGGCACUGCACAUUUUGGCCUUCAGUUCUUUCACUCAGGAUCUCUUACUUUGAUAGCAUAUUCAAAUGUAAAUUGGAGGUCUACUCUAGAUGAUUGGAGAUGAAUAGAAGGGUGUUGUUUGUUCCUUCGAUCAAAUCUUGUUUCUUGCUUAUCAAAGAAGCAAAUUCUUAUCUCUCAGUCCACUGUUGAAUCAGAAUAUAGAGCACUUGCCUUAGCCACUCCUGAGGUGUUAUUGAUAACUUAUCCACUGAAAGAGUUAAAUCUUCUAUUCUACAUUAUGACAACACUAUGUAGUCUAAAAUACCAUGCAACACUAUAAGAAAAUUGAUUAUUAGCGAGGGACCUGUUCCCUCGGUAUUUCUCUAAAUCCCUCGAUAAUAGUAAAACAUGAACCCACUUUGCUCAGCUGCAGACUUCAAUCAACCCAUAAGACUACCCAUGUUAGUCCCACUCCCAAAAUACAAUCCUGUAUGAUGUUUUCCCCAUCAACAUCUACAGAAUACCAAGCUCAGUUCCCACAUUUGGAAAAACAAACUGACCAACAAAAGAAUUUCAUCUCCAAACCAUAUCUCCCCUCUACAGUAACUCCUGCUGGCCAUUUAGAAGAACCUCGUUCUUUUGAGGCAGUCUUAAACUGGCAAACUCAAAAUGUUGUUGCACAGAACCAAGCACUCACUACCUUGCAUCAUAAGGUAGACCACGUUACACACAAAACCAACCAGGUUGAGAAAAAGGUUGAUACUAUCUCAAAUAAGUUAAAUCUGAUUUAUCAAAAUCUUCAUAACAGAGUUACUCAACUAGACUCUGAACUUUGGGCUAUGCUUGCUCAAUGAGUCUAUAGUCUUGAUUUUGAUAAAAAAGAAGCUGAGAUAAGUGCUUUGAAAGCUGAAAUUGCCAGAAUUGACUCAGAAAGAGUCCAGCCUACCCUGUUUACAAGUUUUGCUCCAUUACCAGUAAUUAAUCCUACCUAUCAUCCCUUCUUGCCAUCUUUUUCCUCCCGAACAUAUGAACCUUCUAAACUUUUUGGUAUGACCUAUACUUUGUUUCCUCCACAUCCACGACCUCAACCAAAACUAAAGAAGACACCAAAACCAGCUCCAGUUCAAAAACCCAUUCCUCAGCAAAAUCCUCAAACAUCCAGAUUUGAACCAUCACUCUCUCCAUCACCAACUUCUUUACCUGAAUCUACUCAACCACCACCAAUCCAAACUAUUGUUUCUCUAGAAAAAUAGCCCAUGUACCAGUAUUCUGCUCAACAAUUUUCCCAUUCACCAUCUCUAGAUUUCUCUACUGAAAAUUCCCCUUCACAAUCAGAUUCAUCAUCCAUUAAGUCAUCCGAUUUGUCUGAUUUAGACACUUCUAAUUCAACUCUAGCUGAUAUUUCCAAACUCCUCAUGGAAGAACCUACUGAACAAUCUGGUGCUAUUGACCCUGGCCCAAGAACUGAACCUGUUGACACUGAUGAAGAAAACCAAGAAAUUGGCGAAACUGGUAAAUCUUCUCAAAAUUCCACCUCAGCCAAAAGUUUCCAAACCUUCCAAUAGUCCAUAGUUUACUUUUGAUGAUAUCCCUCCAACAAAAUAGAGAGAAAGACUACAAGAGUUAUCUGCUUGGAUUGAUCUCUAGAUGUUAGCUCCAGAUGCAACAACCCAAUCUGUUCUAAGAGAAUUCAGUACUCGGUUUACGGGUUCUCUUCGAGAUUGGUUUGACAGUCUUGGACAGUAUAGACAACUUCAGUUCAUCCAUAUUUCUGAUGUCUCUCAGGCCUUAGCCAUUCUCCAUGAUCAAUUUAUUGGAGAACCAAGUGCUACUUUUGAAGCUGCAAGACGUGAUUAUCUCAACAUGAAAUGUUGUUCUCUCAACAUGAAAUGUUGUUCUCUCAACACAAAAGAUCUUUAUUACCACUACAAGAGAAUGUCUUUGCUCUAUUAUAAGCUGAAUGGAUUCAAUGAUCCCACACUCAGGCAUGUAUUUAUGGCAUCUCUUCGAGAAGAAUUACAACCAAAAAUUCAGCGUCAGUUAGCUGCUCACAGGCUCAAUAUUGACAUAUUAUCAUUGGGAAAAUUAUUCCAGAUUGCUCUAGGAUGUCUUAACAAAUUGUAUGAACAAAAGAAGUUCUUCUAGGAACUUAUCAAAGACAAAGAACAUUUCAGAUCUGCUUGCAAAAAGCCUUACUUGGCUAUCAAGUGCAAAGAUCCAAAGAAGUGUGACUGCUCACCCAAGAAAAAAUCUCACUUUAAGAAAUCUAGAUUCCCAUUUCCAUCCAGGAAACUGUGUACCAAACAAUUUCGCUUUUUCAGAAAAAGGAAAUCCCAUUCCAAAUAGUUUCAUGACAGAAAGAAAAACAGGUGUUUCAUUUGCAAAAAGAAAUGUCAUUUUGCCAAAGAUUGUCUUGUCAAACCUCACAAGGCAAUAAAACUUAUUUAACACCUGGAAUCCACUACAGAUUUUUCCCCAACCACGGACCAAGUUGAACACUUGUUUUCUGAACAAGAAGAGCCAAAUGAUGAUACAGUCUUUGCCUUACCAGCAAAAUCCAAUGAUUUAGACAGUUUUGAUUUUGAACCCAUCUACACAGUCCAACUUUCCUCCAUUUUCAUUCAUGACCAUACCAUACCCAUACCUUCUAUCAAAAUCCAAAUUAUCCCUUCCAAAUAUCAUAAACCUAUCACAACCAUUGGUUUUCUUGACACUGGUGCUCAGCGAAGCAUGCUUGAUCCUGCUAUUCUUCCUACUGAGUAUUCGAAAACUCAAGAGGAACACUUCAAAGCAGCAGAUGGAAAGAUCUUUACAACUAAAUUAGUUACUAAACAUCCAAUAGGAAUCCAGUUAUUUCCUAAUUGUGUUGUUUGGAUAAAACUAAUUGGUUCAUCUUUGCCAACACAAAGAUCUUCUUGUAGGUUUAGACAUCCUACAUCAAGCAAAAAAUGUCCAGAUUACUUCCUCUGGUCUCCGUUACAAAUCCAUGAUUAAACCUUUUACCAGCACUCUAAAGAUCUAUUCUUUAGCCAAUUCACCACCCUCAUACCAGGCCAUUACAAACCAAAUCCUCAAAUUUUGCCCUGAAAACCACAGCCUUUUUACCCAUCCAAACCCGUUGUGGAAAAACCCAAAGUUCUUCAUAUCCUUACCUUUCAAACUAAAUGAAGACAAUAACCCAACCAAAGCUACCCAUACAGGAAUAACCCCACAAGACCUUAUCUUGGCCCAACAAGAAUGUGCCCAAUUACUAAAACAAGGCCUCAUUGAGCUCACAAAUUCUCAAUGGGCUUGUCAAGCCUUUUAUGUUGAAAAAAGGUCUGAAAUUCUUCGUGGCAAAAAAUGAUUAGUCAUUGACUAUUAGCCACUCAAUAAUUUUCUCCAAGAUAAAAAAUUUCCACUACCCAACAGACACACCCUUUUUGUCCAACUAAAAAAUGCUCGAAUCUUUUCAAAAUUCGACUUGAAGUCCGGUUUUUGGCAACUUGGCAUUCACCCCUCUGAACGAUACAAAACUGCUUUUUGUAUUCCAAAUGCUCAUUACCAAUGGACAGUCCCUCCUUUUGGCCUCAAAACAGCCCCUUCCAUUUUUCAAAAGGCCAUGACCACUAUCUUUCAGCCAAUCCUCCACUAUACCCUUGUUUACAUUGACGAUUUGCUUCUUUUUUCAGGUACUCAUGCGAUUGCGACUACCUCUGUUGACUUUCUUGGCAUGAAAAUCCAAGAUGGCCAUUAUCAGCCUGGACCCCACAUUGCACAAGAGUUACUCCACUUUCCCGAAAGUAACUUUACCAAAAAGCAAGUCCAACAAUUCCUUGGAAUCAUCAAUUACAUCCGUGAUUUCCUGCCACAUGUCAAUCACCACACAAGCAAGUUGUCUGCCCUUCUAAAAAAGAAUCCACCCUCCUGGUCAGAAAUCCACUCAGAUGCUGUAAAGUAAUUAAAGCAGAUUGCCCAGAAUCCUCCAUCUUUAAAGCUGAUUACAGACGGCAAACGAAUCUUGCAAACAGACGCCAGUGAUGAGUCAUGGGGGGCCAUUCUCCUUGAAGAAUGCAAGUGGAUAAUUUCCUGAUGCAUAAAUGCAUUAUCACACAGUCUACAAAGAGAUCUUAGCCAUGAAAAAUGGUAUAAAAAAAUUUGAAUUCCAUUUGAUUGGUCAUAGAUUCUUGAUCAGACUAGAUAAUUCAGCUUUUCUCAAUAUCUUAAACUUUAAGCGGAAAGUUCUCCCAGAAAAAACCCUACUUCAGCUUAAAGAAUAGUUUUCAAGAUAUGAUUACCAUGUCCAGCAUAUAAAAGGAGAUCAUAACCUCAUUCCAGACUUACUAUCCAGACCUCCAAAAUCAAAACCUCCCUAGUUUUUCUGUCCCACUUCUCAUAUUGCCUUCCCGAUCAUUGCCAUGGCUAGUUCACUCCCUAAAACAGUUCUCACCCAAAAGUCUUUCCCACUCAACAUGACUUUUCAGUCACCUCACACAAUUCAAGACUUUGCUAGGAAAUUCCUCUUUGGGUUUUUUAUGAACAUCUAUCAGAUGAGUAGAGAACCUAUGUUCCUUCCAAGCUUUUAACCUGAUCAUCUUUUCCUCAUAGGAUUAAUAAUUACACCUUAUAGAAAUAUUCCCAAAGAUGAACUUUGGUAUACAUGGUGUCUUACUGUUCUGUAUGCCACAAAAAUGGUUUUCCCUAUUUUACCCCUUCUGAACAGACUCAAUAAUCCAGAGUUAUCCACCUCCCUUACCUGGACUCUUUUUGAAUGGUUUUCACCAUUACCAUGGUGGCGCCGAAAACCGCAACAAAUUGCUGACACACCACUUUCUCGACCUUCCAGACCAAGAAGGACAACAGUUCACUUAUGUUUUUAUCAUUCAUCGUCCAUAUUUCCAACAUCCUCAUACUAGAGAUUUUUGGACUUAGAAUCAAAGUUAUGAAUGGAUGACAGUCCCUCACAUUGCCUGUCUCAAACAAGAUUUCCAGAUCAAGACUUCCUUGAAGAACUUCCUUAUGGAACUCAACCAUAUUCCUCCAGACUAGCCAGAAAUCCUCCACACAUCUCUUGAACCAAAACAUGAAAUGUUUAUGAUCCCUACUCCAUCCUUACAUUCCCAACCUCCCAACCGUGGAAUCAUCAUAAAAGAAGAAAAACCAGAUUACGCUGACUUCUUAUUUCAAGAUUCCCACGAUCCUUAUGAAGAUUUUACUCCGGUACCUUCACCAUCACCCUAUGAACUUGGAUCAUCCUCUUCUCUAUAUCCACCAUUUUCCUCUUAGCCUGACUAGCCUGAACAUUAUCCUCAACCAGUUCCUUCAUCUCCACAAGAUAUUCCUCUACCAAAAGGAUAAUAUUGCCCUUGGCCAUGUGUUCCAAGAUGUUCUCAUCCAGAGAGAAUAUUCAAGAAAGACAAGGAUCCUGAUCGUGACCCUGAUGAGACUAAAUCAUCAUCUGAAGAUGGUUCCAUCUCUCUUUAAGAUAUUUUUCAUCUUGUAAUAAUGGGUGUCUUUAGGUUUUGCUUUUGCCUUUAACUUUUUAAAAGUUGUUUGUCAUUUUGUAAUAAGUGUAUGCUUUAGCUUUAUGCUUUAGUUGUUUGUCCUUAUGUAAUCAUGCCCUUUACUUUUUUCGGCCACUACUGUACCAGUGAGCCCUACCUACUUUUGUAAAAUAAGUGUGCUUGUAUGCCAACUGGAAUGAUCUUGAUCCAGCUUUUGUCUUUUCUUCUCCUUAUCCUUAUAAAAGGAGAGUUAUUUUGAUACCAUAAAUGUACGUGGCGUUGUUCUACCCGAUCUACAACAGCACAAGUCUGUCCUUAGGGCCAGUAGCCCGCAAGUUCUAGUUUCCAGCCGAUAUACAUAUAGGUGCAAAACCUAAAACAAUUCUUUAGAGGUUAUAUAACCCAAAACAGACUUUCCUUAGUCUUAAAACAGGGUACCAAACCGUUUAAGAAAUCAUCAUAAGUUUUCUGAUGCACAGGAUCCUUACUAGAAGGCAAGUGCAGAGUAUACUUCCUUAAGUUUUCAAAAUGAACAAAUUCAAUUCUUUGUUCUUUUUCUUUCUUUAGAUCUUCAUUUGCAGAGAGAGAGAAGAGAGUUUAGAAAUUCAUGGUUUUUUAUGAAAACACACGAGAGUUUAUUUCUUGGAAAACUUCGAUAUCUUACAAGCGAGGGGAGAAUCCUUUAUAUAGGAGAAUUCUCAGGGAGAUAGGACAGGACCCCUAUCUUUUACAAAAGCAAAAGUAAAAGAUACAUCAUGACACAACUUUAAUUAUUACAAAGGGACAAAGUGUGUUUUAAUAAUUAAAGCAUGACUUUGACAAAAGCAAAAGCAUAAAGUAAAAGCAAGCUUUAAUAAUUAUACAAGACAAAAGCAUAAAGCAAAACAUAAUGAUGACAACAAGACAAAAUACUUUAUGGGGAGCGGAGGUUCAUGUAGUCGUCUUCAGAUGAGCUUUCUGUUUCAUAGGGAUUGUCAUAAGGGGUUGGUGGGAAAAAGGUUUUGGAGAGCUUUGGAUGCUUAUAGUGGGGACCACGGCAAGGUGGAUAAGGGCAAUCUUUUCGGCAUCCUGCUUUGGAAGUUGUUGACUGGGACUUGGGACUUGGCAUUUGAGUGGCCUUGUCAACUUUGGAGGGUUGAGAUGAUGAUCCUAGUUCAUACAUGGUUAGUUGUGGAAAUUGUUGGAGAUAUUGGCUGAGAGGAAGGAAUUCUUCCCAUGGGUCUUGGGAGUCUUGGUAAAGGAAGUCAGUGUAAUCUGGUUUUUCUUCUUUGAUGAUGAUUCUUGUGGACUUUGGUUUAGAUAUGGCGGAUGGAGUGGGGAUCAUGAUGAGAUCAUGUUGUAGACCUAAGGAGGUGUGGAGGAGUUUGGUGGUUUAAUUGAUAAAAAUAAUUGUGCAGGUUGGAUUGGAUUUCAUUAUCAAUGACAGCUGGGUGUGGUGCAGUAAACCAUUCAUAUACUUGGUCUUGAGUCCAAAAGAGAUUUGUGUCUGGAUGUUGGAAGUAUGGCAUGUGGAUGAUAAAAACUGAUGUGAACAGUUGUGCUUCAGAGGCAGGCAUACGUUCAAGGUUGUAAAUUUCUGGCAGUUGUUGUAGCUUCUUUCUCCACCAUGGGAUGGGGGAAAACCAUUCAAGUAGUGUCUAGGUAAGGGAAGUGGCUUUGUCAGGAUUAAGAAGGUGUUCCAAUGUGGGAGUAAUUGGUAGGACUAACUUGGUUGCAUAAAGGACUGUUAGGCACUAGAUGUACCAUAACACAUCUUCAGUGGUUUCUUUGGAUGGAUCAAGGGUUAAACCUGUAAGGAACAUAGUUUCUGGGUGGAAGGUGGAAAAUGGAAAGGGUUCAGUGACAAGGUAGGCUUUCAUGAAGAAGCGAAAAAGAGCUUUCUUUGCAAAUUCUUGGAUGGCAAAAACAGAAGAAAAGUUUUUGUCAAAAGGAAAAGUUUUCUUGGUGAGAGCUUCUGGGGGUAGUGAUGUAGCCAUGGAGAUGAUCGGAAAGUGGUAUGUAGUGGAAAAUAGGAUGAGAGGCUUUUCUGGUUUUGAGAGUCUGGAUAGCAUAUCAGGGAUUAGGUUCUGGGAUCCCUUUAUAUGCUUGACCGAAAAAUCAUAUUUGAAAAACCAAUCUUUUAAUCUGAGUAACAUCUUUUCGGGAACAGUUUUACCUUUGAAAUUAAGCAUAUUAUGGAAGGCUGAUCUGUCCAUUCGGAUGAUAAAAAUGGUGUCCAAUCAGAUGAUACUCAAACUUUUUGAUGCCAUUCCUUACCGCUAAGAUUUCUUUGAACACGCUAUGGUAAUGCUUCUGUGUGUCAGAAAAUUGUCCACUAGCGUAAGCGAUAAAGUGUUCUUUUCCAUUGAUUUCUUCAAGGAGGAUGGCACCCCAUGAUUCAUCACUUGCGUCUGUCUGCAAGAUGCACUUUCCAUCAGUAAUCAACUUUAAAGGAGGUGGAUUUUGCGCAAUUUGCUUGAGGGUAGUGACAGCAUUUGUGUGGUCAUCAUUCUAUUCUGGGGGCUUCUUUUUUAAUAAGGCCGAGAGGUGGCGAGUGUAGUGGUCCACAUGUGGGAUGAAGUCUCUGAUGUAAUUGAUGAUGCCAAGAAACUGUUGAACUUGUUUUUUGGAGAGUUGCUGAUCUAGAAAGUGAAGCAAUUCUUGGGCAAUGUGUUUUCCGGGCUGAUAAUGGCCAUCUUUUAUGAUCAUACCAAGGAAUUCAAUGUUGUCGGUGGCAAUGGUGCUUUUCUUGGCCGAUAACAUAAUUCCAUGACUUUGGACAAUAUCAUAGAAUUGAGUUAACAGCUGGCGAUGUUCAUCAUGUGAUCCUGAAAAAAGCAAGAUAUCAUCAAUAUAAAUCAAUGCAUGAUGCAGGAUUUACAUUGAUUUGGACCAUGGAUUUUUGAAAAAUGGAUGGGGCAAUUUUGAGGCCAAAGGGUAGGACUGUCCAUUGGAAAUGGGCAUUUGGGAUACAAAAAGCAGUUUUGUAACGUUUAGAGGGUUCAAUGCCUAAUUGCCAGAAACCUGAUUUUAAAUCAAAUUUUGAAAAGAUCUGGGCAUUUUUUAGAAAAGUAAACAUGCUUUGUCUACGGGGCAAGGGAAACUUGUCAUCUUGUAAAAACAUGUUUAAUGGCUGGUAGUCAAUGACUAGGUGUUUCUUUCCUCGAACAAUUUCAAAAUGCUUUUCAACAUAAAAGGCUUGGCAAGCCCAUUGAGAAUUCGUGGGCUCAAUUAGACCUUGGGCUAACAAUUGGGAACAUUCUUGUUGGGCUAGGAGUAAGUCACAAGGACUCAUUCCUGGGUGAGUAGCUUUGGUUGGGUUGAUGUCUUCAUUGAGUUUGAAAGGUAACUUAAUGAAGAAAGACUUAUUUUUCCACAAUGGGUUUGGAUGGGUGAACUCAGAAUGAGACUCUGGACAAAAACUCAAACGCUUAGUUGAAAUAUCCAGGUAGGAUUGAGAGGUUUCAGACAGAUUGUAGAGUUUUAGAAUGUCUGUGAAUGGUUUGAACAUAGACUUGACUAGACUUCCAUGGGGAAGGAUUUAAAGGUGUGUGAUCUGGUGAAGGAUGUCAAAACCUAACAAGAGAUCCUUAUUAGGAAGGGUUGAACCGAUAACCUUAGUCCAGAUGACACAAUUUGGGAAAAUUUUAAUACCAAUGGGUUUUUUGGUAAUCAGAGAGAUGGUGAAUAGUUUGCCAUUAACAGCUUUGAAAUGUUCUUCAUAUUCUGUCCAGUAUUCAGGUGGAAGAAUAUGUGGGUUUAACAUGCUGUGUUGGGCACCAGUGUCUAUGAGACCAAUUGCUGGAACGGGUCUUUGGAAUUUUGAGGGCAAGAUCUGGAGUUUGAUGGAUGGUAUAAGAACAGUAGUGUCAAGGGACAGUAAUUGUUGGUGGAAAAUUACUUGGGACUGAUCACUGUCUGAGUCAUCAGAAGAAUUCUGUAGUGGGAACACUGUUUCAUCAUUGGGUUCAUCUUGUUCAGAGAAGUAGAAUUCCAGUUCAUCCCUUUCUGGAGAAUAAUCUGUAGUGGCUUGAAGAUGCUCAACUAACCAAAUAGAUUUUUCUCGCUUGUUGGGACAAUCUUUGGCAAAAUGACCUUUUCUCUUGCAGAUGAAACAUCUGCUUGAUUUUCUCCAUUUAAAGUCUCUAGAAGAAGAGGACUUUUUCCGGAAGAAUCGGUAUGGCUUUCUGGAUCUGCGAGGCCUAGAUGAAAAUUCUGGAGUUUUGAAUUUUUGAAAAUGCCUUUUCUUUUUAGAACUGCAAUCACAAUCCUUUUUCUUCUGACAUUUGAUCUGCAAAUAAGGCUUUUUGCAAGCACUCCGGAAUGGUUCUUUAUCUUUCAACAAUUCUUUGAAAAACUGUUUCUGCUCACAAAGUUUGUCGAGACAAGUUUUGGUAAGCUGAAAGAUUUUGCCAAGAGAAAUGUUGUCAAGAACAAGAUUGGAUGCGGUGAGUUGCCGUUGUAUGUCUGGUUGGAGUUCUUCUGGUAGGGAAGCCAGAAAGACAUGCUUUAGUGUAGGCUCAUUGAAUCCAUUAAGCUUAUAGAACAACAAGGACAUUCACUUGUAAUGGAAAUCAAGAUCCUUAGCAUUGAGGGAACAACAUUUCAUGUUGAGAUAGUCUCAGCGUGCAGCUUCAAAGACUGCAGAGGGGUCUCUAAGGAAUUGAUCAUGGAGAACCACAAGAACACUUAAGACUUCUGGGAGAUCAACAAACUGUAAUUGGCGGUAGCGGCCUAAAGAAUCAAACCAAUCUCUCGUAAAACGAGUAGCAAACUCUCUAAGGACUGAUUGAGUUGUGGCUCCUGGACGUAGCAUUUGAAGGUCAAUCCAGGCAGACAUUUUAUUAAGGCGAUCACACCAUUUAUGAGAUGGAAGAUCAUCAAAUGUGAACCAUGAACCAUUUGAUGAUUUUUGACUUGGAGAACCGAUCUGGGCUUGAGCUGGAGGGGGUUGGUUUGUGGCAGAAGAUUCAGGCAUUUCUUCUUCAACUUCAUAGGGAAUAUCAGCAUAUGGUUCUGGAUGAGAGGUUUGGCCUUGGGCAGGUUGAUCAGGUUGAGCCAUCAAGAUUAUGGUGAUAUCAGCAUAGGACUUUUCAGAGUCACUGGUGGAUACUGAGGAAUCUGUGUCAGACUCAGUAUGGCUAUCAGAAAUGGCUAGAUUUGAAUAAAAAGUUUGGUCAUUUGAAGUAGGUGAAGGAUCGACUGUGUGGGCACUAAAUUGGUGCAUGGGUUCUUUAUCCUUGGAUUGGGUCGGAGGUUGGGAUAAAGGGGCUGAUGGAGGAGCUGGCGGUGAUGUCGGCGUAUAACCAGGAGAUGGUUGGCCAGGGAUGAAAAUAGAUGAAGGAUGAAUUGUGACAGGGCGCGGUUGUGGUCUAGGCUUUGAUUUUGGUUUAGGUCGUGGUUGUAAGGGGUGGUCUCUAAAAAGAGUAUGAGUCAUGAUAAAUAACUUAGAAGGAUCAUAUUGUUUAAUCGGGGAAAGCAUAGAGGCAAAUGGGUGAUAAGUUGGAUCGAUGGAAGGGAUAGGAGGGGAUGUGGUAAAAAGAGUAGGUCUUUGUUUUUCAGAUUCAAUCUGAUCAAGCUCAGCUUUUAAGCGUCUAAUUUCCCUUUCUUUUUGUCAAAUUCUGGGCCAUAGUAGCGCUGGGCAAGCAUAGUUCGUAACUCAGAAUCGAGUUGGGCAAUUCUAGACUGGAGAUUGUGGUGGAUCUAUUGCAUCUGUGCUGCGAUGGAGUCAACUUUUGUCUCAAGUUGUUCAGUUCGUAAACUGAUUUUUUCAACUUUGGAAUUGAUAUUCAACAAAGUAUCAUUCUGUGCUCUGGCAUUUUAAGUUUGCCAGUUGAGGACUGAUUCAAAAGGUUUGGGCGGUUCUAGGUGGCCAGAUGAGGUAAUUGGCGAAAGGACAAAGGGUUUGGACACGACAUUUCGUAGGGAAUCUGUGUGAGUGUCUAAAGGAAGAAAAAAAGAAGAAUAGUCUAAAGAAGUAGAUGAAAACAUCAUACAAGUCAGUGGUGGUGUUGGAAGUGGGAUUGGUGAUGGAGUCUCAGAGUUGCAAUGCUUUGCAAUCCAUUUGAGUUCCUUUUUGUAAAUGGGUAAUGGAGUUGGUGGAGGUGGAGGAUCUUGUGGUGGCUUGGGAUCAUAAUGGUGGCAUGAGGCUGGAGAUUUUUUCUUUUUGGGUUUCUUUUUCCUUGUGGUGGAAUAAUCAUCAUCCUCUUCCCAAUCAUCCCAGCAGGGACAAUUUGGGUCACACAUGCUGGAGCCAGGGGCAUCCCAUAGGAAAUGGCCAUUUUGCUUUGCUGGAUAUACAGGGUAGCCGUCAGAAUUGAACCCUGUAAUGGGCAGGUCUUCUUGGGCUGUCUGAACAGCUGUGAUCAUUGAAGAAUAGGUAAAGGAGAGCCGAGGAGGCUCUUGUGGAGCACUUGGAGGUGGUUUAAAGGUUAUUCUGACUGUGCCAUCUUGUCGUCUUUCAAACAUACUUUUAGAUGUCUGAAUUGGAGCUGUAUUGUUAUGGAACUGUUCAUAGUUGGAAAUCCAUUCAAGAGGCAUAAGCUUAAUGAGCUCAUGACGGGGAAUUUGUCUUGGAAUUUGGAUUAUGGUUGGGAUCUGGUCAGAUUCGGCUAAUACCAUGAGGGUAUCAGAAUGGUGUUCUGGAGUUGGUAGAUCUAAAGCAUGAUUUUGAAGCCUAUAGACCAGCUGAUGAUGGAGAGUAGCAAUUUUGGCAAAAGAAAUUUGUUCAGCACCUUGGAUCUGAACUUGGACUUUUAAGGUUGCGGGCAAAUUGGGGUCUUGGAGAGAAAGGUUAAAGUUUGGAUAAAAGGUUAGUAAAACACUACCUGCAUGAAGAGUUGUGAGGACAGUGCCAAUAACAGCAUCUUGGUACUGUUUAAACCGGGUAUCAAGUAUGGCAAGGCGAGCUGUAACCGGUAAACCUUUUCUUCCAUGAAGAGUAAGGAUUAAUCUGAUGCCUCCAAGAUGAAGAUGAGUAUAACCUUCUCGUUUCCAAUUUGAAAGCAACUCGGAGGGAAUCUCCAGAGUAACAUAUUGCUCAGCAGAGGUGGCUUGAAGAGCACAUUGAACCAGGCGUGAAGACUGGAUAUAUUCUUUAGGGUGAGGUCGUCUGGUAGAGAUGAGGGUGCGAAGACUGCGGGUAAAGGAGCUAGGUUGUUUGUACAGCUGAUAAGGACUGAGGAGAGGGUAGGAUGACUCACUGAUUUGGGCAGAUUCAGGGAUGUAUGAAUAUUUGACAAGGUUUUCAAUCUUAUUAGUGGUAUGAGAAGUGCAAGAUCUGGGCAAAGAAAGAGUAGAGGAAAGAGUAACAGGAGUGGAAGAUGAAGUAGAAGCCAUUUAUGAGAAGUUCUCUCUCUGUGAAUGAAGACUAAAGAUCAAAAGAAAAAAAGACUUAAAUCAUACCAUUUUGAACAAAAAAACAGAAGUUUAGAAAACUGAAAAGUUUCAAGGACAAGUAUGGCUCUGAUACCAUAAAAGAUCAAGAGGUUUUUGAUAACAUUUCAAGUUUCAAUAUUCCACCCUAUGGANNNNNNNNNNNNNNNNNNNNNNNNNNNNNNNNNNNNNNNNNNNNNNNNNNNNNNNNNNNNNNNNNNNNNNNNNNNNNNNNNNNNNNNNNNNNNNNNNNNNNNNNNNNNNNNNNNNNNNNNNNNNNNNNNNNNNNNNNNNNNNNNNNNNNNNNNNNNNNNNNNNNNNNNNNNNNNNNNNNNNNNNNNNNNNNNNNNNNNNNNNNNNNNNNNNNNNNNNNNNNNNNNNNNNNNNNNNNNNNNNNNNNNNNNNNNNNNNNNNNNNNNNNNNNNNNNNNNNNNNNNNNNNNNNNNNNNNNNNNNNNNNNNNNNNNNNNNNNNNNNNNNNNNNNNNNNNNNNNNNNNNNNNNNNNNNNNNNNNNNNNNNNNNNNNNNNNNNNNNNNNNNNNNNNNNNNNNNNNNNNNNNNNNNNNNNNNNNNNNNNNNNNNNNNNNNNNNNNNNNNNNNNNNNNNNNNNNNNNNNNNNNNNNNNNNNNNNNNNNNNNNNNNNNNNNNNNNNNNNNNNNNNNNNNNNNNNNNNNNNNNNNNNNNNNNNNNNNNNNNNNNNNNNNNNNNNNNNNNNNNNNNNNNNNNNNNNNNNNNNNNNNNNNNNNNNNNNNNNNNNNNNNNNNNNNNNNNNNNNNNNNNNNNNNNNNNNNNNNNNNNNNNNNNNNNNNNNNNNNNNNNNNNNNNNNNNNNNNNNNNNNNNNNNNNNNNNNNNNNNNNNNNNNNNNNNNNNNNNNNNNNNNNNNNNNNNNNNNNNNNNNNNNNNNNNNNNNNNNNNNNNNNNNNNNNNNNNNNNNNNNNNNNNNNNNNNNNNNNNNNNNNNNNNNNNNNNNNNNNNNNNNNNNNNNNNNNNNNNNNNNNNNNNNNNNNNNNNNNNNNNNNNNNNNNNNNNNNNNNNNNNNNNNNNNNNNNNNNNNNNNNNNNNNNNNNNNNNNNNNNNNNNNNNNNNNNNNNNNNNNNNNNNNNNNNNNNNNNNNNNNNNNNNNNNNNNNNNNNNNNNNNNNNNNNNNNNNNNNNNNNNNNNNNNNNNNNNNNNNNNNNNNNNNNNNNNNNNNNNNNNNNNNNNNNNNNNNNNNNNNNNNNNNNNNNNNNNNNNNNNNNNNNNNNNNNNNNNNNNUAUUUGUGAUCGAUCCAGCUAUCUCCCCAAAGGAGAGUCUAUGUCUUUUUGGGUUGUCUAGGUUCUUAGUUCAUCGUAAGAUACGGAAUGUCUGGUAUCUCACAACCACAUCAUUCUCAUUUUCUAGGUAUAUCGGCUGGAAACCCGAGCAUACGGACUACUGGUCCAAAGGAUAACUUUAUUAUCAUUGCUCUGGUAUAACAACUCCACGUACUUAGAAUACCAAGUUGGCAUAAGAUGUCCCAGUCUCUGGUAAUUGUGAUGCAGGCUGUCCUUAUUGGGAAGAUAUUGAAGAAGAUGAUGACAAACCAAAAAGACGCAAGCGCAAGUCUAAAAGAUCAUUUAUCUAGUUUGUCGCUAUCAUGCUACUCAUCCUGAAGAUCCACCUGAACCUGAUUCUCAAGCACCUUUACCCAUCUAUGAUAAAGGUCUUGCCUGGAUCCGAAAACAUGAACCCGCUUUGCUCAGCUGCAGACUUCAAUCAACCCAUAAGACUACCCACGUUAGUCCCACUCCCAAAAUACAGUCCUGUAUGAUGUUUUCCCCAUCAACAUCUACAGAAUACCAAGCCCAGUUACCACCUUUGGAAAAACAAACUGACCAACAAAAGAAUUUCAUCUCCAAACCAUAUGUCCCCUCUGCAGUAACUCCUGCUAGCCAUUUAGAAGAACCUCGUUCUUUUGAGGUAGUCUUAAACUGGUAAACUCAAAAUGCUGUUGCACAGAACCAAGCACUCACUACCUUGCAUCAUAAGGUAGACCACAUGAAAGCGCUUGUUGUUCAUUUUGUACUACCGACAAAACCUAAAAACUAAGUACUAUUUCUUAUGGAUAUUGCCCUCGAUAUAAAAAAUAAUGUUCCUAGGUAAAAGUAUUCAAACGAGGAAGAAAAACACUUCCUAGGGCUAUUUGUUCUUGGUAAUAGUAAACUUAUGAUGCUUUGUUUUUGUCGGUAAAAUUAUGAUUCAUCAGAAAUAAAAAUUCCAACGACAUAUGUUCGCUCGGAAUGAAAAUUAAUCCCUUGGAAAUUACUAGAUUCCAAAGAUAUGAAUCCCUCAUAGAUAAUGAAUUUUCCCUCGGAGAUAAUGAAUUCCAAAUUAUCAAAUGCUUCAACUGGAUAUUUAGAAUAUUUUAUCCAUGGUCUUGAGAUACAUUCAUGGAAAACAACAGAAAUUUCUCGAACAACCUCAGUAGUUAUGAUCCUAAAGCAAUAGACCAACAAAAUUAGUUAUAAUCCUAAAGCAAUAAACCAACAAAAUUAUUCAUUAAUUAUACAUAAAAAUAGAUAAAUUUAAUCAAAAUAUAUGGAAAUUUGUUCUUUCAUGCAUGACAACCUGUCAUCAUAUAUUUCUACUCCUAUUUUUUUUUCCUUUAGGUACACUUUAGCUUCCCACGACCGUUCUUUUUCUUUCUAUCUAAAAAUAAUUAAAAAAAUUCUACUUAUUUUAGUCAUAGUCAAUUCACGUAUAUUUCAUCUUAUAACAAUAAGAUUAGUUAAUCGAUUUAAAUAAGUGGUACCUCCAGCCAUUUUUUAAGUCUCUAUGGUAAAAACACAAGCUUCACCAUUUUGAUGCUGAGUAGGAAGCACCAUAUCUAAUGUAAUAUUGAGAGAUCAAGAAGCUGUUGUAUUAUCAUUAUUAUUAUUAUUACUGAACAUCUGCUAAGAUAAGGUAUUGGAAUCAAUUACUUUUCUAUUGUGUUUCUUUCCCAUAAUGGCCAAUUAUCUGAAAUUUCAAAAUAUAAGCCAUUAGUAAAUGUUUAUAGGCAAAAAUAAUAAUAUUAAACAAUAAGAUUAAUAUUAGAUAAUAAUAUCAACAUAAAAUAAAACAUAGAAUAGUAUAACAGCAAAAUGUUAAAAAAAUCAAAUAACUAGUGUUUUCAAUUUUUGAACUUACUUACAUAUACUAAACAAAAAAUCAUUCAACAGCCAUUUUAUCAACUGUAUUUUGACUCCAAUCUAUAUCCCUAGUAUCUUGGUUCAAAAUGAAAGGCACAUUAAUAUGUUGAAUCUCUUCUUCUUGAUAUGGAUCUCCUUCAUCCAUAGAAACCUCAUAAAGGUUUCGAGGCUUGGUCUCAAUUGUAGUACCCCAUCUAGGAUCUUUUAUCCCUCUCACAUAGUAAACUUGUAAUGCUUGGGAUGCUAACACAAGUGGCUCUUGAGUGUUUUAGCUUUCUUGAUAUAUUAAGAAUAACUCUGCCAUGACGAUCUCUCUUAUAGCCAAUCUUUUCUCAAAUUGUAUCCGACCAAUCAUAGUUAAACAAUACUAUUUAUUCCUUUCAGUAUAAGAAAGUUCAACAAUUUCCUUCAACAGUUUAUAAUAAGACACUAUAACAUUUUGAUCAUCACUUCUCACCAUAACUCCAUAGUUUUAAGUUUUUCUAGUUUCAUCAUUUUGUUUUGUGUGAAAUCUAAAUCCACUUGUAUUGUAGCCAGAAAAAAAUGUCACUUUUCUUUGAGGGCCUUGAGCUAAAGAAAGCAUAUGCUUGCUAGCUUACCCUUUAUUAUAAAGAUUUAAGAUCUAUAAAUAAAAUGACAGAAUGAAAUGUCAUAAAUACAAUUAUAGUGAAAUUCACACAUUUUUAGUUACUAUGUUUAAAAUAAUCCUUAAUUCUCACUCUUCAUGGUCGAAAAGGCUUACCUGUUACAGUUAGAAUUGCUCUCCUAGACACCAGGUUCAAGGAGUACCAACACGCUGUUGUCGGCAGCGUUCUGACAACACUUCAUGCUGGCAGUGUCUUAUUAACCUUUUACCCCAAUUUCAAUUCUUGUCUAUGUUUCCACAUUUCUAAUACCUAAAUUCAACAACAUAUGUUUAUGUUCAUAGAAAUAAUUUUUUUUAGCAAAAUUUAAAAUAUAUGAUACUACGAAUACUAUUAAUAUUAGUCUAAGAAAUAAACUUACUCAAUAAACGUGAGACAUCCUUCAUAAUUUUGAAGGACAUAAAGUGAUGCAGCAUUGUGUAGAGAAUGACUCAAUUCCCUCACAUGAAUGUUUCCAUAUGAUUGCCCAAAUCUAGAAAAAUUGGGUAAUGUAUCUGUUGAGAGUUGGCCACCAUCAUAAUUUCUCUCUUGUCUAUUAAAUUUAGUUUCCACAUUAAGAGGUAGCGAGAGCAAAACGUUAAGCACUCAUCAGCUAAGUAACCUUUGCAAUGGAUCCUUUAGGAUGAGCCUUGUUGCGAACAUAUCCCUUAAGUUUAUGUAAAUACCUAGUAUUUAGAGAUAUAAUAAUGUAAACUUAUUUUAUAAUAAAUUAACUUAAAAGAAUAAAUUGGAAACUAAAAAUAAAUUGUUAUAUUACAUUUCUAUUGGGUAAAUCCACCUAUAUUGUACUGGACUAGCAACCUUUACUUCCCAAGCUAAGUGAAUUGACAAAUGUAUCAUUAUAUCAAAAAAGGCCGAAGGGAAAAUCCUUUCUAACUCGAGUCAAUCUAACUCAUUUUCUUUUAACAUUUUAACAUAUAACUCCUUGAAAAAUAUACUAAGCUCAAUCAAUGGAUCAAAUACUUGUUUAGGCAAAAUAUCAUAAACUGUUGGUGGUAGUAACCUCUCUAAAAAUACAUGACAAUCAUGUGUCUUCAUGCCUGAAAUUUUACUAUCUUUCACAUUAUCACAUCGUGACAAAUUAGCACAAUAUUCAUCUAGAACUUUUAAAUUUGACAACCACUCUAAUACAUUUGUCUUUUGCUCAGGUGUAGUGGGUAGCACUGUCUAUCGAACCACCUCUUUUGGGUGAAGUUCUGCCCUUAUUUUCAUCUCUUUAAGAUCCAAACGAACAUCUACAAAGCCUUUAGUUUUUCCUACAAUGUUCAGAAUAGUGCCAAGCACAUUGUCAAACACACUUUUCUCAAUAUGCAUAACAUCUAAACAAUGAUGCAAUAACAAUGUUUUCCAAUAUGGCAAUUGAAAAAAAAUAUAUUGUGUUUCUUCCAAUUAUGCUUCUUCCCAAAACCAGCAACAACUUGUUAUUUUCCAACCUUUCCAAAUGCUAUAGGUCUCAAACUUUCAAGUUCAUUUAAGAUGUCUUCACCUUUUUGACACUUUGGUGCAUCUCUCUUAUCCUUAUUUCUAUCAAAUUGCAUUUUUUUAUCUCACCAUGGGCGAUCUUCAGGUAAAUAUCAUUGAUCCCAUGUAACACAUUUUGGAACCAUUUUUCAGCCUAUGGUGUGUAGUCUCUUUACAACAACAUGGACAUGCCAACUUUCCUUUUGUACUCCAACUAGACAAAAUAGCAUAUGCUGGAAAGUCAUUAACAAUCCACAUAAUUGUAGCUUUCAUUUGAAAAUUCUGGUUUUUUGAGACAUCAUGUGUUUACACUACUUUCCUAUAACAUCUUUAACUCAUCAAUUAAUGGCCUCAAAUAUACAUCAAUAUCAUUGCCUAGGCCUUUUGGUCCUGGGAUAAGUAAAGUCAUAAAUAUAUAUGGUUCUUUCAUACACAUCCAAAGAGGAAAAUUAUAAGGAAAUAAAGGGACAGGCCAAGUACUGUUCCCAAUAUUCAUGUUUCUAGAGGGAUUAAACCCAUCAAUAACCAACCCCAACCUUACAUUUUAAGGAUCUAAUGGAAAGCCCUCAUGUGUUUGAUCAAAGGUCUUCCAAGCAUCACAAUCUGCUGGAUGUCUUAACAACCCGCUUUCACACGAUUAUCAAAGUGCAAUCUCAUGUCUCCAGCAAUUUUGGAUGACAAGAAUAACCUUUGAAGUAUUGGUGUAAUAGGAAAGUAACGUAAGAUCUUCCACGGAACCAUUUUUGUAGAUUUAUUGGCACCCUUUCCUUUAGUCUUCCAUCUUGAAACUCUACAAUCUGGACAUUGAGAUGUUGUGCAUGCUCCUUAUAAUAAAUGACAAUCAUUUUUAUAGGCAUCAAUUUUCUCAUAAUGAAGACCAAUGUCUUUGAUAAUUUUUGCAUUAUAGUUAGCAAUAGGCAUUUGUUUUACACAUUGGAAACACAUCAUUUAAUAAUUCCAACAACAUGUUGAAAGAUUUAUUACUCCAAUUGCUGAUUUAUUUAAUGUACAUUAACUUAACUUUGGAGUACUUUUGACAAUUCAAAUACAAAGGUUGUUCUACCUCUUCACCAAUUCAUAGAACUUUUGUGCCUCUUCGUUAGGAUCUUGAGAAAAGCCUUCUUCUAUCAUAUCAUACAUCUCAUUUUGUUGAAAGCUCUCAAGAUUAUCAUUCUCAUAAUCUUCAUCCCUAUCAUUAUCAGUAUUACUAUCCCCAUUCUCUCCAUGACAAUACCAAAUAGUGUAGUCACGCCUUAAUCCCAACCAUAAUUCAAAUCCCAAGGCAAAUCCCUUGAGACGAGCUAAUUAAACUCAUGCCUUUAGAAUGGAUAUCAAAUUAUGAGCAAUUUCACAACACUGCUCCAAUUUAGACAUCAAAAGGAAUGUUUGAAAGAAGUCGUGAUGGAACAGUAAGAAUGACUUUCCGACCUCCACCAAGUGCUCCUCAAGAGCCUCCAAGGCUAUCUUUCACACAAUCUUCUAUGAUCACAGCUGUCCAUACAACCCAGGAAGAUUUACCUAUCACUGGGUUCAAUAAAGAAGGAUAUCUAGUCUACCCAGCCAAAAUGAAUGGCCAUUUCCUAUGGGAUACACUUGGGUCAAGAAAUUGUGGCCCAGAUUGUCCUUGUUGGGAUGAUUGGGAGGAAGAUGAUUUAGUUUCCAGAAGGAGAACAAAGCCAAAAAAGAAACUCCAUCAUCCAUGUAAACAUUUCCAACUAAAGCCACAUGAUGAUCCACCUCCACCUUCAACAAAUCCAUUACAGCAAGUCUGAAGUUCUUUCACCAGUUCAAAACCAUACACCAAUCAUACAGCCCACUGCUUGUAUGAUGUUUGCCUUUACCUCCAAAGACUAUUCCACCAAUUUUCCAACUUUAGAUACCCAAUCAGACUCCCACAAAAAAGUUGUUUCAAAACCCUUCAUUCCUUCGGCCAUAACCUCCGCCGGCCAUCUUGAAGAACCCAGACCUUUUGAGGCAGUCCUCAACUGGCAGGCGCCAAAGCACAAAAUGAUACCUUGGUGGACAUUCAUAAAUAGGUUGACAUGAUUAGUUUGCGAACUGAUCAGAUUGAAUCCAAGGUUGAUACAAUAACCUCACAACUGCAACAAAUCUACCAAAAUUUACAAUCCAGAAUAAUCUAGUUGGAUUUAGAAUUACGUGCCAUGCUUAGUCAGAGAUACUAUGGUCCUGAGUUUGACCAAAAGGAAGGGGAAAUCAGGCGCAUGAAAGCAAAGCUUGAUCAGAUUGAUUUAGAAAGACAAAGACCUACACUUUUCACCAAGUCACUACCAAUACCUACCAUAAGCCUAACUUAUCAUCCAUUCACUUCUAUGCUUGCUCCAAUGAAACCCUAUGACCCCUCCAAAUUGUUCGGUAUGACACAUACUCUUUUAAAAAAUCAGCCUUUACAACCCCAGCCAAGCCAAAAGCCAAAAGCUACUCCCAGGCCAGUCAAAAUUCAUCCGCCAGUUACUUUAACCACUGAACAACAAUCCCCAAGAUAUACACCUGCUCCACCACAGAUUUGACCUCAACCAACCCAAACCAAAGAUAAAGAACCCAUGCACCAAUACAGUUCUAAAAAAUUUAAGACCUUUUCACCCUCUGAAUCUGAGUGUACUCCCUCUGUUACUGAUGGGGAUACUUCGGUUACUCAGUCUGAGACAGAAUCUUCAGUCUCGACUAGUGACUCUGAAAAGCUUAUGCAGACAUUACUAAGCUUUUAAUGGCACAACCAGAAGAAACAGAACCAGCCCAUCCAGAAUCUUAUUUUGAGAUACCCUCAGAUGUUGAUGAACCGGCUGAAUCUUCAGCAACAAAUCAACAACCUCAGCCUCAUGCACAAACCUCUCACAUACCAUCAAAUGGCCCAUGGUUCACUUUUGAUGAUAUUCCCUCAUCCAAAUGGCGAGAAAGAGUCCAAGAAAUGUCAGCAUGGAUUGAUCUCCAUAUGAUAAGAGCUGAUGCAACAACAGAAUCAAUCCUUAGGGAAUUCACCACUCGUUUCACGGGAUCUCUAAGAGAUUGGUUUGACAGUUUAGGGCAGUACAGACAAAUGCAGUUUGUCCAAUUGCCUAAUAUUUCUAGUGCUCUUGUUAUUUUACAUGAACAAUUCAUCGGAGAACCAAGUGCAGUUUUCGAAGCUGCAAGACAGGACUACCUAAACAUGAAGUGUUGUUCCUUAAAUUCCAAAGAUCUUGAUUUCUAUUACCAGAGGAUGUCCAUCUUGUUUUAUAAGCUCAAUGGAUUCAAUGACCUGACUCUAAAACAUGUCUUUCUUGCUUCUCUACCUGAAGAAUUGCAACUAGAAAUACAAAGACAAUUUGCAACGCACAACAUCAAUAUUGAUAACAUCUCCUUAGGAAAGAUUUUCUAGAUCGCCAGGGAUGUUUGGAGAAGCUCUGUGAACAGAAACAGAUUUUCAAAGAUCUGAUGAAAGAUAAAGAGCCUUUCAAAAGUGCCUGCAAGAAACCAUAUUUCCAGAUCAAGUGCAAAGAAAAAAAGAAUUGUGAUUGUGGGCCAAAGAAGAAAAGACAUUUUAAGAAGUUCAGACGUCCAGAUUCUGCUUCAAAACCCAAAUCUCGAAGAUGGAACAACCACAGAAAACUAUACAUGUUUUUCAAGAAACAAUCAUUUUCUUUAAAGGAAUAGAGGAAACAGAAAUCCAGCAGAUGCUUUAUUUGCAACAAAAAAGGCCACUAUGCAAAUAACUAUCCAAACAAGAAGGACAAAUCAAGCAGAUUGAUAAAGCAUUUACAGAUGGUUACUAGGUACUCUCCUGAGAAGGAAGAAGUAGAGUUCUAUUUCUCUGAACAAGAGGAACCUACUGAUGAAACAGUGUUCGCACUGGAAAACUCAUCUGAGGAAUUAGAAAGUGAUGAGUUCCAAAACAUUUUCCACCAACAAUCCUUGUCCUUAGACACCACUAUUCCAAUUCCUUCCAUUAGACUCCAAAUUUUACCCUCCAAAUUCCAAAGACUAAUUUCAGCCAUUGACCUCAUAGACACUGGUGCUCAACGAAGUAUGUUAAACCCAGAUAUUCUCCCAGCCCAAUACUGGAAUCAGCACACUGAAAAUUUUUGUGCUGCAGAUGGAAAAAUGUUUUCAACAACAUUGAUUACGAAAAAACCCAUUGGUAUUCAGAUUUUCCCAAACUGUGUUAUCUAGACAAGAGUCAUUGGUUAAAAACUUCCUAACAAGGAUAUAUUGUUAGGAUUUAAUAUCAUUCACCAGAUCAAACACCUCCAAAUCCUUUCCUCUGGAAUAAGAGUCAAAACCAUAUUCAAACCUUACACAGAAAUUCUCAAACUUUACAGUUUGACUGAUUCACCACAGUUCUACAAAGACAUUUCAACCCAACUUCCAAAAUACUGUCCGGAGUCCCAUUAUGAAUUUUCCCAUCUAAACCCUUUGUGGAAAAACAAGUCUUUCUUUAUUUAGUUACCUUUCAAACUGAAUGAAGACAACAAUCCUACUAAGGCUACUCAUCUAGGAAUGAGCCCAUUUGACUUAGCCUUAGCCCAAAAGGAAUGUUCACCACUCUUGGCCCAAGGUCUUAUCGAGCCCACAACCUCUCAAUGGGCUUGUCAGGCGUUUUAUGUCGAAAAAUGUUCAGAACUUGUUAGAGGGAAAAAGCGACUAGUCAUUGACUAUCAACCCUUAAACAUGUUCUUACAAGAUGACAAGUUUCCUUUUACCAAAGAAACAAAGCAUCUUCACUUAUCUAAAAAAUGCCCAGAUCUUUGGCAUUGAACCCUCCAAAAGAUACAAAACGGCUUUUUGCAUCCCAAAUGCCCAUUACCAGUGGACAGUUUUACCCUUUGGUCUUAAAACUGCCCCUUCCAUUUUUCAAGAAGCCAUAGUCCGAAUCUUUCAACCCAUCCUGCAUCAUACAUUGAUUUAUAUUGACGAUAUUUUAUUGUUUUCAGGCACACAUGAAGAACAUUGCCAAUUAUUAAAUCAUUUUUUUUAUAUCAUCCAGACUUACGGAAUUAUGUUAUUAGCCAAGAAAAGCACUAUUGCAACAGAUAAUAUUGAAUUCCUUGGAAUGAUUAUCAAAGACGGACACUACCAGCCAGGAAAAUAAAUUGCCCAAAAAUUAAUCCGCUCUCCAGAUCAGAAUCUCACCAAAAAGCAUAUACAACAAUUUCUUGGUAUCAUCAAUUAUAUCAGGGACUUUAUUCCACAUGUCGAUCACCAUACCAAUCAGCUUUCGACUUUAUUAAAGAAAAAGCCACCAGAAUGGAAUGAUAACCACACACUUACUGUCACCACUUUAAAAAAGAUUGCUCAAAGUAUGCCACCAUUAAAGCUCAUCACAGAUGGCAACCGGAUACUCCAGACAGAUGCAAGUGACGAAUCAUGGGGUGCUAUUCUUCUCGAAGAAAUAAAUGGCAAAGAAAGCUUUAUUGCUUAAGCUAGCGGGCAUUUCUUUGACACACAACAGCACUACCACAAUGUGUACAAAGAAAUCUUAGCUGUAAAGCAUGGUAUCAAGAAAUUUGAAUACCAUGUUAUCCGCUAUCAUUUUCUUAUCCGAAUGGACAGCUCAGCAUUUCCCAACAUUAUGAACUUCAAAGGGAAAACAGUUCCAGAAAAGAUGUUGCUCAGACUAAAAAACUGGUUCUCAAAAUAUGACUUCUCUGUGAAGCAUAUAAAAGGAACCCAGAACCUCAUUCCAGACCUACUCUCAAGACUUGCAAAACCAACAUCACCCUUGCAUUGCAUAUCCAUAGGAUAUCAUUUUCCCAUCAUUUUCAUGGCUACCUCUCUACCAAACCAAGCCUUAACCCACAAGACUUUCCCUCUCGAAAAAAUAUUUUCCACAGUUUUUGACAUCCAAGAAUUUGCAAAAGAUAUGUUUUUAGGUUUUUCAUGAAAGCCUACAUGUUAGCAGAUUCAUUUCCUUUUUCAACUUUCCACCCUGAAAACUUGCUUCAACUUUCCACCCUGAAAACUUGCUUCAACUUUCCACCCUGAAAACUUGCUUCAAUUUUCCACCCUGAAAACUUGCUUCUCAUAGGUCUAAACAUUGACCCUUCCAGAGAUGUGACUGAAGAUGAGUUAUGGUAGAUCUGGUGCCUAACUGUUCUUUACGCCACAAAGUUAAUUCUCCCUAUCAGAACUACCUUGAAUCAUCUCAUGAAUCCUGACAAAUCAACCUCAUUGACCUGGACCCUUCUUGAGUGGUUCUCUCCACUUCCUUGGUGGAGAAGAAAGUUACAGCAACUAUCCAUAGUCCACAGCCUUGAUCCAAUGCCUGAAUCAAAAGCAAAUAUGUUCAUCUCAGUGUUCAUUAUCCACAAGCUAUAUUUCCAGCAUCCAAACACCAACUCUUUUUGGACUCAAGAUCAAGUGUUCGAAUGGUUCACAACACCACACCCAACAAUCCUUGAACAAGACAAUAACAUCCAGAAAAACCUUUAAAAUUUCCUUUGCCACCUCAAUCACCAACCCGAACCACAUAAAGACAUAUUCCAUACGUCUUUAGAUCCACAACAUGACACCAUUAAAAAAUUGGAUUUCACAGAUUUCUUAUUCUAAGACGCUCAAGACCCUUGGACUGACUUCCUACCCUUAAGCCAGCAACUCCAAUAGCUCCAAGAUCCAUUACAACUGGAAGAACCUUCAUUAUCCAGAGCUAGUACCAGCACUUGUCCACCUAAAGUUCAGCCAACCAAUCAGAUGGUAACAUUCCCAUGGCCACCAUGUGGUCCCACUUGCAAGCAUCAAAAGAAAAAGUUAGGAAAAGACGACACAGAUAGCUCCUCUGCCAAAGAUUACAUGAAUCUUUUGUCCCCAUAGCCAUAAAGUUUGUCGUAUGUAAUUAUUAAAGUAUGCUGAGUCAUACUUUAAUUAUUAAAGUUUGCUUUGUUUGCUUUUAUUACUUUUACUUUUAUAAAGUAAAGUUUGUCAUGUGUAAUUAUUAAAGUAUGUUGAGUCAUGCUUUAAUUAUUAAAGUUAAGUUUGUCGUAUGUUCUUUACUUUUGUAAAAGUUUGCUUUUGCUUUAGCAUGUUUUUCUUGAUAAGGGUCCUGUCUUAUCAAGAUGCUUUUUCAAGGCUUUCUCCUCUCUAUAAAAGAGAAGCCCCUCUCUUUGUAAGAUAAGCUUGGCAGAAAAUAAAAAGAAUGUUUUCUUCAGCUAUGAGUUUCUAAAUUCUCUCUCUCUCUCUCUAUCAAUGAAGCUCUGAGAUAGAAAAUAAAGAAGAUAUAAAUUUGUUCAUUUUGAAACUUAAGGAAGUAUACUCUACACUUGCCUCUUGUAAGGAUCUUAUGCAUAAAGAAACUUUUGAUACUUUCUUAUCUGGUUUGGUACCCUGUUUUAAGACAAAGGAGUGUCUGUUUUUGGGUUAUAUAACCCGAGAUGAAACCCGAACUUGCGGACUACUGGUCCAAAGUACAGUUUUAACUGUUGCAGUUCUGGUAUAACAAUGCCACGUAUUCUCUGCUGACAUAUUUGGUAUCAGAGCAUAAAAUUUUCAUAUCAUCUUUUUGGAUAUGAUGAUACGCAUAUUCAAGGAAAAAUGGUACUCUAUCAUAUUACGCCAUUGUUGGCCAUGGCAUUUGCAUCCAAGAUUUAUCUGAUGGCAUAUUGCUAAAAAUCAUUAAAAAUAAAUAUAAGAAAAUUAAUUUGCUACUAAAUAAACAAUUGUUUAUAGCUGUUUUCAAAUACAAUUAUCUCAUAAACUACUGAAUAAACAAUUAAAGGAAGAUAAAGCCAUAGUAUAUGAUGUCCUAGUAAUUAAUCACAUAGUAUGGACUCCAAGUAAUAUAAACACAAGAAAUAUGCAAAAAAAAUUAGACAAUGUUACAUUACGGUGAUCUUUCAAGAGUCACGAGAAGUGAUGAGAAAAAUAGAAUUGUUACACGCCUUGGUCACCAAACUAGAUACUUAAAACUUCAAUUUGCUGUAAAUUUCAAGAAUAUUAAAAUUUAAUUCUAGUAUUAUUGAAGAGAAAUCACAAUCAGUAAUGCAAAAUAAAAUAGUAUUGCGAAUUCCUACAAACCAACAAAAUUCUCAAUUACUAAAUGAUUUGCUCCUACACAACCUUUGCCCAGACAUACAUCCCUAAAUAUGUAUCCACCUACUAUAGUUCACCCUGUGUGUCACCCCUUCCACCCUUUGGUAUUCGGUGUUUUUGGGUGACCUGUCACAAACAAACAGUCAUGAUGAAAAUGAAACUAUCAGGACUAGUUUGGUGGACUUUAAACAUAUAGCGAUAGACAAAUUUCUGGGCGAAGUCUUUGAUUUGGUUAAGAGUGGUGAAGGUAAGGUUUAAAGGAAAGGAUUUCUGGAUAAGAGCUUGGUUGGAUAGAGGGGUUGUCAUAGCUAUGAUAGGAAAGUAUGUCUAAGAUGUGAUGAGUGAGAUUUUGUGCGGUUUGGACAAGAGGUCAGGGAUGAGGUUUUGAUUUCCCUUUAUAUGUUUUACUAAGAAGUCAUAUUAGGAAAACCAUUUUUUCAAUCGCAACAGCUGUUUAUCAAGAAGGGUUCAGUUUUUAAAUUCAAGGAUCUCGGGGAACAAAGAGUUGUCAAGACAAAUGUGAAAAUGAUGACCAAUCAGGUGGAACUCAAAUUUUUUAAUUCCAUACUUGACAGCCAAGAUCUCUUUAUAAUAGACAGAACCCUGCCUUUAGACUAAUUGACCAAGGAGAGUCUGUGUCUUUUUUGACUUGUCUAUACUCUUAGUUCAUCAAAUGGAGUGUCUGGUUUCACCUAACCACGUCACUCUCAUCACCCAAAAUGGUAUCAGAGCCUUAUGUUUCUAAGUAUAUUGGCUGGAAACCCAAGCAUGCGGGCUAUUGGUCCAAAGUAUAACUAAGGUUAUCAUUGUUCUGGUCUAACAACGCCACGUACUUAGACGACAGAAAUCAUUCUCUGACAUUGGUAUAGGUUAUAAGAGUUCAAUGCCUUAAGAAUCAAAGCAUUAAGGAAUAGAAAAUCUAAAUCUCAUGGCUUCAUCAUCGUCCUCAGCUACUCCUACUUCUUCAUCUUUUCUAGUUACUCUUUCUUCUACUCUCUCUUUACCUAAAUCAUGUACUAAGCAAACAGCUAGUAAGAUAGAGAAUCUUAUUUAAUACUCCUAUGUUCCUGAAUCUGUUCAAAUCAAUUAAUCCUCUUUACCUCUUAUCAGUCCAUAUCACCUGUAUAAAAAACCUUCUUUUACCAAAAGUAUCAAAACCCUAAUUUCCAACAAACGACCUCAUCCUAAAGAAUACAUCCAGUCGUCCCGACUCAAUCAGUGUGCUUUGCAAGUUACUAUAGUUGAACAAUAUGUCACUCUUGAGAUACCCUCAGAAUUUAUCUCUACAUGAAAACGUGAAGGCUAUACACAUCUUCACCCUUCAUGGGAGAAAAGGAUUACUUGUCACAGCCAGAUUUGCUUUACUUGACACCAGGUUUAAGCAAUAUCAACAUGCCAUCAUUGGCACAGUUCUCACCACCCUCCAUGCCGGAAGUGCUUUGCUUACCUUUUAUCCCAAUUUUAAUCUUUCACUUCUUGAUUCCAAUCUUGCUACCACUUUAAAAGUCCAGCUCCAGCUCCAAGGAGCUGAACAAAUAACCUCAGCUAAGAUAGCUACCCUGCACCAUCAGCUUGUUUACUAACUGUAAAAUCAUGCUUUGGAUUUUCCAACCAUUAUUCAAAUACCAAGGCAAAUUCCUCGACAAGAAUUUAUCAAACUCAUGCCUUUAGAAUGGUUGUCUAAUUAUGAACAAUUUCAUCAAAAUUCUAAACCCAUACACAAACUUCUGAAAGGCAUUUUCAAAAAAAUUUUGAUGGAACUGUUCAUCUUACUUUCAAACCACCACCCAAUUCGUCCUCAGAACCACCUAGAUUAUCUUUUACAUAUUCUUCAAUGAUCACUUCUGUACACACAACACAAGAAAACCUACCCAUUCAAGCCUUUAAUGAUCAAGGUUUUCCCAAAUACCCCGCAAAACUUCAUGGACACUUCUUGUGGGAUGUCCCAGGCUCUGGCAACUGUGAUGCAGGCUGUCCUUGUUGGGAAGAUAUUGAAGAAGAUGAUGACGAACCCAAAAGAACCAAGCAUAAGUCUAAAAAGAUUAUUUAUCCAGCUUGUCGAUACCAUGCUGCUCAUCCUAAAGAACCACCUGAGCCUGAUUCUUAAGCACCUUUACCCAUCUAUCACAAAGGUCUUGCCUGGAUCUGAAAACAUUAACCUACUUUGCUCAACUGCAGAAUAUAAUCAACCCAUGAAACCAUCCAUGCUAAUCACACUCCUAACAUACAAUCCUGUAUGAUGUUUUCCCCAUCAACAUCUAUAGAAUACCAAGCCCAAUUCCCGCCUUUAGAAAAACAAAUUGACCAACAAAGGAGUUUCAUCUCCAAACUAUUUGUCCCAUCUACAGUAACCUUUGCUGGUCAUUUAGAAGAACCUCAUUUUUUUGAAGCAGUCUUAAACUAGCAAACUCAAAAUGAUGUCGCAUAAAACCAAGCAAUCACUACCUUGCAUCCUAAGGUAGACAACAUUACACACAAAACCAACUAGGUUGAGAAAAAGGUUGAUACCAUCUCAGAUAAGUUAAAUAAGAUUUAUCAAAAUCUUCAUAACAGAGUUACUCAACUUGACUCUGAACUUCGGGCUAUGCUUGCCCAACGAGUAUAUAGUCCUAAUUUUGAUAAAAAAGAAGCUGAGAUAAGAGCUUUGAAAACUGAAAUUGCCAGGAUUGAUUCAGAAAAGGUCCAACCUACCAUUUUUACAAGUUUUGCUCUAUUACCAGUAAUUAAUCCUACCUACCAUCUUUUUUGCCAUCAACUUCUUCCCGAACAUAUGAACUUUCUAGACUUUUUAGUAUGACCCAUACUUUGUUUCCUCCACAUCCACGACCUCAACCAAAACCAAAGAAAGCCCCAAAACCAGUCCCAGUUCAAAAACUCAUUCCUCAACAAAAUCCACAGACAUCCAGAUUUGAACCAUCACCCUCUCCAUCACCAACUUCUUUUCCUAAAUCUACGCAGCCACCGCCAAUCCAAACCUCCGUUUCUUUAGAAAAACAGCCUAUGUACCAAUAUUCUACUCAACAAAUUUCCCAUUCUCCAUCUCUAGAUUCUUCUACUGAAAAUUCCCCUUCACAAUCAGAUUCAUCAUCCAUUGAGUCAUCUGAUUUGUCUGACUCAGACACUUCUGAUUCAAAUCUAGCUGAUAUUUCCAAACUCCUCAUGGCAGAACCUACUGAACAGUCUGGUGCCACUGACACUAGCCCAAGAACUAAACCUGUUGACAUCAAUGAAGAAAAUCACGAAACUGGUAAAUCUUCUCAGUCAGUUCCACCUCCACCAAAAGCCUCCAAAACCUUCAAAUGGUCCAUGGUUUACUUUUGAUGAUAUCCCUAGCACAAAGUGGAGAGAAAGACUACAAGAGUUGUCUGCUUGGAUUGAUCUCCAAAUGUUAGCUCUAGAUCCCACAACCCAAUUUGUUCUACGAGAAUUCAGUACUCGAUUUACAGGUUCUCUUUGAGAUUGGUUUGACAAUCUUCGACAAUAUAGACAACAUCAGUUCAUUCAAAUUCCUGAUGUUUCUCAAGCUUUAGCCUUUCUCCAUGAUUAAUUUAUUAGAGAACCAAGUGCUACUUUUGAAGCUGCAAGACGUGAUUAUCUCAACAUGAAAUGUUGUUCCCUCAACACAAAAGAUCUUCAUUACCACUACAACUGAAUGUCUUUGCUUUAUUAUAAGCUAAACGGAUUCAACGAUGCUACCCUUAGACAUGUAUUUCUAGCCUCUCUUCCAGAAGAAUUACAACCAGAGAUCCAGCGUCAGUUAGCUGCUUACAAGCUCAACAUUGACACAUUAUCAUUGGGAAAAUUAUUUUAGAUUGCUAUGGGAUGUCUUGACAAAUUGUGUGAACAAAAGAAAUUCUUCCAGGAUCUCAUCAAAGACAAAGAACCUUUCAAAUCUGCUUGCAAAAAGCCUUACUUGGCUAUGAAGUGCAAAAGAUCUAAAAAAAUGUGACUGUUCAUCAAAGAAAAAGUCUCAUUUCAAGAAAUCCAUAUUCCCAUUUUCAUCCAAGAAAUGGCAUACUCAACGAUUUCACUUUUUCAGGAAAAGGCAAUCCCACUCCAAAGAUUUUCCUAACAGAAAGAAGAGUAGAUGUUUCAUUUGCAAAAAGAAAGGUCAUUUUGCCAAAGACUGUCCCGUCAGACCUCAGAAGGCAGUCAAGCUUAUCCAACACCUAGAAUCCACUAUAGAAUUUUCCCCAACCACAGACCAAGUUGAACACUUAUUUUCUGAACAAGAAGAACCAAACGAUGAUACAGUCUUUGCCUUACCAGCAAAAUUUAAUGAUUGGUAUAACAACGCCAUGUAUCUCUGCUGCUUCAUUUGAUGCAGGAUUGGCUGAAAGAUUUUGACCAUGGCUUUUUGAAAAAUGGAGGGAGCAGUUUCAAACCGAAGGAUAAAACUGUCCAUUGGUAAUGAGCGAACUCGUCUACACAGUCCAACCUUCCUCCAUCCUAAUCCAUGAUCAUACCAUACCUAUACCUUCUGUCAAAAUCCAAAUUGUCCCUUCCAGGUAUCAUAAACCUAUCACAGCCAUUGGUUUUCUCGAUAUUGGUGCUCAGCGAAGCAUGCUUAAUCCUGCUAUUCUUCCUCCUGAUCAUUGGAAAGCUCAGGAAGAACACUUCAAAGCAGCUGAUGAAAAGAUCUUUACAACUAAAUUAGUUACUAAACAUCCAAUAGGAAUUCAGUUAUUUCCUAAUUGUGUUGUUUGAUCUCCUUAUAGGUUUUGGCAUCCUACAUCAGGUAAAAAAUGUCCAGAUUACUUCCUCUAGUCUCUGUUACAAAUCCAUGAUUAAACCCUUCACCAGCACUCUAAAGAUCUAUUCUUUAGCCCAUUCACCACCCACAUACCAGGCCAUUACAGAUUAAAUCCUCAAAAUUUUCCUUGAAAACCAUAGUCUUUUUACCCAUCAAAAACCAUUGUGGAAAACCCAAAGUUCUUCAUAUCUUUACCUUUUAAACUAAAUGAAGACAGCAACCUAACCAAAGCUACCCAUACAGGAAUGACUCCACAAGACCUUAUUUUGGCCCAACAAGAAUGUGCCAAGUUGCUAAAACAAGGCCUCAUUGAGCCCACAAAUUCUCAAUGGGCUUGUCAAGCUUUCUAUGUUGAAAAAAGGUUUGAAAUUCUUUAUAGCAAAAAAUGAUUAGUCAUUGACUAUCAGCCACUCAAUAAUUUUCUCCAAGAUCAGAUAUUUCCAUUACCUAACAGACACACCCUUUUUGUCCACCUAAAAAAUGCUCGAAUCUUUUCAAAAUUCGACUUGAAGUCCGGUUUUUGGCAACUUGGCAUUCACCCUUCAAAACGAUACAAAACUGCUUUUUGUAUUCCAAAUGCCCAUUACCAAUGGACAGUUCUUCCUUUCGGCCUCAAAACUGCCCCUUUUAUUUUUCAAAAGGCCAUGACCACUAUCUUUCAGCCAAUCCUACACCAUACCCUUGUUUACAUUGAUGAUUUGCUUCUUUUUUUAGGUACUCAUGAUGAAUAUCACAAGUUACUCCAACAGUUUUUCCAAAUCAUUCAAGAACAUGGAAUUAUGAUCUCUAACAAGAAAAGUACGAUUGCGACAACCUCUGUUGACUUUCUUGGCAUGAAAAUCCAAGAUGGCCAUUAUCAGCCUGGACCCCACAUUACACAAGAGUUACUCCACUUUCCCAAAAGUAACUUUACAAAAAAGUAAGUCCAACAGUUUCUUGGCAUCAUCAAUUACAUUCGUGAUUUCCUGCCACAUGUCAAUCACCAUACAAGCAAGUUGUCUGCACUUCUAAAAAAGAAUCCACCAUCCUGAUCAGAUAUCCACACAGAUGCUGUAAAGCAAUUAAAGCAUAUUGCUCAGAAUCUGUGACCUCUAAAGCUAAUUACAGACGGCAAAAGAAUCUUGCAAACAGAUGCAAGUGAUGAGUCAUGGGGGGCCAUUCUCCUUGAAGAAUGCAAUGGAAAAGAACACUUUAUUACCUAUGUAAGUGGACAAUUCCCUGAUGCACAAAAGCAUUAUCACACAGUCUAUAAAGAAAUUUUAGCCGUGAAAAGUUGUAUCAAGAAAUUUGAAUUCCAUUUGAUUGGUCAUCGAUUCUUGAUCAGACUAGAUAAUUCGGCUUUUCCCAAUGUCUUGAACUUUAAGCAAAAGGUUGUUCUAGAGAAAACCUUACUUCGGCUUAAAGAAUGGUUUUCAAGAUAUGAUUAUCAUGUCCAGCAUAUAAAAGGUGAUCAUAACCUCAUCCCAGACUUACUAUCCAGACCUCCAAAACCACAACCUUCCCAAUUCUUCUGUAUCACUUCUCAGAUUUCCUUCCCGAUCAUUGCCAUGGCUAGUUCACUCCCUAAAACAGCUCUCACCUAGAAAUCUUUCCCACUCAACAUGACUUUCCAAUCACCUUACUCGAUUCAAGACUUCGCCAGAAAAUUCCUCUUUAGGUUUUUUAUGAACAUCUACAUCAUGACUAAAGAACCUAUGUUUUUUUCCCAUCUUUCAUCCUGAUCAUCUUUUCCUUACAGGAUUAGUAAUUACACCUCACAUAGAUAUUACCGAAGAUGAACUUUGGUAUACGUGGUGUCUUACUGUUCUGUAUGCCACAAAAAUGGUUUUCCCAGUCUUACCCCUUCUCACCAAGCUCAAUGAUCCAGAGUCUUCUACUUCUCUUACAUAGACUCUUUUUGAGUGGUUUUCACCAUUACCAUGGUGGCGCAGAAAACUACAACAGAUUGCUGACACACAUCGUCUUCUAGAACUCCCAAACCAAGAAGGCAAAUAGUUCACUUCUGUUUUUAUCAUUCAUCGUCCAUACUUUCAACAUCCUCAUACCAAGGAUUUUUGGACUCAGAAUCAGAGUUAUGAAUGGACCACAGUCCCUCAUAUUGCCUAUCUUGAACAAGAUUUCCACAUCAAAACUUCCUUGAAGAACUUCCUCAUGGAACUCAACCAUAUUCCUCCAGACCAACCAGAUAUCCUCCACACAUCUCUUGGACCAAAACAUGAAAUGUUCAUGAUCCCUACACCAUUCUUACAUUCCCAACCUCCCAACUGUGGAAUCAUCAUAAAAGAAGAAAAGCCAGAUUAUAUUGAUUUUCUCUUCCAAAGAACAGGGCAGGAAAAAAAUCUAGCAGAUGCUUUAUUUACUGAAAAAAGGCCAUUAUGCAAAAUCCGCCAGUCCCUUCAUUAUCACCAUAUGAAUUCCCUAGAUCAUCCUCUUCUCAAUAUCCGCCAUUUUCCUCUUAACCUGAGCAUUUUCCUCAAUCAUUUCCUCUAUCACUAAAAGCCCGAAAUUGCCCUUGGCCAUGUGUUCCAAGAUGUUCUCAUCCAGAAAAAAAUCUUCAAGAAAGACAAAGACCCUAAUCGUGACCCGGACGAGACAAAUUUCUCCUCAUCUGAAGACGCGUCAAUAUCUCUUUAAGAGAUUUGUCACUUUGUAAUAAUGUAAAAUAAAGUACUUUAUGCUUUAGUUUUUAAAGUUGUUUGUCCUUAUGUAAUCAUGCACUUUACUUUUGUUGGCCACUACUGUACCAGUGAGCCCUGCCUACUUUUGUAAAAUAAGUGUGCCUGUAUGCCAGCUGGAAUGAUCUCAAUCCAGCUUUUGUCUUUUCUCCUCCUUAUCUUUAUAUAAGGAGAGUUAUUUUGAAUAAAAAUUAAAGAGUUUUCGAUAACAUUUCAAGUUUCAAUAUUCCAUCCUAUGGAUAACUAAAACCUUCGUUUCUAUUCUUUAAUCCUAAGAUUCUUUAGGUUUAGAGCUCUUACCCUUGUUCAAUGUCUAUAUUUUGCAAGUAUGCUCUACACUUGCCUUGAAAAAGGAUCAUGUGCAUUAGAAAGCUAGUCAGGUUGCCAUUCUUUCUUUGUUCUAAGAUAAUAGACGGAACCCUGCCUUUAGACUAAGUGACCAAGGAGAGUCUGUGUCUUUUUUGGGUUGUCUAUACUCUUAGUUCAUCAAACUGAGUGACUGGUUUUACCAAACCAUGUGGCAUGGGCACAAAAAAGUUCUUUGCCACGAUCAAUUCGAGUAAAAUGGCACCCUGGUAUUCGUCGCUUGCAUCGAUUUGGAUUUGUUUUUUGGUUAGGUGCUCAUCUAGAAACUGUAACAAUUCUUGUGCUAUGUGGGGACUGGGACGAUAGUAUCCAUCUUCGAGGAUCAUGCCAACAAACGCAAUUGUAGAUUGACCUAGGGUGCUUUUCUUUUCAGAAAGCAUAAUACCGUGGGAUUUCACUAGGGUAAGGAAGUGGUCCAACAAUUUUUGGUGAGUCACGUGGUCUUUGGAAAAUAUGAGGAUGUCGUCAAUAUAGACUAGUGUGUUAUGGAGGAUUGGUUCAAAGAUUUUGGCCAUAGCCUUUUGGAAAAGAGAAUGGGCUACCUUUAAGCCAAAUGGCAUGACAGUCCACUGAUAAAGGUCAUUGGGUAUGCAAAAAGCAGUUUUAUGUCUAUCACUGGGAUCAAUGCCUAGUUGCCAAAAACCUGCUUUAAGGUCAAAUUUUGAGAGUACCUUUGCAUCAUGGAGGUGGACAAACAAAGAUUAGAUUUUGGGUAAAGGGAACUUGUCAUCUUGAAGAAAAAAAUUUAAAGGUUGGUAAUCAAUGACAAGUCUCUUCUUUUUUCGAAUGAUUUUGGAUCGUUUUUCCACAUAAAAUGCUUCACAGGCCCAGUUUGAUUUGGUGGGUUCAAUGAGACCUUGUUGGAGGAGAUCUGAACAUUCUUGUUGAGCCAAUUUAAGAUCUGAAGGAGACAUACCUGGAUGUGUGGCUUUGGUGGGAUUAACAUCUUUGUUAAGCUUGAAGGGAAGCUUAAUGAAGAAUUGAGUAUUUUUCCAGACAGGGUUUGAAUGACUGAACUCGGUAUGGGAUUCUGGACAAAAGGGGAGAAAUUUUUUUAUGUAAGGCUGGUAUGAUGGUGUAGUUUCUGAAAGUUUAUACAGACAUAAAAUUUCUGUAUAUGGCUUGAAUUGACUUUUGUAGGAGACUCUUGCAGCUGUGAUCUGCAGUCUUUUGGAUAAGUCCAAGAGAUCAAAGCCAAUUAGUAGAUCCUUAUAUAGAAGCUCUAAGUUAAUAAUCUUUGACCAUAUGACACAAUUUGAAAAAAUUUGCACCCCAAUGGGAGCCUUAGUGAUAAGGCUGGUUUGAAAGAUCUGGCCAUCUGCAGCUCUGAAAUUUUCAAUAUGUUUUACCCAGCAGUUUAGAGGGAGGAUUGAAAUGUGUAACAUACUUUUCUGGGCUCCAGUGUCGAUGCAUCCGAUGACAGAGAUGGGUUUAUGGAAUUUUGAAGGGAGAAUAUAGACUGAGAUGGAGGGUAUGGAUAUGGGAGACUGAGAUGGAGGGUAUGGAUAUGGGAGACUGAGCAACAGAUGCUUGAAGAAAGUGGAUCAUAUCGAUUACCUAGACCUUUUCUGAGUCAGAGGCAGAAUUUGUAUCUGUCUCUUCAAGAGCAAAGACUGAACCAAGGACCAUUUGAGGGUUUAGGAGUCGUGUCUAGUAGAUGGGGAGGAAUUGUGCUCGUUGGAUUAUCAUUACAAGCACAUGUCGGCCCUGUUCUAUAAACUAAAUUGGUUUAAUGACCCAACACUCAAACAUGUGUUUGUAGCCUCUUUGCCAAAAGAACUUCAGCCUGAAUUACAACGGCAAGUGAACCUCCACCAAUUAAACAUUGCUAACCUGUCUUUUGGAAAAUUUUAUCAACUAGUAGUGACCUGCCUUAAAUGUCUAUGUGAACAAAAAGAAUUUUUCAAAGACUUGAUGGAAAACCGUCAACCAUUCAAAAGUGCAUGCAAGAAGCCUCAUCUGAAGAUUAAGUGCAAAGAUGAAAAAGACUGCACAUGCUUCUCAAAGAAGAAACCCCAUUAGAGCAUGGUUCUGAAGUCGGUAUACCAACUGAUGGUGCAAUGUUGCCAUAUUGGAUUAUACAAUCUGUUCAGCUCCCUGAAGCUGGAUCUGAACUCUUAAGGUUGUGGGUAAAUUGGGAUCUUGAAGAAAGAGGUUGAAAUUUGGGUAGGAAGUGAGUAGUGCGCUUCCAGCAUGAAGAGUUGUAAGGACAGUGCCAAUAACAACUUGUUGGUAUUCUUUAAAAAGGGUAUCAAGGAGGGCUAACCGAGUAGUUACUGGUAAACCUUUUCUGCCAUGAAGGGUGAGGAUUAGUCUGAUACCUUUUCGGAUCGUUUUUCCACAUAAAAUGCUUGACAUGCCCAGUCUGAUUUGGUGGGUUCAAUGAGACCAUAUUGGAAGAGAUCUAAACAUUUUGGUUGAGCCAAUUUAAGAUCUGAAGGAGACAUGCCUGGAUGUGUGGCUUUGGUGGGAUUAACAUCUUCGUUAAGCUUGAAGGGAAUAAUAAAGAAUUGAGUAUUUUUCCAGAGAGGGUUUGAAUGACUGAAUUCGGUAUGGGAUUCUGGACAAAAGGGGAGAAAUUUUUUGAUGUAAGGCUGGUAUGAUGGUGUAGUUUCUAAAAGUUUAUACAAACGUAAAAUUUAUGUAUAUGGCUUGAAUUGUCUUUUGUAGGAAACUUAUGCAGUUGUGAUCUACAGUCUUUUGGAUAAGGCCAAGAGAUCAAAGCCAAUCAGUAGAUCCUUAUCUGGAAGCUCUGAGCCAAUAAUCUUUGACCAUAUCACACAAUUUGGAAAAAUUUGUACCCCAAUGGGAGCCUUAGUGAUAAGGCUGGUUUGAAAGAUCUGGCCAUCUGCAGCUCUGAAAUUUUCAAUAUGUUUUACCCAGCACUUUGGAGGGAGGAUUGAAGGGUGUAACAUCCUUUUUGGGCUCCAAUGUCGAUGAAUCCAAUGACUAAGUAGUAAUACCCCGAGUGGUAUCGAAGCCAUAGCCUUCCACGGAAGCUGUAAAUGUAAUAGGUUUUUAUAUUCCUUCAAUGAUGACAAGAAAGCACUUUUUCAUAUCAUGGCAUUAUCUUGUUCAGAAUCUUUUAUUACCCCCAAUCCUAUUACUCUUUCAUCUACUCUUUCUCUCACAUCCUUAUGUUCUAAACAUACAGCCUCAAAAAUAGAAAACCUGGUAGAAUACUCCUAUAUCCCUGAGUCAGCCCAGAUAAGUGAAUCAUCCAUGCCCUUAAUUAGUCCAUACCAUCUUUACAAACGACCAAAUUCUUUUACCAUAGUAUCAAAACUCUUAUCUCUACCAAAUGACCUCUUCCAAAAGAAUACAUCCAGUCUUCCCGAUUGGAUCAAUGUUCAAUUUAGGCCACCCAAGCAGAACAGUACGCCACCCUUGAAAUACCUUCUGAGCUUAUAGCCACCUGGCUAAUCCUCACCCUUCAUGGAAAAAAAGGUUUACCAGUAACUGCUCGGUUAGCCCUCCUUGAUACCCGUUUUAAAGAAUACCAACAUGUUGUUAUUGGCACUGUCCUUACAACUCACUACUCACUUUCUACCUAAAUUUCAACCGAGCAGCCUUAAGAGUUCAGAUCUAGCUUUAAGGAGUUGAACAGAUUGUAUCAUCCAAAAUGGCAACGCUGCACCAUCAAUUGGUAUACCGACUUCAUAACCAUGCUCUUUAUCUACCAACUCCACAUACAUCAGUUGAGGCUUUAAUGAUCUUAGUUGAUACCGAGUCUAUACAAACCAUCGUAUAGAUCCCCAGACAGAUCCUAAAACAAGAUCUGUUCAAGCUCAUGCCACUUGAAUGGCUUUCUAAUUAUGAGUAGUUCCACCAAAACUCUCAGCCUAUCCAAACUUCAGAAGCCUCUUAUGAAAAGCGUUCGGAUGGAACUGUUCGGAUGACCUUUAAGCCUCCUGCAGAACAAGCCCCAAGACUUUCUUUUUCCUACUCCUCGAUAAUUACUGAUGUUUCUACAAGUCAGGAGGAUAUUCCUAUUUCUGCUUUCCAAACGGAUGGAUAUCCCAUCUAUCCUACCAAACUCAAUGGCCAUUUCUUAUGGGACAUUUCUGAGGCCCAUAUGUGUAAUUCUGGUUGUCCCUGUUUGGAUGAUUAUAAUUCAGAUGACGAUUAUCUUGUACGCCGAAGACGAAAGAAAAAGAAGAAACCUGUUUUUGCGAACACCCUAUGUCAUACCUACUCUCCUCACAUGCCAGAUGAACCUGACUUUCAACGUCCUUUACUAGUUUAUAAUAAAAGUCUCAAAUACUUGCAAAAGACGCAGGCUUUUUCUUGCGAACCUCAAACAUGUGUACCCCCAGUCCACCUAUGGUUUCCCCCUGUAUGAUGUUUUCAAGUUCUUCAUCUUCUUACCAAACACACUUUCCAGCACUUGGAAAACAAACUGAUCCAAGUACAAAGGUUUCCUCCCAACCUUAUAUACAAUCCCUAGUAACCCCUGCUGGACAGUUAGAAGAACCUCGCCCUUUUGAAGCCGUCCUCAAUUGGCAGACUCAAAAUGCAACAUCACAAAAUGUUGUUUUGCAAAACCUUGAUCAUAGGGUUCAAUCGGUUGCAACUCAGGUUCAGAACACAGAUAAAAAUAUUGACAGCAUUGCUGCCCAGCUUGAACAGAUGUAUACUGAUCUCAAGAAUAGAGUUACUCAACUUAACUCUGAACUCAGACAGAUGAUCCAACAACGAUANNNNNNNNNNNNNNNNNNNNNNNNNNNNNNNNNNNNNNNNNNNNNNNNNNNNNNNNNNNNNNNNNNNNNNNNNNNNNNNNNNNNNNNNNNNNNNNNNNNNCCUUCGUUGUUUGUUCCUACCCAACUUUUGCCCAGACAUACAUCCCUAAAUAGGUAUCCACCUUUUUAAAUUUCGUCCUUAUAUAGGAAACCCCAUGAUUAUUCCAAAACAUUCAGCCUUACCUACAAGUUAUUUCAGUCCUCUUCAAAAACACAAGCAACAACACCUCCUAAACAACCAACCAGAGUAGACACUCCUCCAGCUUCAAAUCCUUCCCCACAAGCUAAGGAUAAAUAUCCUAGCCAACCCAAUCAACCUAGUUAACAAUAUGCUGCCCAUUCAGUCCUUUUACUACAUUUAACUUCUCCUUCUAAAUCUUUUGAUUCUAGAUCAAAAUCAGUAACUAAAUCCGAUUCUGCAUCAGAUUCGAAAGCUGAAUUUGCUGAUAUUACCAAACUGCUCAUGGCCAUACCAUUCAUUGGUUCCAAUGAUCCUUCUCCAUAAGAAUUCCCACCUGAUACACCCAUAAUGGAAUAAUAAGAUGAAACGAGCACAUUUCCUCCCCAUCGACCGGACACGGCUCCUAAACCCUCAAAUGGUCCUUGGUUCACUCUUGAUGACAUGCCUAAGGCGAAAUGGCCCUCACGGUUAUAGGAAUUUAUAGCCUAGAUCGAUGUCCAAAUGCUCAAGCCUAGUUCAUCAGUCCAAUCAGCUCUAAGAGAAUUUAGUUCCAGAUUUCUUGGUUCUCUAAGAGACUGGUUCGAUAGUCUUGGUCAAUACAGACAAUUGCAAUUCAUACAAAUUCCUGACGUGCCCACAACACUAGGCCUCAUGUAUGAACAAUUCAUCGGAGAAGCAGUCCCAGCAAAUGAAUUGGCGCAAAAAGAAUAUUUUCAAAUGAAGUGUUGUUCGCUUCAACAAAAAGAUUUGGAUUAUCAUUACAAGCACAUGUCGGCCCUGUUCUAUAAACUAAAUGGGUUUAAUGACCCAAUACUCAAACAUGUGUUUGUAGCCUCUUUGCCAAAAGAACUUCAGCCUGAAUUACAACGGCAAGUGAACCUCCACCAAUUAGACAUUUCCAACCUGUCUUUUGGAAAAAUUUAUUAACUAGCAGUGAGCUGCCUUAAACGUCCAUGUGAACAAAAAGAAUUUUUCAAAGACUUGAUGGAAAACCGUCAACCAUUCAAAAGUGCAUGUAAGAAGCGUCAUCUGAAGAUUAAGUGCAAAGAUGAAAAAGACUGCAUAUGCUCCUCAAAGAAGAAAUCCCAUUUCAAAAAAGCCUUCUCCAAAAAGAAGUCUUAUUCCAAACCAAAAAAAACCCUACCAGUUCUUCAAAAGGAAAGAUCCAUUCUCUUCCAAAAACCCAAGAAACAGUCGUUGUUUCAUAUGCAAAAAGAAAGGGCAUUUUGCAAAAAAUUGCCCAAAUAAGCCAGCAAAGUCCAGUCGUCUUCUCCAUCAUUUACAAACCUCAUCUAUCAUCUCUGCCCCAGAAUAAGAGAGUGCUAAUGAAGAAACAGUCUUUGCUCUUGAAGAGACAGAUACAGAUUCUCCCUCUAACUUAGAAAAGGUCCAGGUAAUUGAUAUGAUCGACUUUCUCUGAGCAUCUGUUGCUCAGUUUCCCAUAUUCAUACCCUCCAUCUCAGUCCAUAUUCUCCAUUCAAAAUUCCAUAAACCCAUCUAUGUCAUUGGAUUCAUCGACACUAGAGCCCAGAAAAAUAUGUUACACCCUUCAAUCCUCCCUCCAAACUGUUGGGUAAAACAUAUUGAAAAUUUCAGAGCUAUAGAUGGCCAGAUCUUUCAAGGCUCCCAUUAGGGUACAAUUUUUUCCAAACUAUGUCAUAUGGUCAAAGAUUAUUGGCUUAGAGCUUCCAGAUAAGGAUCUACUGAUUGGCUUUGAUCUCUUGGCCUUAUCCAAAAGUCUGCAGAUCACAGCUGCAGGAGUCUCUUACAAAAGACAAUUCAAGCCAUAUACAUAAAUUUUAUGUCUGUAUAAACUUUCAGAAACUACAUAAUCAUAACAACCUUACAUCCAAAAAUUUCUCUUUUUUUGUCCAGAAUCUCAUGCCGAAUUCAGUCAUUCAAACCCUCUCUGAAAAAAUACUCAAUUCUUCAUUAAGCUUCCCUUCAAGCUUAACGAAGAUAUUAAUCCCACCAAAGCCUCACAUUCAGGUAUAUCUCCUUCAGAUCUUAAAUUGGUUUAACAAGAAUGUUAAGAUCUCCUCCAACAAGGUCUCAUUGAACCCACCAAAUCAGACUGGGCAUGUCAAGCAUUUUAUGUGGAAAAACGAUCCGAAAUCAUUCAAAAAAAGAAGAGACUUGUCAUUGAUUACCAACCCUUAAAUUUUUUUCUUCAAGAUGACAAGUUCCCUUUACCCAAAAUCCAAUCUUUGUUCGUCCACCUCCAUGAUGCAAAGAUACUCUCAAAAUUUGACCUUAAAGUAGGUUUUUGGCAACUAGGCAUUGAUCCUAAAGUAAUAAUAACAAUAAUUAAUAAUAACUAAAAUAAUAAAGUUAAUAAAAUUUAAUAAUAAUAAUAAUAAUAAUAAAUAUUAAUAAAAAUAAUAUUAACAGUAAUUAAUAAUAACUAAAAUAAUAAAAUUAAUAAAAUUUAAUAAUAAUAAUAAAUGUUAAUAAUGAUAAUAUUAAUAAAAAUAAUAUUAACAGUAAUUAAUAAUAACUAAAAUAAUAAAGUUAAUAAUAUUUUUAUUAAUAAUAAUAAUAAUAACAACAAAAAUAAUGAUAAUAUUGUUAAUAAUGAUAAAUUAAUUAUUUUUAUUAAUUAUUAAUACUAUGGGUAUUUUGGUAAAUUGAUUCUCAUUCACAUUCCUCAUUUUCAUUUAUUUUGCCAAGUAAACACAUCAAUGGCAUUCCAGCACAUUCUUAUUUCCAUUUAUUUUUGUCAAGUAAACAUUGAAAUCUCAUUCCCAUUCCUUAUUCACAUUCCCAUCCCAUUCUCAUCCCACCCCAUUCGCAUUCCAGGAAGUAAAUGCACCAUUAAUCUUUUCAUUUAAUGAAUCAAUGCAUUUUUGUAAAGAAUCAUUUUCAUUUGAAAUUUCUAAUAUUUUCUUUUUAAGGGAUGCAUUCAUUUUUACCUAUUCUUAUCAAAUCAUCAUGCAAUUCUUUAAAAACAUUAUUUAAUGCAUCACAUGCUGGAAGAUCACUUACCCAUCAAGUUAAUCAAAUGAUUCUUCCCUGAUUGCCAUGGGAGCUAGAUUUGUCAUCUCUCUUUGCUUUUCAUCAUCACUCGUUUCCUUAUCGCUGUCAUCCUAUGUUGCUACCAUUGCCUUCUUCUUGAGCUUGUUGAGGAGAGGACACUCCGAUUGUAUGUGUUGAGGGUUUUUGCAUUCAUAGCAAAUAAUUGGCCCAUUCUUCUCUUUUUGAUUCUUGUAGUUUUUGAAUUUUCUCCGCUCGUUAGUUUUCUUGUAGAAUUUUAUAAACCUCCUAGCCAGCAUGGCUAUUUCCUNNNNNNNNNNNNNNNNNNNNNNNNNNNNNNNNNNNNNNNNNNNNNNNNNNNNNNNNNNNNNNNNNNNNNNNNNNNNNNNNNNNNNNNNNNNNNNNNNNNNUUCCUCAUAAGAAAUAAGAGAACUAAUCAAAUCGUCAAUAGGUAACGUAUUUAAAUUUUUGGCUUCCUCAAUGACAGUCCUCUUAGGUCUCUAUUCCUUUGGUAGUGACCUAAUAAUUUUCUUAACUUUUUUCGCUAUUCGAAAAGGUUAUUUCCUAAGGCUCCAAGAGUGUUCACUAUGUCCAUAAAUCUAGUAUACAUAGAAUACACACUCUCAUUUUGUUCUAUUUGGAACAAUUCAUGUUAUCGAGUGUAUCUACUAAUUUUAGACUCUUUUACUUGAUUUGUGCCUUCAUAAACAACUUCAAGUUUAUUCCAAAUUUCAUGAGCACUUUCACAACUAGACACUCUAUGGAACUCUUCCUUAUCAAGUGCACAAAACAAGGCAUUCAUAGCUUUGGAAUUUAGAGAAGUUUUUCUCUUUUCCAAUUCAUUCCAUUCCCGUGAAGGUUUUGAAACAUCUUCCCCUACUUCAUUUUUAGUCAUAGGCAUGAAUGGACCAUCACAAAUAACUUUCCAAAUUUCAUAAUCUAAAACUUGCAAGUAAAUUCUCAUCCUAAUUUUCCAAUAAAGAUAGUCAUUUCCAUAAAAAAAAAUGGAGGUCUUGUGGUUAAUUGACCUUCCCUAAAUGUGGAGUUAUUUUGAGUUGCCAUUUAUAUUUAACUCUAGAUGGUUAAGUCCAAACAAGAGCACCUCGCUCUGAUACCAAAUGAAAUACUAACUAGGCAACCCAAGAGAGGGGUGAAUUGAGAUUCUAAAAAUUUAAGCAACUAAAACUUAAUGCAAUAUAAACUAAGCAAUCAAAUUUGAAAUAAAUAAAUUAAUGCGCAAUAAAAAAUAAAGAGAUAGGGCAAGAGAGAGCAAACACUCAAUUUUUACGUGGUUCAGUCAACCGUGCCUACGUCCAUGCCUCCAAUCUCACCGGGCUUGAGAAUUUCACUAAGCACGCCUCCAAGGCUUCAACAACCUUACAAUUGACUUUCAAGAUGUCAAUAGACCUUUAAAAUAAGAGAAUAUCCACAAUCUCUUAACCCAAGUAUAUCCCAGCACUUACAACCUUUCAAGGAUAAAGAUUACAAAUGAAUUUUCUCUCACACAAUGUGUUUGAUUACAAAUGAAUGCUCAAUGUGUGAAUCAAAGAAAUAAAGACAAGUUUAAAGCUCAAUAAUGGUUAUAUGCUCAGUAGCAAGUUCAAUGCUAACUCUUAGAUCUAUCUUUAUUUGAAUUUAAUUAAGUUAUUUUAUAGUUGAACCUGAAAACUAGUCGUUAUUGACUUUCUGAAAGAAAUCGGAUCACCGUUAACUGCUAUCAAUUUGCCAUUUUGACUAGUCCAAAUGAUUGUUGUGCUAAGAUUUCAAAUAGUCAAUUCACCGUUUGACGUUAUCGGUAAGCCGUUUAUUUCCAAAGACCUGCAAAACAAAUUUUGGCUAUCCGUUCUUACUAAAUGGUUCACGGUUAGAAUCCAAUUCUUUUUUGGAAAUUCUCAGUUCACCGUUUUCCGUAAACGAUUCACCAUUAUUUUCCAGAAUCAUCAUUUUAACAACCCUUUGUAGAACAUGCUUUCUAGAAAUUAUUGGUUUGCCAUUUUCAACAAACGGUUAGCCGUUUGCUACAAUGAAACUAUUUUGCAAAAUUAUAGUGUCUAAAACUUUCUAUAAUUAUACUAUGACCCAAUCUUCAUAAAACUUUACAAAUAAGUUCAUUUCCAAAGUUUCAAAACUUUUUCAAUUAGACCAUGAACUUGAACAAUAACCAAUUUCAUUUAUUUAAAAAUUAUAAAUAAUUUGAGCUUUAAAUGUUUGAAAAAUAAUUUGAGCUAUUAAAAACUUAAUCAUUUUUAAUCUUAUUUGCUAUCAUCAAAAUUAUCAUUAUAAACACAUACAUAUUAACAGAUUCCCCUUUGAUAGAUUUGCUUAGUGUAAAUUCUAAAUAGUUUUCUAGAAAAAGAAAAAAAAAAUGGAGUUGGCUUCUAAAGUUUCGCGCCAUCAUUGAAUUUAUAAAUCAUUGCAAACAAUGUGUUUCCAAUCACGAGAGACGAGCACGAGCCGUGAACCCUGCACGAAAAUUUUAAAAAUAAUGAUAAUUGUAUUCAAUAAAAUACCAACAUUCAUAUAUUCUUAAAUUAAACUAAUCUUAAUAUUGGUCCAUAUUCAACAUUUGUCUUCUCUCUUUCUAAACCCUUAAACUUUAAAUUCCCAAUUCUCAUUUUUUUCACCUUUAUUCUUUGAAAAUUUUAGUUUAUUAUUUAGUUUCUUUAUUUAAUUUUCAAUUGAUAGUCUAAAUUAUUCUAAAAUGUUGGUAAUUCAUAUGAAUACUAUAUUUUUUUCUUAAUUUUUUAGUGUAGUUGAUUAGAAUCUGGCCUUUAUAAAUAAAAAUUCUCUAUCUUUAAAAAAUAAAAAUAAGUACUUUUCUUAAUUUUUUACUUGCUUUUUUAAAAUAUUUUAUUGUUCAUUAUAUUAAUAAUUACUUAUUUAAAUUAUAUUUUAUAUUAUUUUUUAACAAUAAUUUUUUGGCCCACAUAAUAAAAGUUUACUAAUUCCGCCCUUAUUUCUGAUUUUAUACAUGUAUGUCAGUAUGUGUGUGCGCAUCUAUACCAUCACACAAAAAUAAUGUGUUUAUGAUGAUUUUAUGUGUGUGGACAGUGAGGUGGCACGAGCAAAAUGUCGGACCCAAAUGGAGGACUACGCACACUGUAAAAGAAACCCGAUUANNNNNNNNNNNNNNNNNNNNNNNNNNNNNNNNNNNNNNNNNNNNNNNNNNNNNNNNNNNNNNNNNNNNNNNNNNNNNNNNNNNNNNNNNNNNNNNNNNNNNNNNNNNNNNNNNNNNNNNNNNNNNNNNNNNNNNNNNNNNNNNNNNNNNNNNNNNNNNNNNNNNNNNNNNNNNNNNNNNNNNNNNNNNNNNNNNNNNNNNNNNNNNNNNNNNNNNNNNNNNNNNNNNNNNNNNNNNNNNNNNNNNNNNNNNNNNNNNNNNNNNNNNNNNNNNNNNNNNNNNNNNNNNNNNNNNNNNNNNNNNNNNNNNNNNNNNNNNNNNNNNNNNNNNNNNNNNNNNNNNNNNNNNNNNNNNNNNNNNNNNNNNNNNNNNNNNNNNNNNNNNNNNNNNNNNNNNNNNNNNNNNNNNNNNNNNNNNNNNNNNNNNNNNNNNNNNNNNNNNNNNNNNNNNNNNNNNNNNNNNNNNNNNNNNNNNNNNNNNNNNNNNNNNNNNNNNNNNNNNNNNNNNNNNNNNNNNNNNNNNNNNNNNNNNNNNNNNNNNNNNNNNNNNNNNNNNNNNNNNNNNNNNNNNNNNNNNNNNNNNNNNNNNNNNNNNNNNNNNNNNNNNNNNNNNNNNNNNNNNNNNNNNNNNNNNNNNNNNNNNNNNNNNNNNNNNNNNNNNNNNNNNNNNNNNNNNNNNNNNNNNNNNNNNNNNNNNNNNNNNNNNNNNNNNNNNNNNNNNNNNNNNNNNNNNNNNNNNNNNNNNNNNNNNNNNNNNNNNNNNNNNNNNNNNNNNNNNNNNNNNNNNNNNNNNNNNNNNNNNNNNNNNNNNNNNNNNNNNNNNNNNNNNNNNNNNNNNNNNNNNNNNNNNNNNNNNNNNNUCUUUCUCCUUCUCAAAUUAAUUUUGUCCUACUUUAAUUUUUAAUUUUUUCAUUAUCAAACAUAUAAUUUUUCUAAAACAUAAAAAAAAAUAAGUCUUCUAACUACAUAAAUUAGAUUAAUUUCUUAAAAACAAAACCUAAAAAACAUAAUACUUGCAUUUACCAUUGUAAUAAAGAAAGAGUUAUAUAUUACUUUUUAUAACAAGAUCUAAUCAAUUAGGGCCUACUGAAUGCGAUUAAAGAUGGUGGGAUGGGUUUACCUUGAGCUCCACAUAUCAACUUUCCAAAUUAAAUCCCACGAGCUCCACUGAGCUCUCCAUAUUAUUCCAAACUCAUAACACCUUAGUUCACCUACUUUGAAUAGCAGAAAAACACACUUAAGCCUUCAUUAGCCUAAUCUCCCCUUAAAUAUAAAUUUAUUUGUUUGAAUUGAAUUUAACUUAGAUCUGGUGAGAACAACUACUAAAUAGUUCAAAUUGGUUCCUAUUAAAACAACUUUGUUGCGUUCAUCGUUUGGCUUUGCUAAUUAAUAUCUUACGUUUACUAUGAAAACCUAAAUACUUUUCUAAAGGGAAAUUAUCAGCCAUAUACCCUUAAAUGACACCAGUAUCAAAUGUGCUACAACACUUUUCAAGUAUAUCACUCAUAUAUCUUAAGUUGACAAAACACUUCUGCCGUCCACCAAUCCAUUAAUUACUGUUUGCAAGCGCUGACAUCAUAAGGGUAAUCUUAUUUUUUUUAAAAAACGACAUGUCAUCCCAUUUACCUAGUAAAAAAUGACAUGUCAUAUGAUAUAUAUUGAUAAAAAUAACAUGUCAUCCCAUUUUUCGGAUAAUUGUUAAUAAUUGCUAUAAAAAAAGCUAUUUUACAACUGAAUCUACUCCUUCAAAACUUAACCUAAAUUUUUGAAGAUCUACUCCUCUAAUUGAAAUUUUUUAUGGUAUAAUAUGUAUAAUUGUAAAUAAUAUGUUAUUAAUAAUUUUUUUAUGGUAUAAUAUGGAUAUUUUUUAUGGAUAAUUGUUAAUAAUAUGUACCGUUAAUAAUUCAUAUUUUUUAAUAAAAAAUGUAUUGUUAAUAACAAAAUAAAAAAAAUUAUGUAUUGAAAAUUUACGUUAAUUUUUGGGGUAAAUUUAUAUUUUUACCUCAUUUUGAGUUUCAAGGGUGAAAUAGUCAAUUUACUUAUGAGAACCAUCAAGGGAAUACCAUUAAAAGUUCAAGUGAUCCUUUGCACAUUCAUGGAGGCCCAAUUACAAGAGCAAGAGCCAAAAAGAUGCAAGCUGCUUUAAAUAGAUUAAUUGAGAAAAUAUGGAUUGAAAAUGCAAUUCAAGAUGAAAGACAUCAUGAAUUGGGCUUGAAGAGAAGACAAGGCAUUGUGGGCAUUAUUCAAGUUAUUGGGCAGCCAAAUACAAAAUUUGUAUCAAAUGCAGAAAGGUCAAAUUCGGAAUAAAAACUGUAUUGAUUGAGCUAGAAGUAACGUGCAAGCUAUAUACCGUUGGAAACAUAAUUAAGUUAGCUUUCCAAUAAAUUUUACAGAGUUGGAUUUGGAGUUCUCUAGAAGGAGUUAUGACCAAUUCAUUACAGCUUGUUUAGACUUGGGAUUUUCAACGACUCCUUUGUUUUUCAACUUCAUUUGUUUGUUUUGUUUCAAGUUUGUCAAUGUGUAAGGUAAGUCUACCAUCAAUGAUGGUGGGCUAACAUUAAGUUUGUCAAUGAUAGCAUUAAUUAUAGUAGGCUAGCAUUAAGUUUGUCAAAGAUAGCAUUAAUUAUGGUGGGUUGGUGAAGACUUUUGAAACAUCUUUUGACAAACCUACUUGGAGGGUUGUUCCAAUGUUUCCAUUUGUAUUUUUAGGAUCUUGGGUUUCUUUUAGCCUAUUUAAAUUUAGCAACCUUGCUAUGUAAUGGGAUGGGAGAUUAAUGUUAUUUGAAUUUGAAAGAUUAUUCUUUCUUUGGUUCUUUUGAAAACUAGUGAACUUAUCAAGAAUUUGCAUUCUUGUGGCAUUCCAAAUUUAGACUUAUCACUCACCUUCUCAUCUAUUUCUUGAGUGUGGCAUCAAUACCAUUCUCUAUACCUUUGGUUCAUGUUUUCUUAAGCAUUGGGUCAAGGUUUUAUUUGUCUUAAAUCUGUUUAGAACUUUCUUGGGAAGUUGAAACUACAAAUUAAGUGUGGGAUUGAAAGUUUCAUUGUGGGAUUCACAUCAUUUGGUAUCAAAGCUAGUUUCUAAUCAGGUUUGAAUGUCUUAUUUAUUUUGAUUAUCAAAAAAAAAAAAGAGAAAAAAAAGAUUCAAGUAUUUCUACUUUCAUCAAAUUGAAUUUGAGUUAUUCAUUUUCCUUGACAUAGUUUACACACAUAUCAAUUGUGUUGCUUUGCUUGCUUGCUUUCCUUUCUUCAAUUUCCUUUUCAUUCUUUGUGUCCUCUUAAUUUUUUUUCUUUGUUAGUGUGCUGGAUUGUCAUAUUUGGUGUGCCACUUGGGUUUUUAUUUAUUUAUUUUGUUUGUUUAGUUCAGUAAAGAACUGAAAGAGAGAAUUAAGUGUGGUAAAAGGCAAAAGUUUGUGAGAUCAUUAGAGGGUAAAAGCCAAUUUGUGUGUUAAACACGAGAGUUAAGUGACAUCAAAUUGAGUGAAACACGUGAGGGCGUGUUGUGAGGUCUUUUUGCUAACAAUUUUUUUUCAGAUCACAAAUAUGUCAAAAGAUCAAGAAGCUAUAGACUAAUCAAUCAUGCUCAAAGCCAUGCAACAACAAUUUGAGCACAUGAAUCUAAUGUUUGGAGAGAUCUGUGACAAAUUGGAGAGGCAAGACACUGCCAUAGCCAAUCUACAAAGGGGGCAACAGCCAAUAGCUCCUAAUGUAAGAGGUAAUCAAGGGCGUGCUGUCAUGGGAGAAGAAGAUGGCGAUGACAUAGAUGAUUUUGAUGACCAGGCCACUGUUGACAUGUGUGGAAGAGAUCAUAGAAGGGCAAGACGUAUGGAUCGUGAUUUGGGGAGUAUCAAACUGAAAAUUCCUUCUUUUCAAGGUAAAAAUGAUCCGGAAGCUUAUUUGGAGUGGGAAAAAAAGGUGGAGCUAGUAUUUGAUUGCCACAACUACUCUGAGGAGAAAAAGGUAAAACUAGCUGCUGUUGAAUUUACUGAUUAUGCUAUUAUUUGGUGGGAUCAACUUGUUUUGAGUAGGAGACGAAAUCGUGAAAGGCCUAUAAACACUUGGGAGGAGAUGAAGGCCAUCAUGAGGAGGAGAUUUGUUUCUAGUCAUUAUUAUAGGGAGCUGCACCAAAGGCUUCAAAGUCUUACACAAGGUUCUAGAAGUGUGGAAGAUUACCACAAGGAGAUGGAAAUAAUCAUGAUUCGAGCCAAUAUUGAAGAAGAACGAGAGGCCACUAUGGCAAGAUUUUUACAUGGUUUAAAUCAAGAUAUUGCUAAUGUGGUUGACUUGCAGCACUAUGUUGAGUUGGAAGACAUGGUUCACAUGGCCAUGAAAGUGGAACGACAACUAAAAAAGAAAGGUUCCACUAGAACCAAUUUGGGUUCAUCUUCCUCAUGGAAGUCAAAAUGGAGCAAAGAUGAAAAGGUUGUUUCAAAGCCUAAGAUUGAGACAAUCAAGGAUCAUAAAGAGGGAGGCAACCAAAGCAAAGGUAAAUCUAAUUCCCAACACUCUAGAAAUAGAGAUAUUAAGUGUUUUAAAUGUUUGGGGACAGGUCAUAUUGCAUCUCAAUGCCCAAAUAAGAGAGUAAUGAUCUUGAGGGAUGAUGGUGAUGUUGAAACCGAGAGUGAAUCAGAUGAUGAUCCUAUGCCACCUUUGGAGGAUACUAAUGAUGGUGUAGAAUAUCCUGUUGACGGUAAAUUGAUGGUUGUUAGGCGUGCUGUCAACAUGCAAGUAAAAGAGGAUACAGAGAUACAACGUGAUAACAUCUUUCAUACUAGAUGCCACAUCAAAGAUAAGGUAUGUAGUAUGAUAAUUGAUGGUGGAAGUUGUACUAAUGUAGCUAACACUAGUUUAGUUGAAAAAUUAAAUUUGAAAACUUUGAAACAUCCAAGGCCAUAUAAGCUACAAUGGCUGAAUGAUUGUGGGGAAGUUAAAGUAAAUAAACAAGUGCUAGUUUCAUUCUCUAUUGGGAGAUACAAGGAUGAGGUUCUAUGUGAUGUAGUACCCAUGCAUGCUGGACACAUUCUUUUGGGUCAACCUUGGCAAUAUGAUAGGCGUGUGAUACAUGAUGGUUACUUAAAUAGAUAUUCUUUUGUAAUGAAUAAAAGGCAAAUCACUCUUGUACCAUUAACACCUAGGCAAGUGUAUGAGGAUCAAAUGUCAAUACAAAAAGAGAGUGAUACAAAAAAAGAAAAUGAGAGUACAAAAGAAAGAGAGAUUGAGAGAAAAGCAAGUGAAAAGAUAGAAAAAAAAUAUUGUUGAGAGAAAAGAGAGGCAACAAGUGAACUUGUUUGCAAAAGAGAGCAAGGUUAAGAGGGCUUUCUUUUCAAAACAGCCUAUCAUUGUAGUUUUGUGCAAAGAGGCUUGUUUACACACUAAUGAGCUUAAAUUUUCUUUGCCUAGUGCUAUUGUGACUCUUUUGCACGACUUUGAUGAUGUGUUUCCAAAUGAAGUCCCUAAUGGUUUGCCACCUAUUAGGGGAAUUGAGCAUCAAAUAGACUUCGUCCCUGGAGCUACCAUUCCUAAUAGACCUGCAUAUAGAAGUAACCCCGAGGAGACAAAGGAGCUUCAAAGGCAAGUUAAAGAACUCUUGGCAAAAGGAUAUGUGAGGGAGAGCACGAGUCCAUGUGCGGUACCAGUUUUACUAGUGCCCAAAAAGGAUGGAACAUGGAGGAUGUGCGUUGACUGUCGUGCAAUUAAUAAAAUCACUGUAAAGUAUCGACAUCCUAUUCCUAGACUUGAUGACAUGCUUGAUGAAUUGCAUGGUUCUUGUGUGUUUAGUAAAAUUGAUCUUAAAAGUGGAUAUCAUCAAAUUAGGAUUAGAGAGGGAGAUGAGUGGAACACUACCUUUAAAACAAAAUAUGGUUUAUAUGAGUGGUUAGUGAUGCCAUUUGGGUUAUCUAAUGCACCUAGCACUUUUAUGAGGUUAAUGAAGCAUGUUUUGCGUGCUUUUAUUGGUAAAUUCAUAGUUGUCUAUUUUGAUGAUAUUUUUAUCUAUAGCAAAGGCUUAGAUGAACACAUUGAACAUUUGCAAAGUGUAUUGACUGUUUUAAGGAAGGAAAAGUUGUAUGCUAAUUUGAAGAAGUGUUCCUUUUGUACAAAUCAGAUUGUUUUUCUUGGUUAUGUUGUAAGUGCUAAAGGAAUUGAGGUUGAUGAAGAGAAGGUAAAGGCUAUUAAAGAGUGGCCUACACCUAAAAGUGUAAGUGACGUAAGAAGUUUUCAUGGUUUGGCUAGUUUUUAUAGAAGAUUUGUGAAAGAUUUUAGCACAUUUGCUGCACUAUUGACUAAAAUUGUGAAUAAACAUGUGGGAUUUAAAUGGGGUAGUGAACAAGAAAGGGCAUUUAGUCUAAUUAAGGAGAAAUUGGUUUUUGCACCAUUACUUGCUUUACCUGAUUUUACUAAAACUUUUGAAAUUGACUGUGAUGCUUCAGGUAUAGGUAUUGGAGCUGUUUUGAUGCAAAAGGGGCGUCCAAUUGCUUAUUUUAGUGAGAAAUUAAGUGGAGCAGCCCUAAACUAUCCUACUUAUGACAAGGAGAUGUAUGCAUUGGUGAGAGCAUUGGAAACUUGGCAACAUUAUCUUCUACCUAAAGAGUUUGUUAUACACAUUGAUCAUGAAUCCUUGAAGCAUUUGAAAGGGCAAGGUAAGUUACAUAAGAGACAUGCCAAAUGGGUUGAAUUUAUUGAGCCAUUUCCUUAUGUGAUCAAAUAUAAAUAAGGUAAGGAGAAUGUGGUGGCUGAUGCAUUAUCUAGAAGGUAUGCACUUAUCUCUACAUUAAAUGCAAAGUUGUUAGGAUUUGAGUACAUUAAAGAAUUAUAUGUUAACGAUCCUAAUUUUGCUAAUGUGUUUAAUGCUUGUGAGAAAGUUGCAUUUGGUAAGUUCUAUAGGCAUGAUGGGCUUUUAUUUAGAGAAAAUAAAUUAUGUGCACCUCAUAGUUCUUUGCGUGAAUUGCUUGUGUGUGAAGCUCAUGGGGGUGGUUUAAUGGGACAUUUUGGCAUUGCAAAGACUUUAGAUGUUUUAAA
This 345145-nucleotide long non-coding RNA is filed under the name Citrus x clementina. RNAcentral's name for it is "Citrus clementina (C. clementina) long non-coding RNA (CCLE_LNC005440)". The stretch from base 197144 to 197247 matches the Rfam family "Plant small nucleolar RNA R71". Lineage: Eukaryota; Viridiplantae; Streptophyta; Magnoliopsida; Sapindales; Rutaceae. The record is from RNAcentral.